RNAcentral lists this long non-coding RNA (241302 nucleotides) under Fragaria vesca (wild strawberry). RNAcentral's name for it is "long non-coding RNA (FVES_LNC003816)". Lineage: Eukaryota; Viridiplantae; Streptophyta; Magnoliopsida; Rosales; Rosaceae. The record is from RNAcentral.
ACUCAGUAAGUAUGCAAGAUAGAAUCAGAAAGCUUGCAUUUAUAUGAACAAAAGCAUAGUAGAACAAAUAUAAACCUCAUGAAAGAAUCAAUUACUCACACAAAUGAACCACACCAUAGGCUCAACUCUUGGGACAAACUCCACAGAUCAAGUUUUACUCAUCUUUUAGAUCAAAAGAAACUUUACAAGGUAUUAAUGGGGCUGGGCUAGGGGUAUGAGUUGAAGAGGAAGGAAUUGCAAAAAUUCUUAAGGACCUAGCAGAGCAUUCAAACACGCCUUAUGUCGCCAAAACAAGGGUCAAAUGUCAUCUUGUUGGGCCCUUCGUCAUUUUAAACACCUUCAAACAUUGUGAAAAAGAACAAAGGCCAAAUAUUUUGUUUUUGGGCCUUCCAUUUACAACCAAAACUCCCAUUUCACAACACAAAGACAAUGUGAAACCUGCAUCAAAUAAACCCUUUUGACGUUAGUAGCAUUGAGUAAGUAGGGUAUCGUAUAGGGCUGGGGAUUGAGGGUACCUUGCAAAACAAAGCGUUAGAAAAACACAACAAAUAUUAACAAGUAAUAAAACAUUUAAACAAUUUACAAAAGUAGCUACUGUUCCAUAGAACAGCAGUCGAAAACCUAAUUAAAAACCUAACCUAAACUACUUAGAAAAAUAUGAAAAUUUACAGAGAUCUACUAGACACACAGAGGAACUACUGUACAAAUUUUCAGGGGAUUCGGAGAUCGUUUGAUAUGAAAAUAAAAUAAAAGAAAACAGAGAACAGAAGAGUGACGAAAAUCCUAAACUAAAAAGUAACAAAAACCUAAGCUACUAUAUACAUGUGAUCGUCUCUUUGCACACAAGAAAACACUAAAUCAGAUUCAUAUAAUCAAGUAACUAUGUAAUUUCAACCCUAACAACCUAAAUCAUGCAUAUGGAGAAACGAAUCAAAUUCCAUGUUUCAAGUAAUUUACCGACGCGGACUUAACUACUUAAAACCCUUCUAACCUCUCAUAGAUAUGUACCGACGCGGACUUCAUAUCCAAAAUAGAUCAAAGGAAGAACUUGAACAUGUUAGAAUGUAAUUCACCGACGCGGACUUCAAAGACAUCCUAGCAUGCAACCUAUAACUCCUUANNNNNNNNNNNNNNNNNNNNNNNNNNNNNNNNNNNNNNNNNNNNNNNNNNUAGCAGGAUAUGACAGUCAUGACUCUUCAACCCGUACAUCUUAUUGUCCCGGAAGUUCACACACCGGGCUAUAUUUCCUGUAUAGCCUGAAGGAUACUUACACAACUCAUCCACCAGAAAUUAGGUUCUUCUGGUCAGGUCUUUACGGUGUAAUGAGCUUGAGCUAUUUUUUCUUCCCUUCUUCAACCACAGAUGUCUUCUUAAUUGCAUUUUUUUUAGAUCAAUACGUGUCUUAGGACCGUCUUUAGUCUUCCCCUCCAAGUUCAGCACUGUGCCCACAACACUGUCGCAAACAUUCUUUUCUAUGUGCAUCACAUCUAAGUAGUGCCUGAUCAACAACUUACUCCAGUAUGGGAGUUCCCAGAAUAUGCUCUUAUGUGUCCAGAAUUUGUACCUGUCAGGUCUUUCAAGUAUUGCCGCCACAAUGUUGGGAUGAUUGCUGAGCUUUCCAAAAUCGUACUCAUUAAGCACUGCUAACAUUUCUUCCCCCGUCCAUCUUCUGGGAGGCACACCGUUUUCUAUGGUCCAUCAAAUGCCUGUGCAUCGAGCCGCCAUUUGUGAUCAUAUGGAAGGAGAGUACGGUGACCCAAUUUGCAUAUCUUGUUGCAAUGACUGCUGCUCCCCUCAUCGCUAAGGCACUCUGGACAAGCCUUGUAUCCCCUAACAACGUUGCCCGACAACAUCCCACGGGCAGGAAAAUCACUGAUGGUACCAACAACCAUGACAUGCAUCUGGAACAUUUCGUGCAUGUACUUGUCAUAAGUGGGAUGACCAACGUCCCACAAAAAUUUAAGCUCUUCAAUCAAAGGUCUCAAAUACACAUCGAGACACUUCCCUAGAUAACCGGGUCCCGGAAUCAACAAACUCAACAUAUUGUAUUACUUCUUCAUGCACAUCCACGGAGGAAGGUUGUACGGUACCAAAAUCACCGGCCAUACACUGUAUUGAAGACUCAUGUUGCCAAAAGGGUUGAACCCGUCGGAUGAGAGCCCGAGCCUCACAUUUCAGACCUCUGACGCAAAAUGAGGAAACUCCCUGUCUAUAUGCUUCCAAGCCUCCCCGUCAGCAGGGUGUAUAAGGGUAUCUUCGUCAUGCAAUUCCCUAUCAGCGUGCCAUCUCAUAGCUUCGGCUGUGUGUGAAGACAUGUACAACCGGUCCAACCUAUCCCUCAAAGGGAAAUACCGAAGUACCUUUACAGGUUUCUUGUUGCCUGUAGGAGUCAGCUUAUACCUAUCAGUGUGACAUACCGGACAUGCGUCAAGGCCACCAAGGUCAUUCCCUUCUGGAUCUUUACCCCAAAACAGAACGCAGUCAUAUCUGCAUGCAUGGAUCUUGAUGUAGGAAAGCCCAAGAUCUUUCAGGAUACAUCGGACCUUAUGAUGAGUGGUAGGAAGACGAUGACCCUGAAAAUAAAUCCCUCGUUUGGAUGACUUAACGAUCACCAAAUUUUCUGAAAAUUUGUAGAAAUGAUCUACUCAUAUAGCCCAACGAACUGAACGGUGGAGAUUUGAUUUUGUGAUCGAAAAGUUCAUCAAAUGAUCUAUCCCUAGAAAUAAACAAAAAAAGGGAUCUCUCAUUGGAAUGGCCAUAUAUAUAUAUAUAUAUAUAUAGUUCAUAUCCAGAGCAAAACUUCGCUUUGAAAUUAAAUUGUGAAGUUCAUUAUUUGACUCACUUUUCGGUCAUAUAUUCACAUCUCUAGCGUUCAGUUUAUUGAUACUAAUGUAUAAAUAUACUAAACCCUUAGUUUCAGAGCGAAGCUUCACUCUGGAUAUAAACUAUAUAUUAGUUCCUAACAUAAAGUUCAUAAAUAUGUAGGAUAAAUUGAUCUACAACUUUCGCUCACAUCGGAGCGCAACCAAAUCGGCUUCAAGUUCAUCCAAGUCUUUGCACAAAGGAAUAUCAUCAAUAGUUAGUUCCCCAAUUUCUUCAGUUUUACUUGGCUUCAUCUCGAUCUUAACUUUUUUGUUACUAGUUUCUUCCAUAGGGGCUGCCUUUUUCUUUUCAAAUUUGACAGCCUGAAAAGAAGGGAAAAAAACGAGAGGAAAAAUUGUAAUCAAAGUCAACAAGCUUGAAUUUAUAUCUCUAAUACAGUACUAAAUCAUAUGAACUCACUGUUGGAUCCUCAUAGAGGAUAAAACCAACAACUUCUGGGACUGAUCGCAAAACUUUAGUAAACCUCUCAUGGUGGUAAAACUACAAGAGACAUUUCAAUUUUUAUAAAAUUUGCAUUAGGGUCUUUAAUUUUCAGAUUUGAAAACGUGUUAAACUUGAGCAUUAUUAUGAAAAAAAAUAGCAGGACUUGCAUAAUUAUAUAUAAUCUCUUCAUGCUCCAAAUAAGAAAAGAUAUUAGUAUUCAUAUUAGUCACUUACAGAGUCAAUUACAUCUCGAUAGUGAGCUUCCUUCUUACAGUGAGCUUCUUUCUUUCUUUGCCAAAUCUCGAUAGUCCAUCCCUGGAGCCUUUCAAAAAAAGAAAAUUUACGCAUGCCCUCUUUUGUUCGCUCUUUUGUUCGAGUCUCAAGCGGCACCAACUAUAGUCAUCCAUGAAAAUGAAACGUUUAUAAAUAUAUUAUAGUACAUGAUAUCUCACAACAACACUUGUUUUUACCUCUAACAUAAAAUGUUCAAUUGAGAUUAAGUUAAUAUAUAUAUUUGAAUUAAUACAAUAAUUUCAAUGAUUUAUAUGAGAUAUAAAAGUGAGCAGCAACAUAUUUUCCCGUAACACAGUCAUUUACUAAAAUAAGGUAUGAAUUGAGUACAAAGCCUUCAGCAACUGCAUGCAUGAUCAUAGCAGCCAUAUACAAUCAAGAAGAAACACAGACACACACACCUACCUACACAAAAUGGAACAACAACAUGAAGUUCUAGACAUAACUAUAUAAAAUUUGUUAGAAUAUUGAACCUAUGCGAUCACAACCAAACUGUUGGAGUUAUACUAACCUUUUCCACAUCAAUCAAGUGAAGUGGAUAAUCUGCCGGAAGGUUGAAUGAUAGCGUUCCCCCAAUAGGAUACGUCUCAACUCUUGGUAUGUCUUUUUGUUUUUCCUGAAAAUUCAAAAAAGUAUUAUGAGUGAGAUAAUGGGGAGAUCGCUUGUGGAAUAUAUUUGAUUAUAUUGAUCAUAUAUUGAUAAAUUUAUCUUUUAGUUUCAGGGCUCUAUAAGCAUAUCACUUUUGCAAUUUUGUAGUUUUCAGCCACAAUGGAUCGGAAACCGUUGAAAGAUCGAGUUAGAUCAAAUUAAUGAACAAAUAAAAUUUCUCCAAGCUGAACCGUUAAUGUACAUUAUGAUAACUCACGAUUAUAGACAUCUAAAAAUCUAUUUAAUUGAAAGUUUACCAUAUUAAUCUAUUUAUAAACCUAAAACUCUAACGGUCAAUUUUUAAAAUAUGUGAAUGAAUAGUGAGUCCCUCAAACGAUUCUUGAACUAAACAAAAAAAAAAAAAAGAUCUUUUACUACAAGGUCAAUCUAUAUAUGUAUAUUUCUACAAUCUUCUUGCCAUCAUCAAGACUAGAGAUGGGAAACACAUUAUCUUGGACAUAUUCCCUUAAUGUAAAUUUCUGUUUAAACUCAGAUGUGGUUUUCUGCGUAGAAAGAACAAAAUUUUGUAAACAAUCACAUCAAUCACUAACUACCAAGCUAUGAAUGUAAAGACAUACCGCCACCAAUAUCUUCAAUGUUUGGCGGAGUUGCGAAUGCAACUUAUCUGUAAUAGAGGGUACAACAGACAUUUUAUUUGUUAGAUAGAGAGAAAGUGAGAAAGAGCCAGUUAAGUAUGAGAUAUAUUUGUGUAUAGCAAAAAGGAGAAACAAAACAAUAGGAUCAAAGGCAGAAUCCGGAUUUUUAUAAGGUCAGACAAAUUUAAACCUUGCUCGCAGAGAGAAAUGAUGUACAUGCAUGAACCAAACAGGUGCAUGCAAAAACAUUCAUUUUCUUGCCAAAUAUAAAGUUGGUGCUAGAAAUAUGUAACAAGAAAUCAAACUAGAUAUUCAAAGUACAGUUUGAAAAGAUGGAUUCAUAUUUAUGUCUGAAAUCCAAAAAUGAAAAUAUUCCCUUAUUAGUCUAGAUUUUCUUCAUCUCACUUACUAGAUUUCCAAAUCUGGUUAUCUCAAAUAGUUCCACUUACCCAUGAAAGGUUCUAGAUCCUUUAGAGCCAUAAUUAUAUUUACAUAUCAUGCAUGAUUUAUAUUUUGAAUUUUUUCAAUAAACACUUCUAUAAAUAUGAAGGGAAAAGAAACCCAACGACUACACAAAUCAUUAUGCGUUAAGAUAAUAGUAUUAAUUAGCAUAAAUUGGUUUUAUUUAUUUAUUUUUGUCAGUGAUUUCUCUUAUUAAAAUAUCGAAAAUGAUCAUGCAAAAUACACAAUGAUACUAGACCCCAUCAGAAGAGGCACAUCAACCUAUGUAAAGAGUCACUAAUGAGUCUAACCUACAAACAAGACAAAAGCCCAAAUACAAAUUUUGCAAACCCUAAAAUCUUAUCAAACAACCAACACGGGCUACGAUGCAGCAAAGUAGUCUUGCUGUCAAAUUCGAACCAGUUCUUAAACAGAAACCACCACUAUGUAUUGCACUACCUCCUCUACCGGUUGGAGCACACACAGGGAUCAAGAGCACCUCAAACAAUGUAAUCAUAGAUACUGUAAAAACUUGCGUAGAUAUCAUUGGAGAAGUAAACAACCAUCGUGAAAUAUGUCUUAUAAAAGUAUAUGAAAAUUUUGAGAGAAAACUCAGCUACAAAUUAAAGGCAAAUUUGGUAUACUUCCAUUACUAGAUCAGAUAUGUCAUGAGAGGAAACAGAGCAUGAGUUUGUUUGCUUCAAAUGGGGACAAAAAAGAGAGAGCAGAGAGAACAAUACUCCUUGUUCAUGAGUUAUUUAUUUAAAUAACUGAUUAGUAGUAGAUUAAGUGACUGAUUUUCCCAUGAAAUAUUGACGAAAAACAUAAUAAAUGACGGAAGAUGUAACUUAUACAUAUUUUCGGUAAAGGUUACAAGUUCAUAUAUCGUUUUAAUUAUUUUAAAAGAAUGUACCAAACUUCGGAGUCACCCAUUUUUCGGUAAAUAUUUUCAGAAGGUAAUGAUGCUAAUGUAGCAACUUGAUCAUUUAACACAUGAUUGGCUCACAAGUAAGUUAAUUUGGAUGAAACUGUUACUAAACUAAGUCGAAUGUUCUAUAUAAUUACGUAUAAUUAAAUUUAGUUAACAAUGAAUUUGUUUGCAGGUCUUGAAAGGCUAUCGAACGUUAAUGUAGAUCAAGGGCAGACAACAAAACUAAUUUGAAGUGUGACAUUCUCUUGAACAACUAGUGUGAGAACCUCAACGUUUUUCUUGUACUAUAUGCGAUUUUUUGAAGUGUUGAUGAGGAGGAUCCAAGUUAGUAGAGAUACAAUGUUUAAAAUCGAGAAUGAAAUCUGCCCUAAACUCAUUGAGAAACUGGAGAAAAAUAAAGUUGCAAGUGAUUGCAUUCCUACUAGAUCAGGUGGACAACAAAUUGAACUUAAAGAUUAACAUGGUGACAAGUAUGUGGUGAACCUUCAAGCAAGAACUUGAGCAUGCAUGAGAUGAGAUUUAACUAGCAUUGCAUGUAAACAUGCAAUUUAUGCGGCAAACUUCAUGAGACAUGCCCUUGAAGACUACGUGGAUGAUUGCUAAUUGAAGGAGACUUAUAUGGCCAUUUAUAACCUCAUCAACAAACAUGUUAAUUGUAUGGAACUGUGGUCAAAAUGUGACGAACCCACAGUACACAAGCCAUCUAGGAAAGCCAAGGACAAAUGCGAUCAAUAAUGCAUCUAAGAGGGCUGAAAUUACUAGUAUAAAGCUUUGCUCUAUUUUAAAGAACUCUGAAUUAUGGUCACUGUGGUCUAGUUGAUGAAAAUAGUUUUAGUUGUCAUAAUCAAUUAUUGUUACCCAAAAAUAAGACCCAAACAAACCAUCAUAGAAAGAGGAAUCGAGAUGCCUCAACAUUAAUAACUCAAGUACGUAUCUGCUAUUAUCCUUCUUUUAUUAUGAUGUGAAAAGUCUUUUUAGUUAAAUCAAGCUCUCAUUUUAUGUGUUAGCAUGACAAUACUAAAAAAAAUGGACCAUUGACCAAGAAUGAGAUGUGGAAGAAGACUCAACUACGGGUACAAUUGAAGGUAAAGAUAGAUGUCUAUCUUUUUGGUUAAUUCAUGUUGUUGGUAUGCAUGUCAACAUGAUUGUGGGUUUGGUUAAGAUGUUUAUGUAUAUUGUGUUAAUGCAUUUUAUUAUAGGAAAAGAUAGAUGUAAAGAAUGUAACAUAUGCAAAAAUAUCACAAACUUUAGCCAAGUUAAAGGUUAGAGCUACAAGGGCUUCAACAAGUUAUGUUGUUGUCCCUACAAAGGGUAAAACGUGCUCCUAUAUCUGCUUCUGCAAAGUCAGCUCCAAAAAAGAUAGCUCGUUCAUCUUAUAAGCAACCAACAUCAGAAUCAGAGAAAAUACUAAGAGAGGAUGAAAAUAGAGAAAUGUAAUUACUUACUGGCUUUAUCAUAGCUAGAUUUAUGUUGCAAGCUUUGUUUCUAGCUCUAAUAACCUUACUUUUGAUGUUGAUUUAUGGAUGUAAGGUAUAUAUUGUGCCUAUUAUAAUGCUCAUGCAAUAUACAAUGUAAGCUACAAUUAGUCUAAUUUUAAGAAUUUGUUCAAGAAUAUUUGUUCUUUUCUUUCUUGCACAAAAUUGAUGCUCCCAAUUUCUAUCAGGGUAUGUUUGUUUUUAACAAAUGGUGUGGGUUUCAGAAAUGUAAGGGUGUAAAACAAAAACAGAAAAUCAAACUUUGUAUUUUUAGAAUUUGAAAUAGACAAAAAUGCAUUCAAUAUACUUUUUGUAGAAAAUGUUUUACAAGAGUCCUGUUUGAUUAAAAUUAGACUCCUUCCUCCACGUUCACUCUGUAGUAUACCUCCAGGUGUAUUCACACAUCUAUCAAAAGUUCAAAACUCAUGCAUAAGAACAAUCUGCAACCAAAAUGGGAUUUUCUAUGUAGAUUGGCAAAAGAAGUUGUUGAUGUCUUUUUCUCUUAAGCCUUUAAAUCUAUUAAGAGUUAAUUAAAGGAUGACUGUUCCAUCAUCUCCGAAUGAUCAAUUCUAUCCACAUGCAACUCGUAUAAAAAAAAAUAAAAAAUAUAACUCAUAUAAAAACAGAAAAUCAAUGGCUCAAUGGAGAAAACUUGCAGAGUUGCAGAUGCUCCUUUCUUCUUCUUCUCUUUGUUGUUUAUGUUCUAAUGAGUUCACAAGUUUGUGUAUAUCUACAAUUAUAUGAAGAAAACCAUAUUGACUAUGGAUCGAAGAAAAAAAAAUUUUGAAAUCUGGGUAGUCAUUAUGAGCUCGAAUUAAUUAGUUCUGGGCAUGUCAACUCCUUUCACUGAGCUUGUCGACUUACUUUUCUGGUUCAGAACCCUGUUCUCUUUUCUUUUUUCUUUUGAAAUCGGAACUUGUUCUCUGAAAACAGGGAAAACAAGCAUAAGCUAUUUUUGAUAUUUACACCGAAGCUCUGAAUUAUCCCAAAAAUUGUUUUCCCGUGUUUCCGGGAUUUAAGCCGCCAAACGCGUAUUACAUUGAAAUCUGUUUUCAGAAUUAAGAAAACAGUUUUGUGAUCGCAUACCGAACAUGCCCUAAAUAUCCUUAUUUAUUAAAACAAUAUAUUUAUCUAAUUUGUGGUAUAUAUGUAUAUGGUAAAAUUUUCAAAUUGUGGAGGCAUAUUGUGUGGAAAAGACUAUUUAGCCCUCUUUGGUCAGAUUUAAUGUCCAAUUUGGACGAAGCAUUCACCACCAUAGAACACAGUAGACAUAAAUUGGAGAGCUCAGGGGGUAUCCUUAUGAAAUUGAGAGUUUAAGAACUGUCAUAAUGUUAACCUCAAACCUCAGGGCAUAGAUUGAAUUUGAUUCAUUAAACAAUCAGUCUAACUUUUCUUUUGGGUGAGAUUAUUUGUCUAGGGUUUAGGGAGUAAGGUUUAAUCCAUUAAUUUUUUUCUUUUGUUCACCCUACUUGUCUAAAGUGAGGGAGUAAGGCGAGACGCAGGAUAAUUCUAAUUGCAUAUUUCUGGAUCAUAUAAUAGAGAGCAACCAGGCCACUGAACAUAAAAAAUUCCAAGAUGCAAACAAGAUCGACAAACUCCAGCUAGAUGAAGCGAACACGAGAUCGACGAUAGAGAAGUAGGUCACGCUUGUGAUGGAGAACGACUAGGCUUCAUCGAAAUUAGACCAAGACGACUAGGCUAUGAUGAACAAAACAAAAUCAGAUAGGAAAUUGAAAAAAUUGGAGGUAGACCAAAUCUAAGAGAAUAAAAAAAUUGUGGAAGCAAAAAGGAUAAACAUAAAUCACUAGGCACGGUUUCUGAUACCAAGGGCUCUGAUAUCAUGUCAGAUACAUGAGUUAUUGAAAAGGAAAGUGUAAAAAGUAAAAGACAAUGGGAGAAAACAGGGAGACUGCAUCAUGUAUUCUUUGAUUGAUUGUAAACAACGUACGUCACAGAGUAUUUAUAGGAUAAUGUGGACUCAUGCCCAAUUCAAAGACAAUACUAGAACUCCAAUGCUCCGACUUUUGGGGAGUGUUUUAGGGUUUGGAAGCAUAACUCAUCCAGCGGCGGCGGUGCACUUCGUGAUUUGCCGACCAACCAAUGGCCGGAUAUCAGAGAUGGCAAAGCAGAGAGGAGGAAUCCUCUCAUGUGGCGGCAUCGAAAUCCAGUCCAAUUUAGUGCUUCAGCCAUGGCGAUUUGUUGAGGUUGAGAGCGAUUUCAAAGAGACUAAUCUGGUGUCUAGGACACCAAUGAAGGUGGUUGGAGGUUUUGGUUUCAGAUCAAUGGUUCUAAUGGUAUCGAUGGCGGAUCCCGCCGGCUGGACAAUGAGUGGUAGCGCUGAAACUACGUGGGCUUUGCCGGCCGACGUGAAUGCUGCCGGAAAUAGCAGCCAAGUGGUGGAUUCUCUGCGAACGACGGAGAUCUCUACGCCGACGGAAGAGAUCUACCGGACUUGGCUGCGUGCAAGACUAGAGAACUCCCAAGUGGGUUUUGGGCUUGGAAUCGGGCAACUGGGCCUGAGUUUGAGUUUGAAUCCAAGAAGGUUGGGCCUCUUCAACUUGAAGACUUGAUGAUGAUGCCGGCAUGGUCAAAGGUGUUGGUAAUGAAGCCAUCAUGGUCGCCGUCAACGCAAUAGGAGAUUUUCGGCAAUCGACGAUGCACAUCUGCUAGGGUUUGGGUUUAGACUCGAGUUCUUGGGCCUGAGUCUAGCCUCAAGACUAUAAAAGUCAGAUUUGAAAUUAGGCUGUUAAGCCUAAUCUCAACUUGACUGUGGCUUAAAUCAAGGUUGUAUAGCUUGGCAGACUAUGCGAGCUGGCUGCAACUAAAUGGAUGCAUAGGGCUUGGAGUACCGCAAUUGAGCGCCUUGGCUCCGGUUUUAUGUUUCUUUGGUAUCCUGUUUUGUAUCUAGUUUAAUUCUUUGCCAAGCUCACUUGAAUAAAUGAGCUAAUUGUCUAAUGUAAUGGUGUUUUGAUGCCAUUCUGGCCUAAGUUUUAUCAAUGAAAUAUUUUGUCUUUCAAAAAAAAAAAUAUAGGGUAAUGUGUUUAUUAUAAUGACACAUGUAAACUAUGAGAAGAGUAAUAUAUUUAUUAUUUCAACUUUGCAAUGAUAGUCACAACCCAUUCCACACAAUGAGAUAUUGUCUGUUUUGUGGCCAUCGGCUCUCAUGGUAUUGUUCUCGAGGUUUCACCUCAAAUCGUAUCUCAAUGAAAAGAGCUAACUCUGCACAUAUAAGUAUCUCCCCCGGGUGAUGUGGGACAUGUGCACAUGAUAGCUUUCAGUGACCUCAAGCACCUUCCCACACAAGUCACCCCAAUCCACCCCCUUUAAGGGGUCUAACAUCCUUGUCUGGAUACUUUUGCAGUGACCGGCUCUGAAACCACCUGUAACAGCCCAGUUCAUACAAUGAGAUAUUUUCUGCUUUGAGACCACUUGCCCUUACGAUUUUGUUUUUAAGGUUUCACCCCAAAACGUGUUUCAGUGUAAAGAGGUACGUAGCUCUUCACAAUAAGCACAACAACUAAUCUCUCACGGCGAUGUGGGACAUGUGCACCUGCUAGCUUCUGAUAUCCUUAAGUCUCAAGCACCUACCCACACAGAACACCACAGAUACUAAAAUAAUUAUCCUAUUGAAUCAUUGAUACGAAACCAAAUACAGGAAUCACUUUUUAAUGCUCGUAGUCUGAUUUAAUAUGAUAAUGAAUGAGGGAAAAAACCAAAUGCCGCAAUCAAUUUUUAUUACUGGCGGUCUGAUUUGAUAUGAUAAUGAGGAAAGAAAACAAAUGCCGCAAUCACUUUUUGAUGCUCGCGGUUUCAUUUGAUAUGAUAAUGAGAGAGAGAUAUCCUCACUCAACGUUUGUGGGUUGUUGGCAAGAUUGAUUAAGGCUUAAGGCCUAAACGUUGGUUAUUCGUAUAUUUUUAAUUAGUAAGUUUUAGAAAUAUUUACUCAACUCAAGGAUAAAGUUGUAUUAUUAUUGCAUGUAGUGUGUGAGGAAGGCUAAAGGCCUUUAGCCUUUCUCUUAUAUGCAUUCUUUGUCAUUCUUUGGUGCGUUUUCCGACAAGCCUUGGAAGUGAUCCAUAGGGAAUCAUAAUUCUUUCUCCUAAAAAGAGUCAUGUAUGAGUACCCCAAAAAAUUGUGUAGUGAUAGUAGGUAAUGAUUUCUGAUUUAUUAGUCUUAUUCCCAACCUGACCUCAUCAUUUUUAUGAUAAUCCAAACUAUUUUCAUGAUUGUCAUUCUUUUUGUGUGAAUAUGAACAUAUUUCUUUUCUUUUUUUAAGAAAGGUAAAACUUUAUAUAAUAACAACCAUUACAACCAUGGGAGAUCUCGGUGGUAGACAACAAGUCCAUACACUCCUCUCUACCCACAUACCUGCGAUUACAAUGAACAUGAACCGAGAAUGGUCCAAAUGUAACCUACUCCUAACCCCAUCCAAAAGCCUAGAUACCUCCUUACAGCCAACCUCAAGAAGAAACAACCACGUCAAGAACUAUAUACCAAAACCGUCAGCAUUUAUGCAGGAAAAAUCGUCUAAAUAAUGUCCAAUCUUUAACCAUUCUAACUUUUGGUAUCUCAAUUGUUGAAAACUUCAAAAUGGUGUCUAACACUCUUACUUUGACUGAAGAAUGGUACCUAGAGCCGUUAGCUCCGUGACAAAAAUUACCGACUGACAUAGUUUGAUCAAUGAUCACUAACUGACCGAUUUACCCUUUAAUUUCAAAUCAUAUAUUUUUUUUGAAAAAUGAUCAUUAUGUGGAGUGAACAACAUGAGCCAUUGGAUUCGUUCUAAACUUCUUAAUGAGAUCCUUUCUAUAAUGCCCACCUUUUAUUAAACGUAUAUAAACAUUUCCUAAUGAUUCAUAUGAUAUUGUCCUUAAUGUAGAUAGGUGGGUAUCUGAAGACUGAAGACCGAAACUGUAGGUUUCGAGAGCAAGGCGGGGGAGACUCGGGGAGGCUUUUGACUGCUGCAGGACGUUUCUGAUGUUGGGCUACAUAAGCGAGCGGAGGAAGAGGCGUCGUUAGUGUCCCUUUGGAGCGGCGAAGUUUCUUUUUGGCGUCAGACUCCGAAUCUGAUUUGGUGUUUCAAGAGCAAGGGCAUCGGUGUUGGUGAGGGGUGCACAUUUCAAGCUUCCCAAGCAAGGCGGAAGGCCGGCUUUGCUUCGAUCUGAGAUUUGAGACUGACUUCUUGUCGAGGCGUGAGGUUUUGUGUGCACAACAUCAAGGGCGGCAAAUCUCGUUCUGGUAGGAAGGGCAGUACGGCGGCUACAGUAGGUUUUGCAAGUCAAGGGCGGCGGAGAGGCAGCUACUCAAAUCUCCGAUUGAGGAUGCCUGAAAGCCGGGCUCGCCCACCGGAGCGGUGAUGACCGGUACUAUGUCUCCGGGGUAUGUAGGAUGGGAGAGAAUGAGGGAGAUGGGCUUUGGGCUUAGCAUUCUGGGCCGUAUGGGCUGGUUGUUGGGCUUUUCUUCUUUUUUCUCUUUUCUUUCCUAUGGAUUGGGCUUUUGUGUUGAUCUGAAUCCAACUCGACGUUAAUCCGAUGCUGCUCACUACUUUGACGUUAAUUCAACGCAUUUUUACUACUUUUAGCUUUGGAUAGUCCGUCUUUUUGGACGUUAGUUUUAGUAUGUAGUUCUUCGAAUAUUGGCUUUUUGACAUUGUAUUGGAGAUUAUAUCUCCCGCUUGACCAGCCAUAAGGAGUGCAUUGGAGGCUUGUCUCUUGCAUGUCCGUUGGAAGUGUUGGCUUUUGCCGACGUAUGGGCGUUUUGUCUAAUCGAGUUAUCCAUUUCCCUCUAAAAAAAAAAAUGAUUCAUAUGUUAUUCAAACUUCUUAAUGAUUCAUAUGAUAUUCAAACCCAGAAAAAUCAGAGAUUGAAAUCCAGAAACAAAAAACAAAUAAUCGAAAUGAAUAUCCCCAUAGCCCCUUCCUCUCAGUUACCAUAAACUCCACAACCUAAUGACCUCAUCUUCUUCACCUUCCUCAUGUUCUGUAUUUUCUUUCUUAGAGUUUCACUUUCGCCACACCAAUUUGGCCUCUUCCUCGGACAGAAAUUUGAGAGGCUUUCUGGGGCGAUAAAAAGUUUUAGUUAUUGCAUGCCGCCUGUCCUCAGAUUCCUCGAACUGCAGAAAUCUCAUCCCACAACAAAUAACGACGUGAGGUACCGUUCUUCAGUAAAAAAUAAGAACGUGAGACCAUGGUGAAAUUUUAAAAAGUUGAGAUACUAAAAAAUUAAAAUGGCUGAAAGGUCGGACACACUGUUUUGGACGAUUCCCUUGAAUUAAAAAUGUCUCAUCUUUCUAUAGCUAAAUCAAAUAGAAAAAUAUGAAUCCCAAUAUAACUAUUACCCCCAUAUUAGAAGUCAGAACUGAUAGAAGAAAAACCGAAAGUCGUAUCCUUUUUCACCGGAAUUCCCAUAUCAACAGUGCUGCUACAGCCAUUGUUAAAGAGGCUAUACACAAAAUACCCUAAUCAACAAGCAGUUAAUGAAUUGAUAGGCAUACAAAAGGUUGUUUACAAAAUCUAAAUGACCUUCGAGACUAAGCCACACUAGGGUAAAGGCAGGGAUGACAAACUACAGAGGCAGCAUCAGUCGCGUGUUCCCCAGUUAUAAAAGGCUUGGGAAUGAAGUUGUAACCUAUUGCUGUUUGGUUGGUUUGCCAGAAGACUGUCCUCCAUUAUUAUGCUUUGUAGGAGCCACCUUGGCUGGGGUCGAACGCUCUGACUGAGAAAACCGAAUCAAGAUCUGCAUAAGAAUGGUAACAAUGCCCAAACCCAAUAAUGAGAAUGCAAUGCCCUUCCUGGAGGAUAGAAGUGAAGACCAGUAGAGGAACUUUAUGGACCCAAAAACCAAUAGACACGCCCAAGAUGUAACAACCUGUACAAGGAAUAAGUUAACUAGCAGUACUUUGAUGACACCCUUGUAAGCGAAACACAGAAAGCAUCACUGAGUAGUUUGCUAGGUUAUUAAAGCAGCUAACCCACCACAAGUGACUUCCAUGGCCUGCCAGUGCUUUGCAAUUCUUGAUCACUGAAAGUUUGCUCCACUGCAUGUUUGUCCAAUAAUGCAUCCUAGUAUACCAGAAGCAGACAGCAAACAACCAAAAACCAUGAAAUUAAUGCAUGAAUUCCAGAUUUGUAACUUUCAUAUCUCAACUACAGAGGUGAACCACCAUCUUUGGUACCACCUUAUGCAGCAGCUGAGGUAGCAGUGUCCAACCUAUCAGCAAAUUUCAUUAAAAAAUGUGGCAAAUGCCACAUUAGCCCGGAUGUAGGUGGUACCGAAAAGGUGGUUCACGCAUUCCUCUUUCAUAUAUCCUAACACAAAUGCCUAGAAAUAAAACUAUGCAUCACAUGUAUAGAUACCACCUUGGCCACAAAUGCAUCUUUACACCAUUGUGCAACAGCAUCAUCAGAUUCAGGCAAGUCCUUCAUCACAUGCCUCUUGAUGUGCACAUGCACCUAUAAGAUACCAUCAACCAAGGAAAAUUACAUGUUAUAUUACGAAUAAUCAAAAUAUAAUAAGGGCUCAUGGGUGCUGCCAUUUGGGGUAUGAUUCAAUGAGUCUUGGCAUUGGAGGUGGAGAUGAACUUUUAGGAAUGGGCACAGUGUGAAUUAACUUUAUAGCACGUUUCAACCACUACCUUAAUCAUUUUGAAGAUCUGAUGUAGAGUGAGUACACUUACCACAGAAGGUUGCCCCUCAAAAAGUCUUAGCAUUGUAGGUGCAGGUGAACUUUUAGGAAUAGCCACCGUUAUAUCAUAAAUAGCUGGUACAAAUGAGCGCAUGUGACUUACUGCUGAGACGAAACCCUGAAAAACAACAGAAUAAAUUGAAAUAAGCCAGUGUGCUUGUGCCGCAGAGAAUUAUGGCCCUCUUUUAGAGGAUUUGAGGCCAUUAUGUUCUAUUCAUGCUGAAGAGAGAAGCAUUACAAAGAAAGUAAUAACUAUUGUUCUCUCAAAGUACUAAUCAAAAUAUACUAAAACCUAUACCUUAGUGCGAGGAAUCAAAACAUUUCUAGGGACAGGUAGCCCUGUUGAGGCUGCAUAUUCUUGUGCAGCCAAAAGCUUUGCCUGUGUAAAGCGAGUCCCUUCCACAAAAAGAGCUAACCAAAAGGGUCGAGGGAAGUCCUUCAGCCGUUGAAUACCUGUCUGCAAACAUAACACGAUAACACUCAAAUGAGAUCAAUAAGGAUAUUAAAAAAGUAGACAGACUAAUACCAAUACCAAAAUACCAGUGUCGGAUAUUAGUCAUCUCUAUCUCCACUGCUAUAAAGCCAGCAGUCAGGAAGUUCACCAAAUUAUGUUUUGCCAAUAUUACCCCUAUUAAGCUAUAGCAAAUAGCAAUUUAAAAAAAAACAAAAUAAAUAAAAUAAAGAGAUAAUUGAGAGAAAAGUGGGUAGGGUUGUAUAACUGGAUAAGUUGAGUUUGAUAACUAGAAUAACUGCAUUAUUAGAGAAUUGUGAGCCCAUGCAAGGCAGGCUAGUUAAAAUUAAAGGGAUGACACGCAUAAGACAUGUUGGCUAGGAAGUUCACAUUCUAUUACUGUUGAUUUAGCACCAGUACAGAGCAAUGGAGAAGUAGCUAAACUAAGGGAGAAAGCUAAGUUAAAGGAGAGACAAAACGAAGAAAAGAGGAGAAUUCAGAUGGAGAAACACAACCACUCAACUGAUAGGGCCAAAACUACAGAAUAAGCAGCAUUAAAUUCUAUGAUAACCACUUGUAUUACCUAGAUAAAUAUAGACCAACGAAUUGCCUUUUCAUGAGAAAAUAAUUUUCAUUUGAUAAAAAGGAAAAUGCAGGGGACAAGGUCUCCCUUGAAAUAACUAAAACAUUGAUCUACGACUAGCACUAGCAAACAACAUAUUAAACGGAUUUAAACAAACAAUUAAAAUAACUGCACUAUUAUCAAGGCAAAAUUUUAUUAUAACUUUUAUUGACGCAAAAUUGUAUACCAGUUUAACGAACCUCCUUGACAGUUCCAUAUAACAUUUUUUAAGGCAAAAAUUUACCUUAAAGAAAAAAUGCAUACGUGUCCAUGUAUAUCUCUAUUAUUAUGUGUGCAAGCGUGUGCAUGUAUAUAUGACACGUUCACCAUUACCUUUAUUGUGCUUUCAUCUUUUGCCCAACUUCUUUCCAAAAAGAGAUAUUCAGAAAACCACAUUGACCACCCUAUUACCUGCAUAUAUAAGGCAUCAGAUUUCAUGAUGAGUAUUAAGGAUACCAAAAAACCAGUACAAUGACAAUACUUAUGCUUAAAAGAAAAAAAGAAAAAAAGAAAAAAAGAAAAAAAAAACCUUACCUCCUUUUUACAAUGCAUAUAUUAUACACAAAAAAAAAUAAAAAAUUAAAGUGGAAGAUCCCACUGUUGGACGCCUAGCAUAUAAAUAUGAACUGAACUUAAUAGUCUAAUCAGCUUCAUCUAACACAACUUACACAAGUUGACAGGACAUCUUAGGUUGGAACAUACCGGAAGAAAUUUGGAUGAUUUUUUCAUUACAGCUAAUGUACUGCCAAGGCAACCUGACCGCUGCAUAAAUAAGUUAACUCACAAUCAGCUGUAUAGAUUAUAAUACGGAACAAAUAUUACAAGUUUCAUUAGUCUACAACAUCUUUGGUGAACUACAACAAGUAUUAAGUAAACAGAUCAUUUACAUAAACCAAUAAUUAAACAAGUAUAGGAAUGCUUUUUAAUAGCGUGUUAUAUUUAUCAAUUCAUUUUCACAUUGGUAUCUGGUUGCCUGUAUCUGUGCACGCAUCGAUUACAGCAAUGAUAUUAGACAGUGUACCUGAGCUAGAACCCAUCCAACAAGCCAAUCAAUAUCACUUUUAUGAUUGCAUAUGACAAGUGCAUGUUCUUUACCUACAACACAUGAGAAGAUACAUAACCUUUUCUGCAUAAUUUUGUGAAGAAACAAAGAUAUACUUAGUCCUAAACGCAACAAAACAUCAAGCUAGUCAAGAAUAUUAGGUCUUACCCAUUAAAUGGAAGGUUUCAGGGUCUGUGUACACUUUGACCUACAGAAAAGAAGGUUAACAAAAUCAACAUUUAAUGUUCCGUUUCAAGAUACUCUAUAGCAAUUCCAUAACAAUAGCCUAAAAUUAUCACUGCCAAUUUUAAGCAACAUGCUUUACAGAACACAGAUAGAAUAAAAAGACUGAAAAGGUAAGAAGAGAUUCUUAACAGAAACUAUACAUGGCAUCAUGAUUCACCUUUGAUGUUGACUGAUAUUGCAGAUUCAGAUACGCGUGUUAUUUUAUGUACCUCCCAUGUAGACAUGCAAAAAGGUUCUCAAUCAACUAUAGGGAAAUAUCAUGGGACAAGGACUCAUUGUACUAGUGUGGCAUGUCACCAGCCACAUAUGGAGCUUUUAACUCCAGUUACUACUGAAGCACCCCAUAUCGUAAGUUGCGGUGGCUAAAUCCAAAAGACAAGUGAGUACUCGUAUUGGGAGUGAUGGUUUACAGCAUGGAAGGUGGGAGGCAGGAAUUAAGGCUGACCAAGGCUCCUUGGUUAUUGGCAUAGUUGGGAGACCUUUUUCUUUUCUCUCUAUGGAAAACUUGGCAAGGCUGGUAGUCUAGCUAUUCUAUAGUUUCGCCCUGGAGUAUCACAAUCUGUCUCACUCGAUCUGACCAGGCCAAACACAAUGUAAUCCUUGAGUUUCUUGUCAAGCAGAAAUUAUCAGUGCUCCCAAGCCGUAAUAGCGGUAUUACCCUAUCAGGGCUAGCUCUAGAAUAAUUUGUUAGGACGGCCAAGGUCCCUGUAAUGACUUGCAUAGACAUUUAUAGUUUAUUUGCAAUAUCUAUAUCAGAAAAGUCUAGCAGCCAAGGAAGCAAAUCAACCUCAAAGCAGCAUUAGAGUAUGAGGAUAUGUUGAUAUAUGUUGCCAUUUUUUUUCUUCUUUCUUUUCUCAAUUAUCAUCUAUUUCACUGCUCACAAUCUUGAAAGCCCAUCCCCCAACUUCGACAACAACAUCUAACUUAUCUCACCCUUUUUUCUUUUUUUUUAAUCAACAUGUUAAUCCAUCUUUCAUCGAAAACCAAUGCUCUAAAUGUAACGAAACCAAUUGGAUUCAAGAGCGCAAAACAAUAAAAUCACUUAAAAUAGAGCAUGAGACAUAUGGGUCAGCUAAACACCUUGACGCCUGCCCACCAAUCGACGAUCCAAACAAGCUCCAGCCACAGCAGCUCUGCUACCACUCGGUUGAUUCUUCUGUGUACAUUCUUCGACACGGGCCGAAUAAAAAUGAAGCAAAUCGCCUGAAACAAGCAUUUAAACAGUGAAAAAACUAAAAUUCCAUACAGAACCAACAAAUAACACAUUAAUCUUGUAAAUCUAAGAGAAGCAUUUAGGGGGCAAAAACAAAACCUAGAAUUCUCAAAAAGGCCCAGAAAAGCUAAUUUUCGAGAAAGAAAUUGGAAUUGGGAGUACCUGGAGGAGAUUGACGAAGAGGCCGGAGAGGAAGAAGAGGAGGCCGAGUGGAACGAUGACAGCUGCCGCUGCAAUCGCCAUGGCCCGAAAACCCACUCAGAGAAGAAGAAGAGAUUUCAGAGAUGGGAGGAGGGAGAUUCAAAGAAGCGAAUGGAAUUAUUGGAUUAGGGAUUUGUAGAAUGAAUCCAAUAAAUAAAAAAGGAUGGGGGGCGAUGCGAGCAGUGAGUGUGUGUGUGAAUUAAAUGGAAUUAAUGUGAAAUUGGUUGCGCGCUUUAAACGCCGUUUCUCAUAUUUUGACGAAAAAGGGAGAGAGAGAGUUGUGUGAGAGUGAGAAAUUGGUUCUGCCAGGCAGACAACCUCCAUUUCUUUGACAGUUGAGCAGCUGAUGAAUACCAACAAAAUUCCAACUCAAUUUUCUAUUUCAAAAUAAAAUAAGGAAGAUUACGAACAAAACGACGAAGGAUAAAGUGUAUAAACAAAAAUAUAUUAAGAGAAUCAUCAUCUUAUUCAUUGAUAGGAGCCUUUUAUAUAGGAAAUUACACAAUACCAAUAUAGUAAGGAUAUGAAUACAUAGAUCUAGUCUAACUACAUAUCCUAUUCGCAUAAGACCAAAGCACACAUAAAGAAUAUCUAAAAAGAUACAGAAUAUCCUAGAACACUCCCCCUUGUGCCGCGUGCUCAUAUGUCGAUGGUGCUGAUCUGUUGCCUCGUCAAAAACCUCGUCAAGUCACAAAAACCCUGUGCGAGAAAAACUGAACCAUGAUCGUAGGAGAAAAAGAGUACAACGCACUAUUCACAUUUGAUAGUGACAUGUAUAUAUGCGCUAGACUCUCCCUGAAGUUUGCACCUCCCUUUGAUCUUUAUAUCAAUCAUAGGGCUCUUCCUGAUUUUUACUAAUCACGGAAGUUUCAAUUAGCAUGUCAAUACUCUUUAACAUGUCUUCAAAUGUGGCAUUGGGCAAUGAUUAAUUAAAUCAUGCCGUAUUGUCCUCAAAUGAUCUUUUACACUUAGAUUUUGAGGAGAAGGCCACUUGUGAACUCAAAACAUAAGUUCGUGCAGGAAAUCAGAUUUCCGCGCAGCAUGCAUGACCUUCAGUUACUAGAACAGUCGUAACUUCCUCUAGGAAAUACAUAUGAAUGAACCGUAAAUGGUUUUGGAUACUAGACUCAUAGAGCUUUCCAACCGUAUAUUACACACGUUCUGGUUCGUCAGGAGCUAUUCACAAAGUCCGGUCAAAGUUGAUUGUUUUGCCAAAAUCAGAUUCUUGGACAGAUUCGUCCUACUUUACGAAAAUGGCCCUAACUCACUCAAUAUUAUAGUUAUGAUAUAAUGGUUGGUGUCCCUGGAAAGUAGACACAUAGACCUUUCCAAUGGUACCAAUUUCACCAUUUUCCAGUGAGUGAGAUUUCCUGUAGGUCCCGUGGAAGUUGACCUACAAAACUUGGCAGAUUCUGAUUUCGCUUUUGAUGUGUCUUUCUUAUGUAUAGAUAGAAUAAGCCUCAACCUUUCAUACCAUUAAUAAGUAUUGAAAAAGGAGUUACUGCCAUUACAUUAGCGUUGCGUGGGCGCAUAGGUACACUUAGCUUUACAACUUUUCAUAGCGAAUAAGAUGUCAAGUCUUUUGUAUUGUGUUGAGUACAUUGAUGCGUCUUAUUGUACUUAGAUGGGAACUCCAUCUCUUGACACAUAUUUGUCAUCUUGCUUUAGACAAAACAACGGAUCUCUCUUUGGAGCAAAGACCUUGACUAAUCAUGGGAGUAUAUGUAGGCCUCACUUUCGUUACAGCACCUAAGCCGAUUGAUGAAAAAUCAUCAUCAAUACAGUCAUCGAGUGCCUUAUCGAGACCGUGUCUUCCCAAGAUCUUUUUUUUCGGAUGUUGAUACAUAUUGGCAUCUCUUGAGCCGUCAAGAGUCCAUGUAAAUCCGAAAUGAACACGCAAAGGCAUAAUGCACCAUAUCCCUUCCAAAUCAAAUAGAGUCCAUGUGCGUUUCAAUAUAUUUAGCAAACGCAUGCUCCUGUGGUUUGGAACCACUUGAUUCGGAUGAAUGAAGUCCGUUUAAGAUCUUCAUGUAUAUCUUUGAUCCCAUAGAGAUGUUAUUAUGACCACAUUCAUAGGCUGCAUGUUCAGUUAUUCGGAAACUACCAAACUGACAAAGUAGUGCGUGGAGUUCAAUAACAUCCAUUAUGGAGCAUAUCUCAUCGUAGUCGAUCUCAGUGUGUGUUAGUGAGAGACCUUGCGCUAUAAGGUGAGUCUAAGCUCUUGUUCUUACUACGCUAUCUAACAAAUGUAUAGUUGAUAGGGUUUAACUUGCGGUGUCGACAUCACCUGCCCAAAGACCUAUCUCUUUGUUAAUGCUGGAUCUCAUCUUUCCAUUAGGCCAAUCAACUAAGUUGAUAUCCAUCAACGAAAGGUGGUUCGAUAGUAGACUCAUUAUCCCACGUCCUCAUGUACACUAGUGUAACACUUGUAGAGAUCUCUAUAUAGAUUGGAUUUGACAUUGAGGCGUCCCCCAACGAUAAACACAAUUCAGACUUCAUGAGACAGAUUUGAGUAUCACUGAUCAAUAGAUCUGGUUGUGCCAAGCUCGCUUUCUUCCUAGUGCGAGAAAGUAUCGAACCUAAGGGUCUCCCUCCUUUUGGGGAGCCACACGACCUUGUGACACCAAUUUUGCCACUAUAUUGCGUCACUAUAUCACCAUCCAUGGUGAUGGCGUCAAGACCAACACCUUUUCGUCGCGCCAUGUCCUCUUUAUGGGACAUCAAUCCUUGCAGACAUAUUUGCAGCAUGUGAUCUCGUCACUUUAACACUUUAAGCAUUUGGGAUCAAGAUGAGACUUAGUGGGGACAAACCACGACAAUUCACGUCAUUCCACUUGAACAUUUGUGUUCUUAUCUCCCCCUAACAGCGGAAAUAUUGUCUCAUCAAAGUGACCAUCCGCAAUACAGCGGUGAAAGAGAUUGCCUGACAAGAUUUCUACGUAUGCGGAUUAUAGGUGGAGGUUCACAUCCAACCUAAAUACUUAUUCAUCUCAAAUGACCCACCAUUGUGCGCAGUGGCAGUGCGAUUUGGCACCUAGAAUAAAUAUCUAGCCGAGCUCAAGGAUUGGAGAUCCGUUUCAAUCUUGUUUGAGCUUAAAGAUUGCAAUCCUGGUACAUAGUCACGAGCUGUAGUACAAAAAUAUUCAAUGAUGGUGGGUCGUAGAUGAAUAGUAAAGCUGCAUGCAAAUAUUGCAUAGCCCCAAGACGCAUAGAAAGAUUGGUGCGCAUCAAUAAUGUUCGAGCGACAAGCUAAAGUUGCUUGGUCGUAGCUUCGGUGAGACCGUAUUGCGUGUGAACAUGGGGUACAAGACACUUCAACUUACAUCCCGAUAAACUUCUUUAAAGAAUGGGUAGUGAGCCCGUUGAAGUAUAAGCAGUAGAUAAUAGUGUAACACGUGACCAGUGUGUUAACACUUCAACCAACACCAUAAAACAUAAAAAGGUGUCCGCAAGUUGGUUGUAUCUAUCUACAUAGUUUGAUGUAAGAAUAGAAUGUUCCCUUUUGUGUUAUUUAACGUAGGAAGGUCUCACUCCUAAUUUAGCUAAAGAAUAGGCUUUCAAAACGAGCAAUGAGCAUUGCAAGGGGUCCAAUGCGACAUCGAGGGAAGGCCGUGCACCUUAAUUGCUUGAGGAAUUGACCGGAUGACCUCUAGGAAGUUGGAGUCGUGUUCGGGUGACGUCAAUGUCCCCCGGGUCACCACCAUGCUUCAUGGUGAUGCUAGAUCUCGAAUGUUUUCGUUUUGAGCGGAAGAAUGGAUGUCAAUGAGAAUUUCUCAAAAUUUGGACCAUUAUAUCUCUUCCAGGUUGACCAAUUUGGUCAAACCAAAACUUAUAUGAGUCGGUGUCCCAAAUAUAUAUCAUGUUUGGCGACAACAUGGGAUUCGAUAUUCGAAUCGUAGCUAGUGACAUACAGUCCACUAGAUUGACUCAUGAAUUUCUCCAAGAUGCGCUUCAAUCUGCAUUCAUGAGAAGGUCUACACAAAAGAAUUCUUAUUCAUUCUCACAAUGUGUUUUCAAAUGAAAAUUAUUAGUAGGAAUGUCUUUAAAGCUCAACAUGGUUCGGUUGCCUCUCAAUACAUAGAGGACAUCUGUGAUGUUGAUCAUGGUGCCAUAAGGCAUCAAGAUUCAAGCUAAACCGUGUCCCUGAAUGACCGGUAUGAUUCAAUUAUUGUAGUCACGGAAGAUUUACAAAGGCACAAAAUCUAAAAAUAGUUGCCGGUUCCUUAGAAUGUUGUGGAUAGUUACACUAUCUGUGAAGCACUCAAUGUCUCGAUGAGACAUAUCUACCAGAAGGAGUAGAUAGGCGAGUUAAUAUUUCCACUUGAACCAUUUAGAAGGAUUGAAAUAAGCUACGAAAAGCUGCAAUCCUGAGAGUGCAUAAAAAUUUCCGCGCAGAAUGACCUUUGCGCACUAAAACAACCAUAACUUCUUCGUUAAAAUAGAUAUGGAUGAACCGCAAAAAGUUCUGAAAACUAGACUCGUAGAGCUUUCUAAUGAUAGAAAGCUCACUGUCUGGUUCAUCCGGAGCUGUUCACAAAGCUCAAACGAAGUUAACUGUCCAGAAGGGACAGAUUGCUGUUUUUCGCAGAAUUGGCAUGUGCGAAGCUGUGAAGCUUGCAGGUGGCGUGUAGGCUUUUGCCUUAGCCAAAAGUGACGUGUGCAUGAUCAAAACCAAGUCCUUUCGGUCGUUCUAAGGUCGUAAACUCCAUGACUAGUUAGCAAAAGCUCCCUGACAUGAACAUAAACUAACUCAGAGGACCUAGAGGAUUCGAUCAUGAUGAUAAUUUUUUGGUAUUGAUAAGUCUUCAACGUCUUUUGCAAGACGGCAAUUGGUUUGAUAGCGUAGGGGGAUCCAAAAUCAAAAGCUUUCGGUAACUCCAAGUCAGUAUGACCAGGCAUGUCCGUGGAGGGUCGGUAGUGCAAAGCACACUUGAAACCACUAUCUCCUUAAUUUCAGACAAUUCUAAGACAUCACACUGAGCUUGGAUGAGCCUAGUUGAACAAUUGAUGAUGGAAAAUCCACUAUAGGGUAGAAGACUUAACUUAACCGGAAACACGUGGGCGAUCCUCAUUUAGGAUGCGGUGCCAUGAGUCACCUUCAAAGGAAGAGACCAAAAUUGGCACAAUAUGCCAUGUUUCUAAAGACGAUGUAAGAAUGUACAUUUUUUUUGUAAAUCAAUACGAACCAUAAGAGGAGAAUAGUUUCAUGACUUUGAAAAAAUUCUUAAGGCAUUCAUUAUUGCUAAUGUGAGUACAUCGAGGUCUUAAAUAGAUGAAGGCUUAUUACAUAUAGCUUGGAAAGAAAAUCAAUGUCUAGCCAAUGAUGUCAAAGUCAGGGGUAGCUAGAGCAGGAUCCGAAUCUUCAAAAUUCGCGAUCAUGAGGAUGACGUUCUUGUCCUCAUAUUGAUUUUCCGUACCUUUUUGUAUGCAUUCACAAUUUGAAGGAGCUUGACAAUCUUGAACCAAUGAUCCAAAGAUCCACAACGGUUGCAUUGUCAUGAGCUGACGUGAGUAGUUUUGACAAAUAUAAUUGGUGUCUAGACCGGGAAUGUCGCCAUUAGGGCCGGCGGCACCUCCCCCUCUUUUCUAGACAUCGGCACGGUGUUUUCUACUGUUGUCAUGACCCAUAUUGUUGUCCUCACAUUAGGGGAUAAUCCCAAAUACGUUUAUCGCAUUAGCGUAUAUACAAUUCUCAUUUGUAUGAUCAAAAUCAAGUCUCGUUAGUAAUUCCAAACCAACUUGGAAGACCUAGAGAACUUGAUGAUGAUCGAAUCCGCUAAAGAUUAUGGAUCAUGAUGCCACAAAAGAUCAUCGACAAUAUGUAGUCAAUUAAGAUGGUAAGCAAUCCAGUUGACUAAUAACUCAACAAGUAAAGUUAUAUGAACGUUUCGAGAAACGCUCCAUGAGUGCAUUCCACAGUACUUUGUGGUCAUUACUUUUUGCACAGAUUGCCAUUGAAAGUUUUUGUCAAUGUGGCGCUCCAAAGACUUUGAGCGCAUGAGAUGUGAAAUCUCGGCAUCUAGGCUUGUUAGCCUGGGGGUCAAAAUAUGUGGUUUAAUCCUUUCUAAUGAAAGGUUCCACAGAUACCAAGUGAAGAUUCGCCUUAGGCAUCGAGUACAUCAAAACUCAAAGGAGCAAAAUGUUACAUUGCUCUUGCAUACAAAACCAAGCUGUUAUGAGACUCGAUAGAGGUCACAAACAAUGCUUUUAAUGGUUUGUCCUUCGGAUUGAUCAUACACAAUCCGGAAAAAGGCCUCGGAUUGAUCAAACACAAUCCGGUGAUAGGUCGGGGUUGAUCAUACACAACCCAGACAAGGAAACAAGAGUGAUCAAACACACUCUUGACCCGCGAAUAAAAUUCUGGGAUUUUUGGUACCUGCAAAUACACCGACCCAAGCAUAGAAUGGAGUAGAAGAAGGGGAGAAAACACUUUAUCUCCCCCGAGGUUAUUGAACUUGAAAGAGUUUUAGGGUUGUAAAAUAAACAUACCGUAAACACUUGGAUGCUUGAUCGGAUGAAAAGAAAGCAGCGGAGUGGACAGUCGAGAAGCGACGGCGGCGGCAGCGGCCGAGGCAGGGCCGAGAACCUUCAAUUUUGGUUUUUAGGGUUUGGAAAAAAAAAUGGUGGGCUAUUAGUUCUAGGGUUAGAACAAAGUGCAUGAUAACGUGAUGAAGGGUAAAGUGUAGAGACAAAAAGAUAGCAAGAGAAUCAUCAUCUUAUUCAUUGAUAGGAGCCAUUUAUAUAGGGAAUUACACAAUACUAAUAUGGUAAGGAUAUGAAUACAUAGAUCUAGUCUAACUACAUAUCCUAUUAGCAUAAGACCAAGGCACACAUAAAGAAUAUCUAGAAAGAUACAGAAUAUCCUAGAACACAAAAAUUAUUUUUGCUAAUAGGAGUGAAUACAUUACGUGGACCAAUCAACCAAAAUAUUUAUGCCGCAUGGAAUUUCUUUUCGUUCAUUGUUAUUUAUAUUUUAAACCAAAGCUUAUUACGAUGCAUCCCGUAUGAAAUAUAACUUUGUUUAAAAUUUAAACAAUUUCUUAUUUAAAAAAAAAAUUAAACAAUUUCAUUGAUUUAUCUAAAUAAUGAUACUCAACUAAACUUACCGAACAUUGCUUAUAAUGGAAGACAAAUAUGCGUAAAUACUAUAAAUACUUCUUGCAGUGUUUCUCUAACUUAGGUCGCAUUUGGUUCCAUUUUUAAAUUUAGUCAUGUGCUACAAUGUAAUUUUCUCAUAUAUCAAACCAGCUAGUGGCGGAUGAACAUUAGGUCCAGUGGCCAUUAGCCACGUCUAUGUUUUGGUCUAGUUUAAUUUGCUUUAGAUUCUUCACACAAUUAAACUCUUUCAGCUGUAUUUGUCCUAUUGAAAAUCUAUAGAACUCCCCAAGCAAUAUUUAAGACCAUUUAUACAUAUUUUUGGUGAAAAACAUAACAUAAACAUUAAAAAAAAAAAAAUCUAUCAUAGUCUUAUAGAUGUAUCAUUAACUACUUUCACCUUCUUGUAUCAUAUUUUCUUUUUCAUCUUGUGCAAAUUUUAAUAGAAACCUCUAAAACAACUUAUCACCAGGAUUAUCAAAAAAGAGUCAUAACAGCAUUGCGAGCAUAUAAGUGUAAACUGUUAGACCAACUCUUUAAUACUAUCCAAUUUUACAAUCAUGGGAGAUAUCGGUGGUUUAGGAUUAUCAAAAAAGAGUCAUAGCAGCAUUGCGAGCAUAUAAGUGUAAACUGUUAGACCAACUCCUUAAUAAUUGUCAAGACCCACCCCGAAUUUCACCCUGAAACCCGAAGUAAAUCCUGCGGGGACCACCUCCAAGGAAAGUUUACCGAAAAUUCAGCAUAACCUCCCUUGAAAAUGGACAACCCUUCCUAAUAAUACCUGCAAACACUUCUGAAAAUUUAAAUCCAACCUUAAACUCCUGGAGCCUUCGUGCUCCCCAAAUCACAACACCACCUAAUUUAUUUAUAGGUUCAGAGCAACUCUAAUAGGAAGAAAGGAAACAUAAUAAAUUAACAAACGGAAGCUAUAUGAUGACUAUGCCUCAUCUCCAUGUACGCCCGACCUCAACUAAGCUAACCUGCAAGCUGGGCAUUUUUAAAACGAAAGGCCCAGGGGAAAACAUUUAAAAACGUUAGAGUGAGUGGACAAAAAUAAAUUAAUGAAUAAAAUAUUUAUGUUUCCCCAAAUCAAUUUCCAAGGAAAAUCGAAUGCAUGUUGCAAGCGAUAAAACUUUUAUCUCAUAAAUAUCGAGCCUCUCAGGCUCUAUAAUAUAUGUAUGUAUUUACACACGUCCAUACUCCCUAUAUAAAUUCAUGGGUCUAUAUAGGGCUACUAUGCUCGCGUCCACCGCUCACGUCACGCCUUAAUGCGGUGCUACACUACGCUAUUAAGGUGGACAGACGAGUGUAUAAAUAUGUGCUCAUACCCCCUAUAUGAAUUAAACACUCAUAUAGGGCUACUACGCUCGCGUCCAACGCUCACGUCACACCAUAAUGCGGCUAUAUGCUACGCCAUUAAGGUGGACAGACACAUAGGGCUAGCUAGCAUUUAUAUACAUACUCUCCUCAAUAUACAUAUUUAUACUCACUGAAAAAUCUCAUUUUUCGGUAACUCUCCGAGAGAAAUAAAAGCGUCAAAAUUAAAUGACGUCACAACUCCAACAAUUUUAAAUGCUCAACCAAAACCAUAGCAUGCAUAAUAUUUAAAAUAAAAGUCCACUCACAACUCUAGGCAUAAGCCCGACGAAAUCCAAAUCGUCACUCCAGUGAGGUUUCCUCGAACCCUGGCACAAAUAUAUAAUUAAUUUCCCAACUAAAAAUCCAAUAUUUAAACAAAAUAGGCAAAAUUAACCGAGAGCCAUACACACGCUCAUCAUUGCCUAACUUCGAUACGGUCCACACCUCAACACUAAAACCAGUAGCCUUAACUACACCUUUCCACAGAUUAUACGACUUUAAUCCAACGGCCGGAUUCUACCUUAUUAAUCCGCCAAAAUUACCAAACUUCGGAAAUUCACAAACCUAUCCAAAAUUCAUCCAAAAAUUCCAUAAUUCAUAUCAAUAAACUCCCCUCAAUAUUCCACAUUUAAAACCAUAAAAAAUCCACUUCACAAUGGCGGUGCCGCCUUCUGCUCCGCCGGCAGCAGCAACCGGCGACCUCCAAUGCCUACCAAAUUUUAACAGCAACUUCCUCUCAACCCACUCUACAAUUUCCUAACUAGCACAAAUACAAAAUCCAAGCUUAACUAGGUCAAUCGAACAAAAACAAAGAAUUGAGCCCUAGAGUUUCCAACACCAAAAUCUCCUUACCUAGACCAAGGGGGAGUGAAUCCUUUGGAGGGAUUGCUGCACGGGAAGAGGGCUUUCAAACAAGCUAAGUUGCUCCGGCUAGGGUGGCCGAAGGAGGGAGCUACGGCGAUGGAGAGCUACGGUAGUCGGACCCUUCGAGCUAGCUUCCUCCCAAUCGGUGGCGCUAGGGGUUCUGUCACCUACCCAGAAAUGAAGAGGAAAGGGUGGUGGUUCGAUGGGGAUCAUCUUGGCGGCUGGAGCUGGCCGGACGGCGGCAGGCAGUGGUGGAGAACAACGGCGAAGGAAGAAGAAUCGGGGGAGUGGAGAGAGAGCCGAGGAAAAAGAAAGAAAUUAAGGUUUGGGCUUUCCAAACCGGUUCCCUAACCCACCAUUUAAAACCCAACACUAAAAAUUAACACCCCAAAAAAAUAAUACCCUAUAAAAAAAAUUACCUUUUUACUAGCUAGAAUUUAUCCUUUUACCGUCGUCAAAUAUUCUCCUACGAAUAAUUCCUCCGCUAUAAUCGUCCCUCAAAACCCCUCUAGGGACCUUUGAAAUUAUAAACUCAUUGACGAAGACGGUAAAACUAUUAUUAAUACCAAGCUAGUAAAUAAGGUAAAAAUUUAAGAGUAGGGAUGUGACAAUAAUAUCCAAGAUUACAAACAUGGGAGAUAUCGGUGGUGGCAAUAAAUUCUCCACACGCCUCCCUACCCGAAACACCAACGAUUACAGUGGACAAGAACUGAUAGGGGUUUAACCGAACCUAACAUAUUCAAGAUAUCUCGAUACAUCCUUACAGUCAACCUCAAGAAGAAACAACCAUUUCAAACACUACAUGCCAAAAAUACUAGCAUAUAUGCAUAGUUAACAUCCCCAUUACAUUGACGACAAGAACAAAACGACGUUAACAUAAUCCCUGGAAACGACACCAUAACCAUAGCUCACCCCAUGACACUGCUACCGACUCCAACCUAACAAAAACCUAAAUCAUCGCUCAGAUAGGAGGCCUAAACCCUCGCUCAAAGAGGAGGGACACGAAACAAAAAACAAAACCUAAAAACAACACCAAAGACCUAGACCCAAAAAGAGCUUAGGCCUAAACCUAACCCAAGUGAAUCUCAAAAGGCAGGCCCCAAUAGAUCCGACCCAAAGAAGGAAUUGGGACCUUGAUGCAGACCACCACCACGCCGUCGACGCCAAUCGCCGCACGAAGAGCAACGUCAUCCUUUUACAUCGUCACUCGAACGUGACACGAUAGAUCCAGGUCAGAAAGCAACUGGGAAAGCCAUUGCGGCAUCAUUCUACCCUUCUCCUUGCCCUGUCGCACCAACUCACACCACCAAAAUCAAGCCAGGACCUCGCCAUUGAGGCCACACAAUACCGCAGCGUAGGCCUGCCAACAACUUCCCGAUCCACCUCCAUGAAAGCUCCACCCUCUCGAUCCACCACCAUAGCCUACCAGGUGAGAACACCACCCGACCACCUUCAACGCUCAUCUGGUAGCGAACCCAGCCAUACUGACAAGGCUGGAAGCCAACGUUGGCUUGGAGGCACCGCCAGACAAGCCACAAACUUAAAACCCUAACCUUUAACCCUCUUGUUUUUAUGGAGCUCUCCCUCUCUCAUGUACCUCUUGUGCUACUGCGCAUCAUCAAGAAGGGACAUGACCAAGUUUAGCAAUAGAGUCCAGAAUGAAAUUUUAUUCACGUUGAGUGUGAUGAAACAUAGUUACCGCCACUUUCGAAAAUAAGACCUUAAUAUCUUUAACAAGAUUUUGAAUACACCAAGGAACUAGAUAUCAACCAUUGAUGCUAUCCAAAAAUUUUACAGUCACCUUCAACAUUCAAAUCAGAAAAGCCAUAUAACCAAGCAGCAAGAACACCAGCAUGUUACGCCAUAGCUUCUGAAACAAGGAAACAUAAAUUGGUUAUAGAAUUCAAAGACAUAGCACUUAGAGCAGCUUAGUAUUUAUUAUUAAAAAAAAAAGGUUCCUGUGUUCGGCAUCACAUGAUUUGGAUUUUGGAUUCAUGAGGAGAAAAUAUGGUUGGCAUCAAUCUUAUAUCCAUGGCCCGCUUCUUAUUUGAUGUUGGUUUGUGUUCUUGUGAAUUAAACAAACCAAAUGUCGUCGGUAGUGUCAAAUUUAAGUUUUUUUUUUUUUUUGAACAAAGGACGUUAGCGCCUAUUUUAUUGAUCACAAUUUAACAGUAGGUACAACAACAUGAACAUAAUCCACCCAUAUUGUGAGCUACAAAAUAAUCGAAACAUGCAAAACUACCUAGUAGACACUAAGCAAUCUCUAUGCUGUGGACCAUAGGAUGACGCACUAUGACCAAUCUUCCGUGGUAGCAAACAGACAAGUAACCAGCCACCGAGAGACAAAGAAGAAGGUAACCAGCCACAGCCACCAUGUCACUAUGUCAAAUUUAAAUACUUGUCAGUAUUUAUCGGAUGAGUAAUAGAAUUUACACACCCACAAUUACAUAUAAUCCAUAUAUCGAUUCAAAAGUGUAAAAAUGUUAAAAACAUCUCUAUUUUGAACAAUUUGCAGCAAAAAAACAAGGGUAUUUUUGACAUUUCGAUAGUAAAGGUGUGUGGAUUAUACUUGUGGUUGUACAAGUUUCACUCUCCUUAUCAAGUUUAACUAUGAUUUAAAAGAUAUCAUGGUGUAAUGUUAUUGUUGAUUAGCUAUCCAAGAACAUGAUUUUUUUCUCUCUGAAAAUGAUGAGAGUCGCCCUAGGUUUUCUUGGCGACGGCUCAGCAAUUCCUUGUUUCCUUAUUUUGACGGUACUUUUAGAUGGGCAUAAUCAAUAGCUAAAAAUGAUGCUUAUAUUUAGGUAAUGGUUCUUUUGUCAGCCCCACUCCACGAAGAGUUUGCUCCUCUAGUUGAGCAAAUUUGAGUAUGGAGAGGACAAAUCAUUAUGUGUACUCUACGUCUGACCAAUAAUAGAAGAUUGACUUGUAUCCAAAACAGUAAGGAGAUUUCACUAUGUCAAAAGCAGAUUACAAAGUGUUUAACACUCAAACUUAUAACACUAAUUAUGUCACACCCCAAUUUUUUGGGAAAAUAUAUAUAUAUAUAUAUAUUUGAUAUGCAACUCAUAUUCCAACUAUGAAAUAGAUUUUUCAUAAUUAGAAUAUAAAAUAAAUUGGAAAAGAACAACUCAAUAUUAACUGAAAUUUAUUCUUUAUUACAAUAGUUAUCAAACCAAAAUUUACAAGAGUAGACUAACUAGAAUCAAAGUCUAAUUUUACAUAAGCAAACGCCACACAUAAAUCAUAAGAUAUUAACAUCCUGAAGGUAACAACCUGUUCUUUACCUGCACAAUAAUUUAAAAGGGAUGAGCAUAAUAAGCCUAGUAGGAGGCAAAGACCUCUUCAAACAAAGCAGAUCAUAAACAAUUUUAGUAAAAUGAAUGAAUGCAAAAACAUGUUCUUUACUUGCACAAUAAUUUAAAAGGGGUGAGCAUAAUAUGCCCAGUAGGAGGUAAAAACCUCUUCAAACAAAACAGAUCAUAAACAAUUUUUAGUCAAAUGAAUGAAUACAUAUACAAUUAACUCCAUAUAGUCCAUAUAGCCAAAUGUAUUAAGUCUUCAUGUCCCAUACCAUAUAUUUUACCACAAAAAUGACUUAGGAUACUCAUUUAUAUGAACUAUCUCCCACUCAAUCUCACAUUCCCUUUUUGCUAGUCAUCUUAUACAUUCCUCUUUCGCCAAUCCAGCCAUUUUCACCUAUACUGAUCGCGUAUCUUCACUGUUAAGAACAGAACACAAUGACACAAAACUCAACUGUAUCUGGGAAUGAUCUACAUAAUCUUAUUGAACAAACUUAGGCUUUAAAUAACCUUUACAACCUUAACAGAAAGAGAUAAUUUAGCUUACGUUAUCCACUAACAUCCGUAAGCAAAGCAACUAACUAAAAAUUCAAAUGCAAGCAACAAGUACCCUAAAGACUAGGACUUAUUAAAAUAGAAAUCAAAGCUCUAACAGAAAAGAUUGACUUUCUCUUCAUUCCCCUCUUAAACUAGUCUCCAGCUAGUUUAAUUUAGGAACUUGACAAAUGCCCAGCUGACUUCUAAACGUCUUAAACGCAUCCAAGGUAAGUGGUUUUGUCAUCACAUUUGCCGACUGAUCCUCACUUCCACAGCACACCAGCUCAACAACUCCUUCCCGAGCACGAAGAAAAUGAAAUUACACAUCAGUGUGCUCACUCCGUCCAUGCAGCACUGGAUUUUUUGAAAGUUUAAUGGUGGAACUAUUAUCACAACGAAUAGUGAUGCACUUACUUUGCUCUAGUCCCAGCUUCUCAAGUAUUCUCCUCAUCUAUACAGCUUGGCUAGCACACGCUGCUGCAGCUACAAAUUCUGCUUCAGUAGUUGAGAGUGUGACAAUUGGCUGCUUCUUCGAAGACCAAGCAACAGCUCUACACCCCAACAUGAACACAUACCCUGAAGUACUCUUGCGGUCAUCCAAAUCUCCAGCAUAGUUGCUAUCCGCAAAGCCAACUAACCCUUCACACCCUCCCUUCUUGUAGAAAAUCCCAAACUCAGUGGUUCCACUCACAUAUCUAAAAAUUUUCUUGGCUGCCAUCAUAUGUAACUCAGUGGGUUUGGCCAUGUACCUGCUGAUUAAACUCAUUGCAUACAUUAAGUCCGGCCUUGUUGUUGUUAAAUACAUGAGGCAACCUACCAUCUGCUUGAACACAGUCUCAUCCACUCAGACUCCAUUUUCAUCUUUAUGAAGCUUACAACCUGGAAAAAUGGGAUUAUGAACCAGAUUGCAGUUCUCCAUCUUAAAUCUCUUCAAAAUCUCCAGAGCAUAUUCUUUUGACUAACGUAUAUCCCAUCUGACCUCUGUAACACUUCUAUGCCAAAAAAAAAUCUCAUUCUUCCCAAAUCACUCAUAUCAAACUCUCUCAACAUGGAACUUUUAAACUCAGCAAACAUUAAUUUGUCAUUGCCAGUGAAUAUUAAAUCAUCAACAUAUAUACUGACAAUGAGAAUCUUACCUCCCUCCUUCAUCUUAAUGAACAAAGUGUGCUCACUAUAAUAUUUCUCGAACCCCUGUUUGAUAAAAUGUUCUUCAGUACGACUGAACCAAGCUCGUGGAGCUUGUUUCAGUCCAUAAAGUGCUUUCCUCAAUUUGUAUACCUUCUGAGCAUUGUUCUUCACUUCAUAACCCUUAGGCUGCUCCACGUACACUUCUUCUUUUAGCUCCCCAUACAAGAAAGCUGACUUAACAUCAAGCUGAUAAAGAGUCCAACCCUUUUGAGCUGCCAAGGCCACAAUCAUUCUCACUAUAUCCAUUCUCGCAACUGGUGCAAAUACCUCAGUGUAGUCGACUCCUUGUUGUUGCACAUAGCGGUUUGCCACCAACCGUGCUUUGAACUUAUCCACCUCUCCAUUUUCCUUCAAUUUGGUCUUAUAAACCCAUUUCACUCCAAUUUUCUUUACACCCUGAGGCAAGUCAGUGAGCUCCCAUGUGUUAUUUCGCUCAAUUGCUUUUAUUUCCAUAUCCAUAGCAGUCUUCCAUUUUUCAUGUCUUACUGCUUCCUCAAAUUGUAAUGGAUCUGAUGAAGCAAACAAAGCUUGGUUGACAAUAUCUUCUUCCCCUGAGAGCCCAGUAUCUUCUUCUCUUGAGAGCCCCAACCCCUCGCCACUGACAUAAUCAUUCAUCCAAUUAGGAGGUCUUUUGUUUCUUCCUUCUUCUGAAUUUGAUGACUCUCCUCCACUCUCAUCAUUUAAAGGGCUAUCUGGUUCUUCUAUGUGAGCUUCUUCUUCUUCCCCAUCAAUUGCUUCAUCUACUUCUUCAUUGCCAUUCACUGCCCCAUUGUCUUCUUCAUCAUUCCAUUCCAGAUCAGCAAUGACAUGCUCUUCAUAGCUUCUAUCCCAGCUCCACGACUUGUCUUCCUCAAAAACAACAUCUCUGCUUGUAACCACCUUCUUUGCCUUAGGAUCGUAGAGCCUAUAUGCUUUAGAGUCUUCACUCACUCCCAACAACACACAUGUAAAGCUUUUUGCAUCCAAUUUCUUUCUUUUCACAUCCGGGACAUGCACAUGUGCUACACACCCAAAAACCCUAAAAUGUUCCACUGAGGGUUUGCUUCCACUCCAAGCUUCUUCGGGGGUCUGAUCCUUCACUGCUAGUGUAGGACUCCGAUUCAACACAUACGUCGUCCAAUUUACUACUUCCGGCCAAAAAGUCUUGGGAAUUUCCCUCUCAGAUAGCAUGCAUCGAACCAUGUUCAUCACUGUUCAAUUUUUUCGUUCAGCUACUCCGUUCUACUGUGGAGUAUAUGCCGCCAUUAAUUGCCUCUUGAUUCCGUGCUCAACACAGAAGUCAUUGAACUCAGUAGAUGUGAACUCUCCUCCUCGAUCUAUUCUCAAACACUUAAUAAACCCUCCUACUUCCUUCUCCACACAACUCUUAAAAUGUUUAAACCUAUUUGCAUCGAUACUCCACACCUAUACAGUGUCGGAGUAUAGAGUGUUGGAGUGUCCGACACUCCCCGACACACCGAUACCGAUACGAUACACCAAAAUGUGUGUCCGAUACGCCACGUGACGAGUCCAAAAAAGUUGAUUUUUUAGACACGUUGACCGACACGCCACAUCAGCCUGAAACACGUCACGUCAACGUCCGACACGCCACAUCAGCGUGUAUUGACUAAAAAAAAGAAAAAAGAAGAAGAAGUCUAAUACCUAAUCAAAGAGGAAGCCGCUUCCACUUUAACGAAGCUGCAUAGAAGAGGAACGACGAAAAAGAAGCCGAGGAACGACGUUGCCAUUCUCUGUCACUGCAUCAUUUUAUCUAUCAAGAAUAAAGGAUGAUGCCAAUGUAUGCGUGCCUUGCUCUUCUGUAUUUUGAAUACCUCAGUUAUGGGGUUUUAGACAGUUGGUGUUGUUAUGGCGUUAGGAAAGUCGGAUUUUCAUUCAGUUUGAUGAAUGUGUUGAAUUAGAUAGAACUAUUUGGUAAUCAUCCUUUAGAUUAAAUUGACUCUCUUUUAUGUUAUUUGUUACAGUUAUACAAUUGCUUAAAUUUAGAACAUUAUUUAAGUAAUGUGAUGAAUUUAUUCAUAUUUGAGCAUUUUUUUUAUUAAUUAGAAAUAUAUAAAUAAGUAAUUAUAUUUGCCGUGUCCAAGCCGUGUCGAAAAUGCAGUUUUUGAGUUUUGCCGUGUCGCUAUGUCGGUACGUAUCGUGUCUCCGUAUCCGUGUCCGUGCAACAUAGGUUUAAACAUACUCAAUGCCUCUGAUUUUUCUACCAGAAAAUAAAUCCAAGAUUUUCUAGUAAAAUCAUCAAUGUAACAUAUAAGAUACCUCUUGGUGCUGUUGGAGCUAGGAGAAAUUGGUCCGCACAAAUCCGCAUGAAUGAGUUGAAGUUUCUCUAUAGCCCUCCAAUUGUUUUACUUUGGGAUUGGAUCCCUGUGUUGCUUCCCAAUCAAGCAGUUUUCACACACCUUUGAUGGAGGCUUAAACUGAGGCAUCCCAUCCACCAUCUUUCUAUAUUGAAGAAUCCGCAAUCCCUUGUAGCUCAAGUGACCGUAACGACAGUGCCAUAGAUGUGUCAAAUCUGGUGUUAAUGUGUGGAGACAAGUUGGCUUUUGAGAUAGAGUAUUUGCUAACAAUACAAACAUUCGAUUUGUUGUCAUAUCGGUUUGUAUUAUGAGCCCCUUAUCUGGAUGAUAGAUUUUGAGCUUUCCACCCUUAAUGAGAAUCUAGUCCUCUCUCUUGUAACCCAAUACUCAGAAGAUUAUUUUUGAGCUCUGGCACAUAAUAAAUUUCUUGAACAAUAUGAGUAAAGCCACUUACUUUCAACCUUACGUUGCCUUUGCCUAUCACAUCCAUCCUUGUGUUGUUUCCUAGCUUCACCUUGUGCCUGAAGCCUUCAUUUAAAUCACAGAAUAAACUCUUGUCACCACACAUGUGAUUGCUGCACCCAGAGUCUAGAAACCAAACAUCUUCCCUUUGUGCUUCAUUCAACUCUACAUAAGCCAUGAGCAACAUCUCUUCUUCUUCUUCUUCUUCUUCUUCUUCUUCUUCUUCUUCUUCUUCUUCUUCUUCUUCUUCUUCUUCUUCAGCAUAAUUUGCUUUCUUAUCCCAACUUGGACACUCAUAUUGAAAGUGAUAAAGCUUGUGACACUUACAACACUCCACCAUGGCCUUGUUGUAGAUCUGCCUGCCUCUUCCUCUUCCUCUUCCUCUAUAAGAACCUUGACCUCUUUCACCUCUACCUCUUCCUUCUUCAACUGUGAUUUUUAAGGCCUGUUCUUCAGAACUACUAGUCCUUCGAAACUUCUGCUCAUGUACUAUUAAAGAGCUUUGCAGCUCAUUCACAGAGAGGCUAUCAAUAUCCUUUGAUUCUUCAAUGGAGCAGACAAUAUAGUUAAAUUUCUCUGUGAGAGUACGUAAAAUUUUCUCCACAAUCUUCACAUACUGCAUAUCCUCUCCAUAGUUGCACAUGUCAUUGGCCACCACCAUGACUCUCGAGAUAUAGUCUGUGACUGAUUCACUAACCUUCAUCUCUAACACCUCAAAGUUUCUGCGGAAUGCCUGAAGUUGGGCUUGCUUAACUCUCACAUUCUCUUGAUAUUUUCUUUUCAUAAAGUCCCACAGCUGCUUGGAGGUAUCUUUCUAAAGAAUGGUCUUCAAGAUAGACUUGUCGAUUGACUGAAAGAGGUAGUUUUUCGCCUUUAAAUCUUUCAGUUUCAAAUCCUCCAAAGUCUUUCUUUGUGUAGUAGUCACCGUCUCUCCAGCAGCAGGCUCAGAAUAACCAAUUUCGAUGAGACUCCAAUAUUACUUCGAUCUCAGAAGGUUCUCCAUUAACAUUGACCAAUGGUCAUAAUCUCCAUCGAAUUUGGGAAUGCUAGGUUGAGCGAAAUUGCUUCCUUCAGCUGCCAUCUCCCUCUCACUCGAUCUCACCAAGUGUUUCACUUUUUCUCUCUUGUUAGGAUACUACGGCUCCUAACCUCUCAAAAUCAGGCCCUUUUGCUCUGAUACCACAAUGUUAAGAACAAAACACAAUGACACAAAACUCAACUAUAUAUGGGAAUGAUCUGCAUAAUCUUAUUGAACAAACUUAGGCUUUAAAUAGCCUUUACAACCUUAACAGAAAGAGAUAAUUCAGCUUACGUUAUCCACUAACAUCCGUAAGCAAAGCAACUAACUAAGAAUUCAAAUGCAAGCAACAAGUACCCUAAAGACUAGGACUUAUUAAAACAUGCAUAAACCAAAUCUUUAACAGAAAAGAUUGACUUUCUCUUCAUUCACGUAUUCCCGCGCAUUAUCGCGCAUUCACACGGGCAUCGUGAAAUAUAAUACCUUCAAGAACAAGGACUCAACUAUACAAAAGUUUCAAUCCUAACUUCUUUACCCAAAGUGUUUUAUGCAUAGCACUACCAUUCCCCAUAUACCUUAGAUGAUAACAUCUCAAUACAUUGAAAUAAAUCAUAUAUAAUUUGCAGCAGAGAGACAAGCAUUCCAGACAAGCAAAAACCAGUGAAACAACAUAAUAAGCAAGCAUAGAGGCUCCAUAAUUUUCCCCUACCUUUACCGAUCACCUGAAGCAAGCUCCUAAUAAAAGAUACAAGCAUUAGUUAAACAAUCAUAUAACAACUCUAUUUCAUUUAAAACUCAUACUCAGAUACAAUAGCUAACCAAAACAGCUUUUCACUUAAACAUAAUAACACAAAUCUAACAUUUUGAACCAGUAAUAUUCAGACUGAAAACUGUAUAAAACUGUAAGGAAUUUGACUUCGUGGUCUUUUAAAGACUUGUAGAAGACACACUAAAGAAACAUUGAGAGUUGGAAUCACCUUAAAACGAUUUUUCUGUAAUUAGAUAUGAAAUUUCAAAGUUCAGAUACAGUUCAAUAAAUUUCUGCAAAUUUGCUGAUAUGCCUAUACUUGUACUUGAAAGCAAAUUAGACAUUCUAAUGUAACUAAAACUAUUGAUUACUUAAUAACAACACUUCAAUGUUCAGAACAAAGAAAACACAUAAAGAUUGCACUGAAAAAGCCUAAGAUUAACACAAAGAUAGCUAACAAAAAAAUAAUAUGCAAUAGUCUUAACUCCUAAAAUUUAAGCAACUUUAAGCAAUCUAAAAUCAUGGUUUCUACUUUUAAUAUUAGAAACUAAUAACAUGUAUAAAAACCUCAUAAUCUAAGCAUUACAUAUGUACAAUCUCAUAUCAAAACAACAAAGAUUCAAAAGCAAAGAGUGCAAUUAACAACAGAAAUCUGAAAUUACAGAACAACUUCCUAACUUUCUGACCAGUAAACUUUAUGGCUAAAAACGACACAGCUUGGCUGGGAAUUUUAGGUUGAUCUCUUCAAAACAAUUGUAGAAGACAACCUAAAGAUCAUUUGAGAACUGGAAUCGUAGAAAACUGUGAAAACGGAUUUUUCUACAAAUACUUAUGAUUUUCGGAAAUUGAAGACCUACAUCAGGCAAAUUACUGAUUUUGACUCAAAUCAGUUUUUGUUUUACAAAGUCAGUUUGCAAAAGAUAAAAAUAAGAACACAUCUUAAACAUUUUCUAAGAAUGCAAGUUGUUAACAAGACCUUGAGAAUAUGAAACAUAUACGUAGAACAAAACAUAACAAUAUGCAAUGUCAGAAACAAAGAACUAACAACUCUUAAAGCACCUCAUAUACAACUAAUCAAAUCAAUGAACAGUAAAACUAAAAUAAGAACUUUUGAUUUCACAAACUUAGAACAUAUACUCACUUUUAAAUAGAAACAAUUGAUCAGAACAUAAAAGAGAAUCAAACCUGAGUUCUUCUACCAAUUUCCUACAACACCAACAAUCUCUCUCUCCAAGUAGGAAAAGACUUCUGAACCUAAAAACUCUACAGAUUUCAGUCAUAUGUAUAACAUAUGGAAAAGGGAUAGAACUUGGCGUCCAAGACAAGAACCAGGGCCGGUCCUGAAGGAUUCAAGGCCCAGUGCGAAAGUUAAAAAUGUGCCCAUUAUAUAAUUUUUUUAUUCAAAACAUACCAAUUUUUUGGGGGUUUCAUAUAUCAAUAUCAUACAUCAAUUUUAUGUAUCUCAUAUACAUAAUUUCAGGAAAAAAAAAACAAAGGAAAUUUAAAGCAACAUUUUUUAACAUCCAAAAUGACAGGAUCAAAAAAGAAGAAUUUAAAGAUGUGAAGUUCAGAGCAACCUUCCUUCUAGUCUUGAGAAAUUAGAUUAUAUAUAAGAGAGGAGAUGCAAAAUUGAGAGUCUGAAAUUGAGAGAGGAUGGAGAACUUCGCAUGAUUGUGAGAAUGUGAACAAUUUAUAGAGAGUCCUACAAUUUCAUCGACAAAUAAAGUAAAGACUGUAUAUGAGAUUAGGUUGUGGUCUUGCGGAGAAUAUCAAUCGUCAAUCGGCAAUGAAUCUUCUUCAUAAGCCAUGCAAUGGGUAUAUGAAAUUAUGAAUUUAGAAGAAGAUGAAAAAAUUAAAAGAAAAGAAGAGAGUGAAUGGAAGACAUUUUCUCUGAGAAAAUCAAGAAUGAUGCAAUGGGACAUAAUUGAUAAGAAGCAAUAACUAGAUAGAAGUCUAGAAGAUUGAACGACAAAAGAGAAAAAGUCCGGGACUUUAAUUGUAUUUUUUUUUCUUUUAUAUUAAUAUAAUUAUACAUUAAUAUAUUUCACAUAUUGAAGAAAAAAAAAAAAUCGGCCCCCUAUGUUCCUAGGCCUGGUGCAAGCGUACUACUUGCACUGCGCCAAGACCGGCCUUGACAAGAACAAAAAAAGCAAAAUUAAAUUGUUCAAUUGAAAUCUUACCCGUGUAGGUACUAGACUAGACCCUUUCUAGCUCCUAUGGUAUAGCUUCAAAGAGUCAGCAGCUGAUCUCCAGGGUUUUGACACCUCCUGUUUAAAGAAGUCGGCUGCUAAUAUUUAAGCUUAUUUAGGGACAGUUUCUAGGUUUCAUGGCGGCAAGGUUUCAGAUUGGGAAAUAUUUACGUGCAUUUUUAUACACGUAAUUGCCACUCAAACACUAAAAUUUAGAUACUCUUUAUUUUAAUUAAUAUAUAAUUAAUCUAUUUUUAUUUAUUUGUAGGAAAUAAGCAGAAAUUUGGAUUUCGGAUAGAAAAUGGUGAUAUUUGAGUAAAAUUGGAGCACAUGGAUUUGAGAGGAAAUUAAAGGAGAUUUGUUAAGCUAAUUAAUCAUAGCAUGAUUGAUUGAUCAUUGCAUGCUUAAUUGAGGUGAACAAAUCAUGUUCAACCAUGACGCAUGUGCAGCACCAAAACUUCAUCACUUUUGGUCCUCUCCUCUAUUCAACUCGCGACACAUGGCUCCUUUAUCCUUUCAUCACAAUUCAGCCACAAACCGAGCCAACCCUUAUAUAAGACAUUCUUCUCUCUUCCUCUUGAAGAGAGCCGCACUUUGCCCUCUCCCACCAAUUCACCUUCUCAUCCUUUUUUCUCAUUUCAUAAUUUAGAUAGAGUUUCUUUGGGAAUUUGAAGGACUCACUCAAGGCUUUCAAGGCAUCAUCAUCAAGAGCACCACCUCUUCAUCAAUUGGGUAGUUGGGUGAAAAACUUAUUUGGGUUCAUACUAGCCUAUAGCUAGAAGUGACCAAUCUAGCUCUCCCCUUUCUUCUUUAUUAUCUCUUUUAUGCUUUCAAUGAUGUAUUUGAUUAUGGGUAGUGAGUAGUUCAAUUUUGGGAAUUAGGGUUGUGAAGCCCUAAACUCAUUUUGUAUAAAUAUUGGUACUUUAAUUGAAAUGAAUGCAAUUUCCAUUGUGUAUGCUUUGAAUCCGAAUGUGUUGGUCCUUAGAGGCAUGUUUCUAGGCUUUGUCACCCUUUGAGAUUAUGUUCUGGGCAAUUUGAUGAUUAGAUUGAUAAAUUGACAACUUAUUAGUCUUAUGCAUCUAGUAUUUGAAGUGUGGUAACCAUUACCUAGCUUGAUUGUAGCUAAGUUUGCUUGAGUCUCUAUUAUCUUUCAUUAGGCCUCUAAUUUGGAUGUUACGGCCUUAACUGGAGUAAUGCCCAUGUUAGAGAGUCGAUUGUAGCCUUAAUCGGCAUAAUUGAUACACCGAAAGGAUAAUUGGUCUAGUAGCCUUUACUGGUAUUAGAUACAAGACUUGACACAAUAGGAUAUGCAUUUGUGAAAUUGGUAUCAAUGUUUGCAUAUGAGUUAGUGUGGAUCACCUGACACUCCCAUGUUCUCAUCAUUCUCUAGUUCAUUAGUUAGUAGCUUAUUUUACAUUUUGUUUGUCGUCAAUUAGUUAACUCCUCAUUUCAUCUCCCUUUUAUAUUUCGACUCAUUGUAGAUAACCAUCACUAGGUUUCUAGUUUUGAUUAGGCUUUGGUGAGAACUAGAGCCGAGCAUUACUAAGGCUUGGUGCCUUAGAUUAGCAUUUCCCUUAUUUCUUUUUCUUUUUCUUUGUUUGCUUAGUGACUUUUGUUCCGAUUAGCCUAGGAUUGUGGGUUAGCCACUAAUCCCCGUGGUACGAUAAAUUGGGCACUUGUACUUCCCUAUCUUGACAAUGAUACGUUCGCUUGCGUGAAUUGUAACCAAGUCAAGAAACAUCUUGUCGGGAGGAAGAAGAAGUCAGUGAAGAAGAAGAAGAAGAAGGUGGAGGAGAAGAAGAAGACGGCAUCGUUCUGCUAUUCUCAACGACAAAAGCUUUUCCCAAAAGCUAUUUCAAGUAUGGGCUUGGGUUUUGGGUUAAGGAUAUUGGGUCAAAGUUUUGGCUUUAAAACUAAAAACAAAUAAACCAAAUAAGAUGAAAUAAAAAUAAAUCUAAAACAACUAAAUCAAUUUCAGCAAAAAUACUAAAUACAAUUUAGAGUAAAAGAAUAUAUAUAUAUACACACACACACUAGUUUAGAUAUUUAAAAUUUUGAGUCGUCACAAAUUAUACUUAAGAAAUACACUCACCCAAAGAGAAACACUAAAUAAAAAAACAACUUUGAUCCAUAAAAGAUAAAACCAUAAAUUAUGCUACUUCUCAAUUGCGACUCUCUCAACUCUCACCUUAAUUGGUUACAUAAAGGACAUAUGUGUAUGUGUAAUAGGUAAACUUUCAAAACCUGACAGGAUUAGCUUGGUGUUAAUCGGAGCAGAGGUGCACUUGAACCCUUCAUGUGGGUCCCAUCUACAUGCAAACGGAGUUAGAGACCAAAAAAGAUUGAAACCAUAGUAAAAACCUAUAAACCCAGAAUAUUGUUCGAAGAAAACUGACACACCGAGUCUCCUCCAAAACCCAGCCUCUCCUAGCUUGAAGUAGAAAGAGGAAGGCACGUGUGUGUAUAAAAACACAAAGUUUUCCAUAUUUCUUGUAUAAGAUUAAAACCCUAAUCCCACAAAUCAUUGAUUUCCCUAAAACCAGGAGAAACCCUAAAUUGGAGAAUUGGGGAAUCGAUGAGAAGAGUAGAAGAAUCGGCGUAGAUACAUGCAUGUCGCUAGAGUGAGCUUGGAUCUGAAUGACGUGCCCGUUACCGGGCGUGCAACAAUUAAGAACCCUUUUUGACAAUCAUAGUAUAAGGCAAAUAAAGUUUGAUCAAUCUGGGGACUAAAGGUGCUCUUGUAACACUGUCUUGUAAAAAGUCAGUAGCUAUCAAUUAAAAAUAUUUACAAGUAUUCAUUUACAAAUAUACAUAUGGUACAAGGUAAACAAGGGGGUUUUGAGAGUUUGUUCUAACAUUCCUACGAAAAAGAUAAAGACAGAAUCUAAACUAAUAUAUACAGGUGAUCAUCUUCAAUACACAUCAACCGGAGAUUUCAGAAUGAAUCAAACAAGUAUCAACAUGCCUUAAACGUAUAUUCAAGCUCAUCGCCAAGUGAUAUAAAAAACAAACUCGAAACACAAGCCUCAGCGGUCAUGCAUUCCUUUAAUUCUACUUACUUUAUCUCCUAAGCAUAGAGAAUCUAGAACCUAGGAUAUUUCAUGCAAAGGCUGCGAUCGAUACUUUGUGUCACUCAGAUUACCCGUCUACACUAAACAUGAAUCAUUAAGUGUUAUAGAAUUCUGAAUUUGAACAUGCCCAAGUUUACAGGAAGCUGCUUAACUUGUAAACAUGUAACACAUAGUUUCGGCUAUUAUUACAUAACCUUUACUACUGGAGAUCUACACUUACUUGAAGAAGCUUAGUAUAGAUCAUAGCAACACUAACCUGUAGAUUAGAGGUUUAGUUCAAACAAAACUAUGCAUUUAAUGAAAUUAACAAGGCACAAAAAGAAUCAUAUGCUAUCAUAGACAAGUUGAAAUAUGCUUGAAUUUAUUCUAAAAAUUAACCUAUUCAUGUUCUUAACAACCAGCCAAUUCCAACUUUGAAAUCUAAUAAAAGAAAACAAAGAACAAUAACAAGAAAGAAGAAACAAAACAUGAGUUACACUUUAUAAAUCUUCAAGGAAGCUUGAGAUGUUCAAAGGUACACACACGCCUGAUGCUUCUCGGCAACCUUCUAGAGAAGUCCAACAAAGGAGCCAGCUUGAAUUGCUUCUUUUCUGGAGAGAGGAGUUGAAAAAGAGAAGGAAGACUAAUUUGUUUCAUUGAUUUUUGUGUGAAGAAGAGAUGCUUUAAGAAGUACACAAGGCUGUCUUUAUAUAGAGAAUAUCUUGGUGAAACUUCUCUUCAAAACUGAUGUGGGACUAGCUCCACAAGUUUGACUUUUCUCCUCAUUUUUAGAGUUGGAAUCCAAAUUUGCUUCUUCUUCCUUCCUUGGGCUACUUGGGCUACUUGGGCUUCUUUUGGGCUUUCUGCUCUUCCAUCCUUGGGCUGCUUGGGCCUUCUCUUCCAUCCUUGGACUACUUAGGCCUUCCUUUGGGCUUUCUGCAUUUUUGUACUACUUGGGUCUUUUUUUGUCAAUUAAGCUCUUUGUGCCUUUUUUCUUCCUUCCUUGGACUGCAAGAAGGCUUCUUUGUCUUUUUCUGCAUUUUUCUCUUAUUUCCAUCAUUUAGCCUUCUUUUCUUGAUUUAUGCUCUCAUGUCCUUUACAAUCACAAAACAUGUCAGAAAUGGUAUUAUUAUGAGAAUAUCAUAGCUAAGUAGGGUAGGAAACACAUUAUAAACAUAGCACUUUGUGCUCAUAUCACUGAACUGGUUCCUUCAAUUGCAUAAGUGAUCAGAGGUGAAUUGCAUCGAGGUGCAGGGAGAGCUUGAUGGCCAAGCGGUGAGUAUCGAAGCGCUGAUGAAGGGGGGAGGAGCUGACGAUACAAACGUGGAGAGAAACUGGGAGUGAGAUGGGGAGGAAGAUAGGGGUCGGCGGAGGGUGGUCGUUGGAGGCCUAUGGUUUGAAGUGAACGGUGGAGGUCCUCGAUCGUGGUUCCGGGUCGGGUCCCCAAUCUGUGUCCAGAUUUCGCUACUGAUUUUGGAUUAAUAUAAUUACCCAUGUAAUAUUUACUGUAGUUUUAUGUAUUUUUACCAUGUCGAUUGGAUUUUUUUGUUUGAACAUUUUUUAACGACGUUAGUAUUGGUGUUUGUGUCAUACAGCUGACUGGAUUAAAUGAAUGAUUGUGAUUAGUUAGUGACUAUUGGUUCACAUGCACCUUGGUGCAUUGAAGAACUUUUGGGUGUUAAUUACUCUAAAAAGUAAUUGAUAGCCAAAAUUAUUGGUAAUGACCCCUACUAUGUUCUCUAAUCGUAAAGUUGCAGGUAUACAUACAUGCAAAGAUGAUAAUUGAAUUGCCUCAAGAAUCAAAACUCGUAUCCAACCCAACCAGUUUUGAAUAUAUAACACACACACUUGUAUAUACUUUUAGUUUCAAAGGUAAAAUAUUGUAUAGUCCUUGUGGUUUAAAGUCGACAUCUGUUUUGUCCUUAUGAUUUUAUUUUAAUCUGAAUAGUCCUUAAAAUCACGAUUUUUUAUCUAAAUAGUUCUUAUAGUUUUAUGAAUUAAAUUCAAUUUACCCCCUUAUGGUUUGGGGGUAACUUUAUGUUAGUCCCUACACUUUUAUUUUCAUCAGUUUACCCCUUGAACUCUUCAAUUUCUGUCUGCCGUGCCUAAAUUCUCAUAUUCCGUUUGAAUUGACCUUUAACUAUCAGCAGUUAAGGUCCGAUUUGCCCAAAUUCUAGAUACUGGCCUCACAGUUAAGGUUAAAAUUAUCGACAGUUAACGUCCGAUUUGGACAGAAUAUAGGACAUUUGGUCAUGCCUGAGGAAAAUUCAAAAGUUUGAGGGGUAAACUGAUGAAAUUGAAAGUAUAGGGAUUAACAUGAAGUUAUUCCCAAACCUCAUGGGGGUAAACUGAAUUUAAUUCUAGUUUUAUUUUAAUCUGAAUAGUUCUUAAAGUCAUGAUUUUUCAUCUAAAUAGUCCUUAUGGCCUUUAACUGAGAAAAUUGUCGGAAUGACUAUUUGGAUGAAAAAUUGUGACUUUAAAGAUUAUUCAAAUUAAAAUAAAACCAUAAGGACUAUUGAGAUGAAAAAUUGUGACUUUAAAGAUUAUUCAGAUUAAAAUAAAACCACAAAGACUAAACAUAUGUCGACUUCAAACCAUAAGGAUUAAAUAAAUUUCAAUUCUAGUUUCAAACUUCUGUUUUCCUCCAUGGCUCCAUCUAUCUAUAAUGCUAUCUUCAAUCAAUAAACAUCAACAACGACCUGCACGUAUGUACUAUUUAAUCAUAAGAUAGGAUCAAAUUUGGCUAUCUAACUUCCACUUUGGUCCUCUCUAUGAAUUAGGUUGGCCAACAACAUUUUGCCUACUUUAGUUUCACCCCUAGACCAAAACCUUAUCAAGGGCUCGGGCAAUUACUCACUCACCCAUACGUCUCAAGUCUCAACUACCUUCUUUUCAUGGAUGAUGAAUGGGAUGCCUCUUAAGUUGUCGGACUCCCUAUUCUCGUUUAGGUAGUCCAUUCAACAUGCAUCUUUUCGUUCACCACAACCUUUUCUUCUCUUUUGAUCAAAUGAAGCACCUUCGUUUAAUUUAUAGAACUUGUAUAUCACAACCUUAGAGGCCAGGUGAAGAUGCUUCCAUAAAACUUUAUUCAAGAAGCAAGUAAAGAGAAUAUCACUAUUCUUUCAUCAACAAUCAUUUACUAAAAGCUAAUUCAGCCAUGGUCAUGACCCUGCUUUCUUCCAGAGCCUGUCCCAAGAAGAGAGUGUUUCAGUUUGUCUUGUUUUUCUGUUUUAUUUUUUAUUACUUGUUUGCCUUGUUUCAUGGUUUGAUAGUUCCAAAUUCCGACUCUAGCCCGUUGUAUUUCCUCAAAGGUUAGUGUAAUUUAGGACCUCGAAAGCCCGCUUACCAUUCUUAAUAACCACGCCACAGUGCUAAUUUUCGUCUUUUUUUUUCUUUUGAGAAAAAUAGAAAAACUUCUUUUAAUUUAUCUAUCGUAACUAAUAUGCUAAUCUUUUUUAAUACAACAAAGAAAACCUAAGAGAAAAUCCUUGAAAACAACUUAUACCACAUGAACAUCUCCACGUAUCUCUUGUUUGUUGUUAAGGGAAAUGCCCUAAUGCCCAAAUAUUUAAAAACUAAAGCCUAUUUCNNNNNNNNNNNNNNNNNNNNCUCUCUCUCUCUCUCUCUCUCUCUCUCUCUCUCUCUCUCUCUCUCUCUCUCUCUCUCCUGGACGACGCAAUGACGCCGCCGAUGCAGCCGCCGCCGACACAGCCGACGCCAACGCAGCUUAUGCUUCAACAACACCUGCGCCGAUGCUGCGACGACGAGCAACGAGUAUCAAAUCUCUAAUCCUACCUCUGCUCUCUCCUCUGCAACCUCCUUCACCGCUGUCAGAAAUCAACGCCGCUCGUCAACGUCCUCCUUCUCCGAGCCCCCUCAUCCGACCCCGGCAGCAGAUCCAAAACGUUGUGCCGCUCGCCAAACGUCGUCGUCAUCUCUGGUGUUGUCCUUCUCCGGUGACGAUGUAGCGAAGCUCCCUCCAGCUACGACGUCCCGCCUGUACUCGUCCCACCUGCUCGACUGGGCCAACGAGCAAGUUCAUAGGCAGCCUCCGCCUCAGCCUCCAUGGCUAGAUCGAAGGCGUCGGGUGCGUGGUGAGGGAGGUGAAGCAGAUUUGAUGAGGGAGGUGUAUGGUGAGGGAAGGUGCAUGGUAAGAGAGUAGAUCCGAUGUGUGAGGGUGCGUGGCUCUGCGGUAGGUAUAGUUGUAUUUUUGUAGCUGAUAGGUAGUUUGAUUAUUCGUGUUGUAGUUUUGAUUGAUUAUUGGCGGUCAAUAACUCGAUUAUGUUCUGGUAUUUCUUCUUUUCUAUUACAAUAAGCUGAAAUAAGUUGAUUAUUGGGGGUCAGUAAUCAAGUUAUUGGGGGUUAGUAACUGGUUAUUGGGUGUCAGUAACCAAGAUUAUUAGGGGUCAGUAACCGAUUAUUAGGGGUCAGUAACCAAGAUUAUAAGGGGUCAGUAACUGAAAACUAAGUGAUUAUUGGGUGUCAGUAACUGAAAACUAAGUGAUUACUGGGUGUCAGUAACUGAAAACUAAAAGUUAUUGGGGGGUCAGUAACUGGUUACUGGGUGUCAGUAAUUAAUCAAUAACUGGUUACUAGGGGUUAGUAACUAGUUAUUAUGGGUCAUUAACUGGUUAGUAACUGAUUAUUGGGGGUCAGUAACUAGUUACAGGGGAAAAUCCGGUGACCGGAAUCCGGCGGUCGGGGAAAUUCCGGUGACCGGAAUUCGGCGGUCGGUGACCGGAGUCCGGUGUCUGGCGGCCAGUGACCGGAGUCCGAGGUUCCAGCCAAGUCUUUUCAUGUUGAAGAAGUGGGGGCAAAAUAGUCUUAAAAUAAUAUGGUUUGUUAAGACUUUAGUAAAGAUUUGUGCAUUUGGGUAUAAAGAUUUGUGCAUUUGGGCAUAAAAAUGGUUACCUUAUAUUGGAAUGGGCUAAUGCAAAAGGAUUAUCAUUAGAAUGGGAAAUAAGGGGUUUGAAUUAGUACUAAAUAGGCAUUUUCCCUUGUUAUUAAAUGAGUAAGAUGACAUUCUAGUGUCGACUGCUUGAACAUGACUGGCUUCUGACCUCUAACGUAUGUCUCAAACUAGAAUAGGAAGAGCAAGUCCUAAUUGGACUUCAUAAUAUCUUGUAAGAGAAGGAUUCCUUUACUAGUUAGUAAUGCCUACUUGUAAUGCCUAUAUAAAAUGGAUGUGCCGAAUUGGAAUAACGUUGAUAGUUUGAGACAUUUCAAGCAAUUUCUAAACCUCUCGAGUAUUCUCUCAACGAGUGAGUACUCAAUUAUAUUAUACUGUUGAUAGUAUUCUCACGGUGAGCACAAGUAAGACACAAAGAUUUUGCUUGCUAAACCUCGUUAAAAUUUUGGUAUAUUUUUAUUUGUUUUUUUAUCAACAAUAUUUUGUUAGCAUUAAGUCCGAUGAGAAAUUUCUAAAGAAAACAUCCUACCUUGUUAAAAAAACAUCUUGGUAUCAAAUCGUGUGUCUCUACCUGUGGAGUGAUUUAGAUUGUGGAUCAAGUUGGUAAACCAAACAGAAAAAUUAUUUUUGGAAAAAAAAAAAAAAAAAAAAAAAACCCUAAAAACCCGGUAACCGUUAACUAACUUUAAACUUAAACUUACCUAACUUUAACUUUAGGUCGUCUCGUUUUCUUUCGUACGUUAACCCGUAAACCUAACCGCCACCAACGACGUUCUUCUCUAAACUAACUACUUCUUGUCUCUUCUACUAACCCCCCCCCCCAACCCCCCCCCCUCCCCCUCCUCUCUCUCUCUCUCUCUCUCUCAAGUGUUAACUGUUCACUAUUCCAUUCAAAACCAUAUCGUGGAAUUUCAUAGAUUCUGGACAAAUUAAGCUUGCUCUAUCAGUUUUGGAUAUCUAAAUUUUCAUUCUAUACAUACUUGAAUCAGAUUUGUCACACUUUUCUGUUUUUGGAUUUGUAGAUUCCUCAAGAAGAAAGAUGAAACCAGAAAUCAUUGAUUGGAGCAACAUAGAAUCAAUAUUCGUCGAAGAUGAAACUUAUGAGAGCUUCAAUGCGCCUAAAUGGGUCAACCUUUCAUCUCCAGAUGAGCUCAUUGAUGAUGAAGCCUGGUUCUGCAAUCCUGGUAGGGACCAAUUUCGUUGCUUAGGAGCCGAAGGGAGGGAAAGCUCGAAAUUUAAUCUCUUCUUUGUUUAGGAAAUAUAUGUUCAUUUAUAUCUUACUUUCUUUCUGGGUUACAGAUUGCAAGCAUCCAAAGUCGGCAGAAGAUUUCCACAAAACACAGAGCGAAACCGCAGCUAAGGAGUACAUUCUCAGCCAGUAAUUUGCUCAAGGGACGGGAAGUUUUGAAUCAUAUCACCGGACUUUGUACUGAUAUGAAGAAUUUUGCCAAGAGGGGUUCAAGAAAAAAGAUAUCAGAGAAUCGUGGCUUGAAGGAGAAAGUAAGGGACAGAAUGCCUCUCAUUGUUAGAGAAGGUUGACUGUUACAGCACCAAUUUAGUUUGUAGCUUUCUAACACUUUGCCAUUGAAUAAAUCGCAUUUGCACCCAAAAAGAAAAAUUCGGAUGUAUUUAAGUUAUGCUAUUGAGUCUAACUAAUAUCUGCUAUGCAAGAGUUUUGUAUAGGAAUGCCAAAGGGGGAGAUUAUUGGUAUGAACUUUAGUUGGCAUCCCUAUACCAAAACUAGAAUACGUGCUAAGUGGUUAAGGCUAUUAUUUAUGGCAUCUUUGAUAAUAGCUCACAUGAUUCUAUGUCAUUAUUAAUUGAGAAAUUGUUUCAUGAUCAUAUCGAGCUAAUAUAUUGCAGAAGAUGUGAAUCGUAAGUCUUUAGGAUUUUCAUGUUGAUUAUAUGAUUAGUUGAUCUUUAGUUGAAAGGAAAGAAUCCUAUUUUGAUUAGGUUCUAUGAUCUUUGGAUUAUCAUAUCGUAUUAAUGCAUGGCAAUAAGAUCUUAUGUCAUUGAUCUUAAUUGUGAUAUGCAUACAUGUGUUCUUAAUAUAACUCUUCCUUAUGCUUGAUUAUUAGAUAUUAUAAUUGGAAUAAGUUAUUUGCAGGUGCUAUUUCCGUGGGAGUAAUUAUGUCCUAACUUGGUUAGGAUCUCAAUAUGUGAUAUGAUUGUGGAAUCAAAUAAAGAAAAGAAGAUCUAUUUUGAAUAGGUCUCCUUUGCUAGCCGUGUGAAGGAAAGAAAGAAAUCCUAUUUCAUAUAGGAUAUUCUUUUAUGGUUUAAAUAACUAAAUAUCUUGUUAUUAUUAUUACAAGGUCUUUAACUCUGAUGUAAAUUCUUUCUUGAGAUAGGGAUUAGGGUUGCUGGCGUUAGGUUCUUGCUGCUGUAUAAAAGAGACAUAUGACAGAUGAAAGGGGUGAGUCUUUGCAUGCUUGGCGUUUAAGAGAAAAUUGUUUUAUUCCGCUGCUCAUCUGAAUAUACAAGUUCAACUGUUUCUUGUUAAGUUGGACUUGUUGUAGUUGUGAUUGUGAUUCUCUUGUGUGUUGAGAAGUUCAUUGAAGAAAGAAGAAGAAGACGUUCUGCCUAGAGAUAUGGAUUUGUAAUAGUAUAGGGUUUACAAAGUGGUUGUAAGACUCUACACAAAUUCAUCUAACUGAGUUCGUUUUCUGAGUUUGUGCUCCGUUGUGAUUUUUCCUCUAUUUUAAGGUUUUUACACAGCGUCAAAAAUCUGGUGUUUUGUGUUAAUUUUUUGUCAGUUCGUCGAGGAUUGAAACAGCCCUGCCUCACGUUCCAGUACCUUCAAUAUCUUAGUGCAAGUAUGAUUUUCUUUAAUCUAUAACCAUGUAGUUUUACAUUCAGUAUGUAGGAAUUUGCAGAUGUUAGAUAUUGUCAGGUCAUGACUGCUUGAAUAAACUUGUACAACUCCACCUACAUUCUACAGAUUUUAGUCAUUUAGAAAGUAGCUAGCAAUGGCAAUUUCAGGAACCAUACACUGCAAAUCCAAAAUAUAUCAAUGUGAUUCUAAUGUUGGUACUUAGCAACAUUAAUCAUACAAAACCAACAUCAAUGGAAUCAUCUUGUCGUCAAAAUCGCUACUAAUACAAAUACCCAAAUGCUGAACAUUCCAGACAAUGCAUAAAGCCUUCCUCCAUCAGAUUCUGCAAAUGAUUAAAAUGUAGAGAAUCAAACAAACCAAAAUUCAGGAACUUGAUAAUUUGUCAAAAGAGCAACAAUGUUUUUACCUGAGAAGAGUAUUAAUUGUGUUAUAACAACAACUUUAACCCUUCGGAUACAGCACAAGAACUCGUCAAGUUUGCUGCGUAACUCACGAGUUCGCCUACUUCUUCCAGUACUGACCGAAAUCUCGACUUGUUCCAAGCAAUUAAACUUUCCAAGAGCAUUGAAGUUCAUUAUGAAACCAAACCAUGUCAGAUACUUAAGAUUUGGAGCAAACACAUUCAAACAAUUGGUGUUCGGUGAAAACUCCCAAUCUAUAUAUAUAGUUAUAUACUUUCAAGUUUUUCACCAGAGAUGUUAAGCUGGAAGAGGCCAAGCAGUUGUUGAAUCACCAAAGAUUCCAAAGACGAGCUCUGGAUGGUGACAUUCUUAAGGCCUUCCAGUCCCCAAAGCGACAAUUCCUUGAGGGAUUUGCAUGAAAUCUACUUAUUUGCAAAAUCCAUCACCAUUUUCGAUGGUAACAUUUCCCUGUUUCAAGCUUACUAGAUUAGAGCUAGAAGAAGAAGGGGAAAAACAAGGGGAUUUCAAAAUCACAUGAGGUACAUUCAAAGUUAAAGACUUCAAAGUCCCACAAACAAAAACACAUGAAGGAAAUUCGACCUGAACCCUCGUAAGACUAACCGUGUUCUCACCAAACAGUGUUUGUAGUAUCACUUUGACGCUAAUAAAAAACGUUGAGCGCCUCAACGUUGCAUCUCAGCACUGCAGUUUGAACCCAACCGAGGAUUUGAGAAAUUUCAAAACUAGAGACGCUUUCCAUUUCACUAGCUUCAGUUUCCCUUGUUUCGAAUCGAGAAACCCAUUUGACACGGAAGCUCUGUAUUUUGUUGAGGGUGUUGCUAGAUGUACCCAGCAAACUUCUUAAUAGACCCAGCAAUUAAAAAUUAUCCUGUAUUUUCCAGUUUUGCUCUUGUUAUAAUAAACCCAGCAAACAUCAUCUCUAACACCACGUUGAGACCAGAAAGAGAACUAAUAUGGGGGAGGAAAUCAGGAGGAGCUUUCCCAUGAUCUAAGUAUAGAAUCUUGAGAAGAUUUGAUGUACGGGAUAUCGGAACCGAUUGCCUUCAAAAAAAAAAAAUUACCAAUUCAAUGAUCAUCCCAUUACAUAUAUCUCACCCAUAUCAAUACAUGUAUGGAACUUCGAUCAUCUUAAAACAUAUAAUUGUAGAAUAUAUUUCAGGUAAUGGAGAAGAAGAACAAAAUCGGCUAAAAGUCUCUUAAUCAAAGAUUGACACUGCAAAUGAGUAGAUGACUACGCAAUUAAUCACAAAAUUUCAAUUCAACUCAAAGGCUCAAAGCAAAGCAACGAUAAGAUGGUAUAACGUCCCAGAUCCCACUUUAGCCUCCUAAAUAAGAUGUUGUGUUUGCGCAGUCGUUGCCACAUCUCUUCUUCUGAAUUUAAUGCCUCUGAUCCGACUCUAAGAGAAGAAUUUGUGUUUGCUGGGUUUAUUAUAACAAGGGCAAAACUGGAAAAUAAAGGAUAAUUUUUAAUUGCUGGGUCGACUAACUAAUUUACUGGGAACAUCUAACAACACCCUUUGUUGAAGGCACGAUGAGUGUGGAAGAACCCAUCUAAGGAGUUCAAAAUUUGAGAGCGGCCAUUGAAUGUGCGAAUAAGCUCGGAAGGAAACUCAGUGAAAUUCAAAGUGGGAUUUGAUAAGUGAAACUCUCUGCAUGUUUUGGAUAAAAUGCUCACUCGAGUAGAAUCGGUUAGGGGGAGGAAGGAGAGAAUAUUUUUUUUUUUUUUUUUUUUUGGUAAUGAAAAAUUCAUUGAAAGAAAAACAAAGAACAGCAGCUGAAACAAAGGAGACAAACUGCCCCAUUAAGGAGGGGGAGGAAGGAGAGAAAAUGAUGAGCGACUUCGUGCGGAAGAGCACUGAACCGGUCCAUGGAAAGUGAAAGAAAACUGGCACUACAAGUCGUCUUAACUAGUCUUUGCUCGAUAUUUAUAGUGUAUUGUAAUUUGUAAAUGAAUUCUAGAGUCGCACUUGGAAUACAACAAGUAAGCUAGGAUUGAAAUGGUUGACCAAAAAAAAAAGCUAGGAUUGAAAUGAGAGCCUUCCUGCCAUUAUUAUACCGACUUAUACGUAAAGGUAAGUCACGAGAAAUUUUUCAGUGCUACGGGAGGACCACGUGGCAGUCUGACGUGGUUCUACAUUCUAAUCAAAUUUAGACAUGUAGAUUUUUUCAUGAAAAAUUAUUUCAGUUAUUUUGUUAAAGACCAUUUUGGGUUUUUGUUUUUUUAAAUACUAAACCCUAAGCCCUAAACCCCAAACCCUAAACCCUAAACCCUAAACCCUAACCCUAACCUUAAACUCUAAACCCUAUAUCCUAAACCCUAUACCCUAAACCCUAACCCUAACCCUAAACUCUAAACCCUAAACCCGAGACCCUAGUUUGAACUUGCUAAUACCCAUGAUUGUCAUUUCACAAAAAAUAGAAAACUGUUCGAGGAGAAAAGAAUAUAAGAAUAAAGGUCUACUCAUUCAUUGAUAUCAUGGCCUUUAUAUAGGCAUUACAUAGAGAAUCCCUGUAAAUCAGGGAUAGAUAUCUAACAGAUAUUCUAGUCUAAUCAGAACAAGAUUCGGUCAAGACACAUCAUCAAAGAUAGGAAUGUAAAUUCCUUCAACACUCCCUCUUGUGUCGCGCACCGAAAUCACAUGGCGCAUAAACGUUGUCUCGGUAAAAAACUUUGCCAAGUAAAACAAAAACCUAUUGGGUAAAAACAAAUACUUGGUCGAAGGGAAAAGAGCACAACGUGCCAAUACAUCAUGGUACUUAUAGUGUUGCCUCAUUAAAAACCUUGCCAAGCAAAACAAAAACCUCGUGGGUAAAAAUCAAAGACUUGGGUGAAGGGAAAAAGAGCGCAACGCACCGUCUACAAUUGAAGGUACACAUGUGGUGUAGACUCCCCCUGAUGUCUACGCAAUGACUCCCCCUGAUUGGUAACGCAAUCUUGGAGUAUAGAUAAAACGGCACAAGCCAAUACACUUCACAUGCUUCUCAAAAGUAGAGUUGGGCAAUGAUUUAGAAAUUAGCCUCUAAAUCUAGCCACAUUAUCCUUAGAUCAGACUUGCUACACUUAGCAUUACUUUGAUCAAUAAGGAGAAGGUUGCAUAACGACUCAAAACGUGAGUCUGUGUUGAAAAUCAGAUUCACGUGUAGCACGACCUUCGUAUACUUAAACAGUCAUAACUUCUUCGUUACAAAAGGUAUGGACAAACCAUAAACGGUUCUGGAAACUAGACACCAAUAGCUUUCCAAUGAUAUAAAGUCCAUAACGUAGUUCAUUCGGAGCUGAACACAAAGUUCAGUUGAAGUUGACUGUCCUGCAAAGGCAGAGGUUUGGACAGACUGUCCUACUUUACGAGAAUAGCCAUAACUCACUCAAUAUAAAACCUGUGAUCGAAUGGUUAGUGUCACUGGAAGGUAGACACAUAGACCUUUCCAAUGGUAUCAAAUUCACCAUUUUCUAACGAGUGGGUUAUCCGGUAGGCCAUGGGGAAGUUGACCUACGAAAUUGGGCAGAAUCAAACUUUGCCAUGUAUGUGUCUUUUUCAUGUUGGGAUCGAAUAAGCCUUAACAAUUCAUAUCAUCUUGAAAGAAUGGGUUACCGCCAUCACCUUGGUGUUGCGUGGGCGCACUGACCUCAAUGUUGAUAAUCCUUCAGACUAAGCCUUAUCAAGAAAGAACUUGGUCUUACAUGUUUAUAGCGAAUGAGAUGUCGAGUCGAGUAUAUUAUACACCAUACUUAGGUGGAGAGUAUCUCUCAACACUUCUUCAUCAUUCAGACAGAAUGAGUCUUCUCAAAACUUCAACCAAUCAAGGGAUACACAUAGGCAUAACUUUGUCGUUCUUUAUAUUGUCAUAUGCCGAGUGAUGAACAACUAUCAUCUCUAAUGGUUCUCACUUCCGAGACCAAGUAUUCCCAAGAUUCAAUCAUUCUUAUCAAUGGGUCAGUGGAAUCUCUUAGAAUUCAUCACAGUUCAUCAGGAUAUUACACGCGAAGAGGCAUUAUUCUUUACAUCACAUCCCUUAUCAAGUGAAUACUUAGUGUUUCGUUCAAUAACCUUCGAUAACAAGCUCCGUGGUCAGGAGCUACUUGAUAGGGUGAAAACCGAUCAAUCUAAGAUCGUCAUGUACUUCUCUUAGUUCCCAAAUCAGAGAUAAAUAAUGACCACAAGCUACAUGUUUAGUUCUUGGGAAACUACCAAAUUGAAAAGGUAGCGGAGUGCAAUAACAUCCAUUACGAGAAUAUAUAUUUCAUCGUAGUCGAUUCCAGGGCGUUUGUGAGAAACUUUGCGCCACAGGGUGAGUCUAAGCUCUUUUUCUUACUACGCGUUCCAACAAAGACAUAGCAGAUAGUUUUACCCUUACGGUGUCGGCAUCACCUGUCAAGGCCCUAUUUCUUUGUUCAAACUGGAUCGCAUCUUUCUGUCUAGGCCAGUCUACAACGUUGAUAUGCACAACGAAGUGCGUUUCAAUAUGAAACUCAUUAAACAUUGUCAUCACGUGCACUAGUGCUACCAUUAGUAGAGAUCUCUUAUAUGGAUUGGUAUUGACAUCGAGGCGUCCCCCAAUGUUGACCCUAAUUCAGAAGAAUAGACGAAUAAGUAUCAUUGAUCAAUGGAUCAAGUUGUGCCAAACUCGCAUACCUUCUUGGCGAGUAUGUAUCGAACCAAGUGGCCUCCCCCUAAGCCUUAGGAGCCACGGCCUAGUGACACCAUCCACCACAUCGGUGGCGUCACCAUGUCACCAUCUGGUUGACAACAUGUCCUUUUACUCAAACAAUAAUCCUUGCAGGCAUGUUUGCAGCAUGUAUAGAUCUCGUCACUUAUGGGAAUUCAAAGACUUGAUGAGGCACAAUGGGGAGCAUCAAUGACAAUUUCAAGUUGUUCCACUUGAACAUAUUCGUUCUUAUCUCCCCCUAACGAUGGGAAGACUGGCUCAUCAUCAAAGUGACAUAAAAGAGAUCGCCUGACAAGGUUUUCAGACUAUAGGAAGCUCAUGUCUUACACAAAGACAAUGUUCAUCAUAGAGGACCCAUCAUUGUGCGCUUGUGGAGGCGCAAUAUGGCACAUUCAACAUGUGGACGAUUCAUGUUAUGAAACGUUAACAUCACUAGUUAACAAUCAUGCAUACCGUUAAAACAAUAUUUGAAUGUGGGUCUGUUUGACGCUUCCUUUAACGGUUCACUGACUUCCAGAGCUCCAAAAGCUACCAAAUUUCGUGAGAAGGUAGAAACAUGAGCUUGAAAUCUAAAACCGCCGGCCUCAACCACAAAACCGGCUUGAAAAGCAUCGAACCAGUCGCCAGAAUGGUCGGAGGUCAAUGAGCGUUUGCAAUGAGCGGUUCACCUUCCAAGUGUCCAAAUGCCAACAAAUUUUUACAGUAGGUAGGCAAGGAUGUUAGGAAUCCGUGGCCGCAAGAAUCACCUCGAGAACCGGUCUACAACUUAGUGAACCGUCCCUCACAAUGACUAGUCCGCGAGCAGAAAAACCGAAAAAUCAAGGUUUUUGCAUCUUUUCAAUAAUUCUUGAGGUUCUCCAUAGCAUCCAAGUGUUAUGGUUUGAGUUAAACCAUAUUUGAACAUCACCAUAGCAUUAUUAUGUCACAAUAUGGACAAUGAGAAGGCAUAUGUGCCAACAUCUUAUGUAUCAUGCGUGUAUAAUCACUUGUUGAAAGAGUAGAUAUGUAGUCACUUUUGGGUUAUGCCAUAGACAUACUCAUGUCUUACUUUGUGGACUACGACUUAGCAUCUCACGUGUGCAAGUCUCUACAUAAUAUUGUCUUUAGUGUAAGAGGGUGUCGGUCCUAAUCUUUGCUAAAGAAUAGGCUUUGUUAUGAGCAUAGUCAAUAAGAGAGUACAAGAGGGGUUCUCUUGUGUGGCGUCAUACUUGCUUGUGAAAGCAUGAGUAACAUUUCCAUUACAUAGGGGGAUGACGCAUAGGGCAUCUAUUGCCGUCAAUGCUCUUGGCAUCACCAAGUUGCAUUAUGGUGAGCUUCGAUCUCAUUGACUUCUUUGCUCAAAAGGAAUGAUGUCCGUGUAAAUUCUCAACAUUCAGAUCAUCAAAGCACGUCCUUAUUGCAUUGGACAAUUUUGGUAAAAGCCUUUGUGAGUCAACAUUCCAAUUCUCAUCCUUGGCGACAAUAACCGAUUCAUAAACCAAAUCAAAAUGACUCAUGAAUGUCGCACAUUCAUAACAAGUGAUACAUACGAAUUUUUCAUUCUCAAAAUGAGUUGCAAGGUGAUAAACGUUGGCAUAAGUAUCAUAUCAUAGCAUGGGUCGUGUACUUCUUAAUGCAUAGAAGCAUAUGUGACUUGAAUCAUAACGCCAUGAGGCAUUGAAACUUGAGCAUCAAACCGCUCUUGGAUUGUGGUGAUGAUCUAGUCACUGUAGUCACAACGGAUUUUACAUAAGUAAAUCCAUGAAUAGCUAUCCAUUCGAUGAGCUAAGCACUCAAUCUUUCUCAACACAUUCAUAUACAAGAUGUGGAGACAACCUUCAUAUUCAAAGGCAUAGAAACCGAAAGACGUACUCAAUUUCGGUGAGAGUGCAUUACAUGACAUGCAACAUUACAAAUGCCAUAAAGAAACAAGGCAUGGUCGGUCACGGCCUCAAAGGCGGUGAAAAACGGCGGCGGCAAGGCAAAGGGCGCUCCGAGCGCAUAAAAACACAUAAAGACACACAAGGGUGCUGCAGGGGCGCACAGGGGCACAGGGCGUGGCAGGGGCGCAGGGCGCCAGCAUGCGUCAGGGAUGCGCAAAGGGUGUUGAAAGCCCAUCAGUGGCGCGCAUAAGCGUUGUGUUGUUGCCUAAACUCGGCAUUGCUACUGCCUUGUGCAAUUGCCAUUCUAUUUCGAUUGCUUUCGAAAUUUCUUGCUUUUCUGCCAUAUAAUAUGCCAUUACCAAGUAUAAUACCACCAAAAACAAGUGGAUUUUCAUAUGUUGCUAUGAUAUUAAGCUUAUAGCUUUGUGCAAUUUGAACCAUGCGUAAGGGUAAUAAAAUUCUCAAUCGAUCUGAACACAGAGAUUGUUAAAAAGAUGAAUUUUAUUAAUGCCAACGUGAGUACAUCAAUGGAUGUCUAAUUCCAAUAAAGCUGACUGAAAGUCAAAAAUAACUGUGGCUAAACAUGUGCCAAACAGAAAAAUAUAGCAAUUAAACUCGUCUAUCACAUAGACUUAAUCAAUAGUCCGAAGUCUCUAAGUCCUUGGGAAUGGCUUUCUUCUUAGCCUCAAAGUCUGCUAUAGUGAGAUGGGUGGAAAGUUCAUCACCAUACUCAUCUCCCCAAUGUGUAGUUAGCCUCUUGAGCCAAUAACUACAUGUGUCGUUUGUAGGUAUCACUGUCAUCCUUGCUGGCACAACAAUCUUUGUGCAAGUGAGCGGUAGAACCGCAAUGGUAGCAAGAAGAGCGAUUGUUUGAGUUUGAUAGAGUUGGAUGGGCAUGGCGCCUCAGUAACAUGAGGGCUUGAAAUUUGAUCAACUCACUGGUAACUGCAUAUGGGCCGUCAGGAGGAAUAAUAGUGGAUGUAAAUCCUUUGCCGAUGAACUUGCAUGUCUCAUCGGAUGUCCAUCGAAGAUAAUUCUUGCCUCGUUCAUCGAGGGUCUCAAACUCAUUUCUACAAAACGACAAGGGGAAUAGUUAAUAUCGAAAAAUCGGAUACUAAAUAGAAUUACAAACGUGUACCAAUGAUGUAUGGUCACUUAUAAUCGAUGCUGAAAAAGUAGGUGACGCUGAGUCGCUAAAAGCAGUCACGGUGACGUGUAAUCGCAGUCAUAAUCGAUUUCUUCCCUUGUAUGUAACGCUAAAAAGCUGUCACAUUGACGCGUAAUCGCAGUCGCGGAUAUAUGGUGACGCGUAAUCACAGUCACAUCGACGCGUGAUCACAAUCGCGGAUAUAUGGUGACGCGUAAUCGCAGUCACAUCGACGCGUACUCACAGUCGCGGAUAUAGGCGGGAUGAGGGGUCCCAAUCCCUCAAAACCCUGUUCCACAAUAUAAGAAAUAUGGGAGGUAGCAAGGCGAAUAUUGCCCAAUAUAUAUACUUCUAUAUUCAAAAGCGGCAACUUUAAUAAAAAACUUACUUGCUAGUUAAACAACCGUAGGAUAGAGAAUUCGCCCUUGUAAUUUUCAUGAGUGUGUCCACGUGUGUAUAAAGAAUAUGCUCUUGCAAUAUUCUUUAUUAUCCACGUGCGUGCGGUGAAUUUUCUCACAAUUCCAUAGCAAUCCGUCACACGGUUCAUGAAAAUUAAAAACAUAUGGUUAGUCAUAUUCACCAUAUAUAAACAGUAAAGGUAAUUAAAGAAUUACCACAGUAACUCGUAGAGUAAAUAAAUUUUUCACUGGUGAGUAAAACCUUUUAUUGUCGGGGUAAAAUACUUUUUUACUUGGAGAUCAAAAUUACUGAAUUGCCCUCGGCUAUUCAGUUUCAAAUCGGAAACCAAAGCAGGUCCGGGUCGGGUCGAAUCUGAAACCUUCGGACCCGUGCUUGGGUCUUGGCCGGAGAGACGAGCGCUGAGCUGCCGGAGCCGAGAUGGCAGCAGAGGCGCAAAGGCGACGUCGGGGGCAGAGCUGGGCUCGGCUGGGGCUGCUCUGAGCAGCGGGUCGGAGCUCCUCUCUUCGAGCUCGGAGCGUUGCAGCAGCGAAGCGGAGCUUGGCGGCGCUUCUGAAAUGCUGCUGAUGGCGGGGAGGAACCUCGGCUGGGGCUCGGCUUUGGUGGGGUUUGCACAACGUUGAAGCAGCAGAGCAGAUGUCGCUGCAGGUUGUGCGCGGCGAGGCUAGGACUACGCUGCGCAGUGUUGCCGAAGCUGCCCUCUUGGAGGCCGGAGCAAGGAGGCAGGACGUCGAAGAACGGCUUGCGGCACAAAACAUGCAUCGGAGAAGAUGAAGGGUGCCCAAAUCAGUUUUUGGGUGCCCUAAUUAGAAAUUAGAUUUUUUUUUUUUUGAGGAAAUUUUUCAAAUGAUGCCUCAAAUUAAGUCCAUUCAUCAUUUUGACAUCUCAAUUUUAAAAACUAUGAUAAUAAUACCUCAACAUUUAAACCCAAUCUAACAUUAGUUUUCUCCGUGAUUGCCACCGUUAAGUUGGACUUUAUCCAAGUUAAGUCCAUUCAUCAUUUUGACAUCUCAAUUUUGAAAACUAUGAUAAUAGUACUUCAACAUUUAAACCUAAUCUAACAUUAGUUUUCUCUGUGAUUGACACCGUUAAGUUGGACUUUAUCCAUGGGUAAAAUUGUCUUUUCAUGUUUUCCCUCCCCAAAUCUUUUCCCUCCAUAAACAUUUCCCUCUAGAAUAAUGUCCAUUUUUUUAUCAGUAUCAGAAUUUGGGGUGAGCCAUGUGUUGGCUGCAUACAAAAAUUAGAGAUAUCUAGAAAUUAUAAUACACCAUUGGUCAUUAAUAUCCAUCAUUAAAAGUAGGUUUUGCAACUCACCAGUGAGAGAAAGAAUCAACUAUGUUGCACGGACACGAACACUGACACGGUGACACGACACGGCGACACGGUAUAACUCAAAAACUGAGUUUCCAACACGUGUCGCAGUGUCCAUGUCAAUGUCCGUGCAACAUAAUUCAUGAAUUUCUGUACUUGAUACAAAAUGCAUUUUAAUCAAUAUUGAUUCUUUCUCUCACCGAUGGGUUGCAAAACCUACUUUUAAUGAUGGAUAUUAAUGGUCAAUGGUGUAUUAUAAUUUCUAGAUCUCUCUAAUUUUUGUAUGCAGCCAACACAUGACUCACCACAAAUUUUGAUACUAAUCGGAAAAUAGACAUUAUUCUAGAGGGAAAUGUUUGUGGAGGGCAAAGAUUUGGGGAGAGAAAACAUGAAAAAACAAUUUUACCCAUGGAUAAAUUAGUCCAACUUAACGGUGUCAAUCACGGAGGGAACUAAUGUUAGAUUGAGUUUAAAUGUUGAGGUACCAUUAUCAUAGUUUUCAAAAUUGAGAUGUCAAAAUGAUGAAUGGGCUUAACUUGGGGCACCAUUUGAAAAAUUUCCUCUUUUUUUUUUUUUGACAAAAAUCAAUGGAAAAGUCUGAUUUUCGGGUUGGGGUUUUCCUCUGUUAUCAGCUCAGGUAGAGCAAGUGCAUGAUAACAUGUUCGAGGAGAAAAGAAUACGAGAAUAAAGGUCUACUUAUUCAUUAAUAUCAAGGUCUUUAUAUAGACAUUACAUAGAGAAUCCCUGUAAAUCAGGGAUAGAUAUCUAACAGAUAUUCUAGUCUAAUCAAGACAAGAUUCGGUCCAGACACAUCAUCAAGGACAAUAAUGUAAAUUCCUUCAACAAAAAUAUUAAUUUAUAUUUUAGUUGUAAAAAAUUCACAUGUCUAAAUUUGAUUGAAAUAUAGGACCACGUCAGACAGCCACGUAGUUCUCCCGUAGCAUAUAAAAAUUUCUCGUAAGUCACAGACUUGGUUAUAAUAAAUUAUGAGGUUAGAGUCGGGAGUUACCUAUCCGAUUAACUAGGCAAUAAACGGAAGGAAACAUCAAAAAAAAAAAAAAACUAGGCAAUGAAUGGGAAGCCGACGGCCAACAAAGAAAGUCUGACAUGGAACGAAACAUCUUGUUACUGUAUAUAGAAGGACGACUUCCUCUCUACUCCCUAAACCUUUCCGCUGCGCUCUUCCUUUCUCCUUCCCGUUUCAUCUUCCUUCCUUCUCCUUCCUGUUUCAUCUCUGACUCUAAAAAACUCUCUGCAUGUUUAGAGUCAAACUCUCUCUUCUUAUCUUUGCCAUGGCCUCUCCUGAUGUUAAUUUCAUCCACUUUGCACUCUGCAAGCCCAAUUGGCAUCACAUUACUCAUCUUCUUCGUUCAAUAUGUUCGCGCUGGAGAUUCUUAUUCAGCUAUUGCUAGCCCUUAUAAUUAUAGCAUUACCGAUAGCUUCCUCAAAAUUUCUCUAAGAGAAAGCAAAAGUCAAAAUCUCAAAAAAAAAAAAAAAUUUGCUCUAAACUCCAGCAGCUUCCCCAUUUUGAAGAUUUUGACAUUUAUUAAUACAAUUAAAUAUUCUACAUUAUUAUUUUUUUGACAGGUAAAGCCAUACGGCAAUCACUAGUGGAAAAAAGAAUCUAGGCGACGGAAUUAUAUUAAUUUCGUAGCCUAAGUGGGACUUAGACGACGGAAAACAGUUUCGUAGCCUAAGAAGGACUUAGGCGACAGAAAUGUAUUCCGUCAUCUAAGAAUCUCUUAGACGACGGAAAUAUAUACUUAGGCGAUGGAAUUAUUUUUAAAAAUAAAAAAUUAAAAAAAUAAUUACUUAGGCGACGGAAAUAUAUUCCAUGGUCUAAGAAUAUCUUAAACGAUGGAAAAUAUAUACUUAGGCGACGGAAUUAGUUUUUAAAAAAUAAAAAAUAAAAAAUUAAUUACUUAAGCUGCGGAAAUGUAUUCCAUGGUCUAAGAAUCUCUUAGAUGACGGAAAAAUUUACUUAAGCGACAAAAUUAUUAUUUAAAAAAAUAAUAAUAAAAUAAUUAAUUACUUACGCGACGAAAGUAAAACUUUUCGUCGCCUAAGUACUGAAAUUUUUGGCGGCAACGUUUCAGCCAAAACAUUUCAAGAAAACUCAAACCAAAAAUUUUAAAUUUUUAUUUUUUUAACUUAAAAAAACUCCACUCUCACUCAAAAAAAUUAACUCUCUCACUCUCUCAUUAAAACUAACCCUAUCCAAUUAAACUCAACCUCACCCUCUUUCUCUCAUCUCAUCUCCGUCCCUUUUCAUUUUUUUUCUCAAUCCCUUCUCUUCCUCUCCCCUCCCCUCUCCAGCCUCCCACCACCUCCACCCAAAGCGCCUCAUCUCCCUCGUCACCCGCGAACCCAACCUCAACCUCGCCCUCCGAAUCUUCCACCACGCCUCCCAACACCACCCUGGUUUCCGCCAUAAUUACCACACCUACCACUCCCUCAUCCUCCGCCUCCUCCGCUCCCGCGCCCUCCACCUCAUAGACCCCCUCCUCUCCAAACUCCUCCGCUCCCGCCUCCGCUGCCACGAGGACCUCUUCGUCUCCCUCAUCCGCCACUACGGCGUCGUUUCCCGCCCCAACCUCGCCUUCAAGACCUUCCUCUCCAUCCCCGAAUUUCGCGCCGAACGAUCCGUCCAAUCCUUGAACGCCUUGCUCAACGCUCUGGUGCAGAAUCACAGCUGCGAUUUACUCCACUCGGUGUUUCGAAGCUCUAAGGAGAGAUUCGGUCAUUCGGAGUUUCGCCAAUAUGGGUUUUUGAUGGUUUUGGGGAAGAUGUGAUACAUCUUAGGGUUGGACUGGUUGAGGGUUUUGGGGGGGGGGGGGGGGGGCUUAUGGUUUCUGUUUCGGUGGUGGUGGUGGUAUUUGGGGCAGAGGCCUCUGUGCGGCGAUGUCCCUUUUUUUAAAAUUUUUUUUUUUCAGAUUUAGCGACGGAAUCCAAUAAUUCCGUCGCCUAAGAGAAAAAUAUAUUUUUUUUGUCAUUAAACAAUAUCCGUCGCCUAAGUACUUAGGAGACGGAAAAAAUUCCGUCGCCCAAGUAAUUUUCAGUCGACGGAACUCAAUUUUUCGUCGCCCUAACACCUACCUCACAUCACUUAGGCGAUGGAUCUUAAGCGACGGAUAUUCCGUCGCCUAAGUACUUAGGAGAUGAAUUUUGUUAAUUAGGAGACAAAACUAUUCCGUCUCCUAAGUGACUUUUUCCAGUAGUGAAUUUCAUUGAUACUCAAGAUAGAAUGACACGGAUACAUGUCUUCCCUUGCCAAACAUUUGGGCAAGUUAAGGACGUGGCAUGCUAACACCAUUCAUUACAAAGACUCCGUUCAUUUAUUUCUAGCAGAAAAAGCAAGAAAUACUAGACACACAAAUGCUUAGGUUCCUAACAAAAAAAUUACUGUAAAUAGACUAGCUAAAUACUUAGUUUUGGGCUAAAGAAAAAAACCCUAGCCCAAAUUAGGUGUACUGGGCCAGAAGAUGAGUCCAAACACUAGGCCCACUUGGCUGACCCGAUCAUGAUCCCCCUUGGAUCUUCGACGCGCCGCCACGCCAAUCUCACCCAGCUCCGAUUGCCCGACCUGUGCUCUUCUAUUCUUCAUUAUUUUAAAUUAUAACAAAAAGAAAAUAUUCUAUAUCUUAUUAUAACAAUAAAAUACUCAAUAAUAUAUUUUAUAUUUUUUUCUUCUCAUUGGAGCAUGUGAGGAAUUUAUGACAAUGUUAAUUUCGAUAAUUUGAGAAAUGAAGGUUUUGCUGCAAAUUUAGAGAAUAAUUGUUUCUCUUUCUUCUCCAUCCUCAUUUUGGGGAAUGGGAUGGGGAAACUAUUGGACCUAAAACAUCUAUAUAUUCCCCAAAAUUAAGAAGUUAAAAAAUGGGGAACCUGUUGAAGAUGCUCGUUCCCAGUUGAAGUAGUCGUGACAUAAAUGCUAUUGGUAUCCCUAUGCGGUGGUCGUCCUCUUUCUCUUCAGUUCCUCUCUUUAUAUUCUUAGGCCUAGUGGUUUGCGGAAAUAAAAGUAGUUCAUUAUUUUCUCUCAUGAGAAGAGAAAGUGAACGGGAAUGAAAUUUCGAAAGAAGUUUUCAUUUCGAUGUUUGGUAACGCAAAGAAAGUUGUUGGGAAAGAAUGAAGGAAAGUUGUUUCAUUAGAUUUUGGAAUGAACCAUUUUCCCCUAUAUUUUCCCUUUAAUUAGGAAACUCUUUCAUUUCAUGCUGCCUACUUUUCGCGAAACAAACGAGGCCUUAUUCCUCUGUCCAUUCUAUUCACUUAUCUUAACUCUUCCUGCUUUCUAUUUUGUUUACUUACGGUGUCCCAAAACUGUCAGGACCCACCCUGAAUUUCACCCUGAAACCCGAGGUAAGUCCUACGGGGUCCACCUUCAAGGAAAAUUGACCGAAAAUUCGGCAUAACCUUCUUUGAAAAUGGACAACCCUUACCUAAAAAAUCAAACUCAACACUUCUAUAACCAAACAUCGAUCCUCAACACCUGGAGCCUUCCUGCUCCCCAAGUUCAUCUCAUCUCCCAAUAUAACAAUUACUCAUCUAAAACAGUCCCACAACUGACAAUAACUAACAUUAAUUCACUAACUGGUUAUCAGAGCAUAUCUAAAGUUAAACGAAAAACAAUGACUAAAGAACAAGUGGAAGCAGCCUCUGACUAUGCCUCGACUCCAUGUACGCUCGACCUCAAAUAACUUAGCCUGCAAACUGGGCAUUUAAAACCAAAAGGCUCAGGGAAAAGUAAUUUAAAAACGUUAGAGUGAGUGGACAAAAUAAUUUAAAUAAUUUAACAAAAUACUCAAUUUAAAUAUUUUCCCACUUUUCAGCUUUAAAAACUUAACAGCAUGCAACUUGAACGUCCUUAAAACUUUAAAUCCAAAAUCACUUAAUAAAGGACAAACCAGCCCCGCUGGUUAAUUAAAAUAGAAAUCUCAUUAAAGGAGAUAAACUAGCCUCGUUGGUUAAUCAAAUAUAUUACUGAGAAUAAUAAAAUAAGGGAAAAAAUUAUCACCAUGUAAAACAGAAAUCUUAUAAAAAGAGAUAAACCAGCCCCGCUGGUUAAUCAAAUAUAUUACUGAGAAGAAGAAAAUAAGGGAAAGAAUUAUCACCAUGUAAAAGGAGCCUCCAAGGCUCGGGUCGAUGCCUCCCAGGUUAUAAUAGCGUCCCACGCUAAACGCUCAACUCACAUAUGAUGAGGACCGCUAGUAAGUCUAUAAUGCUAAGCGCUCAACUCACAUAUGAUGAGGACUGUUAAUAAGGCUAGCUAACUAAUAAAUAUAAAUACCGAUCGGUUGCCUCCCAGGCUAUAAUAGCGUCCCACGCUACGCGCUUUACUCACAUAUGAUAAGGACCGCUAAUAAAGUUAUAAUAGCGACUCACAUAUGAUGAGAACCGCUAAUAAGGUUAGCUAGCAAUAAUCUAAUAAGGCUAGCUAACUAAUAAAUAUAAAUACCGAUCGGUUGCCUCUCAGGCUAUAAUAACGUCCCACGCUACGCGCUUUACUCACAUAUGAUAAGGACCGCUAAUAAAGCUAUAAUAGCGACUCACAUAUGAUGAGAACCGCUAAUAAGGUUAGCUAGCAAUAAUCAAUAUAAAUCAACCAUAUAUUAUGGUGACUAAAAACAUACGAAAUAACUUAAAUCCAUUAAACUUCCCCAAUAUCAUACGAAUGGUACGGUUCCUAACAGUACUUGAAAAUCAUCCUAAGAUAUUAUAUUAAAACUUAAUGACGUGUCUCACACGUUAAAAUAUUCUCAAAUUUAUAAAUAUAAGCAAGAUUUCAAUAUCAAAUAUAAAUCAUAAAUAAUAAUAUCUUCACUCAAAAAUUCUCACUAAAAUAUUCUCCAAGUCAAAAUCAUUAUGCAAUAAUAAACAAUUAAAUUAUGAAGGAGAACUACCGAAAAUCCCAUUUUCGGUAAUCAUUUAUAAAUCUCAAAGUCAUCAAAAUAAAACCAAAAAUAUUUAAAUCGGAGUCAUAAAGAAUAUCAAAACUCCGGAGUCAUAAAGAAUAUCAAAACUCAAAUACCAACUUUAUAACCCGAGCUCAAAUCCAUAUAUCAUGACUAACACUUAAUCAAUGAUUCAAACUCAAAUAAUUUCCAAGAUCAUCUCAUAAGCCGAAAUUAUAAUAUAAGCUCGGAAAAUAAAAUAAUAAAGGACUAAUUUCAGUUUAUCCCCAUCAACUUUAAGUCGAUCAUCAUAUUAGUCAUUCUUCUUUCAAUUUCAUCAAAAACACCCCUCAACUCCCAAUUUCAUCAGCUGCGCAUGUCCAAACCUCUAAUCUCUAUCUAAUUCCUCUGCCAAGUGAUGAUUUGAUAUCAAGAAGAAAGUCAAAUUCUUAAAGUUACAUUUCGGACCAUUUUUCCCUCAUAUCGAUACACAUCUUCGUUCCAAUCACAACCCCCUAACUUUAGUGAUUUUAGUGGGAUUGAAUGCAAUUUCUUUAUUUUUCUUUUUUUCUUUCUUCUUGAUAUCAAGUCAUCACUUGACAGAGGAAUUUGAUGGAGAUUGGAGGUUUGGACAUGCACGGCUGAUGAAAAUUGGGAGUUGAGAGGUGUUUUUGAUGAAAUUGAAAGAAGAAGGAUUAACAUGAUGAUCGACCUAAAGUUGAUGGGGGUAAACUGAAAUUAAUCCAAUAAUAAAUUAUAAAAUCUUGUAUGCGCAUAUUUAUUUAAAAUCAAAAUGUCCACUCACAAAUUUAGGCAUAAGCCCGACGAUAACCGCAUCGCCACUCAAGCGAGGUUCCCUUCGCAUCCUGGCACAACAACCAUGGUUAGAACCAAACUUCAAUUCCAGAAAAUAAAUACGUGAAUAAAAACAUCUAACUCUCUUCCGUUGAACCCACUACUCUUAAUAGGGUUAAACUCACCGGAUUCACACCAAACUCCACCACAACAAGGAAAUCCAACGGCCGGAUUUUCAUUCUAAUAACCGGCAAAAUCCUUAAUCUUUUAAAAAUCUCAAACCUUAUCAAAACUCCUCCAAAAAUUCCAAACUAUACUUUAUUAGACUCCUCUCAUUAUAACAAACCCAAAAACCUGAAAAACAACUCCCAAGUGGCAGCGCCGCCGCCUGCUCCGCCGGCAGCCGUACUCCGGCGGCGUCCAUUGCCUCCCAAAAUUUAACAGAAUAAUCCUCUCAACAAGCACAACAACUUUCAUAACUAGCACUUGGUCCAAUUCUAAGCUUAACUAGGAUAAUCGAAUCAAAACAUCCAAAAAUCCCCCAAUUCAAACCCUAGCCCGAAAAUCCUCCUACACACUUCGAAUUGGAUCAUUACCUUCUAUGGAAAUGUUACACACGGAGAGCACUUCCAAAUGGGACUGAAAUCACCAGAGAUGGUGGCCGGAGGAGCGAGUUCCGGCGUUGGGACUCUACCACGCAGCCGGAGCUUCCGAGAGCUCUUCCUCCCUCACUGUGGUGCUAGGGUGGCUCCCACCGGUCCAAGAAGAGAGCAGGGUCGACGGCCUACAGUUUGGGACCGGUGCGGCGGUCUCUGGUGGCCGGACGACGGCGGACGACGUUGGGAAAGUUUUUGGCGGGAGAGAGAGAGAGAAAGAGAAUGUGGGUGUUGGGCUUCUCCACACCCGGUCCAAGACUUAAAACACCCACAAAAUAAAACCCAAUAAAAAUUUACCCCUUACCAACUAAUGUUUACCCUUUUAAAUGAUAACUUUGUCAUGCAAACUUCGAAUUUAACGCAUAGCAUGUCUACGAACUCGUAUUAACAUCCUCUAUGACUUUCAUGAAGGAAGUUUUCCCAAAUUUUUCAAACGAAAGAAAAGUCAACUUUUGAAGUCUUAAAAUAGUAAACGGUUACUUAAAACGGUAAAAGACCAAAAUAAUACCAAAGUAAAUAACCGUAAAAUAACUUAAGAAUCGGGGUGUGACAAAAACCCUAUUGACUAGGGCUAGGCGCGGUUUGAUUCAGAUCGGUUUAAGGCUCAAACCGCAACCGAACCGCUUUUUUCUGUUUUAGAAUAUUUCAAACCGCAACCAAACCGCUUUUUUUGGUCUUAGAAUAAUUCGGUUACACAGUUUUUCGGUGCGGUGUGGGUCGGUUUCGGUGUGGACCGAUUUAUUUAUUUCAACAAGUAAUGGAUGUUCAAAUGUUUGCCUAACAAUUCCUGUAAGACAUGAACAAAUGUUGAAUGCAUUUAGAGUCUAUACAAGUCUACAAAUGUCAUCCAAAUAUCAAUUAACUAACAAAACACCAUCUUUGAUCACUUAAUAAAUCAACAUAUAUCAACUAUCAUACAAACACAACAACUUGCAAACUUGCAAACUACAAACUUGAACAUACAUGACUUAUUUACAUAUUACAAACAAAUCCAUCAAUGGAUAUAAAAAAAUAAUAAUAAUUCGGUGCGGUUCGGUUUAAAUCGGUAAUUAUAACCCCAAACCGCUUUUACGCGGUUCGGUGUGGUGUGACCAUAAAACGAUGCCGUUUUAGUUUGGUGCAGUUGCCGAAUCGUUUUUUUGGUACGGUUCGGGUCAGUAACCAUAUAUUUGGUACAAAUCGCCCACCCCUACUAUUGACCCUCUAGAGCAUAAAAUGCUACGAUAUUAAUGUAUUUACUACUCUAUUUAGCUAUGUUAUUUCUUUAAUAAUACCGUUUAUGACAUGUUUUGUGUUUUUAAGGACUUAAAGAGAGUAAAUAAUAAAAAGGAAGCUAAAUGCUGAAAUUAAGAAGAAAAAUGCAAGAAUGGCAAAAAUUUCUUCUUGCAGUGCAAGAAAAAGGAGAUCACGUCAAUAACUUGGGAUUUUGGCGUCAAAGAGGAAGAGAUCAAGAGAAAAUUUGUCAUGAGGUGUCAUCCAAGAUUCGAGAAAUUGUGAUUCAAUCAAAUAAAUUGGGGGAGUAAUGGUUCAAAUCUUAUAUCCUCGAUUUAAUCCUACCAUCCCUGCUAAUUACCCUUUCUGUUUCCAUCAUCCUAAACCCAUAAAUUAUUUGUUUAUGCAUUGUGAUGUUGCCUCUAAUGCGUCGUUACUUUCAGGCGACUCUGCACCAAGACCUUCAUAUUAAUUCUUUCUUAAAUUGGAUAGAAACAUUUUUGGAUCAUCCACAUAAAAAGUAGUGGCUUUCCAAAUUUUUUAUGCUCUGCUACACUCUGGCGUACUCACACUGGUGUAAUUUUUCGUAAGCAAUCUUACAUCCCUACUAAAAUUGCUUUUGGGGCGGCAAAACAACUCUAACUAUACCAUGAAUCUAAUCAUAUAGUAUCACAAGCUAACAUCAAAUGGAAGCCUCCCCCACCCAGUAUGUUCAAAAUUAAUUUUGAUGGUUUUGUACUCCCUCCCUCUAAUGUUGCUGCUGGAUUUGUUGUCCGCAAAUCUGAUGGACGCCCGCUCCUCGCUACUCGUCAAAAUCUUGGACAUAUGGAUAUUCUCUUAGCCGAGGCAUUGGCACUCCGUGCUGGUGUUCAACUUCUUACCACUUACACUAGACAACCAUUACUUGUGGUAGGAGAUUUCAAACUCCUCAUGGAUGCUCUUAAUGGUCACUCCCAUAUUCACUAGCACAUCAAAUUGCUGGUUUAUGAUAUUUAGGCAUUCUCUGCUUAGUUUGAAUUUGUUUCCUUUAAGCAUGUAUGGCGUGAGGCAAAUUUUUUGGCAGAUAGUUUAGCUAAAUUAGGCCACAUUUGUACUAGUCCACAAUUAUGGUUAUCUUGUAUUCCUCUUUCCUUGAUCUUCGCCUUCCGCCUUGAUCUUUUCGGGGGCGGUUGUGCUCGAGGUUUUUUGUUGUAAUUUUGUUUAUCCAUAAAUAAAAAAAUACAUACAGUAUAGAAAAGCAGUUGUUGGAAUUUGUUAACGGGUUGAUGAAAAUGCUUUUCAUCAUGCAUGUGGCACAAGAAACCAAUAUCUUCCCAAUGUAGACACAAUUGGAGUCAAUGUAUGAGAGAAACACGGCACAAAAUAAAGCCUAAUUCAUUCGGUGGUUGGUGAACAUGAAGUACAAGAAGGGUUGAAGUGUUUCGAAACAACACUUACACUACUAGAAUAAAGGAUUUAGGUGACAAACAGGUUUCGUCGCCUAAGUUUUCACCCGACGAAAGGUUCGUCGCCUAACAGUCAUCGUAUGAGCAUGGACCCGUAAGAACUUAUGCGACGAAUAAAAAAUAAUGGUCGCCUAAAUGGAUACUUAGGCGACUAUUUAUUCAUCGUUGCAUAUAUCUAAAGUGAGGAAAAUAAACACAUUCAGGCAUCGAAAUUAUUGUCACCAACACUUGAUGACGAAGGAAAAUUAUAGUCGUUUUAAUUUCUUUUUACGCGACCAUUUAUUGAUCGUCACUAUCGUGUUUACAAUAUUUAAAAAAAAUGUUUUAAUUAAUUUAAUUUCAUUUACUGUUUAAAUAAAUAGUAAAUGAAAUUAAAUUAAUCAAAACAUUUUAGUUUCUUUUUUGAGUUUAUUUUUCUUUUAGUUUCUUCUUCCUUUUUCUGUUCUUUUAUUCCCACACCAAACACCACCACACGCCGCCACCACCAACCUCUACCCACAAAACCCACCGUUGAGCUCUCCCACCAAAAUAAGCACUGCCGGUGCCCUUCGUCACAAAAUAAACCCACAAUUACAUUCAUAUAUAAUUCCCUUCACAACUCCGUAAUUUCAUUCACAUCUCCUCACAAAUUCAUUUACCCCUCUCAUAGUUCUAAUCUGGAUUCCGUCCCGGCCUCCUCCCUCCUCCUACGCCGCCACAUACCACCACAUCGUGAAUCAACCGAGCUUGAACCACAGCAAACCCACAUACACCCAUAUAAAUUCACAAUAAAUACAUAGAUUCAAUGUGAGGAUAAACACGGAACCGUACAUUACCUCCCUCAUCGACGACGUUGAGGGAGUACAGCGGGUUCGACUCUAGGAGGCGGCAGCGGCGUCGAGUUGAAGGAGCUGGAUGGAGGGGUCGGGUUCGAGUACGGACAAUUCGGAGAAGGAGGAGGCCGAAUCUGGUGGAGAGGAAGAGAGAGGGCCGCAGCAGCGGAGGAAGACUCCGGCAAGAAGAAUCGAUUUCAAGACAAAGAGUCUGUGUUGGGAUUGAGUGAUCUGAGUGAGUGAGAAGAUGGGUUAGUUGUUGUUGGGCUUGUUGUGAAACAGGUCCUUACAUGCGGCGGAGGAGGAGGUGAAGAGAGAGAAAGUUAGGGUUGGGAGGAAGGAGAGGAGAGACGAGAGGAAGGAGAAAGGGAAGAGAGAGAAAGAACAGGAAGAGCGGAGGAAGAGGGAGGUGGCUGGUUGAAGAAGAAGUUAGGCAAAGAGAUAACGAGGAAAAGGAAGGAAGAGGGAGGAACAUGAAGUGGAAGAGAGAGAGGGUGAGGGUAUAAAAGAUAAAACGGAGGCUUUGAAAUUUUCAAAAAAAUUUGUUUGAAAAUUUUCCAAAUUUCCAAAAAUUUUCCAAAAUUGGUAGCUAAUUAGGAAAUCACAUAAUGUUUCAAUAAAUGCAGUCAUCAUAAAUUUAUAUCCCUUAAAUCUUUCAAUUUUUUUAAAAAAGUUUAAUUAGCCUUUUUUAACAAUUUUUUUUUUAAUUAGCAUUGAUUAUCAUAAAAUAUUUUUGGAAUAGAAUUUAAAUUGAGUGUUGACUUUCAAAAAUUUACUUAAUUAGUCUUAAAUAUUAACAUUAAUGGGAUGAAAUAAAUAUUUAUACUAUUAAAAUUUUAAUCCAAUGAAUACAAAUUGUGUUAAGAGUUUUUUUUACCUUAUUAACAUGUGCUUUAUUUCUUUGAACUUCUUUUUUUUAAAUAGCAAAAAAUAUUGUGGACUAAAGUGGUAUGUGAACUAAAAAUAUUGAAGCUUGAAGUUGAAAAAUAAAAGAAGUACAAAAUGAAAAUUUAAUCAUAUGAUAUGAUCGGUAUACUUAAAUACGGCUAUGGAAAAAAAUUCACCUGUUUUUGUUAAAGUUUGGGUCUCGAUCCACAUGGUCAAACCAAAACCAACACCACUUAUUACAUGAAAACGCUCUUACCUACCCUUAAAUGGCCUAGUUUGGUUGAUUAUUCCACACAUAAAACAUUCACCUCCGGAUGAUAAGGCUCCCCAUAGGGAAGCAUAAGCGGAAAGAGGGUUGACUGCUUCUAUCUAGGACCAAACAUUACCGGAAAUAUGUGAUUUUUCAACCAUACCCGUAUUUCACCGUACCGAUCACAUCAUAUUUCAUAAGAUUUUUGAAAAUAUUGCUUCCUAUAUAUAGUUGGUUCACAAAGAUGUAUAUUUGCAUUUAACCUACUAAAUAAGUUAUACCACAUUAGUAGGUAUGUUGUGGUUUCAAUAGCUAAAUUUCAAAAAAUCAAAAUUUAACCGUAUGAUAUGAUCAUUAUACUUAAAUACGGCUAUGGAAAAAAAUUCACCUGUUUUCGAUAAGGUUUGGGUCUCAAUCCACAUGGUCAAACCUAAACCAACGCCACUUAUUACACAAAAACGCUCUUACAUACCCCUAUAUGGCCUAGUUUGGUUGAUUCUUCCAAACACAAAACUCUCACAUUGAUGAGAUCUAACCACCUAUGUAAAAAUUUUGGGACGUUCACUUCCCGAUGAUAAGGCUCCCUAUAAGGAAGCAUAAGCGUAAAUGAGGUCUAUUGGGGACCAAACUUUACCGGAAAUAUGUGAUUUUUCAACCAAAUAUGUAUUUCAUCAUACUGAUCACAUCCUAUUUCACAAGAUUUUGUAAAAUAUUGCUUCCUAUAUAUAGUUGGUUCACAAAGAUGUACAUUUGUAUAUGUGAUUUUUCAACCAAACUCGUAUUUCAUCAUACCGAUCACAUCCUAUUUCACAAAAUUUUUGAAAAUAUUGCUUCCUAUAUAUAGUUGGUUCACAAAGAUCUACAUUUGUAUAUGUGAUUUUUCAACCAAACCUGUAUUUCAUCAUACCGAUCACAUCCUAUUUCACAAGAUUUUUAAAAAUAUUGCUUCCUAUAUAUAGUUGGUUCACAAAGAUGUACAUUUAUAUAUAACCUAUUAAACAAGUUAUACUAAAUAAAAACAUAAAUAUCAAAACAUUGGAAAAACAUAAAUAUAUAUGUUCCAAAUAAAAAUACAUAAUAAUAGUUAUAUUACAUCAAGAUAAAAAUUGGAAACUGAACUGGAACAACUUUUGCAGCUUUCCCAUUUUUUUCUCGUCUGUUUCAAAUUUGGAAACUGAAUGGAGAUUAUAAAGUGAGUUACUUAUGCGAUGAAACAUUUUCGUCGCAUAAGUAACCACUUUCGUCGCCUAAGAUAAACUUGUGCGACGAAUCAAUAUGUUCGUCGCCUCAGUGGUUGAUAAUUUAGGCGGCGAAACCAUCUUCAUAGCCUUAAUGUCUACUAAGGUGACGAAAAUAGUAUGAGUCAUUCUUUUGUCUCUUUGGUAAUCUAAGGCGACAAACCAUUAUUUGGUUCGUCACCUAAGUGUUUUUAGGUGACGAAUGAAGGUUUCGACGCCUAACUGCUUACCUAGGCGACGAAAAAGUUUUCGUCGCCUAAGUCCUUUAUUCUAGUAGUGUUAAUUAAUUGACUUCCAAGGCAUGGUGAAUCAGUUGACAAUUAUGAAGAUGGUAUUUGAUGAUGAGUUUAUAAGCUCGUUGUCAGACAACUAGGACACGUUGGUGGCGUCAUUAGGCAACUCAACUUCUUAAAGUCAUCACACAUUGAGCACCGUAAAAGAUAACAUGCAUGUUUAGAAGAAAAGAGUAAGGAAUAUCAACAGAUACCGAAGUCCUCAUCACCAACAAUAGUAGAAGCAGUCGAAAGUUCCACAAUCAAGGUAAAACAAAAGAUCAGUUAAGGGGCAAAUCCAGCCCAAAGAAGAACAUCAGAUGUUAUCACUACGAAACUUGACACUUCUUAUUGGGUUGGGGGGGAGGCAAAACUUAAUUUUACCCUAAAGAUAUCUUAAUUAUUACAAUGAACCAAUUAUUUUCCACCAUUAUUUCAAAAAUAUUGUGGGGGCCAGAGCCCUCUCUGGCCUUCAUGUAGUUCCACCAGUUGGCAUCAAAGGUUACAUGAGGAACGAGUGUAAAAGGCACAAGGGGCAUGCUGAGAAAAAUGGUGCCAAAGCUACAACCACUACUACCUUAUAAAGACAGGGUAGCUAGUCAUCAUUUGCGGAGAUGGUCAUGUUAAUUUGACAUCUCAUAAUACAUGUUUGGUCAUUGAUUCCGGCGCAUUCCUCUAACUAAGUUAGGAGGGGGAGAUUGAUAAGUCAGAGAAGAAAAUCCAUGUGGUGGCUUAUGAUAGACGCACAAAGUGUUAUCAUCUUAAUGUGUUUCCGACACUAUUUAGCUAUGUUAUUGUCUUAGUAAUGUCAUUUUUGACAUGCUUUGUGAUUAUAUAGACAUUGAAAGCGUAAAUAGAGAAAAAGAAGAUAAAACGGCAGAAAAGUUAAGAAUUCUAAUCAAAUUAGGAUUCUCAAUCCAACUAGGAAAGAUAGUCCUAAUCAAAGAAGAAAUCCUAGUUACAUCAGGAGUCUCAACGAGGCUCGGAAUCAUCAUUGAGGGAAGAGUCCUACUCGAACUAGGAUUCCUAACUCAACAACGAGUCUCAUUGGAGCGCAUAAAUGAGUAAAUCGAUCGAUAAGUCGUUUUAGAAACUUUCCUGUUUUGAUUUGGAAAGCAUAUGUAUUUCAUUCUAAGAAAGUUUCUUAUUUUGAUUUAGGAAACUUACUAUAUAUGAAACUUUCCUAUUCUGACUUUCUUUAAGUAUUUGAGAAACUUUCUAAUUGUAUGAGACGGGAAGUUGAGUGCAAGUAGGAAGACGAGUCCAAGAGGAAGAGAGACUCCUCUUUGUUGUGCAAACCUCUUUGUUGUGCAAAGGAGGAGAAAAUGACGCCAUCCAGGGGAUUAAGACGCCAACUAUAUGGAAGAGUUAGAGUUUGACUCUUUUUAUGCAACAAAUAUUCAGAAUAAAAAAUAGCAAAUCACAUAUACAUCCUCCAAAAGGAUUUAAAACACAAAUAAAUUCACUUGUGUUGUUAUUAAACAAAUAAGGACAGUUUUUAACAAUUAAGGACAAUUUUUUUUCUGCAUGUCAUGUGUCAUGGUUUAAUUUACCAAACUAACCCUACACUAAUUAAAUAUGCUUUUAGAAGAGAAAAGUCUCUCCUUUUAAGAUUUUUCAGUAAAUGGAAUACAGAGCAUGUUUUCAAUAACUUAGUAUAAUAGCAAUUAAUUCCAGUGUAGUAGCAGGGGUUAAUAUCCCAGUAGUAGUAGCAGUUAAUUCCAGUAGAAAUAGUAUCAUGGGUUAACAUUCAGUAAAAUAGAAAUAGUAUCAUGGGUUAACAUUCAGUAAAAAGUAGUAGCAGAGGUAAACAUCCCAGUAAAAGUAGUAGCAAGUUUUCAGUGGCAUAACUAAUGUAGUAGCAUGUUUUACUGGAAAGCUACACUUCCAACAGAUGUAGUAGCAGGGUUUUAAGAGUUCAGCUAGUGUAGUAGCAGCUUCAGUAAGUGCAGUAGCAGGUUUUUAGUGGCUCAGCUAAUGUAGUAGCAUGUUUUGUUAGAAAGCUACACUUCCAACAGAUGUAGUAGCAGGAUUUUAGUGGUUCAGCUAGUGUAGUAGUAGUUUUAGUAAGUGCAGUAGCAUGUUUUUAGUGGCUCAACAAAUGUAGUAGCAGCUAUUUUCAGUAUGUACAGUAAUAGCAGGUUUUAAGUGGUCAGCUAGUGUAGUAGCAGUUACUUCGAGUAAAUGCAGUAGCAACUAUUUCCAAUAAAUGUAGUAGCAUGUUUUUAGUGGCUCAGCCAAUAUAGUAGCAACUACUUCCAGAAAAUACAGUAGCAAAGCUAUUUCCAGUAAAUGUAGUAUGGCAGGCUUUUAGUGACUCAACUAAUGUAGUAGCAGUUAUUUUCAAAAAAGUGCAGUAGCAUGUUUUUAGUGGCUCAAUUAGUUGGUAGCAAGACUAGCAACUAUUUCCAAAAAUGCAGUAACAAGGUAUUACCAGUAGAGUAGUAGCAAAUUUUUAGUGACUCAGCUAGUGUUGUAGUAUCAACUUUCAGAAAAUACAGUAGCAGGUAUUUAGCGAAAUCGAUAAGCAAUAGCUUAAUUAUCACAUAUUAGUAUAAACUUCAUCAUAUUAUCUUGUCUAUAAAUUAAUUGUUAUUCUAAUGUGCAAAAAUGGAUUUAUUCCCACAUCAUGAUUACUGAAUCAGUAGCAAUCAGAUGAUCAACAUGUAGAAGGGUUUUGUAUAACAACAACCACAUUGAGGACUUUCAUCAAACACCUUGUGUGCAUAACUCCUAUUCUGCUUAAAAACCCAAAAAAAGAUAAUCAAAUCUUUUGAAACAAAUACACCAAUUUGCCUAAAAUUAAUACAAGUUCUCAAACAAAAUCAUGAUCAUUAUUGAAUCAAAUCAAACAGACCCAAUUCUAAUUUGGAAAUGGGACAUGGAGCAAAUCUGGAAAGAAAAAAAAAACAAACAGUAGCAGCCUCUCAAUCCUUAUUCCUUUUGGAUUGAAGACUUCGACGGUGAUCGGGUUCCACAACUUCAACAGAUCGUCGCCAAAUCGUUUUCUAAUAAUCCACCACCAAUCCAAUGAAGAUGAAUAAGAAGAGUACGUACGCCGUCGGUUUAAUGAUGGAAGAGUAUGCCGUUGAUGCAACCAGUUGGCCUUUGCGGUAGAUUUCUGAGAGAGAGAGAGAGAGAGAGAGAGAGAGAGAGAGAGAGAGAGAGAGAGAGAGAGAGAGAGAGAGAGAGUAGUAGUAGUAGUAGUAGUAGUAGUAGUAGUAGUAGNNNNNNNNNNNNNNNNNNNNGGGGUGGUACUAUGAACUUUGGUACUAUGACAGUUUUGUAGAUAUUUCAGAAAAAUUGGUUUUUAGGUAUUUUGCGUAAAAAUUGCUGACAUGGGGUGGUACGUACUAUGAACUUUGGGUCUAGGCUUAUGUCCUUAUUUGUUUAAAUUUGUUGAAAUGUGGUUUUUCUGUUUUAUGCAACUGUUUAGGGUAGUGGGAUGUCAUUUCCUAAAUAAAAAAAGGGAGUUAUUGUUUCAAAUCAAAUACCUAUUUAUCUAAAUUCCUAUUGGUUCAAUGACAUCAUCAAAAUUUGUUUUCUCUUGCUUGUAGGAGGCCGCAACAACUAAUGGAAAUAGAGAGUUAGAUUCUAACUCAAUUUGAGAGAGUUUGAUGCAACAAAAGAGGAGAAGAGGUAGCCUCGCCGUGCAACUUCUUGGGAGUUAAGGAAUGUAUCUGGACAUGAUUCAAGCCAUAUUACAAGCAUUGUUUGUUGCACAAGAAAUUCUAGAGAGUUCCAUGAAGAUAAAUAUCAAAUUUUUGUGCAAUUAAUGAAGACCGUUGGAUCAAUAUUAAAUCAAUCGCCAUGACCAAUACAUGGACUCGACACUUCUCUAUAUAAAGGUAGCAUUGCUCAACGUCAAAACGUUCUCUUCUCACACAAAAAUUCAGUAAAAUCGUUCUCUUUCUCUCUUCCUUUACCCUGUGUCGUCCAAGCUAGAAGUAAGAAGCCGGUGCUUUUUAGGACGUUAAGAGGCUAUAGAAGAUCUCCAAGCUUUGCUUUGCAUUCCACCAUCUCAAAAGUCCUUUGAAGAACCAAUAAAAGUGUAAAUCAUCCUUAAAACUUGUUGGUUUCUUUGUUUCGGUCGUGGUUUUUGGAUUGAAGUUAUGAAUUUCAUCUUUAAUAUUGGAUGGUUUUUAAGAAUUGAGUUUGAUAAUUUUCAGAUUGUUUCAAGCAUGAUUUCGACAUGUUUAUGACAACAUGUGAUCUGAUUUCGUUUCCUUGUUGAUUUCAUUAAAUGCAUAGUUUUAUAUUAACAAAGACUCCAAUUCUACACUUCUGCAGGUUAGUGUUGCUAGGUUUCUGAACUAAUUCACCUAAUAGUUUUAGUUAGAAAUCCAGGUAGUAAAGGCUAUGUAAUAAUGGCCGAGGCUAUGUGUUACAUGUUAUGAGUUAAGCAGCUUCUGUAAAUUUAAGCGUUCAAAUUCAGAAUUAUGUAGCACUUAAUGAUUUAUGUACAUUUAGUGUAGAUGGGUAUUCUCAAUAUCAAUGGCAGUAUAAGAGAUAAAGUAAGUAGAGUAAAAGGGAUGCAUGACUGCUUCGGCUUCCAUUUAGAAUUUGUUUAUGAUAUUACUUGCACUACCAGAAGAAAGGUUUUAGCCGACGAAAAUAAAAAAACAGGCCGACGAACUAUUUUUUCAUUGGCUAAAGUCCACUUUAGCCGACAGAAUUUUCCUUCGUCGGCUAAUUUAAAUUUUCAUCGGCUAAAGUGGACCAUAGCCGACGAAAUUAAAUUUUCGCCGGCUUAAAGAAUUUUUUUCGUCUGCUAUAGUCUGUGAACUUUAGCCGACAACUUUAAAAUUAUUUAGCCGACGAAAUUAAAAUGUCGUCGGCUAAAGUGGCUUAUUAGUUUGCAGAUAUGGACAGCAGCUCAUCUGGGAAAAAAAAACGAGAGAAGAAAAAACAGGAGAAAAAGUUUGGGUGUUGUCGAAAUUUGUCCAUAAUUAGUUUGUGGAGCUAUAUAUAGGUACGUACAUGUGUAUAUAUGUUGAUUUUGAGUUUUAUUUGAGUUGAUCGAUUUUGGGUGUGAUUGAGUUGAUCGAUUUUGAGUACGUUGGAUGUAUAUAUAUAUGUGUUGAUCGAUUUGGUUGAUGAUUUGAUAAUAUAUAUGAAGUUGUUGUUAAUAAGUAGUAGAUAUAUAUAUAUAUGUUAAUUAAUUUAUAAUAUUGUGUUGAUGGUAUGACGUUGUUGAUGAUAUGAGUUGAUGAUGAUUUUGUGAUGAUGUUGAUAUAUAAUAUUGUUAUGUAAUUAUUAAGUAUAUAUAUGUGUUAAUUAAUUUGUUAUUAAUUAGUUGUAGUACGUAGAAUACUAAAUGAAUUGAGAUUUUAUAUAUGGAAUUUAAUUAAUAAUUAGCUAGAGUUAUACAUAUAUAUUUUGUUAUAUUUUCAGGAUAUGGAUAAGAGUUGGAUUUCGCUUCCAAAAUGGGACAAAAAUAUGGUAAAGGAGUUAUGAGUUUUCUGGAAUAUGCGCUGACUAAUGCUAACGGGAAUACAAUUUUCUAUUGCCCGUGCACGAAAUGUCAGUGUCGCAGCGAUAUGCAUUGAUUUGCGAUUGACAAAGUAUGACAACACCUGAAGAGUAACGGGUUUUGGGAGAAGUACACAUGUUGGUUAUAUCACGGUGAAACAUCAUCAGGGGGUCCGCAUGAUCAUGGGCAAUUUUCUGAGACGGGCAGUAUAUCCAACAAUCCAACAACGGCCUUCAUCAACGACAUGUUUUCUUAUGAGAGCGGUGUAUGCGCUCAAGGACAGUAUAUGCCUGAGCCUGUGCAGCCCUUCCCUAGAGUUGUCAACACUGCUGGUAUUGACAAGUACAACAAACUGCUUGCUUUCUAACAGACCCCUGUGUACCCCGGUUGUCAGAAGACCGUUCUUGAAAGUGUGAUGGACGUAAUGAAGAUUAAAGUUGAGACAAAAUCGACCGUGAAGGCUGUUGAUGAUUAUCUACAGUACACUGCUUUGAUGCUGCCCCACGGUCAUCGUCUUCCUACCACUCAUCAUAAGGUCCGAUGUAUCCUAAAACAUCUUGGGCUUUCCUACAUCAAGAUCCAUGCAUGCAGAUAUGACUGCAUUCUCUUCUGGGGUAAAGAUCCAGAAAGGAAUGACCUUGGUGGCCUUAACGCAUGUCCGGUAUGUCACACUGACAGGUAUAACCUGACUCCUGCAGGCAAUAGGAAACCUGUUAAUGUACUUUGGUAUUUCCCGUUGAGGGAUAGGCUGGAGCGGUUGUACAUGUCUUCACAUACGGCCGAAGCUAUGAGAGGACACGCUGAUAGGAUAUUGCAUGACAAAGAUACCCUUAUACACCCUGCUGACGGGGAGGCUUGGAAGCAUAUAGACAGGGAGUUUUCUCAUUUUGCGUCAGAGGUCCGAAAUGUGAGGCUUGGGCUCUCAUCCGACGGGUUCAACCCUUUUGGCAACAUGAGUCUUCAAUACAGUGUAUGGCCGGUGAUUUUGGUACCGUACAACCUUCCUCCAUGGAUGUGCAUGAACCUUCCUCCAUGGAUGUGCAUGAAGAAGGAAUACAAUAUGUUGAGUUUGUUGAUUCCGGGGCCCGGUUAUCCAAGGAAGUGUCUCGAUGUGUAUUUGAGACCUUUGAUUGAAGAGCUUAAGUUUUUGUGGGACGUUGGUCAUCCCACUUAUGACAAGUAUAUGCACGAGAUAUUCCAGAUGCAUGUCAUGGUUGUUGGUACUAUCAGUGAUUUUCCUGCCCGUGGGAUGUUAUCGGGCAACAUUGUUAGGGGAUACAAGGCUUGUCCAGAGUGCCUUAGCGAUGAGGGGAGCAGCAGUCAUUGCAACAAGAUAUGGUUUGAGGUUAAAUGCAGGUGUGGUUUGAGGUUCCCGAGCACCUGAAGAACAGCUGGGCGGACAUUGUGCAUGGGGGAAGGUACGUUGGGAAGUUAAUGAAAAAACAAAAUUGUAUAUGAUAUUAAUAAUAUUUCUAAUAUUUUUGUUGUAUCUGUAGGUACAAGGAGUGGAAGAACGAGUUGUCACUGGACUACGCACGGGAACGCACGUUCUGGUACCCUUACUUAGUUCCAGUACAGGGAGUAUAAGUGGCGUUGGCUUCUGACAUCAGAAUUCAACAACCCUGUAAACAGGUAUUUAAAAAAAUUAAUUAGUUAAUUUGUCAUUAAGUACGUCCGUUUUUAAAUAUUUUACUAAUAGUUUAUUUUUUCUUUGAAGGCCGUUUCCCGGGCGAACGCUCAGAGCCGGUACGCAACGCAACACAAGGGACCAUCGUGCCGGUUCUAGACCGUUCGCUAUCUUCAUGGACGAGGCGGACAGGGAACAUCCAGAAGUCAACCGGUACGUCUAUACGUACGAGAAGGCAUAUCCUGACACCCAGGAGAAUAUUGUAAGUCAUCUUACGUUUUUAAAUUUUUAAUUUUACUUAUAUAUAUGUCAAAAUGUUAAUUAAUCAUUUUUUCCUAUCCAAUCAGGCGAAGGUGAGAGAGGCUAGUGACGAGGUGAUGAGUGCUAUAGUGAGGGAGACAUGGCCGGACACGCAAGAGGAAGAGAUGUCCGAAGCCAUGUCCCGGAUCGACACUUCGGAUCCGAGGUUGGGGCGAGGAUCAUGGGCACAACCUUCCCACCGCGGGAAAACAACUUCUACUGCCGGGGUCUAGGAAAGAAGGGCGAUGGGGUCCUGAAGACCACUCUAGGAUUUCAACGAAAUGCAGCCUCAACCAGCAGCAAGACGACUCAGCUAGAGUCAGAAGUUGAGAGACUACGGGAAUAGCAAGCUGCUCAGGCUGCCGCUCAUGCCGCCCAGAUCGCAGACCAGAGAGCCUAUACUUCUGCGGUAUAUGCCGCCCAGCAGGCCCAGCAGCAACAGAUGUUGCAGUACUUGCAGAAGUUUACAGCUGCACAGCUUCAGGGACUUCUAGCUCCGCCCAUGCCUACGCCUAUACCGCUACCUCAGCCGCCGCAAACUCCUCAGCAGCAGCCCCCAUAAUCGGAUAUUGAUUUAGACUAUCUAGAUUUUGUGUAGUUGAUUAAUUAUAUAGUUUUAUGUGCUUGUUGUUGGUUAUAUGUAUGGAAUUGUUUUGGUGUAUUUUGCAGCUUGCUUGGAAUGGUAAUUUAGAAAUUUCGGGUUUUUUUUUUUUUACUGGAAUGGACUUAUAGCCAACGAAACAUGUAAGAUACUCAUCGGCUAUAGUAUUUCUAAUUUUUUUAAUAAGGUUUAGCCGACGAAUUAUAGCAUGUUUCAUCGGCUAAACCAUUCUAACGCCGACGAAACAGACUAUAUUUCGUCGGCUAUAGUUAUUUUUUUAAUUUUUUAUUACACACUUUAGCCGACGAAUAUCUUAAAUGUUUUGUCGGCUAAAGUAUCAGACUAUGGUCGACGAAACAUUAAAGAUAUUCGUCGGCUAAAUUCUAGGACAAUAGCCGACAACGUCUUCUGUCGUCGGCUAAAUACUGAGACAAUAGCCGACGACGUUUUGUAGUUUCGUCGGCUAAAGUCAUCGCCGACGACCCUUUCCCGACUAAACUAUAGCUGACGAAGGCUCGUCGGGUAAGAUCUUAGCCGACGAAUUAAGCUAACAGAUUUCGUCGGCUAAAGUGCUUGUCCUGGUAGUGUUGACAAUGAAAUCAGUUAUGUCACUUGAAGAUAUGUUGUGUGUUUGAUUGAUUCUAAAAUUGUUGGUUGAUGUGUGUAGAAGAUAUCACUUGUACAUAUGUAUAUCAUGAUUAGGAAUUUAAAACAAACAUUUAAACCCCCCCCCCCCCCCCUCCUUAUCUCGUGUUUCAUGUGUAUUCAUGUGUAUAUUUGUAAAAAAUAUUUGUGAAUAUUUAUCUUGAUAAUUAAUAACUUGAUCAUCAUUCGCAGGAGUAUCCCUUCCCAGCUCAAAUGAUACCCUGUUACUCUAUAUGCAGUCUUUAAUUGAAUGCCCGGUAACAAGUGCGUUAGCUUACUACAUGAGGAUCGAAAAGCAUUUGUUGUAGCAAGGCUAUAGUUGCUAUAUGAAAAGCCAAAUGGAUGCAGUAAACUAUAAUCCUUGAGUAGUACUUUUUUUUUUUGGGCAUUGCCUUGAGUAGUACUUUGAAACAACAAGAAAGUUAUGUUAUUCUGUGCUUUAGAUCAUCAGCUGCUUUGUCACCCAAAGAGCUUCCUAGCAUGCUCUUCCCAUUCUCAAACUCAAUCUAGCUCCACAAAAACAAAAAUCAACUGGGGGCAGCAACCCCCACUUGCCCCUUCCUAUAGGUCCGGUUAUGAUCUUGAAGUUGAUAUUUCUGAGAAACUUUUGAUCAUUUGGGGUUUUUGGAAGGAUCGUAAUAUGCAACUUUGGGAGGCCAAGAUCCAAAAACCUAUUGACAUUAUGUUGGGGAGCCUUACAUGGCUAGCUGACUUCCAAGAAGCUAGAAGUAGCAAGGUAGCGCCAUGUCCAGAAGGCUGUCCAAUAAUGAAUACAACAAUCACACCAAAGCUCAGUGUUGAUCGAUGGAGCUUUUAGUCUUGCUGCAUGCAUUCACACAAGCAGUCUUCCAUAUAAACUCUGCUUUACAUCUUGAGGUAUUAGGAAGGCCUGAUAUGUUCAUUACCUCUUUGCAAAUGCAGCAGGUUGUGAUAGAGAAAGAUUGUCUUCUUGCAGUUUAGCACAUCAACAGUGAUCUUGAAGACCUUUCUAAGGUGUACGUAUAGUUUGGUUCUAGAUAUUCGAAGCAAGCUGCAGUUUGUGCAGGGUAUCAAAGUUCUAUUUGCCCUCAGAUCAUGUAAUAGUAAAACUCAUCGAAUAGCCAAGCAAGCAUAUGAAGCUGUGCAACACGAAUCCUCUAGUAUUCACGACCUAAUUGUUGCGUACCAUUCCAUGAUUGAUUAAAAUCGCAGUCUUUCUCUCUUUUUGGUCGAAUCAUUCUUUACCUCAAAAACGAUAAGAUGACAAUGGAAGCUUAAUGGCCUACAAAUUUAUGUAACUUUUGUCUCUAGGAAGCUCUUCUAGUGAAGACCCUUAAGUUCAGGACUUGGUGAGGACUUUUCGGCUUAUCCCACCUUUCGAGCUUAUAUCCAUAUCUUGACCGUUCAGUUUAUAGGUAUUUAUGAGUAGAUCAUUUAUUCAAAUUUUCAACUAUAUUGAAAAUUGUUAAGACAUUCAUAAGUGUGAUUUAUCAAUUAUGAACUCGAACGGUUCAUAUUUGACAGAUUUGGUUCGUCCAUUAAUUUGAUCUAGUUUGUUAUCUUAACGAACACCAAUUUGGAUGAAAAUUUGUAGAAAUGAUUUACUCAUAUAAACCUAAAAAAUGAACAGAUGAGAUGUCAAAAUGUGAUCGAAAAUUGAGUCUUUUAAACCAUAAACCGAAAAGUCCUCACCAAGUCCUCAACUUAAGGGUCCUCAUUAGAAGGACUCUCUUGGUCUCUAUAUGCGUGGUUAAGAUUAGAGAUGAAGAAACUACUCUAGAAAAAGUAGAUUGGGCUACAAAAGAAUAAACCAUUCUUACAAUCUAUUCUCUUAUUUAUUUUCCUUUCAAUAUUAAAAUGAGAAAUUUGUCUGAAUGAUAUAUAUUGAGAUAGAAGAUUAUCGAUAACAAACCAGAAUUCAUGGAUUUAAAUACAAAAUUAGGUAGAGAUAUGAUUGACAAAAUCUAUUAAUUAUUAGCUUGUUACCUGGUUGCAUGUUGCUGGUGCAGAUCAUCAUCAAUAAAAUACAUAUCCUUUUCAUCAGUUCGGAUCCCAUCCUUAUGUUGACUUGAUUUUCUAUUAGCUCAAAAUAAGCAUAUCAUAAUUUUUUUUUUCUUUCUCAUUUCCUAGUUUAAAUGGAAUGCGAUCGGUACAUGCAAACAUUUUAGCAUUAAAAAUCUGACUGAUUCUGAUAUUUUUCAUUUUCUAGAUCACCUACCUAAUUGUCUUGAAAGAAAAGAGUUAUCAAAUGGCAUAAACACCCACAGAUAUGCCAUCCACUACUUACCCUUGUAGUUUUCCCAUCAAUUUAAGUUUUUUUUUUUUUUUUUUUUUUUGCGACAAACCCCAGUAGCUUGAUGAUGAAUAUAAUGUUCACCUAUCUCUAAAUAUUUAUUUAGAUAUGUCAUGAAUUCUUAUCAACUUAUUUAGAGAUAUUUACCAAUCUCUAAUUACGUAGUAAUUUAGAUUAAGAUUUACAUACGAGAAAUUUUAUUCACACAUGCCUAUAUACUUAAUACACACCCCAUAAUUUUUUUUGUACAAAUAUUUCCUUAAUCUUUCUUUUAUACCCUCAUUAUACAUAUUAAGUCUCAGCAAAUCUGUACAAAAUGAAUUUUAACUAGAAUGCAAAUCUGCCUGUACAAAAUGAGCACAUUCUUCUUCUCCAACAUAUAUUAAGGGCUAGUUUGGUAUUGUUGUGACUUUAAAAAAAAAACUGUUGUUGUUGUACUGCGAAAAUAAUCAGCUGUGAAUUAAAACAGUUUUCUAUUUGGUAAAUAUUAGUUUCAAAAGUGCAGCAAAGAUAAAAUUUACUAAUUUCUAGUGUUUUUAGUGACAGCUGCUUUUAAAAGUAACAUUCAGGUUGCUUCUAAAAUCUGCUGCCAGUGAUCUGUAAUUUUCAAAAAAAGCUGAUUUUCUUUCAUUUACCAAACACUAUAAAAUUUAAAAGUUCUGAUAGAAUUGUUCUAGGAUAUUCUCUAUGUGUGCCUUGGCCUUAUGCCAAUAAGAUAUGUAGUUAGACUAGAUCUAUGUAUUCAUAUCCUUACCAUAUUGGUAUUGUGUAAUUCCCUAUAUAAAGGGCUCCUAUCAAUGAAUAAGAUGACUCUCUUGCUAUCUCUUUGUCUCUACACUUUAUUCUUCAUCAAGAAUAUAAUUUUUUUUUUUAAAAUGAAGCUGUAUCAAACGAGGCCUAAGUCCCAAUAAAACAUGAUGAAUGAACAAUAGAUAUUAAUGAACUAAUAUAUCAUGAAGACCUCUUUUAUACUUUGAUUCUUUGAUUUCUCUAUACUUCAUGUAACGCGAGAGAUAGAGAACAAAAUUUUCAUUGAUUUUGACUCUAGUGCUUUUUUCAUCUUUCACCAACUCUACCUCGCCCCUAUCCCAAAUUCAAAGCUAGAUCGGUCAUGACUCCAAACACAAAUUAUUAUUAUCAUAAUCUACUACAAAUUGAUGGAUGGGAUGGUUUCAUUUUAUGAAUUCAAUAUUGAUUCAUUUGAUUGAUAAAACGAAUUGGAAUUAACAAGUUGAUCAAAAAGAUUAUGAAAUAUUGUUAUGUUGUUUAGACUCCAACAGUAUAAUAUUUAUUUAGUUUAAUUUCAGCUUUCUCAAAUUAAAGGUAAAGUAGUAUUUAAAAAAGUUUUAAAAAUAACAUGUGUGUAUCUAUUAAUUAGACAUGUGUCAAUAAAAUUUCUCUUUACAUACACAUGAUAACAAAAUAGUUUACUACACCUCUUUUGGUUUGGUUUACGAAAAAGACGUGUAAUAAAUUUAUAGUAAGUCAACAAUUUACAUUAAAUUAUGGUCCCAAAAAUUAAACUCAGCUUUACAAUUGGAGUACCCUUUUCCCUCCUUUCACCUUCUUUCUAGAAUCCUUUCCAAUAAAAGACAUUUUUUAUCAGUAAAAAAAGGAUAAAGACAAAUGUAUGGAAUGACAGAAUCACCCACUUUGAACUCAAUAAAUUGGAAUUGUUAAAGAAAAUGAAAAGGGCAAUUACAGUCAAUUUAACAGAAUUUGUGCCAAAAAGCUGUUCUGUUGGUUUCAAACCCCCAUCAAAAACCUUGGCGGCUUUUGUAUUAGACAAUAGACAUUGACUCUCUUCCAAAUCCUGUGUUGUUUGUACAUCUAUAGCUUCCAAACUAGUCAAUGUGAUAUUUAUAUUCUGGGUUUAGCUGGAAACAUAGAAGAGCAACACCUGCUACUUCAAUUUGGGUAUUUGUCUCUUUCAAUAUCCCAGCUCUUUCCCAUUGAAAUAUUCUUCUUUGGGUUCUUUCUCUUGAUUCUGGUAUUCGUACUUUGUUUCUUUGUUUCAUGGUUCUGGUUCUUUGUAUGCAGAAUUUGACCUUUCAGAUCUGGUAAGAGGUCAGUCAAUGCUGUCUGGUUGCUGGAACUGAGGUAUGUCAUUUUGUGGGCAACAGAAAAUGUUUUUGAUCAGUGUAGAGAAGAUAGAGUUUCGGUGUUUACAUUCUUGGAAGUGUUGUUAAGAUUUAUCGCAGAACCCAUGUUUCAAAUCGUUUUCUGAAUUAUUUUGAUUGUAAACUCUAAAGGAAAAAAAGAUAUGGUGCUUGUAUAAUUCAUUUGUGCAUGUUGUCUUUGAUUUAUGUCAUAUGGCUUUCUCAUAGACUACAGUGUUAACUUUUUAGGCGCAUGUAGAGGGGCUCAGGGUCAAGAAGAUGGAGAUAUAAAUUGGGGGUGUCAGUGUGUCACUCUGGAGAGUCUUCUGUGAUAAUGUUUUCAAUUCUGAGAUGGAAAGGCUCAUGGUCUAUGAUAGCAACGAUUGCUUCUAUUGUGGGAUUGAUUUCACUUGCGUUGGCUUCAAUAGUUCAUCUGUUCUUCUUUCCCUUAGUUCCUUCUUUCAAUUACUUUAGUCAAGCUCAGAACUCUUGUGUCCCAAUCAAUGGUUCCGCUGAAGCAAUUACGGAUCAUAUUAAGGGCAUUGACUUAGAGUAUCAAUUUCCAUCUGACUUGCACAAGGCAGUUGUUUAUCGUGGAGCACCGUGGAAGGCAGAAAUUGGCCGCUGGCUUGCUGGUUGUCUCUCAAUUACAAAUGAAGUCAACAUUGUGGAGGUAAUAAGAACGAUCGUUUACAUGAUGUAACAAAGUUUUUGUCUUCUGAAUUAGUGAAGUAGAUUUGCUCUAAUGGGGUUAACUCAUGUACAGAAAGAAUAAAGAAAAUUACAAACAUAGAGAUGAGUACCGUACAAGUUUGAAUCAAGAGGUGGGAACAGAAGUGGGGGUGAAUGGGUGUAUAAUCGGUUAAUCAAGAGGUGGGAACAGAAGUGGGGGUGAAUGGGUGUAUAAUCGGUUAAUCUGUGAAUCGUCAUUAUUAUUUAAUAUCUGUAAGCCCUUGGAUGUGAGGUAAUGAAUAUUCAUGAUAACUAAUUGUUCUGUUGGCAGUUAAUAGGUGGGAGUGGCUGCAAAAAUGACUGCAGUGGUCAAGGUGUUUGUAAUCGUGAAUUGGGACAAUGUCGGUGCUUCCAUGGAUACAGUGGUCAGUAUAAUUUUAUCUUCUUUCUUACGGUGUAAAUAAGUUAAUACAAAACUUCAAAUGAUUAGGAGCAAUAAGAAGUUGGCUUUGAUGCUCAAUUAGUCUUCUCUUGAAAAAUAAUAAUUAUUCCAUGGAUAGUUGGGUUUACAAUCCUUAGUGUCGAACUAACUGAGUUUAUACCAAUGGUAUCAGUUUCUGCUAUGUACUUUUAUAAAUAGCCAACUAAUAGCAGCUACUCGCCAAUGUUCUGGCUUCUCCUGGGUUAUAUUUCAUAACCAUAGCAGGUAGCAAGCAUGUGAGAAACUUGGUUUGCAUAAUGAUAUGAUGACUACAGCAGUAGCAAGCAGUCUUAUGUUGAGCAAAUUGGUUUGCAUGGUUUAGUAUCUAUUAGGAAAGUUUGAUAUCUUUCUUAUGCUUUUCUGUCGUUAAAUGUUCUGAUACCUUUACUUAAGUUGUUUCUAAUUUUUAAAUUAUUACUUUGACCCCCUCUAUUGAGUGCUUAAAAGUAUAGAUUCUGUAUUCUGGACAGUCCUGUUGUUUGGCUGGAGUUAUUGGGUCUUAGCGUAUCACAAUGAAACCUUUUGUCAUUAUGAAAGGAUAUGGAUUUUUGUCUUGUUUUUAAACAUAUGUCUGUUCUUUUAUUCCAGAAAAUCAAAUAAAUUAGCCAUAUUUUGAUGAAACAUGUUCUCUGUAUGUAAUGUGUUAACUUUACAGGGGAAGGAUGCUCUGAGACACUGCAGCUAGAAUGCAACUACCCUGGAUCACCAGAUCAACCAUAUGGGAGAUGGGUUGUCUCAAUUUGCUCGGCUCAUUGUGACACAAAAAAGGCAAUGUGCUUCUGUGGGGAAGGCACAAAAUACCCAAAUCGACCUGUGGCAGAGGCAUGUGGCUUUCAAGUGAAGUAAGUUCAUCAAAUCCUAAUUAGGGUUUCAUCAGCAAUAAAUAAAUUAUAAAAGUGCUGCAUCUCUAAUACCUGUUUCAGGCCACCCUCCAAACCUGGCGCACCUAAGCUGACUGACUGGGAAAAAGCUGACCUGGAUAAUCUUCUUACAACAAAUAGUAGCAAACCUGGAUGGUGCAAUGUUGAUCCUGCAGAAGCAUAUGCUCUCAAGGUGCAAUUUAAACAGGAAUGUGAUUGCAAAUAUGAUUGUCUCUUGGGGCGGUUCUGUGAAGUGCCUGUGCUAUGUACUUGCAUUAAUCAGUGCUCCGGCCAUGGACAUUGCCGUGGUGGAUUUUGUCAGGUAAUAGAUGGUACCUUCAUAGUUCAUACAUGUUUCCUUGUUUUUUGUGUUCCUCACUAUCACUAAUUCAUAGUGAGGUUUUGCUAUUUCAUGAGAAAGAUGCCAUCAGAAUAUUAAACCAUAAAAAUUCUAAGUAUCCAAUGAAAUAUUUUUAUUUUGGUAUGGAGUAAUGGGUGAACCACCUGCAUCCCGCCUUAUGUGGCAGCUGAUGGAACACAAAGCCAACCUAUCAGAACAUUUCAUUAAAUGAUGUGACAUUGCCGCAGCUGCUACAUAAAUUGGGUUACAUGUGGUACCCAAAAAGGUGGUUCACCUUGCAUUAUUCUUUGGUAUAGGUAUCUCAGAAUUUUAUUGUAGAGUUAAGAAUUUUUUGGCUUUGGCUAAUUAUAUGACAUAAACCAUCUCUUUUCCAUAGGGGAAAUUUUUUGAAUAAAGUUAUAUCCUUUAAUGCAUCGAUUUGUUCCUUCAACAAGACCCUUUUAGAGAUAUGAAAAAUUUGAUCAACCAGGUACUGUCAUUACUUUUUUGUGUUAUGCUAGUUUCUAGUUUGAGAAGUAAGUUCCUGUUUAUAUAAUGGACAUACCUUUAUUGAAACCAUAUAUCAAUCUGUUUGUCUUUCUAUCAAAGAUUUAUUUGAUGGAAAAUUUGGCGCUUUGUCCAUACCAACUAUCUGAACUGACUUUUAUUUACAGUGUAACAAUGGCUGGUAUGGAAUCGAUUGCAGUAUUCCAUCUGUGGCAUCUUCUGUUCGAGAGUGGCCUCAAUGGCUCCGGCCAGCUCAGGUUAACAUUCCCGAUAAUUCACAUCUGACAGGAAAAGUUGUCAACCUCAAUGCUGUGGUGAAAAAAAAGAGGCCCCUUAUAUAUGUUUAUGAUUUACCCCCAGAUUUCAACAGCCUACUUCUUGAGGUCAGGAUUAGCUUCAGUUGGGAUUAUGUGACUAAUUCUAAAAGAAAAUGUCUUAUUUUCUCACUUUAUUGUUGUAGGGACGUCACUUUAAGUUCGAGUGUGUAAACAGAAUAUAUGAUGACCUAAAUUCCACAGUGUGGACAGAUAUGCUUUAUGGCUCCCAGGUAUUAUUUGAAUCAAAACUGGAAUAUGUGUGAUAAAAGAAAUAUCUGGUAGUGGUAGUCAUCUUGUUAAACUGGAAUAUGCGUAGGAUUAUUUAUCUGGCUUGUUGAUUCUGUGCAGAUGGCACUCUAUGAAAGUAUAUUAGCUAGUCCAUAUCGUACAUUAAAUGGUGAAGAAGCAGAUUUCUUCUUUGUUCCUGUUCUUGAUUCAUGCAUUAUAACUCGAGCUGAUGAUGCUCCUCACUUGAGUAUGCAGGUAUGCUUAGUGACUGUUAAUAUAUGUGAGAUAUUGCAGUUGUACCUUUUUUUUUUUUUUUUUUUCUUAAUUCACUGUCCUUUCCAAUAGGCUCUGUUGAAGAUGUAUUUGGUGUUUGAAACUCAUAGGAACAUAAGGGCUUGAGGAGCUCUCUCACUCUGGAAUAUUACAAGAAGGCUUAUGAUCACAUUGUUGAACAGUAUCCAUUCUGGAACCACUCGUCUGGAAGAGACCAUAUCUGGGUAUGUAAAUGAAAGAAUUACUUAAAGGCCGGAGUGCCAAAUAUUGAAUAAAAUGAGAGUUUCAUGUCUUUUCCUAGUUAGAUCUCAUUAUCAAAGUAUACCUGCUAAUGAUGUCCACCUCUUUAUCUGAGGCAGUUUUUUUCAUGGGAUGAAGGUGCUUGCUAUGCUCCAAAAGAAAUAUGGAAUAGCAUGAUGUUGAUUCACUGGGGUAAUACUAACUCGAAACAUAAGCACUCAACAACAGCCUAUUGGGGUGACAACUGGAAUGACAUUUCUUCAGAUAGGAGGGGCAACCAUCCCUGCUUUGACCCAGAGAAAGAUCUAGUGCUUCCUGCUUGGAAGAGUCCUGAUGUCAACUCUUUGAGUUCAAAACUUUGGGCCAGGUAGACAUUCGAUUGAGAGCAUUCAAUAAUAUCCUUUUUGUUCUGUUUUGUAGUAUUGUUACUUUAUUCAAUAUGCCCUAUCCAAAGAAGAAAAUGUAUUUGUUCAUUAUUUUCUUUUCAGGCCCCAUGAGAUGCGGAAAACCCUGUUCUACUUCAAUGGAAAUCUGGGACCAGCUUAUCCAAAUGGAAGACCUGAAAAUACGUAAGUUAACCAAAGAGUCUCUGAAUAAUAUUUUGUUGAUGAAGAAAACAAUACAAGCGAAAAACAAAAACCAAAUUACAACGAAAAACACCUAGUACAACCUAAAUUAUGAAAAUCAAAAUUGAAAGCAGUAACUGAGGAUAAAGGGAGUCUCUGAAUAAUUUUGUUGUGGAUUUCAUAUUGAUAUUAUUUAAAUUACAUUUUUGUGGCAAGAAUGUACUGUGUACCAUCCGUUCCUUCCUGUUUUCUGUAGUACGUUGGUAAUUAAGGGAUUUUAAUCUGUGUCAGUUUAAAAAAAAAAAUAUAUUCCAAACAGAUUUAUGAAUCGCACAAUAUACAUAUAACCUGACAAAUUGUUUAUUUAUUCAUGAAGCUAUAGUAUGGGUAUUAGACAAAAAUUAGCAGAAGAAUUUGGGUCAAGCCCUAACAAGGAAGGGAAACUUGGAAAACAACACGCAGAAGAUGUGAUUGUUACUCCACUACGGUCUGAAAAUUAUCAUGAGGAUAUAGCCAGUUCUAUUUUCUGCGGGGUAUUUCCUGGAGAUGGUUGGAGCGGUCGUAUGGAAGACAGUAUUUUGCAAGGGUGCAUUCCUGUUGUGAUUCAGGUAGUGUGAUUCUAUAUCUUCUUUCUUCACUAUCUUAUUACUGUCUUGAAACAUUUGUCAUUAAUUGCAAGAUUCUGCCGAUCAGUCACCAUUCAAAUCUUGUAAUGAGAUUGCGUAAGCAAUAUAUAUUUUUUUAAGUUCUCAAAGUUAUUAAGGUAGUUGAGCUUCCCUCAUUCCAUUUCAUUCAAAUGGGAUGCUUCCAAACCAUGACAAUUGAAUAACUGCAAACUCUAUUCAUGUUUUCUCUACUCUUUUUUUUUUUUUUUUUUUGAAACGCAUGUUUUCUCUACUUUGUUUCUCUAGGAUGGGAUUUUCUUGCCAUAUGAAAAUGUUCUCAACUAUGAGAGUUUUGCUGUUCGGAUACGUGAAGAUGAAAUUUCAAACCUUAUAAAUAUUCUUCGGGUAAGUUCUGUUUCAUUUUCUUUUAACUGGUACAUAAAAGCUUUCUGAUUGGAUUAACAGCGUUUAGUAGACUGAUUUUUGGAAUUGUAACUCCUGUAGGCAUUUAAUGAGACAGAAAUAAAGUUCAGGCUAGCAAAUGUGCAGCAAAUCUGGCAAAGGUUUUUGUAUCGUGAUUCUAUUUUGCUCGAAGCUGAGAGGCAAAAAACUAGUUUUGGCCGUAUGGGUGAUUGGGCAGUUCAGUUCUCACAAUUGAUUGAAGACGAUGUCUUUCAGACAUUCGUACAGGUAAGUAUCUUCCUGUUACACAGAUGUUUCAUCUUCAUUUAUUUCCAUUUCGUAAUUCAUCAUUUGUUAAGCACUGCUGGUUUGGAUAAAGAGUAAUGCACGUUUGCAUGCAUGUGUAUUUGUUGAUCAACAGAAUAUUUUUUUUCAUUACCAGAAAAAAAAAUAAUACAAUGCUAGUGAUAUUGCAAGGUUGAACUUGUAAAGAAGGUCCGGCAUGAAUCGGUUACCAUCUUUUGGUAAAAAAAAAAAAAAAUACACAAAUACAUGUGUUUUGCUUAUGAAAGAAACAUGUAAUUAUCAUAAGGCACAUAGGAGGCUGGAGGAGAUUAGGUUGUGUCAUUAUAUUCUGGGCUUUAAGGUAUCUGGAAAAAAAAAAAGAGAACAAAAAUAACAAAAUAUUUUGGCAAUAAGUUUUUCAAGUAAGCCUUGUUAAUAAAGUUUAAUUUAAAAGUAGGAUAUAAAUAUUGAAAUAUAAUGUCUUUACCUGCUGUAAUGUUAAAUGAUGCGACCAGAUCGACAUUGAGCGUAUGAAAGUUCAGUGCAAAUUCAAACUUUAAGAACAAGAUUAGCAUUAUGUUAUCAUAAUAAGAGUUAAACUAAGUGAGCAUGAGAUGUAAACCUGCUUAUCACUUACUCUUUUUUCAUCCACUUUAUCAGGUUUUGCAUUACAAGCUACAUAAUGACCCCUGGAGGCAACAUGUUCGUGUAAAAAAGGAGUUCGGGUUACCUCAAGAGUGUUUGAUCAAGAGGAAAUAAACAAAUGUGCUUUACUGCUAAACUAAGUUUGUAUAUAGCUGCAUCACAAAGGCCACUAGGUAACAGAAAGCAAAGCUAAUGAACAGUUGAUGUUGAAGAGAGAACCUCGUCAGUCAUCUCAUUUCAGCAUCCGGUCAGAUAGGAUUUUGAAAGCCAUAUAUAUGAAACUGAAAGUAUACUACACCUCUGCCAAAGCCAUAUAUAUGAAAGUAUACUACACCUCCCAUUUUGUAAACCAAAGCUAUGAACUUUAGGAAUGGAAUUUUUGUUCAAAUGAAAUGAUGACCUCAGUUUAUCAAUUAAUUUGAUUAUCUUGUUUUCCGGGUAGCAGUGAGUGUGACUUAGCUAGUUGACUCUUAACCUAAUUCCCCACUCUCACUUACCACUUGGGUUUGUCUAUUCCAUUAUUAUGUAUCAGACAGCUCUAGAGGCAAAGAUAAUCAUUUGUGUAGGUCAUAGGUCUUAUCCUGGGUAUUUGAUAGCACCAAAUAUUGGCCAUGAAAAUUGCAUGAAAGGUGUUCUAUUAAUUAAUAACAGGGUCUUUCCAGUUUAAUCGUUUAUUCCAAAAGGUUUCCUAGAGUACAGUUGGUUCUUCAUUAAUUUGCAAAGGUUUUGUGUUGAGUCUGAAAAAUAUGGAAGGCAUAAUGGAUCAUUUGGUGCAUGAGAGGAGCAAGGCACAGUCCAAUGUUGAGGAGAUGAAGGUCAUCUGGGCAGGUUCUCACCACGCCUUCCAAGUCUCUGAUCAGAUCGCUUGACUCGUUGCUAGCGAUCCAGGCUUUAGAAAGUACAACAGAGCUGUGCUAAGCAGGAAGGAGUUGUUUAAAAGUACGAGCUCUGAGAAAAGCAGCUUAUGUGUGGAAAAGGAUCCAUGAGCUUGGACUUUAUGAAGAAGAGGCAUCAUGGUUGAGGUUCUAUGUUGAUGAAUUUACUUAUGCUUAUGUUCAUUGGGGAAUGUUUGCGCCUGCUAUUAAAGGGUCUGCUACUGAGGAUCAGCAACAACAGUGGUUACCUUUGGCAAACAAGAUGCAAAUAAUUGGUACUUAUGCACAAACUGAACUUGGUCAUGGCUCCAACAUUCAAGGCCUUGAGACAACCGUGACUUUUGAUCCGGAGACAGAUGAGUUCACCAUCCAUAGUCCUACCCUGACCUCAAGCAAAUGGUGGCCUGGUGGAUUGGGAAAGGUUGCUACACAUGCUGUUGUUUAUGCUCUGCUUAUUACUAAUAACCAAGAUUAUGGAGUACAUGGUUUCCUAGUCCAAAUUCGGAGCCUAGAUGACCACUUUCCUCUUCCAGGUGUAACAGUUGGUGAUAUUGGGAUGAAAUUUGGAAGUGGAGCAUUCGAUUCCAUGGACAAUGGUGUCCUUAUAUUCGAUCAAGUGCGCAUUCCAAGGAAUCAAAUGCUGAUGAGGUUCUCAAGGGUCACAAGACAAGGAAAGCAUAUAGAAUCCAACGUUCUGAAGCAGCUGCUUUAUGGAGCUAUGGUUUGUGUCAGACAAAUCAUUGUAGCUGAUACUUCCAUUGCCUUGUCAAGACUCAAAAGCAGGUACACAUUGCUACCCGGUACAGUGCUGUUCGUCGACAAUUUCGUUCUCCACAAAAUCAAGAUAGUGUUGAGACACAGGUCAUUGAAUACAAGACUCAGCAAAGUACUCUUCCCUUUGCUGGCUUCUACCUAUGCUUUCAGAUUUGUCGGCGAGUGGUUGAAAUGCCUAUACACAGAAUGACAGAAUUGAUCCAAAAGUUGGAAGCUAACAAUUUCUCUAUGCUGCCGAAGGCGCAUGCCUGCACUGCUGGUUUGAAGGCCUUGACUACUUCCGCUGCUGUUGACAACGUAGAAGAAUGUCGGAAACUAUGUGGUGGCCAUGGUUACUUGUCUAGCUGUGGACUUACUGAGCUAUAUCACUUACAUGCUUCUUUUUUCUCUGCUUGUAUUUAUGAAGGAGAUAACAUUGUUCUACUUAAGUACUUAUACAUGUUUCAAGAUUUCUCAUGAAGACCAUUUCUCAGUUGCAGACUGGGGAAAAGCCUAAUGGAACCACAACUUAUAUGGGUCAUGCGGAGCACUUUAUCCGAUGUCACUGUAAGGUUCAAAAAGCUGAGGAUUGGUUCCAUCCCACUGUAAUACUUGAGGCAUUUGAAGCAAGGGCUAUUAGAUUGUCGGUUGCUUGUGCCGAAAAUCUCACCAAGUUUACCAGUCCAACUUUUCUGAACUCUCACCAGAUUUAGUUCAAGCUGCAGUUGCUCAUUGGCAAUUAAUUGUGGUCUCCAAGUUCCUUGAGAAGUUGCAGCAAAACAUUGAAGGAAAUGGAGUGAAACAAGUUAAUUGGAGACCCUCUUCAACAUAUACUGUUUGAAUCUUAUUCAGAAAAAUUUGGGUGAUUUUCUGUCAACUAGAAGCAUCAGUCCCAAGCAAGCUUCACUUGCCAGUGAUCAAGUUAGGAAUCUGUAUUCCAAGCUUCGUCCCAAUGUUAUAGUCCUUGUUGAUGCAUAUAAUUACACACAUCAUUUCCUUGGCUCGAUUCUUGGGUGCUAUGAUGGUAAUGUGUAUCCCAAGCUCUAUGAGGAAGGCAUGGAAAGAUCCACUCAAUGACUUUGUUCAGUGUGUUGUACAUGAUGGCUAUCAUGAAUACAUCCAACCUCUGCUGAAGCAACAACUCCGGAGUGCAAGGCUUUGAAGAUAUCAAUAUCAAUGACCUCAAGAGCAGCAAAUCCUCUUUCAAUUUUCUGUUGUAGCUCGUUUUACUAAAGUUGUGUACCAUAGUGCUUAGAAUUUUUGUGUGUCGUCUGACCGCAAACUCUAGAGAUGGGCCAAACUUUGUAUUCCAAGUUUUCAACUAUAAAGUAAAUAGCCAACAAAAACAAAAGACGCAAGGUAUGGCAUAUGCUAGAGAAUUGUAUAAAAAAGAAGAAGAGAGAAAUCUUAUACACACCCCUAAUGAGAGAGAGAGAGAGAGAGUUUCAUAUCUGAGAGGAGAGAGGUGGCUGUUUGAUAUGAAUUAAGGGCAUACUUGUUUUUUAUAAGAAUAAUUUAAAUGAGUUAAAGGAAAAGAUUUUUAUUGGAUAGUGCUUUAACAUCCAUGUUUUUGUGCAAAUGAGCAUUUUCUCUUUACUUAACUAAUACACAUCCCUUACUCAAUACACUACCUAUUUAAUUUCUCAUUCUAUUAUUUAUUUUACUAAAUGCACGACCCAAAGUCCCCAAAAUACCCUUAAUGUAAAAAUUCAUAAAUAUAAUAUCAUUUUUUUUUGAGAAAAAAUGAAUUGUAUUCAUAUGAAGAGUAGAUUACAGUUUACAGCAUAUGAUAUGAAUUGCAUGACAUAAGUAUGGGAGAGCCAAUAAUGACAAUCCAAAACCGAAGAUGAAAACCAAGAAACAAAAGCGCACAUAGGCUACCUGUAGCCUUGUUGAUGCAAUUCACAUGUGGCUUGACUUUGGCAUGUUCAAGCUAUACAACCUUCUGAUUUCUAUAAGAUUUUUCUCCUUGCUUGGCUUUAGUCGGUCAUUUUGGAAAUAUUGCUUGAAUACUUCAUGAAGAUAGCUAGGAAGUUUUGCUCACACCUUGUAAGAUUUAGGAACGAUUGUUUCUUCGGCUUUACUUUUGCUUGGCUCCAAUUGCUUGUUUAGGCAUAAUGAAUACUGAUGGUGAUUUAGGCUUGUGUGGGGAUCUGGGUAAAUAAGAAAAGGUAAAAGCUGGGGUUUUGAGGCAUAGAUUCAUUAGAAAUGGUUUAGGGUAUUGAAGGGAUCUUAUUAUCAGGGGUAAGCUAGUAAUUAUAAGGAGAUGGUUGACGUUGGAAUUUGCAGUCAUAAGGGAAGGCUUGCAUGUGUUUGGUUCAUGAUAGAAUAAGGAGAAAUGUGAAUUUCACUUGACUGGAUAGGUUUUGUAGUUUGUUUGUUUGAAAAAUGGACUAGGACAAUGUUUUGUAGGCAUGGAAAAAUAUGUAUGAGAAACCAUAUUUGGUAGUUAAUGAUUGAUAAUGCCUGUUGAUGUCAUCAAUUUGCUUGAUUUCUCUUUAUAACUCAAAAUAGAGUAGGCAUCCCUGAAGUGCAUGAUCGCCUCAAUGAUUAGCAUGUUGGCAUGUCGGCAUGUCGGCAUGUCCUGCAUUUGAGUUCUUGAAGUCUAUUGUCGUGUUUGCAAUCCUUCAUACAAGUCUCUUUGUGUAGUCCUCCUUUUUUCUGGUGAUCUCAAAUUUCUCAAAUUGAACCAUGCCUAUGCUUGGUUAUCGAAUGGUAGACUAUCUUCCAAUGUGCAAUCAGUGUUGUUGUUUGCUGAAUGCAAACUUGAGCUUGGAAACAAAUAAAACACUAUGAUAACAUGUGCUACAGCUUUCGGUCUUCUUAGAUUUUGAUUGUCUUCUCGAAUCAGCACAGCAGACGAUUGUUUUUGUGCGCGUAUGGAUUUACAAGCAUAUAUUUGCGGUAGAGUAGUUGCAUGUGGUAUAUAAAGCUUUCUUGCAUUUUCCUUACUUCGUUUGAUUUCGCGUUUAAAUGAAUAUGCAUAUUGCAAUUGCUUGGUGUUAAGUGAGAUUUAGCUUGUGGCAACCUUGCAUAGGCAUGCGUUAGGCAUAUGUUUUGAUUGCUUUGGCUUGUGGUUGCCUUUGGUAUUUGAAUGACCAUGAAAGAGCAUGGAUAUGCAUCGAAAAAUAUUUGCAUUAGAGAUGAGCUUGGUGUGGCUUUCUCAAGGCUUUUAGAAUGGAUACAUGACUUUCAAAAGAGGAGCUUGGCAUAUGCAUGUUGUAUUAGGCUCAUGUAUGCUCCAUGUUGGCUUUUAGAAUGACCCUUGAUAUGCUUUUUGAAUGUAUAGACUCAUAUGCAUGUUGAUGUUGUUUAUAUGCUUGGAGUAAUCCUCCUAGUCAUGAAUCCGCUUGGCAUGGGAUUAAGCUUGAUGCGAUUAUAAGAUUGAAGUAUGCAUUAGCUUGUUAUAUUUAGAUAUACUUGGUAUGAAUUUAUAUGGCAUGUUCAUCUUAAGCGUAUUAGGAAUUAGGAAAGAGCAUGUAGCUUGAUUUAUUGAACAAGUGCAUACACAAGCUUGGCAAUGGUAGUUUGAUGUAAGUUUACAUAAGGAACUUGUAGUGUAGCAUGAAACUAGUAGUGUCCUGUAGCAUUAUGAAGUUUAGACAUGAAUAUAUGGGAGGUUAAUCUUAUGAAGCAUUGUUCUGAAGAUAAAGGUGUAUGUUGACCACUGCAGUAGACAUGGUUGAUCAACUUCAGGGUUUGAGUUGAUAGGGUUUGCUACUGGAAAUAUGGCGGGCAUAUGAUUGAAGUUGUGGAUAUUAGAUUUUUUGCUUGAGAUUGUGACUUCACCAUGGUAGAGAAUACAAAUUGCUAAAGAUGAAAAAUGAAAUGCACAAACCAGACUAUUGUUGUUACAGUAUUUGGGCUUCAACUUGCUGCAGGGGUAAAAUUUUGGUAGAGUACUGAUUAUUUUGGUUUGAGGAAGACUUGUAAUAUUGACAUUGGUUUGACAUUGGGCUUGGAAUAACGGUGUGUUUGGUCAAACAUAGGAUAGAAUGCUGUGAUUAAUGUCAGUGAGAUUCAGGUUCUGCAGAAGAAUAGUGACUGCAUUGAGUGUCUAUAACCUGAGAUUUUCUAGUGUGGUCACUACAAAAAAAAUUCGGUUAGCCACGGCAAAAAGCCGUCGCCAAAAACCACUUUGCCGUUGCGAAAGAGCAACGGCGACGGCUUCGCGAUGGCAUUUUUUCCGUCGCCGUUGAGAGCGUGGCCGUUGCUUUUGGCUAUGGCAACGAGCCGUCGCCAACUCUUUUGCGACGGCAGACAGCGACUGCAAAAGCCGUCGCAUAUUUAGCAACGGCAAGUGGCGACUGCUUCCACCGUCGCAAAUCACCCAUUAGCGACGGCAAACUUGCCGUGGCAAAUUCUAUUUAUGAAUUAAAAAAAAAAUCUGGCAAGCAUAUUAGCUUGCCAGAUUUUUAUUUUAAUUUUAUUUUGGACAAAAGCUGUGCAAAAAGAAAUUAAACAUGCUGAAAAGAAUUGUUACAUUCAAUUAGAGUCCUCAAACAUCAAUCUUACAUCAUAAGAACUAUCAAUAUAAGUUAUCUAUCUCUCAAAAAAAUAUAUGUCUCUCCUCCAAGCUAGCAAGUGCCCAGCCAAGUGAUAACAUUUCUUUCUGCAACAACAUUUCCAUUGUGCAAUUUGCUUGUAAGAUAAGCAUGUCAUGUUAGAACUUUUGUAAGUUGUCUUCUCUUUAUUGCACGGAAAGUGGUAUCUGCCACAACCACAAAACUUGUAUUUUCAAAUGGUACAAUAGGUAUUGGAAUCUGCCAUAAUUUACACUUUAACAAUAACUCAAAAAGUAAAGUUGAUAGCUUAGAAGUUCUUGAUAAACUAGAUGCUUAGAUAAAAAGUUGAUAACUUAAGAGGCAAUAUCAAACAAAAUGCAACACAGGAAGCAACGUAUGGACGAAACUGUUGUUUUAUAUCAUACUAAUUAUAGGCACAUUGAACAGUAUAUACACAGCUGGAUAAGACCAAGUAAUGUAAAGUGGCAUGCUCACAAUAUACAAAGGCAUGCAACAAAAUAAAUGGUUGUAUGAACCUUAAACAAACUUAAGAGCAAGAGCCAUGAUUAAACCAACAACAUUCAAUUUGUCAUGCACUAGUGACGUAACAACUUUAUAAUACACUAAUAACAAUGCAAGUAUAUAUAAUAUAGAUGUUGUAUAUACAAAGAGACUUACAAUGCGUUGCCCAGAAAUAAUUCUAGAAACAUGGCUUAGUUUAAGGUGUUUCUCCUCCUUCCCUGAGAACCAUAUCAGAACGGAUAUCAUCUUGAGGGUAAGAAUCCAAUAACAAUCAAUAUCUAUUAGCAAAACAAAUUUGUUGGAAGCUUAGCUGCAUUGAAAUGGAACUACUGUUGUGAAAAUCGCAGAAAUGACUACCACCGCCAUGCUUUAUGAAUUCUCAUUAUACAUAUAUGAGUAUGUGUGUUGCUGAGUUAUAAUGGUCUAAAUAGGUGGUUCUGAUGUAUAUGCUAGUUACAGGUAUAGUCGUAUAGUCAUUUCAAGGCUUUACUCCAUACUCAUUAUCUGUAUUAUAAUCCAGUCUUCUAAAAUAAAAAUAAAAGAAUCUUAUAAUAAGAAAAAUGAAGAAGGCAGACAGCCAGACACAAAGUGUGCUUCCUAUGAAAGAACAAAAGAAGGCAGACACAGAGACGAUAUUGCAAUACUAUAACCAGAUAUUUAGGAGUAAACUUACAUUAGAAAGGCGGAAGGGGCAGAAUUUGGGCUUUCCCCUUCUUCCGUACUUGAGCAAGUAUGCUCCUUUCUUCAAAGCAGUAACAGCCUGUUGUUAAGAUCAACCAAGAAUCCAACAUAAGCACUUUCAAUUACAUAAGCAGUAACAGCCUGUUGUUGAGCAAGUAUGCUCCUUUCUUGCCAGGGAUUGUUAGGAGAAUGAAUUGAGAUACCAUAUUCCCCUAAUUAUGUAUAUUCUAUUUUUCCACAAGUAUACCACAUAUAUUGAGAAUAUCCGUUGUCACUAAUAAAAUAGGAUCAGCAUAUAUAGAAACAAGCACAGCAAAAAAAGAAAAUAACUAGCAACUUAGCUUGUUGAUCAAUGUAACUGUAACCAUCAAUGUAACUAAGAGCAGCUAAUUCAACAACUAAGACUCGAAACAAUUCCGCAAACCAGCGAAAUGCAAAUAAUAACAAACCAAGUAUGAUCAUUGUUAAUCAUCACUAAAAUACUUUACACCAAACAAUACUACUGAAUCUAACACUUGCAGCUAAUAUCUAACAUCUUCCAAUAAUCAAAGCCAAGCAAUCCAACACUUGCAACUAAACAACAGCUUAAUCAAAAUUAACCGGAGCUAAAUAAGAGUAUAAUAGUACCUGCUCAAUGUCUCUUUCAACCGAAAAGGUCCUACUAAGAUCAAAAGCUAUCCUAUCCGUUCGCGACAUCACAAAACCCUAAUUCCUAAAACCAAACAGACCAAAGGAUGGCAGCUGGAUGAGCAUUAACCUUGUAGUAUAGAUUUGCGUCAACCUCAUUAAGAAGGUGGCCAAUAGAUGAGCAUGCUUCAAUAGAAGAUUUGUAUUUGUAAUCAAGGUCAGCUCCUAGGUUCUUCAGAGUAACUUCUUUAGCAACUUGAAGAUCAUUGCCUAACUCAUUGAAAGUAAUUCCAGUGGCUUCUUUGACAAGAUUGUGCAUGGUUUCCCUCCUCCAUGGUCACUCAAGAUGUAUCUCCACCCCCUGCAUAUAAGGAUAUAUACCAGCUAUAUAGAGAUCUGAUUCCACAAUUAUGCCAAGAAAAUUCUGUCACAAGUUUCUUGAAGGACAUUCACCUGGUAAUCAAGAGUAAGCUUCCUGUGACCUGCAAGUGCACACCGUGUAACAAUUUCCUCUGUCAUGUUCAUCAUGCUUUCAUAGUCUGAAUAUGCUUCAUACAUCUAAGAUCAAACUAAUACCAAUACCAAUCAGAGGUUCGCAUGAUAAAUUAGGAAAGUUAAAUAUCUAAUAAUAUGAAACAAGUAGCUAAUCGCGUAAAAUACAUAAACAUUAACCACAUAACCAAACGAAAUAAGAAGAAAAUUGAAUUACCUCUAUAGUGGUAAAUUCAAGAUUAUGACGAGUUGAAAUGCCUUCAUUCCUGAAUAUUCGUCCAAUCUCAUACACCUUCUCAAACCCCCCAACCUAUCAUCCGUAGACAGAACUGUUUAAUAGAUAACUCGCAUGCUAUCGAACCAGUGAUCGUUCACAUGUAUACAUGCAACACCAGUCUAGUUGGAUUAUAUAGGGAAGUCGCCGGAUCUGCAGGCCAUGCCGGAUUAGUACUUCGCAAAACCCAAAACGGGAAAAAGAAGAAUUAGGUACCAAAGCUGCGAAUUGAAGCUCAAUGAAGCUCGAAAUUGAAGAAGGAGAGAAUAUAUUACCUUGAAAAAGCAAAGGCUUGGCCAGAGAGGGAUGAAUCACGUCGGAAUUGGAAUUGGGGAUUUUAGGGUUUAGAUUCCGAUCUACCAAAUGGGUGGAUGCAUAUUGAAAUGGAAGGUAGGAGGAGGAAGAGGGUGGAGAGGGGAUUCAGUUGUGGUCUUCGUUUAGCCUGCGGCUGUUCGAAGGAUGGCAGCUGGGCAGCUCGGUCUCAGACCCUCUCUCUUCUCUAUCGACAAAAUGAGGGAUAGAGAUUAGGUUUUUCACUUCUAUACUCAGGGAAGAUAUAAAAUCCACGGCUGAGAUUAAAGGGUGGGACAAAAUCAAAAGUGGUGAUUUCAAAGUGUACCACGGCUUCCUGACGCGGUCGCAAAAUUUACAUUUUUUUUGCCACGGCUUCACAUUCCCGUCACAAAAUUUUCAUUUUUUUACCACGGCAUGAAGUUGCCGUCGCAAAAUAGUUUUAAUUUAGCGACGGAAACGUUGUCGUCGCAGCGCCGUCGCGAAACUUGGACCAAUGGCGACGGCAAAUUUGCGCCGUGGCAAUUUGGGGUGGCUAACUGAAUUCUAUUUUGUAGUGGGUAAUGAAAAUGUGAGGAAUUAUUGGAGUUGCGGGGAGAAAUAAACAAUUCAAAAUACAAAUCAUAGUACAUUAAGAUUAGCAUUGGUUCUUUAGCUUGGGGAAAGAUGAGAUUUUCUAGUGUGGUAAUGAAAAUGUGAGGAAUGAUUGGAGUUGUGGGGAGAAAUAAACAAUUCAAAAUACAAAUCAUAGUACAUUAAGAUUAGCAUUGGUUCUUUAGCUUGGGGAAAUAUGAGAUUUUCUAGUGUGGUAAUGAAAAUGUGAGGAAUGAUUGGAGUUGCGGGGAGAAAUAAACAAUUCAAAAUACAAAUCAUAGUAUAUUAAGAUUAGCAUUGGUUCUUUAGCUUAGGGAAAGAUUUGUGACAAAAAUGUCACAAUGAUAUUAGGACCACUUGGAAAUAGCAGGGGACAUUGAUUGAAAAGUGCAUGAUUUUGACUGGCACAGAAGCUUAAAGAGAUACCUGCUUGUAGAAAGCAUGACACUAAGGAGUGGUACUGAUUUUAGGGUGUUGGUCUUAAAGGUAUAUGCUUGAAUUAUAGGAAUAGAAUGAUCUCAUAAACGAGUUGGAGACUAACCCUUUAACAAUGACUUUGAACGAGAUUGUCAUCGCUUAGCCCCCAAGUGUCUUAUAAUAUCAUUUUGAGAGACUAGUGAUGGAGACUGCUUCUUGCAUGAAAUUGGCUUGAUUAGGUGUUGCUUGUUGCCUGAUUGAGUUUAGAUUGCUUAAAUGAUUUAGCUUGUUACUUGCUUGAGUAUUGUUUGUUGCUUGAAUAAGUAUUGUUUGCAUAUCGUAAUGGUUUUGCUUGACCGAGUAUUGUUUUAUGACUAAUGACAUGUGCUUCUUGUGCCUGCUUGCAUGAUGACUUUGUAGGGCAACUUAACCACAGUUGCGCAAGGAGAGGGUAGCUGCGGUGAAAGCUUGAUAUGUAAUUGGUUUCGGUUUUUGGUCCUUUGCAUAAUAUACAAGGAUUUUGGCAUAUGCUUCUUGUGCGUGCUUGCAUGAUGACUUUGCAGGGCAACUUAACCAUAGUUGUGCAAGGAGAGGGUAGCUGCGGUGAAAGCUAGAUAUGUAAUUGGUUUCAGUUUUUGGUCCUUUUGCAUAUAUACAAGGAUUUUGGCAUGUGCUUGUGGUAUAUCUCUCUUUUUGUAUGUAGAGACUGAUUUGUUUACUUGUAGGAUGAAGGCAUUAUAGUUGCAGAGUAUGUGCCUCUGGUUUGUUGCAUGUCUUCAUUUUGUUUUGACACUCCUUGUGUUUGAAUUUAGGUAUUAGUGUGGAUGUUUUAGCAAAAGAAUUGUGCAGUGUAGGCAUAUUGUAAUAAUGAGGAAGUAGCAACAUUGCUUCAUUUUGUAAUAAUGUAGUGUAUCUAGCCCCCAUGAUUAUGUGAAUUAUGGAGUGACAUACCUAUAGUUCACAUAAUCAAUGUUUGAAGUUGUUUGCUUUGCAUGUUGUUUACGCUUCUUACUACGAUCUUCUAAAUAUAUCAUUCUUCUUUGUGUAGGCUGGAUCAGUUUUCGAGAAUCAUGUUCCUAAGGCAGCAAGUGGUGGUAGUAGUGUCAAUAUCUCAGCCUUACUCCAUGGAGAGGCUCCUUCUUGUGACAUUCAUUUCCAACUCGGGUGUACAUAAGAGUGAUCUUACAAAUGUGGUUUAGAAAUUCCAUCACUUGUUUUAAAGUGGAUUGCUCUGAGUGUUGUUGUUGAGGAUGUUGCGUGUAUUUUGAGUGACACACAUUCUUCGAUUGAAGAUGGGAUGGUUCCUUCAGAGUUUUUGAUCCGUCUUGCAUAGUUUGUUGAAGAGUGUGGUGGGGCAGCUUCUUUGCAAAGAAAAAGGUAUGCUUGAGCAAAGUGAUUAAGGAGCUUGGUCUUGUGUUGCAUAAUGUGGAGCUUGUAGAAGUCAAGAUUGAGGGGACCUUUCUAAUAAGUAGGGAUGCAUGUCGAGACAUCAUGAAUUGAGAACUUGGUGUGAGUUUCAAGUUGGAUCAUCCAUUGAAGCUGCAAGGAUUUUUUUAUUAUAUGUGCAUGCUCGCUAGUUCGGAAAACUGAUGCAGGGAGGUGCACCAAGAAGAUUUGUUCUUCAGUCUUAAAGAGAGCUUUCAUGCCUUGAACCACAAUGACAAGAAGACUUGUGCACUAGGAGUUAAUGAUGGUAUUAGCUUGGAUAUCAUGUUUUGUAUAAUAGAAGCUUGUAAUAUGGAAUCUUGGUUUUAAAUCAACUCCUUUAGUUGACAAUUUGGACUUUAGCAGUAGAUGCAUGGCCUGCUUGUAAUAGAAAUCUUGAUUUGAUUUCAGCCAAAAUCGGCUAUUAAAACUGUUUCCUGUAGUGAAAACUUAAAGCAUCUGAGAAAGGCUUGAAAUAGUAGACUAGAUUUGAUGUUUUAUUUUUUGGUGAGAAGACUAGAUUUGAUGUUAGGCUUAUGAAUUUUGAGCUUCAAACAAUUUGACUACUGAAUUUGGUUGUUGUAGUGAGAACUUAGCUUUGCUCUAAUGGAUGAUGUAUGGGUUUGAGUUUUGGGCACAUGCUUUCUUUAGGUACACAAAUGAGGUCUUGGUUGUUGUAUUAGGAGCAAUUUGGAUGUGGCAUAGUGUCAAAUGGUUUAAAGAGGUCUGCAAGGAUUUUUUGUAAUGGUUUUGGCAUGAUUUUGGAAUGCUAGUAACAAAGUAGGCUUUGGCUGUGAGUGCUAUUAAGCGGGUUAUUUUAUAUAAGGUGAUCAUAUAGAUAGGGAAAAGGGUAAACAACAAUUUUUUCAGCCCCCAAGUGUUUGCUUCAGUUGACACAUAGGUGUAAAAUAUUACACAAUGUCUUGCACCACAAAAUGUGCAACUUAGCUCUAAGCGUGUUUGCAGGGCAUAAGUUGUUAUAGGCAGGGCAUUUUCCAGCAGUAGCAUUACAAAUGUUUUGAGUAUCAAGCACAAGUAAUCAUCCAAGGGAGACAAUGUUUGCUUGUAUGCCUUGAGCAUAAUAGAUCCAAGAAGAUCACAUUCUUAAUCGCAUGUAGCCUGAGUGCUAAGCGUGUUUGCAUCUUCUUCAAUUUUUUUAGAUACCAUCUAUUGCAGUGCAAUGCUACCACUUUACUACAAUUGAGGACAUGGCUAAGAGGAUAAAAACUUAGCUAGGGAUUGAGAGUUUAAGAUUUGAGAAAAGUUUAAAACAAAGGUUUCUGGUAUGAAAUAUUCUUGACUACUGCAGUAAAAAUAUUAACAACUGCAGUGAAGAUUCAUGAAUGGCAGGAAAGGCUAUAACUUGGAACAAAGACUUUUCAACAAGAACUAUCUUAUUCAAGGCAUAUUUGGUUUUAGCAUCAAGCAUGUUAUAGCCAGUGAGAUACUAAGGACGAACUUAGGGUGGAGGCAUAAAAGUUGGGAAUCAACAGCAAAAAACACACUUUGAAGGCUAUAACAUGUUAGAGGUAAACUCAUAUUAUAGUCAAUUAAGAAGAUUUCAGUUAUUGAUGUGAAGGCUUGGGCUUUGGCAAAGAAUCCUACAACUUAGAAAAGAGACAUGAAACAAGAAUCACCAACAUCUUGUGAUCUAGUUUUAUUUGGCUAUGUCAAGCGUGCUGUAGAUUAAGCCUUAGCACAUAAGGCUAUAACUUGUUAAUAUGGGAGCCCACAACUGCUUGCAUUCAACAAUAGAUGUGAAAAAAAAAAACAAUCAUGCCUGAAGUAAAAAACAAUAGGAUGAACUAACUAUCUGAACCACAACCUAGUCCCCAGCAGAGUCGCCAAAAUGUGAGAGUCUUUUUUGAAUUAAAUUGCGACUAUGCCAAGAUUGACCCAAUAAUCCGAUUAAAAAGAAAUCUUGUAUGUGAUUCAAACAACAAAUGGGCUUGACAGCAUGAAGCGUGGUGUGGGAGCUAGAAAAGCAUUGCGGUGAGAGAAUUGGGGGUUUCUGGGUAAGGAUAUAUGUGAGAAGCGGAGGUUGAAGGUGGUUGUUUUGGGAAGAAGAUGGUUAGCUGGGUAAGGAGCUUGAAGGCAUGAAGGCUUGAAUGCCUAGGAUUUGAAGGUUGUUUGUAGGCGUUUUAUGGGUUUUGCUUCCUCCCUUUUUCUACUGCAGGGACUCACCUUUUAUAGGCUCAAUGGAUAAAAUUUUGAUGAUCUAAAGUAUAUCAUUAUCCGGGUAAAAUACUCCCUCUUCAAUCCACGUGAUUUUGCCCUAAAACCAGGAAAAGAAAAGCUUACUUCGAGGUGGUGGCUCUCAAAAGAAAAGGGUUGUUGCAGUGACAACGAUCAUGACAACACAAAACAAGGAGAUGUAGACAAGAGAGAUUGGGAAGUGUGAUCAUCGUUUGAGGGAAAGAAGGAAGCUUUUUGUCACACCCUGUUCCGCUUUGUAACACUCGUUCACGCCUCGGAAUUGGCGUUCGGUGCUUAAAACCCGCCGACGUCGGGACCGGGGUACACUUUUGAUUGGUCUCAUGGCUUCUUCUACAGAAUGAGACUAUUAUUCAGAGAGGAGUUGUUUUGGACUGUAUUCAUGUGUUGCGGGGAAAGAGAAAGUUAGGUAUUUUGUUGGUGCAGGGAAAAUAGAUCAGGCGUAGAAGCAGAAAAUAGAUGUGUUGUUGUAGAAAAAAUAGCUGGGGGUCUCUAUGUGGGUUUUACGCUUUUGGCCUUUUGGGUUUGAAAGGAUGGUAACCUAAUCUCAAAUUCUCAUGCAUGUUCACCAUUUCAUUUGUUGAUCUAAGUCGUUGGGUUUAGAUUUUGGGCCCAAGACUGAAAUCACCAAUGACAUUAAACUGACAAAUGAGCAUUAUGUGUUUCUGUAACCUUUCACAUCACACCCACUUCUACAAGCCCCAAUGAUGUGUGGAUGUGGUUUGAGUCCACAUCAAUGGGCAUAUUUGCUUGGCGUGUUAAAAUCCUAAGAUUAUAGGAAUUUGCAUGAAUUGCAUAACAAAUUGUCGCGUAGCAAAGUGCAUGAUUUCUCGGGUAUCAACAAUUUGACAUCAGGAUAUGUUACAUAUCUACGUGAUUUUUUCAUUAUGUCACCGUUGUGACAAAACAAAUAGAGUCAUCAUUAGAACAAUAUUUUUUUUCAAUUGGUGUUUGUUAGAAUACAUCUACUUUGUAGAAAUUAUCGAUAUUAUUUUGGGACUUUUAUUUAUAAUUAAAAACUAAAAUUACAUCUUGUAUUUGAUUGUUUUAUGAAGAAGUUUUGACAGCACCGGUACCCCAACUUUUGUGGCACGGUCAAAGUGGUACCCAGACUUUAAAAACUAUCGAUGUGAUACUCAAACUUUAUUUUUGUUAUCAAGGAAAGGCCUGAGGCCAAUUUCCGUGACGGUGCCGUUUGUUUGGUGACGUGGCCAGUAUCAAGUCCAAAAAAAAGGGCAAAAAUGACAUUUUACCCAAAUGACACCCUAAUCCAUUCAAAACUCGACUUCUUCCCCCUCCCCCUUUCAUUUCCAUCUCUUCUCUCUGCAACCCCUUUUUUCUCGAAAACCCUAAAUUGCAGAGGAGACCGACGCAGCCGAAGCUCUCUAGCUAAAGGUAAGCCACCACAGCCCCAUAUCUCUCUCUGGGUUUCAUCUUUCCGGUUUGAUUUGGUUGAUUACUGUGUUGAAUCAACCAAUCAAAGCCGUAAUCAACCAAGUCGUCUCUUCCAAGUCCAGUAGGCCCUCGAAGCCGUCCGCAAGGGUAACGUCGCCGUCGGCGUCCGCGGCAUGGAAUCGGCGCCGGACGAGUUCAUCGGCGACGGCUUGGGCUCGAGGAAGCCUCGGCUUUUCAUCAGGGAAAUGGUCAUGAGGAACUUCAAGUCUUACGCCGGUGAACAACGCGUUGGUCCUUUCCAUAAGGUUAGGGUUGGUUUUGUUAGACGACUUUGAUGCGUUUCUGUUGGUUUAUUUACUUGUGUUUUGGCUAUGGAUUUAGAGCUUUUCGGCAGUUGUUGGACCUAAUGGGAGUGGGAAGAGCAAUGUCAUUGAUGCAAUGCUGUUUGUAUUCGGAAAGCGAGCUAAGCAGGUAUACCGAUUAAGCAGAUUUUUGAUUCAUUUUGAUGUUCCUAAUUUGUGCAUUGUGAUUCUGUAGAUGCGACUUAACAGAGUUUCGGAGCUCAUUCAUAACUCCACCGAUGGCCAGAAUAUGGAUUGAUUUGGUAAUCAUCAACAUUUUGCUUCUUUUUCUGAUUGGGAUUUUAAGAAAAUAAAACAAGAAUGAAUUGUCAGCCUUUACUGAAGAUAAAUUUGAGGAUUUUUGGUUGCAAUUGUUACAGGACGAUGGGACGUUUGAAGCUGUUCCAAGAAGUGACUUUGUAAUCACUAGGGUAGCGUAUCGAGAUAACUCCUCAAAGUAUUACAUCAAUGAUCGUUCAAGCAACUUUACUGAAGUUACCAGGAAGUGACGAAACUAAAAGGGAAACGAGUUGACCUGGACAACAAUCGCUUCUUGAUUCUUCAGGUUUGAUAUUUAAGAUGCACUUCAUUAAGUUUGCUUCAGAUUGUCUCGUCAUAUUAACAAUGUUCUUCUGGUUACUCAUCAGGGUCAAGUGGAGCAGAUUUCACUCAUGAAGCCAAAAGCUCAGGGAUCUCAGGAUGAAGGUUUCUUUGAGUACCUUGAGGACAUUAUCGGGACCAGAAAAUAUAUCGAAAAAAUUGAUGAGUCUUAUAAAAAGUAUGCUCCUAGUUCAUAGAAAAUCUUACAUUUUAUUUCUGCCAAUCUACACCAUUUUCUGCUUUCAACCAUGCAUCUUUGCUAGUUUCCCAUCUAACAGGAGCCUUAAAUUUGCCUUAAAUUUGGUAAAGCCUUAAAUUUGCAAAAAGUGAUCUAUUAAUCUGUUUGAGUACCAAAUUGUAUAAGCUUUAGAGUCCUGUCUGACUUAUUUGACUCUCAUUAUCUAUGGAUGUGUGUGUAUGUACUUGACCGAUGAUGCAAAGAAAACAGAACACUUGCUUUAUAGAUGAAUCAUUCUUUAUAGAUGAAUCAUAUCAACGUGAAGGUGUGAAGGUGUUUUUCAUAAAGUAUAGAUGAUUCUUUAUGACUUUAUUAUUUCAAUGUAUUUAUGCUUCUAGUUAUGGAGGAUCAUCUUGGUAGGAAGUAAAGCAUUAGGAUUGGGUUUUUCUUUGUUGUUACCUAUUGGGAAUCAUCUUUAAAAGGUUCUUAUACAUGUAAUUUGUUUCUCAAAUUGAAGUUAGAGAUCAAGAUUUUGGUAUGCUUAAAGUUGGUUGAACAUUAGAAGUGUAGAACUAUAUUUACUUGUUAUCUUCUGUUAACUGUCGUUGUGGUAAUCUAAUUGAUCAUUGCUUUAGAAUGUCUUUCUGUUUUGUUUGAAUGCUUUAUUGCUUUAAGCUACUUCACAACACAAUGUAGUGUUUGCAUCUUUUUACUAUCCUUUCAUUGGCAUUUUGGAAGUACUUUGGUUUUAGGGGUAUUGCUGAAAUGCUUUGUUAACUGUUGGAAAUAAUGUUGUUGUUGAAUUGUGUUGGAAAUGUCUUGUUGAAUUGUGAAGUCAAAUGUGGUUGUUGAAUUGUGUUGGAAAUAUCUUGUUUGUGUUCCACAGGUCCAAAGGGCAUCAGCCCCACCCAAGGAAUCAAGACCUAACAAGGACCACCCAAGGAAUCAAUGAAGUUGGCAAUGGAGGGUAGUUCUGCAGUAAAUGGUAGUGCAUCGGCCUCAACACAGCCUUCUACUCAAAGCAGCCAAAAUCAUGCAGCAGGGGGGUGCUCAAAAGUGAAUGUGUUGGCUUUUAAAUUAGAGAAACAUAAUGUGUACUUCAUCAUAGUUUGGAAUUAUUUUUUUACAAACAAUGUGGUUCCUUGAGUUUUUGGAAACCAAUUAAGCUUGAAUUAUGAUGCAUAGUAUGUUUCUUAUGUUGAUGUUGGUUUUAAUUCAAUGAUAUUGGCAGCCUUUUUUUGUUUUAUGUUUAAAUUUCUAUGUUACAUUUCCAGCUAUUACAUAAUAUUUCUUGUCAGCAGAUAAACACAGCAGCAGUACCUAAACUUUGUUGGACUGAUAAAUGUGAUACCCAGAAAAAUUCAAAUUUAGAGUUUUUGAAGGGAAAACGGUUCUGGUGAGAGUUAGAAGGUUAUUUUUGUUAUUGCACCUUUUUUAGGUGGGUCUCAUGUCGGCCACAUUAGCAAACUAGCGGCACAGUUACGGAAAUUGGCCUCAGGUCUUUCUUUGGUAGCGAAAUAGAAGUUUGGGUAUCAUAUUAAUAGUUUUUAAAGUAUGAGUAUCAUUUUGGCCGUGCCACAAAAAUUAGGAUACCAACGCUGUAUUUUCCUCUUUUAUUAAUAGUGGCUUAAGACAACCACACCAACCCUUUUUGAAGAAUAAGUCACAUGACUCAUCUGAAGAAAAGAAAAAGGAAAGAAGAUAAAAACGAAAAGAAACCGGUAAUCUAUACGCAGCGUGGGAGGCGCUCACUAACAAAACGUGAAUAGCAUUUCCGAGAGUUUGGUUUUGUUUUAUAAACUCUCCAAAUCCUUGUAAUCGACGGAAGCAGAGCAGCCAUGGACGGAGGGAAGAGGAAGCAGAAACCCCCGUCCAUCACUCUCGACCAGUUCAUCUCCCUCACCGCUCCUCUCAUCGACUUGGAAAAGGUUCCUCUCUAUCUCUCAUACUGCCUUCCUUUCUUUCACUCUCAAUUUGAAUGUAAGCGGAGUUUGUGUGGGGCAUUCAGGAAGCGGAGAUAUCGGCCUCCAUCACCAGCGGCGCCUCCAGGAAUCUCGACACUGCUCAAAAGAUAGGCUCCGCCAUUCUCAAUCUGAAGUGCGUCGAUGCUCAGGUACACUCUCUCUUGUUUCUCAAGCUUUUCGUGUUUCGGUUUUAGAGCACUGAACUGAACUAUGUUUUGCUUUUGAGAAUUUAGACAGGACUAAUGGGAAAGACUCUUCUUGAGUUCCAGUCUACCAAAACAGAAAACAGUAAUGCUCUUCCUCUUCCUCCUCACAAGGUGAACAUUCCAAAUUUCUAAGCUCCAUUUGAGUUUCUUGUCGGAUGCUAAUUCUUGUUUGCAAUGUGUAAGUGUGUGGUUUUAUUCGCUUCAUGGGCUGAUGAUGUGGCUGUUUUUGAAUGUGUUGUCAAAAUUGAGUCUCUUAACAUACUCUGUGUCGAAUUUUCACAAUAUUUUUCUCUUUUAUUUUGUCAGUUUGGCACACAUGAUGUGGUUGUUCUAAGACCGAACAAGGCUGAUUUGGGCUCACCUGCUCUUGGACAAGGCGUCGUGUACCGGUUAAAGGUAAUUCUAACUAUGAAAUGUAAAGUUGGACAUAUGCGGUUUUGGUCCUGAUAGGUUUGAUUGAACAGGACUCAUCAAUCACUGUCGCUUUUGAUGACAUUCCUGAAGACGGAUUAAAUAGUCCCCUACGGUUAGAGAAACUCACAAAUGAGGUAUGAAGUUCAAAUCUCAGGUCUUUGAAUUUUCUAGUUUCUUAUUCAGUUUUCUCAUCUGUAUGUUUUGAACCACCACAUGUUUUUGAAGGCCGUAUUUGUUAUAUUAGUGAUUGGGACCAUAUUGGUCAUUGACAUGGAAAUAAUUUAAAGUGAUUUUUUACCACCAGUAAUGUUCUCUUUGGUCCGUGGUCUAUGCAUUGUCUUUCAGUCUUCUCUUUCUUAUGCCUUUGUCAAAGAUUAUAUUCGUUGGCGAAGAGUUCUAGUAAUAUUUUUGUUUUCUCAGGUUACAUAUCGUAGGAUGAAGGACGCUCUGAUACAAUUGAGUAAAGGUGUGCAAAAGGGUCCUGCUUCUGAUUUAAUUCCUGUCUUGUUUGGAGAGAGGGCACCAACAGUGGCUAAGAAGGAAGUCACAUUCUCCCCAUUUAACAAAAACCUGGAUCACUCUCAGGUCCUGAAGCCUAAUAUAUGUACUUCCUUGUUUCUUGUUUUUGGAUUUUUCAAGAUGCCACUUAUGAUGUCAUCAUGCGUAAUUUUAUGUCAAUAGGAACAUGUUCAAUUCCUUUAAAUCUUUAGCUUUAUAAAAUGAACACACAAUCAGCAAAUACAAACACAAUAUGUACCUGCAUGCUUAUGUACUUAAUCUCUGUGUAUAUCAUGCACACAGCGCUACCUUUAAAUGAUGAUCGUUAUCACCUAUGGUUCUUUGAAGUUACUAAUUUGUUGGUGCAACUAAAUAAAGGUAACAUGCAUAUACUGAUAAAUAAUUAACAAAACUUCAUUACUAUGACUGAUACGUAACUUUAUUUAAGGACUCUGAGAUAUUAUAGCCUUGCGAAUAUCAUAUAAGUUUUUCAUGUGCUAUUAACAGUAAGGGUCUCGAAAUACAUGAAUUGUUAAUGAUAAGGUUUUGAUAUCAUUUGUUCAAAUAGUUCUACCAUGAAUAUUGUUGGUGUAAUUUACAAGAUUAGAUCGGCUUUGGUUGCAUACUUCUGAAUAUUAAUUGAUAUAUGAAUUUUUGUUGUUCUGUGUAUGGGUCUGCCAAUUUUUCGUUUGAUCAUCUGAAUCCAUAUUGAUAAAAUUAUACACCACCCCAGGAUUCAAUCUUAAUACUUGUCUCAUUUUCCCCUGAUCUCCACAGAAAGAUGCCAUUUCAAAGGCUCUGUCAUCCAAGAAUGUAUUUUUGCUGCAUGGGCCUCCUGGAACAGGAAAAACCACAACUGUGGUGGAAAUUGUUUUGCAAGAAGUCAAACGUGGAUCAAAGAUCCUUGCAUGUGCUGCUUCGAAUAUUGCUGUUGACAACAUUGUUGAGCGAUUGGCGCGCCAAAGGUAUUUCACUGCCUACAUAAUUGUGGAGUUCUUAUUUUGUCAAAAUUUUUAGCUCUAUUAAAACAAGUAUAAGGUGCUAAAUCAGAGAAGUCUGUAAUCCUUUUUUGCUGGCCUUUGCUUCCUUUCGUUUAUUCGUUCUCAUUUUAUUUUCAGUGUUUCUUGUCAAGCUAUUGCUAACUUCAGAUACUGCAUACAGACAGUCAAUGUUCAGGUUUUAUUGGUGAUAAAGAACCAAGUUUUACUUUGAUAUUAGUAUGACCCCAUUUUGUAGUAUAUUAAUGUUUUUAUAGUUCUUUGGGAUUAGAAACUAUUUUCAGCAUUCCUUUGAUAUUUUCUUUUUGAUAAAGAAAAUAUUGUUGAGAGGCUGGUUGUUGAUGUAUAGUCAAAUGGUCAAGGAGGCUUCUUGUUCAGAUUGCAGUUGGUGCCACUUGGUUAGGUUAAGUAGAAAUAAAUAGACUAGUAGGUUUAUGGACUUUAAAGAACUUUCUUUUUUAAUUCUUAAUAACACUUGAACAAAAAAUUGUGCAUUCAACACUUUGCACUUCAAUCAUUACAGUUGAGUUGACCAAUGAUAUAGCUGAUAGCUGAUGUGAACUUUUAACUUGUAUUGUUCUCCAACCUGCCAUGUUAAUGUAAAUAAAAUGAGACAAUCUGAAUAUUCAGUUAAUGAGUAGGAAUGGUCCUGUCAGUUGUACCAUAUUGUAUUGUGAUAAUUGAAUAAAUUAGUGCUAACUACUAAUUGUAUAAUAGUACAAGUUGGCUAUAGAUGAUGCACUCUCGUAUUUGUUUUUUUUCUUUUCUUUUGCCUCAUUAAGUAGAUGGUAAUUAAGUAAAGGCUUAAUGCUUAUUACUAUCUACAGAGUAAAGUUAGUGAGAUUGGGACAUCCUGCACGUUUACUACCUCAAGUACUGGAUAGUGCAUUGGAUGCACAGGUAUGUGAAUUAUGUUGGAAAGAUUCUAGUCUUUGUGAUAUCAAAAUUUUAUAAUUUCAUACCAUUAGCACAAUUAUUUCAUGUCUGUAUUGUGCAUUCUGCAUCAUUAAUGUUCUCUGUGCACUAAGUGCUGUGGCAUUUGUAUAAGCAUAUGAAGUUUCACAAUCUUCAUUGCACCUCAUUAUAGUACUCAUGCUCGUACACACACAAGGAGGGAGCGUUUGGUCAUUACAUAAGGAUGUAGAAUUGCACUCCAACACCGUAGAGCGAAAAAUCUAGGCCAUAAUCUCCUUGAAUUGAGGGCGUACUUUCGUCUAAUUACUUGCUUGCUUUGCUCUCAGGUCUUGCGAGGAGAUAACAGUUCUCUGGCAAAUGACAUUCGAAAGGAAAUGAAGGUAAUUUUUUAUAAUUAAAGCCUAAAUUAACGUGCAUAUUAAAAAGUUUUUAGUUCUUUUUUAUCAUUAUAGUUUACCAAACUAACACAUUUCUAUGGCAUACCUACUCAUGAAUACGUGCACAUUGUAUUAUUGCAGCAAUUGAAUGGAAAGCUAUUAAGAACCAAAGACAAAAACACUAGGAGGGAAAUCCAGAAAGAGCUAAGGAUUCUUUCCAAGGAGGAACGUAAAAGGCAGCAGCUUGCUGUGACAGAUGUAAUAAAAAAUGCAGAUGUGGUGUUGACAACUUUGACUGGGGCAUCGUCUCGCAAGCUGGACCACAUAUCAUUUGAUUUGGUGAUUAUUGAUGAAGCUGCACAGGCACUUGAGAUAGCAUGCUGGAUAGCACUGCUUAAGGUAAUGGACUAGUACAUAGGCAUAUACAUAAUGUUAACCACCAAACCUUGCAUAUUCAUUUCCAUAAAACGGCGCGCUGUUCAUGACAAAGAACUAAUGCAUGUGUUAGUCUCUGUAGUCUUAAAAGAAACACAUUGUGUGUUUUGAGCAUGUUAGUUAAUUGAAGACAUAGAUUCCAGGACAAGCAGAAGUUGAAGACUUAAACAUCUAGAGUGCUAAAAUCAAUAUGUGUAUCCUACAGUUGCAAGAAUUAUAUAUGUAUAUUUUUUAGUGAAAAUUUUUAGAAAGUCAAAUUUUACUCGCACUCCAAAAUCCACUUAAAAAAAUCUGAGUUCAUUGUUUUAGGGUUCAAGAUGUAUACUUGCAGGCGAUCAUCUUCAGCUUCCUCCAACCAUCCAGAGUGCUGAAGCUGAGAAGAAAGGUUUAGGAAGAACCCUUUUUGAACGCCUUGCGGACAUAUACGGAAACAAAGUCGUAUCUAUGCUGACUGUUCAGUACCGCAUGCAUGAGCGUAUCAUGGAUUGGUCAUCAAAGGAGCUUUACAAUAGUAAGGUGCUGAGAGGAAGUCUGGAUGGUGGCUUGAGUAAAUUUAUAAUCAAAUCACCGAAGGUCAUUAGAUUUGAUUAUAUCAUAUGCUUUCGUGUCGUUGCAGGUUAAAGCCCAUCCAAGUGUUGCUGGACAUAUGCUUUUGGAUCUUGAGGAUGUAAAGAAGACUUCUUCAACAGAGUCAACCCUUCUUCUAAUUGAUAUAGCUGGGUAUGCAGUUCAUUGCUGCUAUAAACUGUAGUUUUAAAAACAAACCUUUUACUACUGUUUUGUAUUAUAAGUCCUAGUCAGGCAGCACGGUGGCAAUUUGAUUUUUUUCCUGUCUCUCAUAGUGCUGCAUAUAGACACAACUGAAGACACAGACAUGGCAUGAGAUGAUGUCUUUUAUCUGAGAUGAGCAUGACCUUUUUGUUUAUACAUUUCAAAAUGAGUUAUACAUGUCCUUUUAUUUUGAAAGGGUUAUUUUAUCAUUUAUUAGCAAGUGCUAGAAUUUAUUACUAAGAAAAAGAGUCGUUUUGAAUGUCCCAAGGAACAAAAAUGAGUGAGUUAUGUCCACAUGGUGUCGGAGAGCUUCUCUUAGUACGACACAAGAAAUGCUUUAUGCAUCACAUGUGUGACUUGUUUGCACUGAUCUGCUUCAGGUGUGACAUGGAAGAAAAGAAGGAUGAAGAGGAAAGCACUAUGAAUGAGGGUGAAGCUGAUGUUGCUAUUGCCCAUGCAAAGAGACUCAUUCAAAGCGGUGUCCAGGCUUCUGAUAUUGGAAUUAUCACCCCUUAUGCUGCACAGGUAUCAAAAACUCCUGAAUACAUAAAAUCAGAACGUGGGUUUCUACAUUAUGCAAAUACUUUAGUAGAAUAGAUAUUUCUCUUCUCUUCACUAUAUCAGAUCUAGUAUUGCAGGUUUUCAUACUGAAGAAGUUGAAAAGCAAUGAAGAAAAGCUAAAGGAUUUGGAAAUUUCAACAGUCGAUGGCUUCCAAGGCCGGGAAAAGGAAGCCAUCAUUAUUUCAAUGGUUCGGUCAAACUCAAACAGAGAGGUAUACUUGUCGCUGGUUCUGUUGCUAAUGCAUAAAAAAAAAUAAAAAUAAAAAUAAAAAUAAAAUAAAAAAAUAGAUUGUAGACGUCUCAAUUAUUAACUAAAUUUUACAACCUAAACAAACUGAAUUGGGAAUUUUGCUAAAAAUACUCAGGUUGGGUUUCUGAGCGAUCACAGGCGAAUGAAUGUGGCUGUGACACGAGCAAGGAGGCAAUGUUGUCUUGUCUGUGAUACUGAGACAGUGAGUAACGAUGCAUUCUUGAAGCGAUUGAUAGAGUACUUUGAGGAGCAUGGUGAGUAUCUAAGUGCCUCAGAGUAUAGCAAUGAAUGAGGAAAAGUACCCUGGCAUCAACAGGUAUGUGUGUUUGGUGGCAUAGCUCUGGAUAUAUUGCCCCCAUUGCUUGUGCUGCUGAACAAUAUUUAUAUUCUAAUUAAAACAGUUUCUAAUCUCAAAAGAUAUUUGUACCUAUUGGAAAAUCUUUUGGCCUGGUUAUACCUGUUUGAAACUAGUUACUUCAGCUUUAUUCUCAUUACCAAUUUAGAUUGUUCCUACUACAUUUUGUCAAAAAAGAAGUUCGGACUACAUGUUUCUUCGCGCUCUUCAUAUCAACUUGAAACCAAGAAGAUAUUAAGAAGCAAAAUGAUAUUUUGAUUCAUAGUAACGCGAAUCACAUGAUUUCCUACUGACGGAAGAAUGAACUAAUUCUCUCCAUCCUGAAGCCACUACAACUGAUAAAAGAUGAGUAAACUGAUUUCAACCAGCUCAUACAUGAUCAGAAAUGUGGCUGAAGAGCUAUGAAGUAGCACAGUUUCCUCUAUAAUCCAACUAAGCUAGUUUAUGCGACUACAAGUGGCCACAUCUCUAAAAAGCUUCUUCUCCUCGGUACAAAAACAAGCUUUAUUUCUUCAGAAGUUCCAAAUGGAAGUGGGGAAAGACAGCUCUUCGUUCACAUCAUAAAUAUGAAAAGUACCAGUUUCUGCUCCUUGAUUUUCCAUUGCAUGCAUCUCAAUCAAUGCGUCCCAGUUGAAAUUCUUGUCAGCAAAGGGUCCAAAUCCAUCACUAGUUUCUGUAAUGGAAGAUUCUGGAGCUGCAAAACUUGUGGUGUCGGAUUCUUCUGAUUGUCUCUCAUUCUUCAGCACACCUAGCUGCUGAAGAAACUCAUUGAGAUCUAUCUGUGGCUUCUCCUCCAGUCCUCCCACAACUUUCUCCGACGUAAUUUCUACGUCUUUCUCCUUAUUCUCUGCUACAUUUUCUUUCUGGGCUUUUUCCAUGGUGACGUGAGCCUCAGGUUUUGAGUCACAGGAAGAUGAACUAGAGGAAGGAGUAGUUUGACCAAAAACCCCAUUUUGCUUAAGCUCUUGGAGCCUCUGAUGAAUGACAUGAACACUUGGCUGGGCAUUGAUGUUGAGCAUUCCACAAGGAGGAAACAUGGAAAUGAAAUUUUGGGAAGGGAACCAUUUGAACUUUUGAGACUUAAGUGGAAGGUUGGAAGAGUUGGAUUGCAGGUGAGGAAGAUUGAGAAAAGCAUCAGGGCCAUAGAGUCUCCUGGCAGCCUCAUCAUAAGCCAUGGCAGCUUCUUCAGCGGUGGCGAAUGAGCCCAACCAGAGCCUGGUUCUCUUCUUUGGCUCUCUGAUUUCCGCAACCCAUUUGCCCCAAGUUCUCUGUCGAACGCCUCGAUACUCACACGAGGCGUUCUGAGGGCCACCUUUGCCUCUUGUAGGGCCUUUCUUCCAUGGCUUCAAUGGAGAUUUCCUCAAGUUGUCCAUGGAGGGUUGGAACUUGGAAGAAGGGAGAGUGAGAGUGAGAGUGCGUACAUGAGUAGAAAGGGCGCGGGAUAUGUAGUGAAUGGGAGUGCAGUUUUGGUUUAAAUGUUGUCACGGUGGGCAAAGUCCAUGCAUGUGACAGUUGUUUAGUCUAUAGCGCCAUUAGUAAGUGAGCUACAUUCCCAUUUCACCUUUUCAAAUUUUGACAUCCCAAUGGUAAAUGUGAGGAUUACAUGUUGAAAUGAGGGUCUAUCUUGAUUAAUAAAUUGAAUCAAGGUAUCUUAUAACAUGACAUGAUCAUCUGAAAAAAUCAAUUUUGUAUAAUCUUAGAACAGAUGUAUUAGGGAAUUUUCAAAUGUCAUUCUCUAAUCGAAAAUACAGAUAAAAUCAAGGGACUAUCCAUCUUCUUAACAAAAGUUGAUGUAGCUGAAAAACAAUUAUUGGUAAUAUAUAUACAAAUCACGGAGUAGAGAUUGACAUUCGAUCAGUGUUCGAGGAAUGAAAAUAUCGACUAUAUGUGAUUAUCAUCCUGUGAGCCAAGUAGUCGUGGUCAUUCUCAUUCCAACCUUUCUGCUUAGUUGCUUGGUCACAAUCUUCCUAUGUGAGGAACCCUUAUUAGUAAAACAAAUCAUCAAAACAGUAUAACCAUAGUACAUGGAUCUGUUUUGUUCUUGUUGAAUAUUUGCUCUCUUUGUUUAUUUGAUCUUUUGCAACUCAAGAAACGAAACAGUUUUAGGUGGAAGGAUUACAUUUCUCUUAGAUGACUUGUCUGUUCUUGUUUCAACUUUCAACGCAAGUAACAUAGUGGCCUGUAUCACUGGGUGUUAUCUUUUAAUCUUGCAUCAAGAUAUGCUUACAUAUUCGUAUUUUUUUUAACAACUUUUGAUAACUUAAAAUACUAACAAUAGUAAUAAUUUCAUAUAAAUCGUCAUUUUGCCCUUUGAAUUUCAUCAGAUGUAUGAUGUAUCUGAAAUUGGUGAGUAUAUGAGAUUUAAGGUGUAAAAGCCACGGAGUUAAAGAUGAAAUUUGCCCAAAAGAAAGUGAUUUGUGUUCAAAACAAAAUGGAGACACAUAGGAGUGUAAGGCCAAAUUAUAAACCUCUUAUGAAACAAAGCUCUUAGUUAACACUAAAAACUAAAACUGAAAAGCAAAAAUACAGCAGAUAUUAUAUAUUGCAACGUAUUUGAAGCUUUAAAUGUGGUGGUGGUGGUGGUGACUGGAGAUGUAGCUAGAUAGCCAUCUGUUUUUGACUUAUGAGUAGUGUCUGGAGCUGAAUUCUUUGAAUGAAAUCUGACAGUCUCCCUUGGAUUCCAUUUCAUAGGAGUUGCUUCUUCACUCUUCAGUAAUGACUUGAAUUCCCAGAGAAUGAGAUCAAGAAGUAAUACCCACCUCACUACAUUUUUCAUUUUCACGAGCUCUUCUAUUUCACAUGUUUUCCUGCCAUUCACAACCUGAUGCCCGGGACUCUCCUCACCUUUAUCCCAUGCUUGUCCUCUCUUCUAUUUCACAGGUGUGAAGCUUGGCUUCAUGUUCAUCCCUAUGUUGUAUAUGAUGAUGCAGCUGAUGACGCUGUUACCACAACUACAAGCACCUUCCUUGUUUCUUUUAAUUUUCGAAACAUUGUGCAAUGUACACAUAGUUUUCCGAUAAGAAACCGCAGAGUCUGGAAAGUAAAUGAACCAAACGGCUGGGCAUUAGAGGCAUAUAGAUAUAAGCAGUGAAUGGGAUCGAAACUGAAGGGUAACCAGAAACCGGUGGUGGAAUGUUCUGUAAGCCAGUUCAUUGAGCAAUAGAGAGCAAGAUGAUUGUGGGUGUCGGAACAAAUUACUCCCAUUUUUCAUAAUGAUUUUCAUAAGUCUUUCAUAUAUGUACAUACUGUUACAGAUUGCGCAGGUGCCGAUAAUAACACAAUGGCAGAUUGAGAAUGAUUUGCAAAAGUUAACACGCCCAAAACAACAUACGAGUCCAGUAGAUAUAACAUCAAGGGUUGAGAAUGACCAACUCCAACUCCGAUUAUCUCCGUACUCCGUCCAACUGAGCAUACUCAAAACUCUCUUUCUUUCCACACUUGGUGACUAAAUUGCUGAAGCCAAGAAAUCUCAAUUUAAAAAACUGCCCAAUAAUAUGGAAAGCUAUUAAUUAACAAAUAUGCACAGAGGAAGAAAAACAAACUAUCAUAUCAUCAAGUGAAUGAGCACUACAAACACUUUUACAAGGAUUCUUAGUUUCUGUGGAAAUUUGAAGUAAUACGUUAGUUUAAUUCAAAACACUAGAAGUAUAAAGCUACUUAUCAUUCCGUAUUUGACAAUUGAGCUUUGCCAUUAAACCUGAGAUGCACUGUUCUCCUUGAUACAGACCAACUAAAAACUCCGGUCAAUUUGGUCCAAAGACUGCUUUCAAUGUCCUAAAACUAAUCUGAAUGUCUAGCAACUGAAAACUAAGAACUAAUCUGAAUGUCCUACUAAGAAACUGGAAGGUGGACCAGACGUGAGCUCCGUGGCAAAUCAUAUUAGCCACUACAAACUACUUUAGGUCUUAGGUCAUGACAUGACCCACAAAUGGUACUUAGUCUUGAUAACGGUUCCUUCACUAAGUUCCAUGGGUGUUGAAAUUGCUCCUCCUAUAAAAGAUCAAUUUGUUUGCGAGUCUUCAAAUGCCGCAUGCAAUAAUUGACUAACUACCAAGGAUUAGCCCCUGCUGUUGCAUCAAUUCAUGUUUAAGGACAAAGAGAAUACAAGAUAUCGAAACUGUUCAUAACUAAAUGAAACUCGUCACCUGGUCCCAGAAGUCUCUACACGAUACUCAUAAUUCAGAGUUACUGUUUGUAAUUUCAUAUGAAAUUGGUAGUGUCAAGUGAAUUACUAAAUGUCAAAGAGAGCAAUGCUUACAUGCAAAUGACCACUUCAUUGAAUUCCCUUGCAUUGGUUCCUCCAUUUAUCCUUGAGGUCUGACAGAAACACAUCAUAACCAAAUUCCAAUAUCUGCUUCCAUGGCAUUCUUGUUUCAUCAUUGCAUUGAAAUUUCUGCACUCCCUUCUGCAACAGUAUUAAAGAUGUCAUCAAAUAUCCGAAAUUGGAAGCAAAAAGUAUAGAACAGAAGGCAGAACAGAACAGAAAGAAAAAUGCAUAUUUUGUUGGUCCUCUAGAUAAUAAUAACCAAAUUGAACAAGGCACUUCAAGGACCCAAGUAGUUUGAAGUUUUGCACCAACUGUUAGUCUCUUAUGUAAUUGAGGAAGACAUGAAGCAAUUAUUUAACGGCAGGCCAGGUAUAUGAGAUGAAAUGCAGCUAUGACAAAAUCAUAUCUCUGAAGAUUCAUUGAAAAAGAAAUCCAAGAACCUUGAGCAUCUCUUCUUCCUCAACAGUCCAUGGAAUCUUUUUUCUCCUUGACUGAGUCAUUGCCAGCUGAGUGAGCGCUACAAUACAGAAAAAGAAAAGUAAAUUCAAUUAACUAUCCUCACAAAACCCUAGGAAAAAGAACUAUUAGAUUCUAAUGAAAUCACUGUUUUCUAAACAAACAGGUAACGUUGUGGGUCAACUGGGGCGAAUAUACGCUUACGUUUAUAACUCCUGGUAACAUAAACACUAACGUUUUCAGACAUUAUUUGAGCAUAUGCAGAAUAUUUCGCAAUUUGAAUAGACAGGAUGGGAAAAUUAAAAUGUACAAGUAGAAUUGCAACACUUGGAAAUAUAAUCAACCUACCACGGAUAUUUGCCCCUUUUUCUUAAGGACUCAUCAGUAAUGUGCUGCUGCAGGACUUCUUGCUCAGUUACUGCACCAGCUUUUCCUUGGUCAACAAGGAUGCUCUGUGUGGUUUUACUUGAAAAAUUAUCACCUUCCAAUACUUGGUUUUGAAAUUUAUCCAGGCCUGCAGACGCACAUUCAUGGACUACCGUUUCUUCCGCAUCUUUCUCACCAGCUGGUACAUGAACUUUUCCACGAAUGGAAUUGAUGUCAGUGCAUGAUGAAGAAGGUGGUCCUUGCUGCUUAUCAUAGAUAAUUCUGUGAAACUGGACAUCAUCAACUUCAUUUAUAUGUUCUUCACAUUGAUUUCCCUGAUCAGGUCUCCCGAGAAGAUUAUCCUCAAAUUUCCUAGUGCAAUUAUUCUUUUUGCUAUGUGUUUUUCCAACAGGUUCCAUCAGUUGGUCUUCCAAAUGAGCAUGAACAAAUGCAUUUAGCCCUGUAUCUAACUGGGAAGUUUUUUUCUUAGCAUCAAGGUAAGCAGUAAGAGCACGAGAAUAUGAACAGAAGGGGCAGUAAAAGUUACCCUUCUGAUAAGAAAUGGCUGAGGAACGCAGCCAGUUCUCAUGAACCACCACAGGACAAUUACUUGUUUUACAAGUCAAAAAUUGACCACCUUCAUUACAGUCCAGAGAACGAUUUUUAUUUGUGACUGUUGUCUCGAAGGAAUCAUGACUAGAUGUGCAUUGAGAAAUCAAGAAAGCAUGCUUCUUCAUGGCAGCAUCAACCUUCUUAUCAUAAAAACCAUCACUUUCAUUUGAUGUUUUUUUGCUAUGUAAAUCCUUGAGCUGUUUGGAUUUAUCAGCAACGCUCUUCUGCUGGGAGCCAUCUAAAAGUGCAGGGUAUGCCGCUUUAAUAUGAGAAUCAUGCUCACUGACACAAUCUGACUGUUUAGAAUUCUUCUGCUGCGUUCCAUUUAGAGAAGCAACACCUGAUGAACUUGGUUUUGAACAAUGCUCAUAAUAGUCUUUCUGUUUAUUAGCAAGGCUCAUCCGCUGGGGUCCAUCUGUGGUUGCAGGGUGCAGCACUUUAAUAUGAAAAUCAUUAGCAGUGUUAUCACUGAAUACAUUAGCAGACACUGUAUGCUGGGAUCCCUCAGGAGCACCAAAACCUGAUGCUCUUAGUUCAAGCUGAAACCCACCAUAAUUUUUGGUUUUAUCAACACAUGCAUGUUGACACGCUUCAUCCUGAAUUAUGUCUUGAGGCAUUGAAGUGGUAGUACAACCAUUCUCCAACUGACUCUGAUGGGUUGCAUCAUAAGUGCUUUGUCCAUUCCUCGUUGACUCGGUAUAAUCAUCCUCUAAGACCCUGACUUCCUCCAUCAGUUCCAUUUGACCUUCAGCCAAGUCACUCCUUAACCUCUCAGAAACUGGAACAUCUCUUUCGGAUGAAUCUUCUGAACAUAACGGAAGUUGGUUCUCCACUAUAGACUGUAAAACAUAAUAGGCAUCCCACACUUUCCUUUUGGCUCUUUUAUGGAUAUCAUCAGAAUAAUUUACCCUUUUAUGGUUUUCACCACCCAUAUUUUCAGGAUCCCGGCCAGUGCCUUCAACAGCAUUGCUUAGUUGCUGAGGUUCAUCGGUGGAUGAAAGAAGCGGUACAAUAUGACUACUACACUUGAUUUCUUUAGCGGAAAUCUUAUGCUGGGUUUCACCUAGAGGAGCAGCAUUUGAUACUAUUAUUUCGCAAUCAAGUCCACUAUCAUCUUUGGCUUCACCAACACAAGAAUAUUGGUGGCCUUUAUCCUGAAAUGUAUUCUGAGGCACUGAUGUUGGAUUAGAAUGAUUUUCUGUCUGAUUCUUUUGGAUUGCAUCAUCACUGCUCUGUCCACAUCUCUCUGACACAGCAUAAUCACUGUGACCAUCUUCUACCCUGUUUGGCCCCAUUGCCAUCUGACAUUCUGCCACGUCACACCUUUCACUCAUAGAAACUGGAACAUGUCUUUCAGACAUGUCUUGUAAACGCUCUCUUCCAUGUAAAGGAAUUCGGUUCUGUUCUACUUCUAUGGACUGUGAAACAUGUGAGGCAUCCCACUUCAUCUUUUUCGCUUCAAUAUGCCAAUCAACGGAAUCAUUUACCCUUUCACGCUUUUCAUUAUCGGAUCCAAUCCUAUUCCUUUUGGAAAGCAAAAGAUUUUCAUUCUCUGAUUUCUCUUCCACGCCUGUGUUUUGAGCACUAGAGCAGCUCUUAUUUAGACUUUUAUUACUCCCACUCACAUAAACUAAAUUAGCAUCACUUGUGAAUGUUAAACUGCUCUUUUCUCUCAAGACAUCAGCAUGCGGAUGGGAGCCAUCAAGCAUCGACUCUUUCAACUGCUAGUAAAGAAAACACAUUCCAUUUCCAGGCAACUAAAGAAAAACUAACCGAUCAAGAAAACUGCAAUGAGAACAUCAAAAUGCAUAACGUACCUGUUCCAAAGCACAUUUUGGCAGAGAAGCAUUUUUAUGCACAAUAAAGGGGUGAAUAUCCCAUUUCAACAGCCCUGGUCUACCGUUUCCCAAAUCAGACUCCAGUGUCUGACAAAACAAAACAAAACAAAACAUAUCUCAUCUCAUUAUUUGAAGUUUUGAACAUACUCCCUACCUCCAAGAACUCCUCAAAAAGACAAAAUUCUUCAAAUUUAACCUCUUUCAUUUCAUAAUUCUAAUGACUUGCACAUUAAAGGUGAAAAGAUCAAAACUUUACCUCAUCGAUGAUGCGUUUGAGGACACUUUCGCAACUUUCGGAUAAAUCAAAACUGAUUUUAGAAUUCUGGGAAGAUAGAACAUGAGUACUCAUCCGGUAAUCACUGCUAGAGCCAAAUAAUUCCUCCAAACAUCUGAGAGCAAUCCUUUCCCUUGCAUUUUUGGACAUGUGAUCAGGUAAUGCUGAGCCUAUCUGACCCAACAAAUCUGAGAAAACAACAAAGUCCUGAUCUUCACUCACACUGUUCAAGUGAAAUAAUAAUGAUAAAUAGCGUGAAAUUGAGAUUGAAGUAAAAAUGGAGGUACCCCAUAAGACAGAAACACCAACUUGUUUCAUGGUGGCCACGCCUUCGACGACCCAGAGCCAAGCAAUGGCUUUCUGCUGCUCACUCAUGUCGUCCAUUGGAGUUGGAGUCUGAAAGAGGCUGCAGCAGAAGAAGCUGUGGAACUGGAAUCCCCCAAUACAAUAGUUUAAAUUAUAAGCCGAGGGAAGAGGGACCGGGCCCUUUUGGGCACACACCAUUUUCACACUGAUGUACUGUGCUUCUAUUGUUAUAUUUUAAGAGAGUGAAAUUUUUAAUUUACACUCCCUAAAUUGUAAAUCACAUGUUUUUUUGUCCGUCAUUUCAACUACUUUAAUCUUCAAGUUGAAGGCAACUCCUCUGUAAUCAUAAACUGCAUCAAAGGCAAGUGUGACACCUUAUGACCUAUCAAAUCGUUCAUAUCAGACAUCGUUGUUGACUAAGCCUUCUUCGAGAAUAUCUCUAACCAUGUUUGCCAUGAGGCAAAUUUCCUAUCUAAUGCUUUGGCUUUUAUGGGCAUGCUUUGUGUCACGAGCUACACUAAAAGGCAGUGUCAUUGUGGCACUCCAAUGAAUGCCCCUCAGGGGCAUGUCAAUGACAAGCAUGAGGGCUCACAUGAUGUUAAGUGGCAAGUCGUAAGUGGAACUUCUAGUUCACUUCUAGUUUGAAGUAUUUCGACUUGGAAUUUGGGAAAAGUCUUAACACGAAAGUUGUCUGGAAUGUUGAAACGAGUUCAACACUUAACGGUAUAUUUUAUGAUGUCGCUUGAAUUAUUUAUGAAUUAUUUAUAGGAGUUGGUCCUCCUAGGCUUUUUGAUAUUUCCUCUUGCCAAGUGAGAAUUUGCACGAUAUGUUCUAUAGAGAGGUACCUGGUGUCAGACUCUCCACCACCCUAGGUGCUGGCCUUCAUGGGGCAUUAAGCGAGCCAUUCCUAGGAUCCAAGAGCUUGGUGUAUGUCAUUAGGAAGGGGCAACAUGCAUCUCCAUGAGUCAUGAAGUCUCAUGGACAGUAUCUGUCGGCAAGCUGAUAUUGCGGUCCCAUGUUGAUGGCGAGGUUCAUAUGUGGUAGGUCCUGAUGCCAUCGGCAUGGGAAAGCGUGUGGGCUAAAAAAAUAUAUGUUGGGAUCUCGCGCGUGGUGCUCAUUGGCCACAAAGUAAGUGUCGCGUGCAUGGGUUUGGGUUUGACCAUGCCCCUAGGUGAAGUGCUGCCAACAAGCACAGAAGGGCGACACCGUGCUAGAUGAAGGGAAACCAAAGGUGGGCAUUGAGAAGGUGAUGCCUACUCAAGCAGUAUGCUGACAAGGUAUGCUAGCAAGCCAGACAUGUGGGGGGUUAAGAUCAAGAGGUGAGCCAUGUGACGAACCUCGCUAACAAGCCCUCAAGGCAACAAAGAUGUGCAAGCUCUUAGGAAUAACCCGACAAGUAAAGUCGAAGGCCAACUAAACCAUGGUGUAUUGUCAUGGCACUUGCUACAAGGUGUAAGAUGCACUCUGGUCAACAACGGGUUGGCACAUGCCAAGAUGAUAAGGAAUCCUAUCAGUUGGGUGAGUGUCUUGGGAGACAACCAUGACACAUGGAAGCGAUCGGUUAGUCAUAAGGUGUACGUGAGACUCAUGCGUGAGUAACUUUUGUUUGUGAAACCCCUAUAUGUGUGAGGAUAAUGUGUGAAGGGUCGGAUUGACACGGGAGGCACACAUCACAAAACUUCCUUCCUUUAGCUACUAAGAUGUUUCAAUUCACUAAAUUUUAAAAGUCCAAAGAGUGCAAACUUGCCACAGAGCUUGGAUACGGUUUUUGAUCGAAGAUCCUUGGAUCAUAGACGGUAUCUCCCCAUGGUAUUUCGCUUCUAAAAGCGGCAUUCCUUCUUAAUGCCCGGGUAUCCAUUCAAUGCAUUUUUUACGGUCUUGUACUAAGAUACAGUGAACACGAAUAGAACCGUCGAGAGAGCUUUUUAUUUACUCAACCAGUAAAGGCGCCCCAACUUGAAAGUCUUUUGUAAUUCUAUAAAGGGUGUCACAUCCAGGGCCGGCCCUGAGAUUUUCAGGGCUCUAGGCGAAAACGAAAAUGGGGCUCUCAGUCUCUCACCUUCAAAUAUAUAUAUUUUUAACUUUUUUCUUCUUUCUUUGAAAGUAAUUUAGUAAAUUUAAGUAAAAUUCACUAAUAAGGUUAACAAUACAGCAAUCUUAAAAUGAUGAUGGUAUAAUGCAUCAAAGAAAGAAAUCUAAAAGGAAAACAGAAAAAAUAAAUAAAAAUUAUAUGUAUAUAAGAAGGGAAAGAAUAAUAAAAAUAAAAUACAUGCAUACAAAAAAAAAUCAAAGAUGAAAAAAAAAAUUCAAAGUUGAAAGCGCGUUUCGAACCAGUUAAGUCCUCCAAUUGUAACAUUCGCUUUUGCCACCACGUCAACAACAAUUAAUGUUUCUUCUAAGAACUUCUAUUUAUAUAUUACAUUUUAGUAUAUUUAAAAAAUCAGAAAACUUGAUUUUAUUUUUCAGGGGCCCGUAAGUUUGGGGGCUCUAAGCACAGGUCUUCUGGGCCUAUAGUCAGGGCCGGCCCUGGUCACGUCGUAUGAUCUUUCUAAGUAUAUAUCAUUGUCUUCUCAUAAAAAAAAAUAAUAAUAAAAAAUAAAAUGAAUGUCCAAAUGCUAAGCAUCCAAGAAUAUAUUUGCAUAUGCUUCAGGGGCGCGCCCCUAAACAAUUGAUCUAUAAUAACAAAUAUGUGAUGCUAGAACUAUCUAUUUAAGAAAUAGAAUUAAAUUCAGUUUACCCCUUCAAACUUUAGCUCUAAAAUCAGUUUGGUCCCUGAACUUUUUUUUUUAAUCAGGAUGAUCCCUAUACUUUAAAUUUUCAUCAGUCGUCUCCAAAUUUUGACUUUGACUCUAACCAUGAUGUCACAUGUUGAGUUGGCUCUGACAUAAGGGAUUAUUUUUCAAACUUUGACCCUCUCAGCAAGGUAUAUGACAUUUACACAUAUUAAACCUUAAUAAUAAUUAAACUCAUUAAUUAAUUCUCUUCCUAUAAAAACAUAAUUAUAAUUCUCUUCCUCUCUAAUCUCUAUAUUUCUCUCGUCAUUCCCUUCUCUUCUCUGUGCCUUUUCUUAUGUCAAUCAAUCUCGAGUAGGAAGAGGAGACCAAGCUCCUCUUAAUUGAUCAAUGAAUUGCUAACUUGAUCCAAGAAUUCCUAUUCAUCUUCACAGGGAUUGGUGGCGGGGCAUGCUCUAUGCUGGGGGUGGAGAGGGACUGCUAAGAAAGAAGUGUUGGGGUGGGGAGGGAUUGCUAAGAAGAAAGAUGAAGAGAAGGGGCCAGCAACAAGGAAUAGGCUUUUCACCACUUCAAUUUCAUAUUCUAAUUUCUAUUUUUCUUUCUUCCGUCUCGUUUAAUUUUUUCUUUUUUGUGUUCAUAUGAAUGCAUCGGUUGCUUUAGAUUUUCGUUUUUAUUUGGGUAUAUGAGAUAGUUUUUGCAGGGUGGAUAUGUCUUAUCAUUGAGUUUCUAGCAAAAUCUAGUGUUCUAGAUGUGUGUGGUUUUGACAAUGAAGAGAUGGGUAUAGAAGUAGUCCUGUUGGAGAUGGGAGGGUGUGGUUGAGCUGGUGAUCAGUUGAGUAAACUUAUGAAGGGAUCUGAGUUUCAGGGGUUAAAGUUUAACAUAAGAGGGUAGGUAAGACAUUUUAUCCAAAUUUUAGGUCAAAUUCUGAUACGUAGGUCCUUAUGUCGUGGCCAACUCAGCUUGUGAUGUCAUGUUUAUAGUCAAAUUCGAAAUUCAGAGAUGACUAAUGUAAAUUGAAAAAGUAUAAGGAUCAUCCUGAUUAAAAAAAAUGUUCGAGGAUCAAACUGAUUUUAGAGCUAAAGUUUAAGGGGAUAAACUGAAUUUAAUCCUAAGAAAUCUAAUGUUGUCAAACUAUUACAUACUAGUAUUUCAUAAUUUGAUUGGUUUACCCACAAAAGGGUAGCAAGGCGCGCGUAUAAAGUCUUAGACUUAGAGCAUCUCUAAUGAUAGUGUAAUUUUUUUGGUCAAAUUUAUACAAAACCUUCUCCAAUAGAAAGGUCAAAUAGCAAUAAUAUUUUACUUUUUUUCAAAAUUUUCUUACUUUUUAUAUCUUGCUAUUUCUCUCUCUUCUCUCUCUAUCCGUCUCUCCUUCUCAUUCUGUGCUUCUACUUCUGAGGAGACUACAACCAGCGAAAAUUAUUCAGCACACCCGACAUCUCCACCGUCCGUUUUAGCACGUGGACUUGGGCCGUUAGUUGGGCGUUUGCGGUUUGUUAGGUAGGCAAGUGAUGGCCUGAUGGGCGAUUAAGGGCAGAGUGGGCAGAGGUAAGUUGAUCCGCUCUUGUGUUCUCACUCAGAAACUCAACUUUAUGGUUUCGCCAUCGUCGACGAUGGUAGCGAUCGUCUUCGUCUUCUUGUAUGGAAGAGAGCUACAUUACAGGCCCUGAUUUUCUUCUUCCGUUGCACCUUACCAAUCUCUACUGGUCCAGAACCGCCAAGAGAUGGUCAACCGCCACAGCCUCCACGACGCGGCGGAGGAAGCCGACGCUCUCCGUUGAGCUGAACAAGCAACUCAGUCUCCUCAUCCACGCCUCCAUCCAGAAAGAGAUCGAAGCUUCUUCAAGCUCUGUGGAGGUCGCCGUUUGGGAUCGUCAACAGGAUUUGUGGCCUAUAAAUGACGGCAAGGAGUCCUAUAUUGUUUCUGUGUGUUCAAGUUUACUUUUACUCAUGGGAAUUGUAUUUACUUUCACUCUCUGCAGCAUCUCCAGAAUUAGCUUUGAAUCAGAUUUGAUUAUCAAUUUUGUUUAGUGCUCUUCCAGUGUUUGUUUACUUUUGAUCCAUGGAAUCCUUUGAGUUUUAAAUUGGGGGAGAUUUGGGCUGCAUUGCAUGAGUGGAACCCUUAGUUCAUAGAGUUCAUUUAGACUGGGUAUAUAAGCAAUGCACAUAACCUGUUUGUAAAAAUGCCAGAAUGAGAUUGGUAAUGAUACUACCAGUAAAUAUAUUCUUAGAACAUUGCAUCUUCUAAUAUAGUGUUGAUUUGUGAAAGCAUGUAGUUUAACUGACAUAUUUAAGCUUUACAUAUAAGUAAUGCACAUGAACUGGUUUGUGAAAAUGUAAAAUUGUGACGUGUGAUGAUUCUUUCACUACCAGAAGAAAGGCUUUAGCCGACGAAAAUAAAAAAACCAAGCCGACGAAUUAUUUUUUUGUGGGCUAACGUGGCCUUUAGCCGACGAAAUUUUCCUUCGUCGGCUAAUUUAAAUUUUCAUAGGCUAUGGUCAACUGUAGCUGACGAAAUUAAAAUUUCAUCGGUGAAAAAAAUUUUUUCAUCGGCUUUAGUCUGUAAACUUUAGCCGACGAAUACCCUAAUAUUUUGUUGACUAAACCCUAAACCUUAGCCGACGAAUACCCUAAUAUACGACUUGUUGCGUCUCAUCGAUUUGAAACUAUUUUCAGUUGAAGGUUCGGCCAAAAUACGUAAUUUAGACGGUCCAAUGACCUUUUCCGUGCGUUUAGGGGUUUGACUUACGGGAUUGACCGUCCGAAUCUAGCCCUUAACCUUAUCGGAUCAAGUUGAAUUUUUUCCCAUACAUGUAUUUUAUCAUGACGGUCGGAUUUUCGUUUCUCAAGUUUGAUCAUCACAAUCACAACAUGCCUACUAAUGUUGCAUAACUUGUUUACCAAGUGUUAAGUAAAUGUUCCGUUUCAAAAACAAACUAUACGUAGAACCUUCAAACGCAAAAAAUUCGUGAAAUAAGAUAUUACCAUAAUGGUGAAAUACGUCUACGGUUGAAAAAUCACGGUAUUCCAGUAAAGUCUCGGUGCUGAUAGUUGCAGUCAAUGUAAUUUUUCAUUCUUUCUCCCUAUGGGUAGCCUUAUCUUCGGUGGUUAUUUUCCGUAAAAUUUUUAUACGACUUGUUGCAUCUCAUCGAUUUGAAACUAUUUUCAGUUGAAGGUCCGGCCAAAAUACGUAAUUUAGACGGUUCAAUAACCUUUUUCGUGCGUUUAGGGGUUUGACUUACGGGAUUGACCGUCCGGAUCGAGCCCUUAACCUUGUCGGAUCAAGUUGAAUUUUUUCCCAUACAUGUAUUUUAUCAUGACGGUCGGAUUUUUGUUUCUCAAGUUUGAUCAUCACAAUCACAAUGUGCCGAAUGUAUAAAAAGUACUAUAGCCGACGACAUUAUUGAAAAUUCGUCGGCUAUAGUUAAUAAAAUAAAAUAAAACAAAUAAAUUGAAAAUAUUAAAUAAAAAGUACUAUAGCCGACGAAUUUCAUUAUUUUAGCCGACGAAUUUCACAGGUUUAGCUGACGAAAUAAAAUUUCGUCGGCUAAAGGUAUAGGGUAUAUAAUUAAACCCAGCGCUGGGCAGCCUCCACAACGCUCCAAAAAACCCUAAAAAACCCACCACCGCCUCCUCGAGCCCACCACCGCCUCCUCGAGCCCUCCACAGCCUCCUCGAGCCGUCCUCGAGCCUCCUCCUCGAGCCAUCUCUGUUAUGCUCCAGCCCCGAUCCCUCCUCCUCUUCACCGUCCUCACUAUCUUCCUUAUCUUCGUUUUCACUUCCACCCAUCAAAAGGUAACUCUUUUCUUGACUUUGCUUGCUCUGUUUGCUUUAAUUUGCGGAUUUGGGUUGUUAAUUUGUGAUUUGCAAUGUGGGUUUGAUCGAUUUUGUUGAAAUUUCGGUGCUUUUUGACCUUUGGAAAUUUGUGGUACUAUGGAAUUUGGGAAUGAUUAAUGCUAAAUUGGGAUGGUAAUGAUUUGGAAUAUUUGAUAUGGUGGAAGGGUGGUUGUUAUAGAUGUUGAACUCUACUGGUUGAGUGGAGUCUUGGAUGUUAGGAAAGCUGCUAGGUUCUAUAGUAGUGUGAUUCUAGUUCAUUCUUAUAUAUGAAUGUAUCUUAUGCGACUGGCAUUGUAGUACAAUUCAAGUUUAGGCAUUUUGUUUCUGGAAGCAUCGUUUCUAGUUGUGGGUUCUUACCCGAUUUGUGAUCUGUAUGUUCAGGGUAUUAGUUGCUGGUUUGUUGAAAAUAGAGACAAGGUUUUAGAAAGAAAGAUUGGGUUGGCUAGGAUUAAUAUUUCUUGCUGACUUGAUGAAGAUAGAGACUGGUUUCUAGAAAUCAAGAAUUGGGCGGUUAGUCGGGGGAUUAAUAUUACGGUAGUGUCUUGGUUAUUGUCUUUGUUAAGGAUACUAAUAUGGGACGACUCAAUUUGGCUGCAGGUUAUUUCAGUUCUUUUGGUUGACCAGCACCGUUUUGGUGGUCUGUAGUUCUAUCUUCAUUUUAUUGAAUAUUGGUUUUGUUACUUGUGCUUUGUGCUAAUUUUAAAUCUAUAAACAAAUGAAUUUGUAGUUUCUAAUUUGAAUCAUUUGAUUAUGUAGGAGGAAGAGAAAGUAGAAGAAGCACCUGAAAUAACCCAUAGAGUAUACAUGGAUAUUGAUAUUGAGGAACAGCGCUUAGGUAUAGUUUUAUGCCAAUACUUUCACAUGAUCUACCUACUGUUGAGUGCCCAUUAAUUUCUUAUUCACUGAUGACAUCCUAUUACUACUUUUCAUUCCUCAGCCUUAAUUCAAAUUAAUAUUUUAAACAGGAUGAGUGGUAAUUUUAGAUUGACGAAGGGUUCGAAGGGCCAAAGGUCCGAAUCGUCUGAGAGAACCUCUAGCAACCCUCAAACGUCGUUUCGGGGCCCCAUGACAGCUAAACGUGCGACCCUUCUGGAGACGGCGCAGAGGCAUCCGAGCGUUUCCCAUUCCUCGAGGUAGCCGGAGGUGCCCCCUUCAUCGAGGCAGCCAGUCGUCCCUCAUUCCUCGAGGCAACUAUGGCCUUAGACCCAGACGGAGGUGUCUGCACCCUGUAUGCCUAAGAUACACCGGGCGUGUCACACCCCAAUUUUCGAAAGAUAAAUUUUCAAAAAUUUGGGCAUGAUAUAUCUUAAAAUCUUAAUAUCCCAAAACCUGCUCAACAUCUAUCAAACUAAAAACAAAUACUGGAAAUGCAAAUGUCAACAAACUCAACAACUGAGUUAAACAUUAUAUCUCUUUAAUUACAUCAACUUCAAAAGUCUAGUAAUAAUAACGUCGCUCACAAUAACAAGAGCUAGCUAACCACCGAAACCUAGAGCUAGGAAACUGCCGGAUGCGCUGCCACACGCCACCUUAGGUGGCGGUGAGUGGGCCCCACGCGCCACCCCAACAACUUCAAAAUCUUGACAAACUUCCAACAGCAAACUAGUAGAUUGAAGCAAGGGGAGCAUCUUUUAUACUUGACGUUUGAGCCAAAUCGGCUGGAAACCGGCCGGAAAAGUUCAAAAACAGAGUGGCCAAGGAGUGCCUCCAAUCCGACUUCUAGACUUUAAGAUGAGGUGAAAGGGAGCUUGGAUCAUGAUUUAGGAGGAAGAAACGUCAAGAAACGAGCACCCUCGAUAUCCGGGUUCACCAGAAAACACCAACUCCGGCGGGCCACUUGAUGACGUUCUUCUCCGACCCCGAGCUUGGUCUCCGGCCUGAAACGCCGUGCUACGCCACUCCAGCCUUGGAGGCGAUGGCCAAGCGGACCCAAAGAGACCGGCGGCGGUCCAAGCGGUGGCCGGACGGCUGAGUUUCUUGCCGGCGACAGUGAGGGCGCGGGAGCGGCUUGGGAGGAAGGAGAGAGAAGGAGUUAGGGUUUUUCUGAAAAAUAUUGUUUCUAAAAACAACCCUCACAUUUUUUCUAUUUAACCAAAAAUCCCAUAAAGUCACGAACUUCCGCUGACCAUAACUUCUUCAUACGAAGUCCGUUUUACACGUGCCGCAUGUCUAUGAACUCGUAUCGCCAUGCUCUACAACUUCCAUGAAGGAAGUUUCAUGAGAAACCCAAUGAAUAAAAAGUCAACCGAAUAAAAAUAAAUAGAAACUAGUAUCUAAAAUUCCUGUAUAUUACAUUCUACCCCCCUUAAAAAAAUUUCGUCCCCGAAAUUUAAACCCAUUAAAUCACACCACACCUAGUGGUAAUUGAUCGACUUCUGACACACUCCCCUACAUAAAGUCAUUACCACCACAUGGCUAUCUAAACAGAAACAAAGGUUACCAUGGAUGCGAACCAGAUCACCACUCACUAAGAACUCAACCAAUCCAAAAACACCCAUCCCACAAAAGUCAAACCGCAACCAACCCAAUCAUAAAAUAAAACAUGCUAUCACACAUAAGACAAGUUACAAGGGAUUUUCCUCACGGGAAGUCUAACACACAAGUGUAACUACAUACAUAAGGCACGAACAACGAGACACCACCCAACACAACCUAUCAAAAGAGAACAAAUAACUCACCUGAAACUACUGGGUCGGAGGCAACUGCCUCUGUUGGUACCCCUGCCUGUCCUCCUGAGGUCGAGUACACUCCCUAGCAAGGUGCCCCACCUGCCCACAACUAUAGCAAGCCUGAGUCUUUCGCUUGUUGCACUCCUUCGAAAUAUGUCCCAAACCAUCGCAAAGGUAGCAUCUCCUAGGCUCCUCCUGUCAGAUAGGUGCAACUGGCACUGUAGCUAGAGCCUGCUGAUCAGUCCGCUGCCUCUUCCAAAAACCACCUCUGUGGUCCCCUGAACUGCCGCUCCCUGCUAGGGCCUUGCCCUUCCCUUGGACAUCUCUUUGUCCCUCAGCCACAUGCAUGGCCUCCUCCUGCUCAACUGCAAGGGCACUCUCAACCGCUUCUGCUAGAGUAGCAAAUCGUUGAGAAGUCACCAACUUCCGGAGCUCAUGCCUCAAACCCCGAAUGAACUUCCGAGCCAAAUCUACUGCAUCCAUCUCUCUAACAAAACGAUACAGCUGAGAAAACCGAGCCUCAUAAUCCCUGACACUCAUCAAGGCCUGCACCAGAGCUAUGAACUCAAGUUCCAACUGCUCCCUCACUGUAUCAAGAAAAUACUUCUCCCGAAAGAGCUGAACAAACCCCUCCCAAGUUAGGGCGGUCACAUCUCUAGAUCUCUCUACCCCGCUCCACCAUACCCGUGCCUCAUCCUUGAGAAGAAACGUAGCAAUAUGCAUCUUCUCAAUCUCCGUACACGUGAACAUGGUGAAGUAUGUCUCGAUGCUCUCUAUCCAAUGAUCAGCUACGAGGUAGUCUGUACCUCUAAGAAAAGAAGGCACUCUUAACCUAAUGAUACCCUGAGCCAGCCUGGCCAAUCGAAGACGAUCAUCUACUGCAACUGGCACCGGCACCUCCAACACUACCUCUUCCUCAAAGAAAUUAUUCACAGGUGGAGCCCUACCUUUGCCUCUAGCCCCACCUGCCCCUCUGGCUCUACCGGCCCCUCUGGCCCUACCUCUGCCUCUAGCUCUCCCUCGCGGUGUCACACUCCGGUUCUUAAGUUAUUUUACUGUUAUUUACUUUGGUGUUAUUUUGGUCUUUUACCGUGUUGAGUAACCGUUUACUACUUAAGGACCCUAAAGUUGACUUUUUCUUCCGUUUGGAAUUUGGGAAAACUUUCUUCAUGAAAGUUGUAGAGGACGUUAAACAGAGUUCAUGGACACGCGGCACGCUUAAAACGGAGUUCGUAUGAAAAAGUUAUGGUCUAAAAACAAAAAUUACUAUAUUGGUAAAAAGAGGUAAAUUCUUGUAGGCUUUAUUUUGUGGGUGUUUUAAGUUUGGACCGGGUCAAGAGGGGGUCAAAGCCCAGCCACACACUCUCUCUCUCUCNNNNNNNNNNNNNNNNNNNNCUCUCUCUCUCUCUCUCUCUCUCUCUCUCUCUCUCUCUCUCUCUCUCUCUCUCUCUCUCUCUCUCUCUCUCUCUCUCUCUCUCUCUCUCUUUCUCCCGAGUUCUCCCGACCCGGAAACUUUCCAGCCGUCGUCCGCCGCCGUCCGGCUGAGAUAGGAGGCGUACUUGGUAUCAAAUCGAAGCUUGGAACAUCCUCUUCAAUUCUAGGUAGGUGGCUGGUCGUGUUGCGCUACCGUGAGGGAGGAAUCACGCCGAGAAGGAGCGGCUGUGCGUGGUGGAGUUUCGCCGGAAACUCUCUUUUUCGGCCACCAUAGCCGGAGCUGUUGGUCUCAACUUGAAGCUCUCCCUCCUAGCAGCUAAACCCUAAAAGGAUUCAUCCUAACUCGAGCUAGGUAAGGAGAAUCGGGUGUUUGAAUUUCCUAAGGUUUUCUUGUUAUGUUUGGCUUCGAUUGCCCUAUUUAGGCUUGAAAUUGGACUUAAUGAUAGUUAUGAAAGUUGUUUGGGAUGUUGAGAGGAAGAUUGUGUCAAAAUUUGGUAGCAAUUGGAGGUCGCCGAUGUUCGGCUGCCGGCCGGCAGCGCCCCUUAAGGGCAGUUUUUCCUGUUUUUGAGAUGGUUUUAAUAAGAGGUGUUUAUUGAAGUAUAGUUUGGAAUUUUUGGAUGAGUUUUGGUUAGGUUUGGAAUUUUUCGGAGAUUGGAGAAAAUGCCGGUUAUUAGAAUGAAAAUUCGGCCGUUGGAUUUCCUUGGUAUUUAUUAUAGAAUGUUAGAAUUGAUGAAUUAAGGUUGUUGUGGAGUUUGAUGUGAAUCCGGCGAGUUUAACCCUAUUAAGAGUAGAGGGUUAAACGGAGGAGAGUUAGAUAUUUUAAUUCACGUAUUUAUUUUCUGGAAUUGAAAUUUGGUUCUAAGCAUGGUUGUUGUGCCAGGAUGCGAAAGGAACCUCGAUUGAGUGGCGAUGCGGUUAUCGUCGGCUUAUGCCUAAAUUUGUGAAUGGACAUUUUGGUUUUAAAAAUAAAUAUGCAUGCAAGAUUUUAUAAUCUAUCAUUUUAUUUUCCGAGCAUAUAAUAUAACUUUUCAGUUCAUGAGAUGAGCUAGAAAAUUAUUUGAGUUUGGUGCAUUUAUUAAGUGUUGGUCAUGAUUUAUGGAGUUGAGCUCGGAUUAUUAUUUUGAUAUUUGAGUUUGGAUAUUUUUAUAAAUUCCGGAUUUCAUUAAAUGGUUUUAAUGGUGGAUUUUGAGAUUUAUAUAAGAUUUCCAAAAAUGGGAUUUUCGGUAGUUUCCUAUUUUUAAUUCUUGAAAUUAUUGGUGGAAUAUCGAUCUUGACUUUGAGUUUUAUAAAUGGUUACCGAAAAUGGGAUUGUCGGUAGUUCUCCUCAUAAUUUAAUUGUUUAUUUGAGGCAUAAUGAUUUUGACUUGGAGAAUAUUUUAGCGAGUAUUUUCGGGCGGAGAUACUAUUAUUUAUGAUUCAUAUUUGUUAUUGAAAUCUUGCUUAUAUUUAUAAAUUGGAGAAUAUUUUGACGUGUGAGACACGUCAUUGAGUUGUGUUAUGAUUUCUUUUGAUGAUUUUCAUGUACGGUUGGGAACCAUACCAUUCGUUUGGUCUUGGGGGAAGUUUAAUGGAUUUAAGUGACUUCGUAUGUUUUAGUCACCAUAUUAUAGGGUCGUUUAUCUUGAUUAUUGCUAGCUAACCUUAUUAGCGGUCCUCAUCAUAUGUGAGUCGUUAUUAUAGCCUUAUUAGCGGUCUUCUUCAUAUGUAAGUAGAGCGCUUAGCGUGGGACGCUAUUAUAGCCUGGGAGGCAACCGAUCGGUAUUUAUAUUUAUUAGUUAGGUAGCCUUAUUAGCGGUUCUCAUCAUAUGUGAGUUGAGCACUUAGCGUGGGACGCUAUUAUAGCCUUAUUUAGUGGUCCUCAUCAUAUGUGAGUUGAGCGCUUAGCGUGGGACGCUAUUAUAGCCUGGGAGACAUCGACCCGAGCCUGGGAGGCUCCUUUUUCAUGGUGAUAACUCUUCCCCUAUUUUAUUCUUCCCAAUAAUAUAUUUGAUUAACCAGCGGGGCUGGUUUAUCUCCUCUUAUGAGAUUUCUGUUUUAACUAACCAACGGGGCUGGUUUGUCCUUUAUUAAGUGAUUUUGGAUUUAAAGUUUUAAGGAUGUUUAAGUUGUAUGCUGUUAAGUUUUUAAAGUUGAAAAGUGGGAAAGUAUAUAAGUUUUAUAAUUGUUAAGUUAUUGAAUUUAUUUUCGUCCACUCACUCUAACGUUUUUAAAUUACUUUCCCCUGUGUCCUUUGGUUUAUAAAUGCCCAGUUUGCAGGCUAAGUUAUUUGAGGACGAGCGUACAUGGAGUCGAGGCAUAAUCAGAGGCUGCUUCCACUUAUUCAUUUUCAUUGUUUUCAUUCAUCAUUAGAUAUGCUCUGAAAGUCCAGUAGUAGCUCAUUAAAUGUCCUUGUUGUUGGUUGUGGAAUUAUUAUUAGAUGAGAAAUUGUUAUUGGGAGUUUUGAUGAACUUGGGGAGCAGGAAGGCUCCAGGAGAUGAGGAUGGAUGUUUGAUUAUAGAAGUGUUAAGUUGGAUUUUUCAAGAAAGGGUUGUCCAUUUUCAAAGAAGGUUAUGCCGAAUUUUCGGUAACUUUUCCUUGAAGGUGGACCCCACAGGAUUUACCUCGGGUUUCAGGGUGAAAUUCGGGGUGGGUCCUUACACGUGGAAGAUCCAUCACCUAAGAAGCAAGUAAACCUUGAUUAACUCAUGCAUAAAACUUAAACCAAAGUAUAAGUCAAAUGCGACAUUUAUUAACCAAGGCACUAACUCAAGAUGGAACACAAAGAUUUAAAAUCCUACUAACAAAGUACUCUCUACUCUGACAUCCUAUUGACCUAGAGGCGACACCUAACCCUUCACAUACCCAAUGACAUAUCAAUAUCGAAGAGUUUAUGAUGGUGAUCCGCUGCAGUCGGGCCAUCACUCCAAAGUAUUGAUUAUCACCAAAUAUGUAAACCUAGGCUCUGAUACCAAACUAUCACACCCUAAUUUUCGAAGGAUAAAUUUUCAAAAAUUUGGGCAUGAUAUAUCUUAAAAUCUUAAGGAACUAUCAUGCCGGUUUUAAACCAUUCGUUGUCUUCAUGGACGAGGCGGCCAGGGAAUAUCCAGAAGUCAACCGGUACGUCUAUAAGUACGAGAAGGCAUAUCCUGACGCCUAGGAGGAUAUUGUAAGUCAUCUUACGUUUUUAAAUUUUAAAUUUUACUUAUAUAUAUGUCAAAAUGUUAAUUAAUUAUUUUUUUCCUAUCCAAUUAGGCGAAGAUGAGGGAGGCUAGUGACGAGGUGAUGAGUGCUAUAGUGAGGGAGGUAUGGCCGGACACGCAGGAGGAGGAGAUGUCCGAAGCCAUGUCACGGAUCGACACUUCGAAUCCGAGGGUUGGGGCGAGGAUCAUGGGCACAGCCUUCCCACCGCGAGGAAACAACUUCUACUGCCGGGGUCUAGGAAAGAAAGGCAAGGGGGUCCUGAAGACCACUCCAGGAUUUCAACAAAAGGCAGCCUCGACCAGCAGCAGGACGACUCAGCUAGAGUCGGAAGUUGAGAGACUACGGGAACAGCAAGCUGCUCAGGUUGCCGCUCAUGCCACCCAGAUCGCCGCCCAGACAGCCUAUAUUACCACAGUAUAUGUCACCCAGCAGGCCCAACAGCAGCAGAUGUUCCAAUACUUGCAGAAGUUUACAGCUGCCCCAGUUUCAAGGACUUUUGGCUCCACCCAUGCCUACGCCUAUACCGCUAUACCUUAGCCGCCGCAACCUCCUCAGCAGCAACCUCCUCCGCAGCAGCCCCCAGAAUCGGAUAUUGAUUUAGACAAUCUAGAUUUUUUGUAGUUGAUCAAUUAUAUAAUUCUAUGUGCUUGUUGUUGGUUAUAUGGAAUUGUUUUGGUGUAUUUUGCAGGUUGCUUAGAAUGGUAAUUUAGAAAUUUUGGGUUCUUUUUUUUACUGGAAUGGACUUAUAGCCGACGAAACAUGUAAGAUAUUCGUCGGCUAUAGUAUUUUUAAUUUUUUUAUAAGGUUUAGCCGACAAAUUAUGGCAUGUUUCGUCGGCUAAAUCCUUAUAAAGCCGAUGAAACAGACUAUAUUUCGUCGGCUAUAGUUAUUUUUUUAAUUUUUUAUUACAUACUUUAGCCGACGAAUAUCUUAAAUGUUUCGUCGACUAAAGUCUCAGACUAUGGUCGACGAAACAUUUAAGAUAUUCGUCGGCUAAAUUUUGGGACAAUAACCGACGACGUCUUCUAGUUUCGUCGGCUAAAGUCAUCGCUGACGACUAUUUCCCGACGAAACCAUAGCCGACGAAGGCUCGUCGUAUAAGAUCUUAGCCGACGAAUUAAGCUAACAGGCCGACGAAACUUUUUCGUCGGCUAAAGUGUUUGUCCUGGUAGUGUUUCUAAAACAUUGGAACUCCUUCUGAUGAGUGUGUGGUGUAGCAAAAGGUGUAGAUAAUCUCUAAUUUUUUUUUUCCAUCAAACGGUAAUUUUUAUUUUGACAAAUUUUUUAUUAAAGCGGUAUAACUUAUUUAGUAGGUUAUAUGAAAAUUGUGAACCAAUUAUAAUGAGGAAGUAAAAUUUUCAAAAAUAUUGUGAAAUAGGAUUUGACAGGAAUAGUGAAAUACGGCUAGGGUUGAAAAAUCAAAAGCUUCCGAUAAUGUCUGGUUCCCGAUAAAAUUGGUCAAUCAUUGUUACGCUUAGGCGUUUUUAAGAGGAGUUUAACCACCGGAUGGUCAAUUUAACAAAAAUAUUUUUUUGAUUCCUAAAUCUCAUAUAUACAAGUUUUAGGUUCGAAAAUAGGGAAAAAGAGGGUUUCGCACGAUGCCGGUCAACCGUGUUUCGUGUAAAAAAUGAGGUUGAACUAAGUUUGACCGAUUCGAUGGGUGGCCUAACGUAUUCGAAACGAGGUGGAUUUUUUUCAGUAAACAUAUUUAAUUACCAUGACUAUAUCAAACGGUUGAAUUUUUAUUUUCACAUAUUUAUGACUUUGGAGAGCUACGUGCCUACUAAAGCGGUAUAACUUGUUUAGUAGGUUAUACGCAAGUGUACAACUUUGUAAACCAACUAUAAAAAUGAAACAAAAUUUUAAAAAAUUUCAUGAAAUAAGAUUUGAUCGGAGUAGUGAUAUAUGACUUUGGUUGGAAAAUCACGUGCUUCGGUUAACGUCUAGGUCUCGAUAGAAGCAGUCAACCUUUUUUAUGCAUAAUAUUCCCUAGGGGGAGCCCUAUAGUCGGGAUGUAAACGUCUCUAAAUUUUUAUAUGAGUGGUUAGGUCUCAUCUAUGUGAGAGGUUACUGUGAGGAAUGAUUGACCAAACUUGGUCACAGAGAGGUAGAUAAGAGCGUUUUCGUGUGAUAAGUGACGAUUAGGGUUGACUGUUUCGAUCGAGCCCCGAACGUUGCCGAAUACAAUUGUGAGAGUUUACUGUGAGGAAGGAUUGACCAAACUAGGUCACAGAGAGGUAGAUAAGAGCGUUUUCGUGUGAUAAGUGACGAUUAGGGUUGACCGUUUCGAUCGAGUCCCGAACGUUGCCAAAUACAAUUGAAUUUAAUACCAUAGCCAUGUUUCACUAUAAUGAUCACAUCAUACGGUCGAAUUUUCAUUUUGUGAAUUUUAGUAAUUGGAAUUACAACGUACCAACUAAUGUAGUAUAAAUUGUUUAGUAGGUUAUAUGCAAGUGUACAACUUUAUGAACCAACUAUAUAGAUGAAGCAAAAUUUUAAAAUAUCUCGUGAAAUAAGAUGUGAUCAGAAUAAUGAAAUAUGGCUAUGGUUGAAAAAUCACGUACAUCGGGUAACAUCUGGGUCUCGAUAUAAGCGGUCAACCCUUUUUACACUUAAUAUAUCCUAUGGGGAGCCCUAUCGUCGGGACGUAAAAAACUCCAAAUUUUUACAUGGGUCGUUACAUCUCAUCUAUGUGAGAGUUUAAUGUGUGGAAGGAUCGACCAAAAUAGGUCACGUAGGGGUAGGUAAUAGCGUUUUUGUGUGAUAAAUGACGUUGAAUUAGAAUUGACUGAUUCGAUCAAGCCCCGAACGUUGCCGAAUCCAGUUGAAUUUUUUACCAUGGUCGUGUUUCAUUAUAACGGUCAUAUCAGAUGGUCGAUUUUUUAUUUUGUGAUUUUAGUCAUUGGAAUCACAACGUGCCUACUAAUGUGGCAUAACUUGUUUAAUGUCAUAUGCAAGUAUCCAACUUUGUGAACCAACUAUAUAGUGAAAGCAAAAUUUUUAAAAAUCUUGUGAAAUAAGAUGUGAACGGAAUAAUGAAAUACGACUAUGGUUGAAAAAUCACUUACUUCGGGUGACGUAUGGAUCCCGAUAGAAGUGGUCAACCCUUUUUACGUUUAAUAUUCCCUAUGGGGAGCCCUAUUGUCGGGACGCAAACGUCUCCAAAUUUUUAUAUGAGUGGUUACAUCUCAUCUAUGUGAGAGUUUACUGUGAGGAAGGAUUGACCAAACUAGGUCACGGAGAGGUAGGUAAGAGUGCUUCCGUGUGAUAAGCGACAAUGAAUUAGGGUUGACCGAUUCGAUCAAUCCCCGAACGUUGCCGAAUACAGUUGAAUUUAAUAUCAUAGCCAUGUUUCACUAUAAUGAUCAUAUCCGACAGUCGAAUUUUCAUUUUGAGAAUUUUUGUCAAUAGAAUCACAAUGUGCCUACUAAUGGGGUAUAACUUGUUUAGUUGUUAUAUGCAAGUGAACAACAUUGUGAACAAACUUUAUACAAAAAGCAAAAUUUGCAGACAUCUUGUGAAAUAAGAUGUGACCGGUAUAGGGAAAUACGGCUUUGGUUGAAACAUCACUUGUUUCGGGUAACGUCCGGGUCCCGAUAAUAGCGGUCAACUCUUUUUAUGCUUAAUCUACCCUAUGGGAAACCCUAUUGUCGGGAUGUAAACAUGUCCAAAUUUUUACAUGGGUGGUUACGUCUCAUCUAUGUGAGAGUUUAGUGUGUGGAAGAAUCGACCAAAAUAGGUCACUGAGGGGUAGCUAAGUGCGUUUUUGUGUGAUAAAUGACGUUGAAUUAGAGUUGACCGCUUCGAUCGAGCCCUGAAUAUUGCCGAAUCCAGUUGAAAUUUUUACCAUGGUCGUGUUUCAUUAUAAUGGUCACAUCAGACGGUCGAUUUUUUCAUUUUGUGAUUUUAGUCAUUGGAAUCACAAUGUGUCUACUAAUGUGGUAUAACUUGUUUAGUUAGUUAUAUGUAAGUGAACAACAUUGUAAACCAACUUUAUACAGGAAGCAAAAUUUGCUGAAAUCUUGUGAAAUAAGAUGUGACCGGUAUAGCGAAAUAAGGUUGUGGUUGAAAAAUCACCUAUUUUCGAUAACGUUUGGAUGUCGAUCAAUGCGGUCAACCUUAAACCAACGUCAUUUAUCACACGGAAACGCUUUUGCCUACUCCUAUACGACCUAGUUUGGUUGAUUCUUCCACACACAAAACUCUCACUAAUGAUAUGUAAUCACCCAUGUAAAAAUUUAGGGACGUUCACCUCCCAACGAUAGAGCUCCUCAUAGGAAAACAUAAGCGUAAAUAGGGUUGACCGCUUCUAUCUGGGACCAAACGUUGCCGAAAAUAUGUUAUUUUGCAACCAUAGUCAUAUUUCACCAUACCGAUCACAUCCUAUUUCAAAAGAUUUUUGAAAAUAUUGCUUCCUCUGUAUAGUUGGUUCACAAAGAUGUUUAGUAAUACCACAUUAGUAGCCACGUUGUGCUUCCAAUGACUAAAUUUCACAAAAUGAAAAUUCAACCGUCCGAUAUGAUCAACGUACUUAAAUACGUCUAUGGAUAAAAAUUCACUUGAUUUUGAUAAUGUUUGGGUCUCGAUCCACGCGGUCAACCUUAAACCAACAUCACUUGUUACACGAAAAUGGUCUUACCUAUCCCUCUAUAACCUAGUUUGGUUGAUUAUUCCACACACUAAACUCUCAAAUUGAUGGGAUGUAACCACCUAUGUAAAAAUUAGGGAUGUUCACCUCCAGACGAUAGGGCUCCCCAUAGGAAAACAUAAGCGUAAAUAGGGUUGACCGCUUCUAUCGGGGACCAAACGUUACCGAAAAUAUGUGAUUUUUCAACCAUAGCCCUUUUUCACCAUAUUGAUCACAUCCUAUUUCACAAGAUUUUUAAAAAUUGUCACACCCCAAUUUUCGAAAGGAAAUUUUCAAAAAUUUUGGCAUAAUAUCCCUUAAAAUAAUAUAAUCCCAAAACCUGUUUUAACAAAAUUUCAAUGAAACUAAACUCAAUGCGGAAAGUAAAAUUUACACACAACUACAUAUUGAGUUAAAUAUUACAUUUCCUUGUUUACAUAAACUCGAGAGUCAACAAAAUGAGACGCCCACAUGAGUUUAUUAUUGUCUAUCCCAAUGUAUAUAUAAAAAUAAAUAUAUACAAUGAACAACCAAAACCCAACAAAAAACCCUGCCACUAAGCCUCCACCUCAACCCUGCUGAUCCUCACCUGCAGGUCUAACCCCUACACCAAGAAUUUCUGCACCAGGUUGUAAACAACAAACCCGGUAAGCUAAAAAGCUCGUAUGAGUAAACUCAAAAAUAACACAACAUUUAUCACAUCCAAUAUUCCACACGAGAGAUUGGAUCCAUAAUUAAAGAAAAACACACAUCCAACACAUUACCCAAGAAAAGUACCCACGAGUCCCAGAUAUUUAAUAAAAUACCCUUCAUGACCUACAACAACACUAUGUGUACCCAUGGGUCCCAGAUACCAUACAAUAUCUCCCAUAACCUACACUGACAGACGGACUAGAGCUUUAUUCCUAACCGCAACCAAUCACCCGGCUAAAUGCUUGGAACCCGGUUUGACUGUCUAAUAUCAAACACAAAAAUGAUAAAUAGCAACUUAACCGCAACCAAUCACCCAAUUAAGGACUUGGAACCCAGUUUGGCUAUUUAUCAAAAAAUCAGAAUAUCACAACAUUAACCUCAACAACACAAUAUCACAUCAUUAUUCUCAACCACACAAUAUCACAUUAUUAUUCUCAACAACACAAUAUCACAUCAUUAAUUCUAUUCUUUCACAUGGAAAUAUUUACCUGAACAAAAUAUAGAUAUUCCACAAGAAUAAUCUAUAAAUAAUCAAUAAACUCAUGAUCACAUGAAUCUCAAAAUAGCACAAAAGAAAACUUGUUUUAUCUUACCUUUGAGCCGUUGGCGAUCAAACUCAUAUAUUAUUAAAAACAAUUAAAAAGCAUAAUAUUAAAUCCAACAUCAUCAUCAUUAUCAUCAUCACAUGACCAUAAGUAAAUUUGAUUCAAAAGUGAACCUUGGUGAGAUUUACUCACCUUGAAAUCCUGCUGCAAAACCCCCAACACAACGAAGGCAAGCCAAUCACAAAAUCACAAAUCACCUAAAAUCACACAAUUAAAAACCUUAGAAACCAAGGUAUUGAAGGAUAACACAAAACCCUUAAACUAACCCUUAGCUCAAGGGAGGACAACUUCCCAAAGUCGUUGAACUCAACGACUCAAUAGAGCUGCCUCAACUCUUCAAAACCUAAACUCUAACCCAACCAAACCAACACCAAUAAACUUAAGUUCUAGCAUGCCAACAUUUCUUAAAAACUAGCCACACUACCACUCAACAAGCUCACAACAGUAAGGACUACCUAACCACAGGAAACUAGGGCUGCAACUCAGCCGUACGCGCUGCCACGCGCCGCCACAGGCGGCGGCGAGUGGGCCCCACGAGCCACCCCAAACUUCCGAAUUUGAGAAAACUCCCAACAGCAAAGUUGAAGCUUGAAGCAAGGGGAACAACUUUCAUACUUGAUACUUCGACCAAUUUUGGCCGGAACCGGCCGGAAACCGUCCCGAACCGUGACCAGAAAAUCAAUUCCAAAACCUGCAAAAUCGGCCUCAAAACCUCAAAAACUUGCUUCAAUCUUUGCCUAGACACUACUAGGAGGAAGAGGGGAUCAAGACUCAUCUAAACUUGGCCGGAAACGACGUCGAAAUCGCCGGUUUUCCGGCGGGACAGCAGCAGCUCCGCCGCUUCGUGGCGGCCGGACAGCGGGCGGGACUGCUCCAGAAAUGUAGAGGACGUCGGUACGGAUCCAACGGAACCGGCGACGUCCAAAAAGGUGGCCGGAUGAGGAAGAAAAUGACCGGAGAAGGAAGUGGGUAUGGGUCGGGAGAGAGGAGAGAGAGACUGAGAGCUGGCUGCUGCUGCAGUUUUAGGUUUUCCAAAAAUAAUUCCCACACAUUUUUCUACUUAUACUCUUUUCAAACCCGGAAACAAACUUCCUCUGACCAUAACUUCUUCAUGCGACAUCCGUUUUAGACGUGCCGCAUGUUCACGAACUCGUAUCGACAAACUCUACACUUUCGUGAAGGAAGUUUUCGAAGAUAACUUACGAAAAAUAAAGUCAACUUUUGGCUUCUCAAAAGUCAAAGCACUUUAAUUAAACUCCCGAAACUUUAAUUUCGCAUAACCAAAGAAUUUCCAUAAAUAAUCCUUCAUUAAUUAAGGGAAUAAUACAAGAAAAAAUGAUAUGAAAAUCUAGGGUAUUACUAUCUACCCACCUUAAAGGAAUUUCGCCUCGACAUUCACCUUAAAGAUACUAACCCAAAAACAACUUGGGGUACUUAGCCCUUAUGUCCGACUCUAACUCCCAAGAUGCAUCACCCUCAUCAUGGUGACUCUAACACACCUUAACCAAAUCGACUUCCUUCCUUCGAAGCCUCUUGGUUGAUUUAUCCAAGAUUCGAACCGGUUCAACAACAAAGGUUGCAUCCGCAUUCACCUUGAUAGAACUAUAAUCAAUGACAUGUGAUGCAUCCGGAAUAUACUUCCUCAACAAGGACACAUGGAAUACAUUGUGUACCCCGGACAUGAUAGGAGGUAAGGCAAGCCGGUAAGCCAAAUCUCCUACUUUCUCCAAAAUCUCAAAAGGCCCCACAUACCUAGGAGCCAACUUCCCCUUCUUGCCAAAUCUCACCACCCCUUUAGUAGGUGAGACCUUCAAGAACACAUGAUCCCUAACCUCAAACUCUACUUGCCUCCUCUUCAAGUCGACAUAGCUCUUUUGCCUGCUUUGCGCCGUUCGGAUCCUGUCUCGGAUAGUAGAGACUUUCUCAGUCGUCUCUUAAACAAUAUCAGGACCCAACAGCUCACUAUCACCCACCUCCGCCCAACAAAUAGGUGACCUACAUGGCCUCCCAUAGAGUGCCUCAUAUGGUGCCAUGCCGAUACUAGAGUGAUAGCUAUUAUUGUAGGCAAACUCAAUCAAUUGGAGGUGAUCCUCCCAACUUCCCUUGAAGUCCAUGACACAAGCCCUCAGCAUAUCUUCUAACACCUAAUUCACCCGCUCAGUAUGCCCAUCAGUCUGAGGGUGAAAUGCUGUGCUCAUGUCUAAGGUAGUACCCAUGGCUUUCUGAAAGCCAUCCCAAAACUUUGAAGUGAAUCGGGGGUCUCGAUCUGAAACAAUCGAAGUAGGCACUCCAUGAAGUCUCACUAUCUCCUUCACAUACAACUUGCAUAAAGCAUCUACCGUGUACGACAUCAACACGGGAAGGAAAUGCGCUGACUUCGUCAAAUGGUCCACAAUCACCCAUAUAGCAUCAUGUCCAAGCUUGGACUUAGGCAGUCCGGUCACAAAGUCCAUAGAAAUCUGCUCCCACUUCCAAGUAGGAAUAGAUAAUGGCUGUAACAUACCUCCAGGCCUCUGAUGCUCCGCUUUCACCUGCUGCCAAGUGAGGCACUUGGACACAUACUCUGCUACAUCUUUCUUCAUCCCACUCCACCAAAACUGCCUACGCAAAUCUUUAUACAUCUUGGUGCUCCCUGGGUGCACCGUAUAAUGAGAUCGAUGUGCCUCCCAAAGGAUCUCCCCUUUGAGAUCAUUACUAUUAGGAACACACAAUCUCAAUCUAUGCCUCAAUCCACCAUCUGAUCCAACCGACCACUCGGUAGGACACUCAUCCAACAAGUCCACCACUAACUCUGCCACCUUAGCACGUGAGAACUCGUCAUGUGCUUGGCCCUGGAUGAUCCUGGAAAUCAAAGUGGGCUGCACAGAGGCGCUCCCAAGGAAGAUCCCCUGCUCCCUGCCUGAUGGCAGAAUGCCAAACUCAAAAGCAGUCUCCAAUAUGAGCCACUCCUGCACCAUCAUAGAGGCGACUAUACCCCUAGGCUUCCUGCUCAAUGCAUCAGCCACUACAUUGGCUUUCCCAGGGUGAUACUCCAAAGUGAAGUCAUAGUCCUUAAGGAGCUCUAUCUUCCUCCUUUGCCUCAUGUUCAAAUCUUUCUGAGAGAAUAAAUACUUCAAACUCUUAUGAUCAGAAAAGAGUUUGAACUUCUCUCCAUACAAGUAAUGCCUCUAAAUCUUCAAGGCAAAUACUACAGCGGCUAGCUCUAGGUCAUGAGUUGGAUAAUUCUUCUCAUGAACCUUCAACUGCCUAGAGCCAUAUGCCACAACACCGCCAAGCUGCAUCAACACACAACCUAAACCCCGAUGAGAAGCGUCGCUAUAAACAACAUAGCCGACACCACUAAUAGGAAUGACCAACACUGGGGCGGUAGUCAACCUAGUCUUCAACUCCUCAAAUGCCUUUUCACACUCAUCGGUCUACACAAACUUGGCAUUCUUCUUUGUCAACUUGGUCAAAGAAGAGGCAAUGCUAGAAAAUCCCUCAAUAAAUCUCCGGUAGUAUCCUGCCAACCCAAGGAAACUAUAGAUCUCCGUGGGAGUAGUGGGACGACUCCAAUUCAACACCGCCUCCACCUUAGAGGGAUCCACCGAAAUCCCCUCCUUUGAUACCACAUGACCAAGAAACUUGACCUCUUCCUUCCAAAACUCACACUUCUCAUACUUAGCAUCCAACUUGGCCUCCCUAAGAACUUGUAGUACGAUCCAUAGAUGCCUAUCAUGUUCCUCCAAAGUCUUGGAGUAAAUCAAAAUAUCAUUCACAAAUAUUACCACAAACACAUCCAGAUAAGGACUGAACAUGCGGUUCAUCAAAUCUAUAAAAGCAGCAGGGGCAUUGGUUAAUUAGACCAAAGGACAUAACCACAAACUCAAAAUGUCCAUAUCUAGUCCUGAAAGCGGUCUUCGGAAUAUCCUCCUCCUUCACCCUCAACUGGUGAUAACCGGACCUCAGGUCAAUCUUAGAGAAUACCGUAGCACCUCUAAGCUGAUCAAACAAAUCAUCAAUCCUAGGUAAGGGAUACCUAACCUUGACGGUCACCUUAUUCAACUCCCGAUAGUCCACACACAAUCGGAGUGUAUCAUCCUUCUUCCUCACAAACAACACUGGUGCACCCUAAGGCAAGGUGCUUGGUCUAAUGAAUCCCUGCUCGAGAAGACCCUCAAUCUGAACAUUCAACUCCUGAAGUUCAGUUCUCCCCAUUUGAUAAGGAGUCUUUGAUACCGGUGAAGUACCUGGUACCACAUCGAUAGCAAACUCCACUACCCUCUUAGGAGGUAACCCUGGAAUCUCCUGGAACACGUCACUAAACUCAGAGACUACUGCAAUAUCCGCAAUACCCACGGUACUACCGGUAGCCUCAAUGUGUGCCAACACUCCUUCCCACAUGGUCGUGUCCAACCUAUGACAAAGAUAGCGAAAGCUUGGCUGUCCAGGAAUGUGGAAUGACACUACCAUACCAAAACAAUCAAUCAAGGUAUGGUUUGGCCUUAGCCAAUCCACUCCCAAAAUCACAUCAUAAGAGCGGUCUGGAAUCACAAUCAGGGAAGCAAGGAACUCUCUCCCACUAAUCACUAUAGGGCAAGCAUCACACAAAGUGCCAAGCUCUAUAGAAACACCGAGAGGUGAAGAAACACACAAGGAUCUAGUAAGCGGCGUCGGAGUCAAGCCUAAUGCCCUCACCACUGAGCUAGAUAUGAAGGAAUGGGUUGCCCCCGUGUCAAACAAAAUGGAAGCAAGCAGAUCAUAAACAAGAAUGGUACCUUCCACUCCUGCACCACGCUGACCAAUGGCAUAUACUCUGGCUGGCGCUGGAAGUAAUGGUCUCUGCUGAACACCCUGCCCUCCAGCCUGAGGUCGGGUGCAAUCUCUGGCAAAAUGGCCUGCCUGCCCACAAGUGAAGCAUUCUUGCCUCUUAGGCUUCGUGCAUGCCGAAGAGAAGUGGCCCGGCUCACCACAGUUGAAACACUUCAAUGGUGCUGCCUGCCUAAUAGGUGGAGACCUAAUAGGUGCAGCUGCUGCUCUAACUGGAGCCAGCUGAUGAGUCUGCCGCCUCUUCCCAUAACCACCUCUGUGGUCCCCUGAGCUGCUACUCCCCGCUAGGGCCUUGCCCUUCCCCUGGACAUCUCUCUGCCUCUCCAUCUCAUGCAUCACCUCCUCUUGCUCAACUGCAAGGGCACUCUCCACUGCUUCUGCUAGAAUAGCAAACCGGUGGGAAGUCACCAACUUCCGGAGCUUAUGCCUCAAACCCCGAAUGAACUUCCGUGCCAAGUCGACUUCAUCCAUCUCUCUAGCAAAGCGAUACAACUGAGAAAAAUGGGCCUCAUAAUCCCUGACACUCAUCAGGCCCUGCACCAGAGCUAUGAACUCAAGGUCCAACUGCUCCCUCACUGUAUCAGGAAAAUACUUCUCCCGAAAGAGCUGAACAAACCCCUCCCAAGUCAGGGCGGUCACAUCUCGAGAUCUCUCUACCCCACUCCACCAUACUCGUGCCUCAUCCUUGAGAAGAAACGUAGCAAUACGCAUCUUCUCGAUCUCCGUACACGUGAUCAUGGUGAAGUAUGUCUCAAUGCCCUCUAUCCAAUGAUUAGCUACGAGGUAGUCUGUACCUCCAAGAAAGGAAGGCGCUCCUAACCUGAUGAUACCCUGAGCCAGCCUGGCCAAUCGCAGACCAUCAUCUACCGCAACUGGCACUGGUACCUCCAACACUACCUCCUCCUCAAAGAAGUCAUCCACAGGUGGAGCCCUACCUCUGCCUCUAGCCCCACCUGCCCCUCUGGCUCUACCAGCCCCUCUGGCCCUACCUCGGCCUCUAGCUCUCCCUCGCCGAGGAUCCAUCACCUAAGAAGCGAGCAAACCUUGGUUAACUCAUGCAUAAAACUUAAACCAAAGUAUAAGUCAAAUGCGACACUUAUUAACCAAGACACUAACUCAAGAUGGAACACAAAGAUUCAAAACCCACUAACAGAGUACUCUCUACUCUGACAUCCUAUUAACCUAGAGGCGACACCUAACCCCUCACAUACCCAAUGACAUAUCAAUACCAAAGAGCUUAUGAUGGUGAUCCGCUGCAGUCGGGCCAUCACUCCGAAGUAUUGAUUAUCACCAAAUAUGUAACCCUCGCUCUGAUACCAAACUAUCACACCCCAAUUUUCGAAAGGAAAUUUUCAAAAAUUUUGGCAUAAUAUCCCUUAAAAUAAUAUAAUCCCAAAACCUAUUUCAACAAAAUUUCAAUGAAACUAAACUCAAUGCGGAAAGUAAAAUUUACACACAACUCCAUAUUGAGUUAAAUAUUACAUUUCCUUCUUUACAUAAACUCGAGAGUCAAGAAAAUGAGACGCUCACAUGAGUUUAUUAUUGUCUAUCACAAUGUAUAUAUAAAAAUAAAUAUAUACAAUGAACAACCAAAACCCAACAAAAAACCCUGCCACUAAACCUCCACCUCAACCCUGCUGAUCCUCACCUGCAGGUUUAUGAUAAGACGUAUUUGCACACGUAUCAAUUAACUCUGUCAACAAAUCAACCGUAGUAUAAAGCAAGCAGGGAUCGUUCUAAACCGGGGAUCCAACUACAGGGUAGAUCCAUCUAAUCUAAUAAAAAUGUCGAAAUAAGCAUAUAGGGUUUAAAGGUUUUGAUGAUUUUGGAAUAAACAUUGAAAAUAAAUCCUAAAUUACUUCUAUACAUAUUUACAUGUGAUCAACCAACAAUCAUGCAAACUUAACUAAACAACCAUGUAAGAACAAAGAAGACGAUCUCUAAUCUCAUUUAAGUCUACACCGUGAGCAAUUAUACAACCUAAAUUUGAUAUGCACAUAAGUUCCUACGUGGUUCCUAUGACAUAGACCUACUUAGAAUUAGACUACGGGUUUCAUUCAACAUCGUGACACAAACAAGCUCGGCUACGUGCUCUACUUAUAGGUCACACACAUAAACUAAUCAUGCAAUUACGUAUCACAUAAAGAAUCGAUGUGUUUAAGCACAAGUCCAAAUCAAACAUAGGUAGAAAAUCGGUGAAAUAACAAAGACAAUGCAACUUAUCAACUACUUAUAUCAAAGUCGAACUUUGGAUGAUUAACACAUGCAAUAUCAACUACUUGUAUCAACUACACAUGAUAAUGGAAGAAUGCACCGAAAAUCUUAAAGUAUAUUGACAUAAAACUCACGGCAUAAAAUCUAAAAUCAUUGAUUAAAAAUUGAAAACUUUAAUUCAAAACAUGGUUAAAAGUGUUUCUAUCUCAUAGACAAGAAUCGAAACAUACUUAAGCAAAAACCUAAAACAAACAUUAAAAAAAAUACAAACACAUACUAAUCCGAAAGUAAAAGAUGAAAUACACUCUCAGAAUAUCCCUACUUGUUCUAUUCUUCGAGUGAGCGGAAUCCUAGGCUACGUGCUUUGGAUCAAGGAUGAUGGUGGAAUCGGAUUAUGGUGUUUGGAGGUUGAUGGAGUUUCGGCAAAGGCUUUGGUGUUAUUUGCACAGGUUGAUGAUGAUAAUUGCUGCCAUGCCGUGCCCUAUUUAUAGAGUAACAAGUCUUGAUCUCCAAGAAUUCCUCAAGCACAAGGAAUCCUAUUGAAUCGGCAAAACCAAAUCCAAGUUGGAUUUAAUUUCUUCUAUUGUUCUUCAAGGAAUCCUCAUGCAUUAAGGAAUGACAAGACCAUCUUGAACUUGGAAACCCUUCUCUCUUGGGCCGCACGGUUUCUCUCUCCUUGGUGACUUGGGAAAUCUUCACGGCAUCUCCAUACAUAUCUCGGAUUGUACUUCUCCUAGCUCAAGCAGGAAUUCCUAGCUGCCGGCCACCUUUCUCUCAUGAGUCAGGAAAACAUUUUCCUAGUCAACACGGGUUUAGACUUUCCUGAAAUAGAAAUAAGAAAAUUAGAAACUAGGAAAGAGGAAAGAUGGAAUCCUGAUCAAGACAGGAAUUUUGAGUAAACAAGGAUUUCCAACACUUAGCACAAUUUCAACACCAAAUUAUUCAAAUCCGAAAAUACUAUGAAUUCUAACACCAAAACCUACAUAUUUCUACAUUAAGCAAUUAUUCUACACUAAACACAAAUAUAAAGCUAAAACAACUAAAUAGGAGUUAACAAAGGGUAAAUAAAGGGUAUAAACAUAUUAAGAACAUCACACUUUGUGCUCCUAUCAACAACCCCACACUUAACCUUUGCUAGUCCCUUAGCAAACCACUAAAACAAAAGCAACAGAAUUAAUCUCGAAAAUACUACAAUGACUCAAUCUAAUGCCUUCAACGAAAUUGUCUCACAGACCUUCAAAAUCAUAGCAUCAGGAAUAGCACAAGAAUCGAAAUUGAAAGAUGAAUUCAAUGGUUAAUAAACAUGAGAUUUCGAUGUAACAAGUAAGACAUGGCAGAAACAAAGGUGAAAUUAAGCUCGACACGUUCCAAACAAGUUCAAAUUCAACUCACAAAGGAUAUGCACUCCGAAAUUUUUUUUUUUUCUCUCAAGAACAUGGCAUAUGCUUAAAAGCUUUUCACACACAAGAGUUAUAAAGAACAUAGUGAAUUCGAAAACCUUAUGAAAGAUACCAAUCAUAUGCACAAAUAAACCACAACCAUACGCUUACUCAUGAAACAGACUCCACAAUCAAAGGCUACUUAUCUUAAGAAUCAUGCGGAUCUUUAGAAAAUAGGUUGGUUAGGCUCGGCAUGGAAAAAUUUUCAAAGUAAAGGAAUCACAAAGGUCAUCCUCAAGACUUAGCAGAGCAAGAACAUCCACCUUAUGUCACCAAACACCAUCAAGGGCCAAAUAUCAUCAUGUUGGACCCAUCUUUCACUUUAAACACUGUGAAAAUGAACAAAGGCUAAAAGUAUAACAUAUUGAGCCUUCAACAAACAAAUCACAACUCCAAAUUCACAAAAAAAACUUCAUCUAGGCCGAGAUAUCUUCAUCAAAAUCAAUUCGUAAACUUUUUUUUUUUUUUUUUNNNNNNNNNNNNNNNNNNNNCUUAAACUAACCCUUAGCUCAAGGGAGGACAACUUCCCAAAGUCGUUGAACUCAACGACUCAAUAGAGCUGCCUCAACUCUUCAAAACCUAAACUCUAACCCAACCAAACCAACACCAAUAAACUUAAGUUCUAGCAUGCCAACAUUUCUUAAAAACUAGCCACACUACCACUCAACAAGCUCACAACAGUAAGGACUACCUAACCACAGGAAACUAGGGCUGCAACUCAGCCGUACGCGCUGCCACGCGCCGCCACAGGCGGCGGCGAGUGGGCCCCACGAGCCACCCCAAACUUCCGAAUUUGAGAAAACUCCCAACAGCAAAGUUGAAGCUUGAAGCAAGGGGAACAACUUUCAUACUUGAUACUUCGACCAAUUUUGGCCGGAACCGGCCGGAAACCGUCCCGAACCGUGACCAGAAAAUCAAUUCCAAAACCUGCAAAAUCGGCCUCAAAACCUCAAAACCUCAAAAACUUGCUUCAAUCUUUGCCUAGACACUACUAGGAGGAAGAGGGGAUCAAGACUCAUCUAAACUUGGCCGGAAACGGCGUCGAAAUCGCCGGUUUUCCGGCGGGACAGCAGCAGCUCCGCCGCUUCGUGGCGGCCGGACAGCGGGCGGGACUGCUCCAGAAAUGUAGAGGACGUCGGUACGGAUCCAACGGAACCGGCGGCGUCCAAAAAGGUGGCCGGAUGAGGAAGAAAAUGACCGGAGAAGGAAGUGGGUAUGGGUCGGGAGAGAGGAGAGAGAGACUGAGAGCUGGCUGCUGCUGCAGUUUUAGGUUUUCCAAAAAUAAUUCCCACACAUUUUUCUACUUAUACUCUUUUCAAACCCGGAAACCAACUUCCUCUGACCAUAACUUCUUCAUGCGACAUCCGUUUUAGACGUGCCACAUGUCCACGAACUCGUAUCGACAAACUCUACAACUUUCGUGAAUGUAGUUUUCGAAGAUAACUUACGAAAAAUAAAGUCAACUUUUGGCCUCUCAAAAGUCAAAGCACUUUAAUUAAACUCCCGAAACUUCAACUUCGCAUAACCCAAAGAAUUUCCAUAAAUAAUCCUUCAUUAAUUAAGGGAAUAAUACAAGAAAAAAUGAUAUGAAAAUCUAGGGAAUUAAAAAAAUAUUGCUUCCUUUGUAUAGUUGGUUCAUAAAGAUGACAUUAGUUGUCACGUUGUGGUUCCAAUAGCUAAAUUUCACAAAAUGAAAAUUCAGCUGUCAGAUAUGAUCAGCGUAGCUAUAGAUAAAAAUUCACCUGUUUUUGAUAAUGUCUGGGUCUCGAUCCACGCGGUCAACAUUAAACCAAUGUUACUUAUUACACGAAAAUGGUCUUACCUACCCCUAUAUAAUCUAGUUUGGUUGAUUCUUCCAUACAUAAAACUCUCAAAUUGAUGGGAUGUAACUACCUAUGUAAAAUUUAGGGACGUUCACAUCCCGACGAUAGGGCUCCUAUAGGAAAACAUAAGCGUAAAUAGAGUUGACCGCUUCUAUCGGGACCAAACGUUACCGGAAAUAUGUGAUUUAGUAGUCACGUUGAAAAUAUCCCUAUGUCAACCAUAUUCCUAUUUCACCAUACCGAUCACAUCCUAUUUCAUAAGAUUUUUGAAAAUAUUGCUUCCUCCGUAUAGUUGGUUCACAAAGAUGUACACUUGCAUAUAACCUACUAAACAAGUUAUACCACAUUAGUAGUCACGUUGUGGUUCCAAUGGCUAAAUUUCAAAAAAUAAAAAUUCAACCGUUGGAUAUGAUCAACGUACUUGAAUACGGCUAUGGAAAAAAAUUGACCUGUUUUCGAUAAAAUUUGGCUCUCGAUCCACGCGGUCAACCUUAAACCAACGUCACUUAUUUACGAAAACGCUCUUAUCAACCCCUAUAUAACGUAGUUUGGUUGAUUCUUACACACACAAAACUCUCACAUUGAUGGGAUGUAACCACCCAUGUAAAAAUUUAGGGACGUUCACCUCCCGACGAUAAGGCUCUCCAUAAGGAAGUAUAAACGUAACUAGGGUUGACCGCUUCUAUCGGGGACCAAACAUUACCGAAAAUAUGUGAUUUUUCAACCAUAGUCGUAUUUCAUCAUACCGAUCACAUCCUAUUUCACAAGAUUUUUAAAAAUAUUGCUUCCUCCGUAUAGUUGGUUCACAAAGAUGUACACUUGUAUAUAAUAUACUAAACAAGUUAUACCACAUUAGUAGCCACGUUAUGGUGUUAUCGGAUGGUCACUAAAUUGCAAAAUUUGGUAUGUUUCACUAGCAUGGUCAUAGUGACCAUAUUGCUAGAUCAGUACUCCAACUAGGCAAAAUGAACAUAAGACAUGAAUCUCAAUCUAUUAAUUAAAUUUGCAAAUCCAUAUAUACAAAUGUCAAUAUCCAAUCUCAAUAGCAAUUACAAAACAAAAGGAAAUACACAGAAAUCCAUAUAUAACAUGGACCUUUUUAGGCUAUCUAUUGAUUCUUUGUUAGUCCCCCUGUUAUCAAGAGCUGCUUAGUUUAGGACAUCCUCCUCUUUUAGAUCAAAGUCAGAUACCCUACAAUAAAAUCCAUGUAGCUAUGUUAGUAGUAGAAAAUAACAGACAACAGAGAGAUUAAACUUAUUACAAUGUUGGGGCUUAGGUAAGUACAUACACAACUUCUGACUAUUGGAGUUGCAAACAAACAAAUAACCUAUCUCCUAACAGAGAAGAGUUUUGAAGGUAAUCUCUUACUACCUUCAAGAACUACGAUAAAGGACGAAAAAAAAUGAAAAAAUGAAAGAGAACCAAAGUGACGAUUUAUAUAGUUCCUAUGUAAUAUACUAGCACAAUGAAUUGCAAAGAAUAAAACCGAUAUAGCCUUUUCAUAGAUGCCUGCUUUAUGGAGGUGCAGAUUACCUGGGCAAGUGUUGGAAAAUUUUCUUAAAGUGGUCUUGACAAAUAGACCACUGUAAAGCAGCAACCCAUGAAGAUCACUCUGUAAAAACAAUUUUGCAUGUAAAAAUAUAAGAAUAUUAAUAGAAACAGUAAAGACGGUUGGAGGUUUGAAUAAUGGUGUGCCUGAAGAGAAGACCAUAAUAAUGCAAAGCCAUGGCUCAUCUUUAUACAUAUCUUUAUUAUUAACCACAACAGCUAAAAUUAGGCACUGGUAAUAGUAGAACUAAAGAUGGGAUCCCCUUGUCAAAUCAGUAUGUUUUCAUAUCAAACACAUUACAUUAACAUACCUUUUACCUUAUUCCUGCAAGCAAUUCUAAGAAUCUUUAUGUACCAUCAUCACAUAAGGCAUGCUAGGAAUGCAUUGCAACCAUCCAAUAUCAUCAGAGGAACCUCGCAAUGUUCUCUGUACACAAGAUGCGAUACUACAGAUGUAAAAGCAAAUCUGAAAUUAAUGUUUAAGUUUACUACAAGCAAUGAACACCAGUGAUACUCAAAGAAACAUUUCAAACUGUGAAUACCAUUGAUACUCAAAAGAAACAUUACAGAUUAUUCACAAAUGAAAAAUACUUCUAUAUAAGAUGUUAAGAUCAUAUGGCUAACUGUUCACGUGUAACAGGGAUCUUUUUAGGCUAUAUCUACCUACUGGUUCUUUGUUAUUCAUGCUGUUACCAAGAGCUGCAUAGACCAAGACAUCCUCUUAUUUUGGAUCAAAGUCAGAUACCCUACAGUAAAAUCCAUGUAGCUAUAUUAAUAGAAAAGAUCUAUAUGAGGAGAAUGCACCUAGCAAAAGGCAUGAGUCAAUAGUCAACUCGUCUAUAAAUUUGCAUGCAAAAACACGACACGUAUUAGAGAAGCAAAAGGCAGGAUUGUACACAAACAAACAUAUAGCAAAAAUAUGAAGAGAAUGCACCUAGCAUGUAAAGAGAUUGUUAGAGCAAUGUACCAAAUUUUAAUAUUCAUGAGCCCUCUCCUUAAAAAUACAGGCACUGAAUGCAUAAUAUGCAUCAGUAUUUCAUAUUGUCAUGAAGAACAGCUACUGGUAAAGCAACAAGGGCUACAGAUGCUUUGAUGCAGCUUCCAGAAUAUGCUUUUCAGUCUUAAUUUCACUAUAUAGAAACAAAUGCAAGCAUACUAAGAAUUGAUUUUAUUUCAGUUUACGUCAUAUGCAUUGAAUUGACUUGAAUUCAGAAAUGAUUUUAUUUAGCUUUGACUAUGAAAACAAGGUCAAGGUGCAAACAGAUGUCUAAAUUCCAAGUAAAAUCUAUGCUAUGACCUGUGCAACAACAACAAUAAUAUAGGGCAGCAAUACUCUCAUAAAAUUAACAGAAGGAAUACUUGAUAAAAACAUGAAUCACUGCUGCACAUAAAUUGAUUGGAUUCUACAGCUAAUGAAUUAUACAAGUCCAUGCCAAACUAUAUAAAUCAAUGAACUGAAUCAAGAGGUAACUCUACAGCCAGUAGCUAAAGCUGAAGCAAAUUCAUAAGGCCAGAGAUGAAGCAAUUUUGAAUGGCCUGGCUUCCAUUAACGCCAAUCGAAUUCGAAAAAGAGAAACAGAAUCAGAGGGAUUGAUUAGAAAUUUGAAGAUUGAAAAAUCUGAAGCAGUAAACCCUAGAAAAUCAAAUCAGAGUGAGUAGAGUAGAGUGAGAGAUCGUACCGACUGGAAGUUGCGGCAAUCGACGAUCGUCGAAGAGAGGCAGAUCAUCUGAUACGAUUAUCAAAUGGUCUCUCAGAUUUAGCAAGGAGAUAGGAACAAGAGAAAGAGGGCCACUACCAAUCCACAAUCGCACAAACAGCGCGUGCCGACCACUCCCCGUUAAAUUUUCCGGGUGCGCGAUGCGCUGAAUAGGCUCUCCUGUAACCAUAUCAUGUACAUACCCAUCUUAAAACAGAUUAAGCAAUCCAAAGAAAAAUAAAAACACAGAACGUCAUCUUCUUCUUCUUUCCUCCCUAGCCUCCUGCUCUUGAUUCACUACAGUAUUUAGAAACCCAAAUCACACUCCCACUCUUCAGAAACCCAAAUCGUCCUAAAAUCUUAAUCGCAAUUUGAAUCCUGCCCAAUCCUAUAGUCUUCCCACUCAUCCCAACAAAAUGUUAACAAAUGCCCAGAAUAGAUCUAGGUAGAAGGAAUAGAGAGUAGCAAAAGGAAAGAGAGAGAAGAACAGAGAGCAUUGAGGGAUUAAACAAUCAAAUAAAGCAAUUUGACAAUUUCGAGAGCACGGUCAAGUUUGACAUAGAGAAGGAGAUCGUCAAAUCCAUGUAGGAUUUGUCUAGUUCAUUGGAAUAAAUGUUUGUGUCAAAUGUAACCGUUCGAGCUCCACGCUGUCAUUUGACAGUAUAGUUGGAGUUGCUCUUAUAGAGAUUGAUUGUGUUGUUUGUCAUAUUGAGGUAGAAACUGUGCUUCAUUUAUUUGGGGAUUUCCUGGUUCUAAGGUGUUUUUGGCGUCAUAGCCCUAUUCAGCUAAACAACACAUCUUUUCCGGCUAUUGAUCUCUUGAGUUGGGUGGCUAUGAUGGUGGAUAAACUUGAUAGUUAGCAAUUGGAGAUAUUUAUGUUGUCCUUGCGGGUAGUCUGGAAUGAGAGGAUCACAGUCACACUGUGAAGACUAUCACGCUCUCCACCCUUCCCCAACUAAACACACUGUGAGACGUCCAAAAACAAAUUGGCAGUGUCCCCAAGUGGAAGGCUCAAAGUGAAAGUCGAUGAUACAUGGUUGCAAGAUUGAGGAAAAGGGGGGGAUCAAUGUUGUCGUUAGGGAUGCAACAAGCCGGUGUGUGUUGCUGCCUCAUACAGAUGCACAAUUUAUGCUUCAUGUGGAGGUUGAGGCCGUUCGUGCUGGGCUACUCAUUGGUAUAUAUUCACCAACAGUGGUAAGAAAUUGAGCUCCGAAAGUGACCGCAUGGUGAUUUUAUCCCCAACCAAUGAUGCAGAGGACUUGUCUGAGAGUGGAGUAAUCUUGAAUGAUUGCAGGUACCAUAUGCAAGCUUUCAAUUUCAAUUUACUUAGACAUGUCUAUCGUGAAGCAAACGGUGUCGUACGUAAGCUUGCACACCUUGCUAGUAUGUCAUCUAUGGAUGAGUUUUUGGUAGAUGAAUUUUUGAUAUUAUUCAAGAUGUUCUUAUAGAAAAUAGGUGUAUGAGUGUACGAGGUACGCCCUUGGUCUCUCUCGGUGCACUAUCUUGUUUUAGUAAUGUGGUUUUAAGCAAUGCGACAUUCUAUUCCUUUUCUUUUGGUUAAUCUCAUAUGACAAUGUACAUUUUACCUUCUCAUUAUUAAAAAAUUUCAUUCACAAAAUGUGAUGUUUGGGCGAAAAUGCCUUAUUUUGUAAAAAUUGUGGCAUUGGACAUACCAGGACAUUAAUCAGAACUUCCCGGAGCUAGAAAAAGAUUUGCAUACUUGCGUAGUUAGACUAUAUGCUAAGAUCACAUGUUACUGAGGGGCGGAUCCAGAGGGGUAACAUCACCUCUUGCUUUCUGUCUACUUGUCAAUUUGAUCUCACACUUCGCUAACAGACAAUGAGACAAAGGCUUGUGCAAUUAUUGUCUUAUUGAAGAUGCAUAUACUUCUACUUCUAUGUGUCUCUUAAGUUACAAUAUAUAUACCAAAAAGAGAACGUUUUGUAAGCGGAACAUUGCUGUUAUUACUUUUUUUUUUUUUUUGAGAACGGACAUUGCUGUUAUUUACUUUGUCAUCCAUAAAUGAAGAAAAUCAGAAAUAAGAUAAUUUUUCUUUUUCAUUAACAUUAAACAAAAUUAAUAAUGAUUUUGAUUAGUUAAACGCUUUAAAUCAAUGUGAAAUGUUUUGAAAUGAUAAGAGUAAGAGAGUUUGCGCUACCUUAGAGGAACCCAUCAGUACAACUGUACAACCAAAGAAACCCAGUUGGUAACUUGGUAUGCUAUAUUAUUGAUCGAAUAUGGGUUAAUUUCUGUAAACAAUAUGUUACAGCUCAAUAAUUCGAGACAAAAACAUCUGGAAGAUAUAUUAAAUCCAAAAUGAACUAAUCUAAUCCCCAAACCCGAUCAUGAUUUCAUGAACAACAACAAGAGAACAACUCCAAGUAAAUUACAACCCUGCUGGCCUCCUCAAUGAAAUAGUUAUACAGAAGAAGAAGGAAAAAGGAAAUUAAUGAACAAGAGGAGUUGGGAUCCGGCGGAAAUGGAAGUGUGUGUCUACCUGGAAAAGAAGAGGAGGGUGUUGAAGAAACGAGACCAGGCGAAGCGAACACGAGGGUAAACACUGACCGUGAAAUUCACAGUUUGCCGGACGACGUCUUCGAUGGUCUCGACGAACAAGGUCAGGCUUCGGACCGGCGGCACGUAAAGCGUCAGAGGCACCGCCGAGAAAGCCACCGCGAAUAUCAGCUGAAGCAUUUGAAUUUGAUGAUGAACAACAACACAACCUAGCUAGAGACCACGGUUAGAUAUGAUCGAGCAAACCCAAUAAGUAGAUGAACUCAACCCCCACGCAAUCACCAACCACAGGACUCACUGUUGAUCUUUGAACUGUUCUUGGUAGAUUUUGGUCAACGGGGUGAUAGAGUUGAAGUGACUUUUCAAAAGCGCGAGAGAGAGAUGAAGGUUCUCAAUUUCUCUGGUUAAUUUCCUUAUUUUUGUGAAAGUUGUGUAUGACUAUGAUUGGGGGUGGUGGCCCGGUUUUUAUAGGAGGAUAUAUUAUUUGUUCCUACACCACUUCACCUUUAAUUGCAAGAAAAAAAAAAAAAAAAAAAAAAAAAACAAAGAACUUUCAGAAAAACGAACUUUCCCAUGUAAGAAGAAACAUACUGUCCUAGGUUUUAUUUAGACAAGUGAGAUCGAACUUUCUACUCGAUCCUGUUAGAACAUACUAGGUUUGAUACAAAUGCAUUAAUUAGAACUCUCUUGGCCGGUGAAAAACAGUAACUUAAAAAAAUAGUGUUAGGUCGGAGUAUAGGCAUGAAAGUGAUGGAACCCUAUUUAUUUAUGUCUGAAUCUCGUCGACGUUGAUUUGAGUUAAAAUAUCAAUUUAUUCUUAAUGGCUUAAAGAGUAAGUGUUUUGACAUAAUCUCUCGACCUAGAUUUAUAUCUUUAAAAAACGUAACCAAUACAGAUGUAAAAGGUAAAGUCGAUUUAGAAGUUAUAAAAAAAUUAAUAAUCAUGAUUUACAAUUAUAAACAUAAACGGUUCAAUGACUUCAAUAUAGACAUAUUUGGGAAAAGAUCAUUUAGAUGGAGAGAGCGAUGUGGAAGCUUGUGGACAACGGGACAAGUUAGUGGGGGGUACAAAAUUAAAUUUAGGUCACCAUAUUCGUUAUCAAAUUGAGUUGCCAAACCUCCACAUGCAUGUCUUCAACUUUCUCAUGGCUGGUGAUUCUACUUGCCAUAUAUCGUGCUAUGUGUGUAACUGUUGUAUCUUACAAGUGGUUGGUUGACCACUAUUAAACAACUCAUUAACACAAGUCGAUAUUCCAUUAUUCCCUCAAUCCCUCCCAUACCUUCGUUGACCCUAAAUAAACAAAGAAAAAUGGAAAAUGGAUUGAAAAUGUAUUUGUGGAAAAAUAAAAAUUUAACAAUUUUUUUUAAUUUAUUUAAUUACCAAAUUCUUUCUUGCCCAAGUUUAGAAUCAACUUGUAAACAACAUGUUGAGAAAAUCUUCCGUGCAACGGUUGCAUCAGCUGGCUUGCGUGACCAACAAAUCAUAACAAGACACGUGUAAAACAUUUGUCCACUUCAGCCUUGCAUUUUUUAUUUUUCUUUUUCCUCUUCCUUUUAUUUUAAUCCCUAUUUCUCUUCUUUUAAUUAUUAUCUUUAUCUUCUUCCUCUAAUGAGUUAAUCCCAAAUUCUCAAUCCCAGAUUACAUGAACUCUAUCUCUCUCCAGAUUAAGGACUUAGUUUCUUAAUUUCCUCCCCCAAACUCUUACCCAAAACCCAACUAUCAUGUGAUGCAUAGAGGAACAAGAGAAACCACUAUGCCAAAAACAUCAUCAGACGACAAUUAAGGACUGUCGUCUGACGAAAAAACAUAUGUCGUCUGAGGCCCUGCCGUCUGAUUGAUGAUCAGACGACAGUUCUCCACCGUCGUCUGAGUGGUGAUCAGACGACAUAUCAUAUGUCGUCUGAAAUUUGACAAGUCUAGAGGGUUUGCGAACUUAUGUGGUCUGAGUUAAAGACGACAACAUAUAUAUGUCGACUGAAACAAGAAAAAUUAAGGUUUUGUCAAAAUAGAUGUGGUGUGAUACAACCUUACACUGCAUAUAAUCGUCGAGCUACAAAACCUUCAACGACAAAUAUAUUCACCUGUUGUGGUUAGAUGAGGUUUCUAAUGACAAUAUGAUGUCGUCUAAUGUUGUCAAGUUUGGAAAAUUAUUACUCUAUGUCGUCUCAAUGGAAAACCAACGACAUAUAUAUGUCGUUUGAUGAGACACUUAUGUCGUCUAAUAGAUUGUUUCACUUCACUUUUAUCUUGUAGGGUAUGAUGACUUAUGUCGUUUGAUUGUCUAUUAGACUUCGCAUUCUUGUUUCUAUUCUUAUUGCUUAUGUUGUGUGAUUGUGAAUUGAACUUCAUAUGUAACAAAAACUAAGAAUAAAAUGAACAAAGUACCACUUUAUUACUUCAAAUACAAAAUUAUAUUAAGUGUAAAAAUACAUGUGUACAAUAACAAUACAUUUUAAUUCUAAUGUACAUAUAACUACACUCAUGAUCCCACUGCUCACCAUUCAUCACUGACAAUGCUCACAAAAAUUACAUACUGUUGUGUUAUUUGGGUCAGCCUCACCAGGAUUUCCUUGAGUACUUGAGUAGGCAGCUGCAAUGAUGUAUGCAUAUUAAGAUCCGAAUUGAGGGGAAUCAGCUACAAAAGGAAAAGAAAAAAAACAGCAAUGUAACUACGAACUAUACUAAUUUUCUCAUUUGUUGUGUUCUAUAAACCUUGAACAUGUACCAAGCUGCAAGAACUCUAUUGAUUUGUCCUUGUCAAAAUGAGAACCUAAACAAACAAGCCAAUAAACAGAAACUUAAAUAAGUGAUACAAUGUCAGAGGCUCAAACUACAUUUAGAAGUCAACUAGAAACACACAGAAGCAAAGCAACCAAUAUCAGAUGGUAUCAACUUGGCAAAUACACAUGUGGGGUACUUUAUUCUUUGAGUAACUCAAAUUCGAUAGGGAGUACUUUAUUCUUUGACAUAUCAUAGUAGACUAGGUAGUAAUUAGAGGCAUGUGAGUUCAUGACACAGAUAUAGUUCAUAACAGUAAAUACACAUUCACAUAAACUCUUAACCUUCUGACAUUUUGAGUCAGCAAGCGUGAGUAGUUCAUUAGCUGGUCUAACUUAAACAUUAAAGCUAGAGUAGCUGAUUUGAACCCCCAAACUAAAUUAGAAAGAAAAACAGUAGAAGAGGAAACAUGAGAUCAAAAACAUAUGUCUGAAUUCUGUCACAGUCUAUACUUAUAUGAAAAUAUGUCUGCAUUUCCAUUCAUUAUCAUGAAGAUCUCUUGCAAUUACUUCCUACACUAGGGGGGCUUUGAGUAAUCCUGAAGAGCCAAAAAAAUGAAUGAAUGAGACCAAGUUCAUGAAAUAAUAACAUAUAGACAGUGCAUAUAUGAAUAACAAAGAGUUAUAAGAUCAUUAAGUCGAAGUCUUACUAGGAUCAUAGCCAAAUGCUCAUUAAAGGUUACAAUCUAAAGUGAGGAUCAUAGCCAAAUGCUAGAGUAUCAUCCAAUAAUUGUAAUUGCAUGAACAAAUGUUUACCAUUCAAUUGUUUAAGAAACACAAGCUGCUCACCAAGCUUGAAAUGAUGCUUUGAAGCACUUGUGUACAGAAGCACUUGUGUACAAAAAGCUAUCAGUUCAAAGAGAAACUAUAGUUCUUAUAAAAAAAAAAAUUAGGUUGGUGUCAUGUUCAGCAAAGUUACAAAACCUUAAUCAGUCAAGAUAAUACAUGAGAACCCAACAACUGCAAGAAACUGUUACAGGCAGUUAUGCAUCCCAUAACUAAUUUCAAAACAUUCCGCAAACCAAUUUUAACCAAAAGCAUGCAAAUUGCACAGCUCCUUCAUGAACUAAUAACAAAUUGGAGCAACAAAAUUAACAUACAAUUGGUUACAAGGUGAUGUCUCCAAUCCUAUCGAGCCUUUAUCUACUCUCAAUUCUACACUGAUCAAUAACGAAACACUUCAGCUUUUUAAUGUGAUCUCUCAUCAAAAUUGUCAGGACCCACCCCGAAUUUCACCCUGAAACCUAAAGUAAAUCCUGCGGGGACCACCUCCAAGGAAAAUUUACCGAAAAUUCGGCAUAACCUCCCUUGAAAAUGGACAACCCUUCCUAAAUAAAACACCUGCAAGCACUUCUAAAAGUUCCAACUCCAACCUUAUAAACUCCUGGAGCCUUCGUGCUCUUCACAAUCACAACAUCUCCCAAUAUAGAUUCACUAAUCUAACAAAGAUCCUAAACCAACAACCACAUAUUCAGAGCAAUAACUUUACUUGAGAGGAGAGGAACUAGAAAUAAAUAGAAAUGAGCGGAAGCUAUACUAUUGACUAUGCCUCUUCUCCAUGUACGCUCGGCCUCAACUAUGCUAACCUGCAACUGGGCAUUUUAAAACGAAGAGCCCAGGGGAAACAUUUGAAAACGUUAGAGUGAGUGGACACAAAUGAAUUUAUUAAAAAAUAUUUAUGCAUUCCCAUUUUUAAUUACCCUAGAAAUUAUGUUGCAUGCAACAAGCUCAAAAGCUCUCAUCUCAUAAACUGACAAUAACACGACUAGCUCCGGCUAGUCUCCAAAGCUUUAUAAAAUAGAGCCUCUCAGGCUAAAAUAUAUGUAUAUAUUUACACACGUCCAUACUCCCUAUAUAAAUUCAUGGGUCUAUAUAGGGCUACUACGCUCGCGUCCAACGCUCACGUCACGCCUUAAUGCGGUGCUACACUACGCCAUUAAGGUGGACAGACGGGUGUAUAAAUAUGUGUCCAUACCCCCUAUAUGAAUUAGGCACUCAUAUAGGGCUACUACGCUUACGUCCAACGCUCACGUCACACCAUAAUGCAGCUAUAUGCUACGCCAUUAAGGUGGACAGACACAUAUAGCUAGCUAGCAUUUAUAUACAUACUCUCCUCAUCAUCAAUAUAUAAUUAUAUUCACUGAAAAUCCCAUUUUCGGUAACUCUUCAAAAGAAAUAAAAUCGUCAAAAUAAAAUGACGUCAAAUGCUCCAACAAAAUAAAUUGCUCAAAAAUCAAUCAUUGCAUGCAUAUUAUUUAAAACAAAAGUCCACUCACAACUUUAGGCAUAAGCCCGACGAAAUCCAAAUCGCCACUCUAGUGAGGUUUCCUCGAACCCUGGCACAAAUAUAAAAUUAAUUUCCCAACUAAAAAUCCAAUAUUUAAACAAAAUAGGAAAAAUUAACCGAGAGCCAUACUCACACUCAUCAUUGCCUAACUUCGAUACGGUCCACACCUCAACACUAAAACCAGCAGCCUUAACUACACUCUUCCACAGAUUAUACAACUUUAAUCCAACGGCCGGAUUCUACCUUAUUAAUCCGCCAAAAUUACCAAACUUCGGAAAAUCACAAACCUAUCCAAAACUCAUCCAAAAAUUCCAUAAUUCAUAUCAAUAAACUCCCCUAAAUAUUCCACAUUUAAAACUAUACAAAACUCCCAAAUAGCGGCGGCGCCGGCGCCGGCCGGAGGCCGAUUCUGGCGACCUCCAAUGCCUAUGAAAUUUUGAUAGAAUGAUCCUCUCAUCAUGCUCUACAACUUUUCUAACUAGCACAACACCCAAUUCCAAGCCUAACUAGGCCAAUCGAACGAAAACAUCAUAAAAACCUUAGAAUUUCCACCUCAAAUUUCUCCUUACCUAGCUCAAGAGGGAGUGAGACCUUUGGAGGGGUUGCUGCACGGGAGGAGGGCUUCACAACGAGCCAAGGAUCGCCGGCUAUAGCGGCCGGACGAGGGAGUUCCGGUGAAGGAACCACCACGACAGUCGUCGCUUUCGGGGGGAAGAACUCCUUCACGAUGGAGCUAGGGCGGCUGUCACCGGUCCAGGGAGGUAGCUGGGUCGGAGACCGACAGUUUGGGACCGGAGCGGCGGCGAUUGGUGGCCGGACGGUGGCGGGCGAACGGUGGCCGGACGGUGGCGGGCGAACGGCCGGAAAAUCGGGCAGCGGGAGAGGGAGAGAGAUCGGGAGGAAGAGAAGAAGAAGAGAGAGAGAGAAGUGGUGUUUGGGCCUCACACCACCCGGUCCAACACUCUUAAACCAACCCAACUCCAAAAUAAAACACCCCGAAAAAAUAAUACCCUAAUAAAAAUUACCUUUUACUAGCUAAAAUUUACCAUUUUUACUGUCAUCAAAUUUUUCUCCUACGAAUAAUUCUCCGAAAAUAAACGUCCCUCAAAACACCUUUAUAGCCAAUUAAAUUAUAACCUUAAUGACGGAGACGGUAAAAUUCUUAUUAUAACCAAGCUAGUAAAAAAGGUAAAAAUUUAAGGGUCGGGAUGUGACAAAAAUGGCACAAGCAUUGAGAAAACGAUAAGAUAGACCAAACAAACCUCUAACUCCCAUACUAAACAGCCUGAUAACAUAUAUUUCUAAAGCUUUAGACUAACCCUGUGAUUGGAAGCAACAAGCUUUCUGGUUCAUUAACUUCUGCAAUUGGUUAAAUUACUUUAUCAUAGUUCUUGAUUUUCCGAUCCAAAAUUCACAAAUAUAAAUGAGAAUUUCAUCGCAAAAUUAACUUGAGAAAUAAGAUCUAGAUCUGUGAAUGGCGGAUCAGAUUCACAUGAAGAAUGAAGCGGUGAAGAGGAGGCCGAGGGAGAGCAAACAACCGACGACGACAUUCGAUUCUAGGAAUAUCGGAUGACAGAGGCGACUUGGGUUUGGUGGCGAGUCGGAGUACCAGAUGCCUUGGACGACAGUUGAGGAGGAACAAGAUGGCGACUAGAGGGGGAAUAAGGGUAGUAGCGGUGGGACUCCGACGCCAUUCUAAUACUUCGAUGAUAGAAAAGCAGAAACCCUAGACGGAGUUAGGGAUUGGGGAAAGAGAGAGAGAGAGAAAGAGAGAGAGAGAGAGAGAGAGAGAGAGAGAGAGAGAGAGAGAGAGAAGAGAGAGAGAGAAGANNNNNNNNNNNNNNNNNNNNGAGAAAGAGAGAGAAGCAGAAACCCUAAACGGAAUUGGGAAUUGGGGAAAGAGAGAGAGAGAGCGAGAGAGCGUGAAGAAUGAGGUGUGGGUAUUGGGCUCGGAGUGAUUCCGGUGAAGAAGACGAGGGUGAAGAAUGAAGGAUAAAGAGAUUUAAGAGGUUUGAGUAUUUGGGUAUUUGGGAUAAACUCCAAGGAUAAAUGACGAGCAGAUGAGGUGUGGGCAUUUGGGAUUUAAGAGGUUCUGUUUUCGAUGGAAAAAAAUGUGGGAAGUUUAAGUUUUGGUGAAAAAAUUGAGCGGGAGCCUUAUGAAUUUAUAAAAAAUAGCUUUAACAUUUUUAAACAAUAUUUAUCAGACAACAUGUAUAUGUAGUCUGAGCUUAUUAAAAAAUGAUUGAUCUAACGUUGACUGCAUCAACCGAGACCCAAACAUUAUCGAAAAUGUCUGAAAUUUGUACCAUGGCUAUGUUUUGUUAUCAUGAUAAUAUCCAAUACUCAAACUUCAAUUUUUUAAGUUUUAGUCAUCUCAAUCAUAACGAGCCCAAUAAUGUGCUAUAAGACGUUUACUAGAUUAUACCUAAAUGUGUAUCUUUAUAAUCCAAAUGUAUGAACGAAAUCUAAUUUGCAAAAUUUGACCGUACGAUGUGAUCAAAGUAGUUAAAUAUGGAUACUAUAGAAAAUUUACCCAUUUUCAAAAACGUUUGGGUCUCGAUCGCAUGGAUCAACUUUAUUUACGUUAUACUUAAUUCCUUAUGAUUCUCUAAGGGGAACUAUACUAUCGAUUUGUAAAAGUGAUCGAAUUUUCACAUGGAUUAGUUUCGCCAAUACCAUAGGAGAGUUUGAGUUUUGAUGAAUCGAAUAUAUAAGUUUUGGGCGGAGUAGAUAAGAGCGUUUCCAUUUUGAUAAUUGUGUUGACUUUUUCAAGUAUUAAUCAGACAACAUGUAUAUGUAGUCUGAUUUUAUUGAAAAAUGAUCGAACUAAUGUUGACUGCAUUGAUCGAGACCCGAACAUUAUCGAAAAUGUCUAAAUUUUGUACCAUGGCUAGGUUUCGUUAUCAUGAUAAUAUCUAAUACUCAAACUUGAAUUUUUUUAGUUUUAGUCAUUUCAUUCAUGAUGUGCCUACUAAUGUGCUAUAAGACGUUUACUACAUUAUACCUAUAUAAACAUGUAUCUUUAUAAGCCAACUGUAUGAGCAAAAUCUAAUUUGCAAAAUUUGACCGUACGAUGUGAUCACAUAAGUAAAAUAUGGAUACCGUAGAAAACUUACUAAUUUUCGAUAAAGUUUGGGUCUCGAUCGUAUGAGUCAACUUUAUUUACGUUUAAAUUUUUCUAUGGGGACCUAUAUAAUAGGUUUAUAAACGUGUAUAAAUUUUCUCAUGGAUUAGUUUCGUGGGAACUCAAUGAGAUUUCCAGCAUUCACGAAUUAAAAAAAUAAGUUCGGCCGGAGGAGAUAAGAGCGUUUCCGUAUGACUACAACAAAUAUAGUCAUUUCCGACCAACAUUUUUGACGCUUGUCGCAAAAACACGCUAUCAUUAUUUCGUCAUCGGAAAUACUUGGUAAAGUCAUACAUUAUUUCCAACGGACAAUUUCUUGUGGGAAAAGAGUUCAAAUAUGGUCGGAAAAAGCAAAAAUUUGGCGGGAUUUUUUGGCGCCAUUGUUAUUUCCGAGAGGAAUAUACUUUCGUCGGAAAUGCGUUUUUAUUUGCGAGGGUAAGAUUAUAUCGUCGGAAAAGGUACCCUUAUUUCCGAGAAGAAUAUGCUUUCGUCGGAAAUACGUUUUUAUUUGCGAGGGUAGGUUUAUGUCGUCGGAAAAGGUACUCUUAUUUCCGAGAAGAGUAUUCUUUCAUCGGAAAUGCGUUAUUACCCUCGGUAAUAACAAAUCAUUUCUGACGACUAGAACCCUUGAAAAUAUUUCUAGAAAUUGUUUUUGUUUAAGACGGCAACAAAAUAUCGUACGUAAUAAGCGAUCAUUUCGGUCGAAAAUAGGCCCUUGGAAAUAAUUUUGUUAGUUGUUUCUAUUAAAAUAUUAAGCACAGAGGAAUAAACUAUAUGUAAGCCAUUCCGAUCCUAGCUAAACCGUAAACCCUAAGCAAACAGUGUAGAGGAGGCCGGCCAGAAGAGGGAUUUACAUUCUCUUCCACGCUUCUGCAUUUCCCAUGAAGAACUAAUUGAUCAUUGUCUAUUUAUCAAUUUAUUUUCAGUUUGGAUCCCAAGGGAUUGUGUCUCGAUCGAAUGGGUUGUAUCGAUCUCAACGAGGUUGAAUUGUAGCUAGAUGUACGAAUUUUCCUCGAGCAUAUUCUCUCGUCAUUUUGAUUCUCCUUGAAGGGAAUAAGAUCUUGCUUAAGUUAUUCCUACUCGACAGGCUAGUCUUGAUUAGAUAUUAUAGCUUCAACUAAAUAUUUGCAUCUUUAUUAGAUUUCCCAUUGUCAACCGGGUAUUUACACACCUUAAUCCGAGUGCUUAUCGUUUUCGAAGGGAUCGUAUCUCAAAGAGGUAGAGGUACGUAUGAGUUUUCCUUAAGAUCGGAAAAUCUCUCCGCUCGAGCUCGGAUCCUUAUCGAAGGGUUAAGAUGUUCCUUGACCAGUUAUUCCUACUCGACGAUAUAUAUAUUCCCUCUAUGACUGGAUUUUUCCACCUCGAUCUAUGUCAUGACCGGAUUUUUUCACCUAUCAAUGCAAUAAUCAUGUCGCAAGCAAACAUUAACGAAGAGCUACAUGUUAUUACAUGUUUUUAAACUCAAUAACUAUCUUUUACAUAUUAGUUGCCAUAUAUAUUUAAAACAUAUAGAUUAUAUUAUGAAUUUGUCCUAGCCCAUUCCUAUUAAUGAAGGGGAUCGAACUUCAUUAAACUUAGUUUUCACUUUUCUAAUAGGUUAAGGACAAACAUUUAUAUUUAUGUUCCUUGAUCUACAUAAACACUUAGUAAGGAUAAAAUUUUCGGAAAAAUAAUGAAAUUUAGGUUAGAGGGAGAAGUUCCCGCCUGUGCUAGCUAUGCUAGGAGGCUAGGCUCUAUACUCCUUAUCUCAGAAAAAAGGGGAAAAAAUAAAAUCUUUACUCCUAGAAUCGAAACUUCCUCAUAUCUCCCCAAAACCCUAAACUCUUUCUGACCCGAUAAGAGAAGAUCGGAGAAGAUCAGAGAAGAUCUGUAAACAGGGCUGUAAACAGAGCUGUUCUCAAAAUCAGGGUUGUUGUACGUCGGAGAAGCUUCUUGAAUUGAUCGGGUAAGAUUUUCAAUUGAAAUCUUUCAAUUUCGUGUUCAUAAACAUAUGCGUUCAUAUCUUCAAUUUUGGGGGUAUCGUUCAUAUCUUCAAUCUUCUAUAGCAGCUGAGGCUAUCGUCGCCGGCGUUUGAUGGUUUGCCGUUGCAUAAGUUUAAGGGGUUGAAGGAGCUCGAGCUUUCGAAAGUGCUGUCGGCACAGAUUGACUGAGUAGAACUUAGUAGUCACUUGUGCAUUUUCCCUUACUUCUUUUCAGUGCUAAGCCUGGUAAAGAACGCUACACCAUGAAUCAGCAAGCUAGCUAAUAGAUUGUCAUCUAGAUGAAGAUGUACUCAGUUUAAAGACACUUUUGAAAAUAAUUUACUUAUAUAUUAAUCUUUCUAAAACACAUUUUGUUUGAUAUGAUAGCUUGAUCGGAAUGGAGUCGAACCUAGCCCAAUAGAGUGUUGGAGAAAAUUCUAUGUAAGUAAAGCAGAAGACAGUAAAGAAGAACAUUGGAAAAGUGAGAAGGCUAAGGAAAUUUAUGUAUGUUUCCAUACCUGAUAUUUAAAUCAAACUUUUUCUAUUCAUAUUAAAUUGUGAUUAUUUUUACAUAGAUUAAAUUUGCAAACUAUUAUUUGUAGGAGGAUCUUAUUGAGAGGAGGGAUCAAAUAGAAGAUGUGUUUGGUGAAGUUGAUGAAGUUGAUGAAGUUGAUGAUUGGGAGAUAUAUGAGAAAGUAAUUCGUGAGCAUAGUCAUGGCCGUAGUCAUGGCUGUGCACUUGGGUUAGAUGCAGGGGCCAAACUCAAAGAUAUCAAUUCACAUAACCAAACUUGUAAUAAGCCUGCAUGUUUGGAAGCAAAAGAGAAUUAUGAGACAGUGAAAGGCGAAGUGGAUACUCUGAAAGAUAAAUUGGAGAAAUUGACUCAAGUUGUUCAAAAUUUGCUGCCUUAUAGCUCUGACAAUUCUAAAAGUGUAAGAAACUCACAUUAUGUGGUACGAUCUCUACCUUAUUGAAUCUUUGUAUGUUGUUAUUAUUUAUGUUAUUUAUAACAUGGUUUAGCUCUUGUUUUUCAUUCUAAAUUCUGUGUUUAAUUAUUUCUUUUUUCUUCAAAAGGAUAAUAUUAUUGCAACGGAUUCAAGUGCACUCCAUGAUGACGAUGGUUUUUAUGAAGAUGGUAUUGUUAGAGAUGGUACGGAUAGAGAUGAUGAUACUUAUGGAGAUGGUGUUGAUGAUGAAGAUGAUGAUAUUGAUGGAUAUGGUGCUGAUGAAGAUGGGACUGAUGGAGAUGGUGGUGAUGAAGAUGGUGUGAAUGGUAAUGCUAAGUUUCAUGAGGUGUUUUACAGCCGCACUUAAAACAUUGUCUUUCUUGCUUGCUGAUGAACCAGAUGUUUUAGUAGUUUAACUUAUUUGUCUUUCUUGCUGAUGAACCAGAUGCUAAGGAUAUACUAGCUUUGACAUAUCUUAGAUGUGUUUCUUGUAAUACAGUUUGAUAUACUAGCUUUGAAAUUCUACUUUUCUUCUUUUAUGUUUAUCAUCCAACCAGUUCUUACAAUUAAGUUUACAGGUUUCAUUGAAUGGGAGGGAAAACAAAUAUUUUUUAACAAAUUUUCAAUGAAUAAAUAAGCUGGUUUGGAAAAAAUUCCGACCAAUCUUUUCCCACCGUUUCACUCUCGGAAAUAAUAGAUCACUAUUUCCGACAAAGAAAUAUUCAUUUCCGAGGAAAACAUGGUCAUCAAAAACUACUCAUUACAGACGAGCAAAUGUUAUUUCCGACAACAUUCUUCGUCGGAAUAAGUUAUUUCCGACAACAUUCUUCGUCGAAAAUAAUAUUUGUCAUCGUCAGUGGAGCUCACUUUCCGACCACUGAAACCUAUUUGCGACCACAUAAGUUUGUUGGAAAUAAUGACCUUUUCCUAGGGUUCAUCGGAAAAACACUUUUUCCAACUAGACUUUUUACCAACGGCCUCUGUUCGUCGAAAAAGGUUAUUUCCGACGGCAAACGGCUUUUUCCGACCAAAUCUCACCCUUGGAAAUGACUAUGUUUGUUGUAGUGAUGGAUAAUAGGCAUAUCGUUUGUUGACCAAUUUCGGACCUCUUACUAUCACAUAUUUAUGUCGUCUGAGUCACACAAAGAAGUGGCGCCAUAAUUCGUUAAGAGCGGGAAAAUUUCAAAUUCGCUAAGGGUGAGAAAACUGUUUUCGCACGUAAUUGAAAAUUUAAGGUUCUUUUUAGACGACAUAAAUAUGUCGUCUCAAAGUUGAGCACAUUAAAACUCGCACAGGGAAGUUCGAAUUGAAAAUUUCAGUUUUUUUCAGAUGACAUAUAUUUGUCGUCUCCAUAAGUAUAUUAAAAGAGCUGAAAACCAGAUUUGGACAGCCUUCCUCACACAACAUAUAUAUGAGGGUCUCAAUUUUUAGCUAAAAACCUCAUUUCAGCUCAAUUUUUAGCUCAAUUUUCAGAUGACAUAUAUUUGUCGUCCUUAGAAGUACAUUAAAAGAGCUGAAAACUAGAUUUGGACAGCCUUCCUCACACAACAUAUAUAUGAGGUCUUAAUUUUCAGCUAAAAGUAGUGAGAAUUUCUGGGUUUGUUGACAUCACACCUAUAUGUCGUAUGAUUUUUACAAACCUAGAAAAAAUGAACUAACCUUUAAAAGUAUUGAAGUAGGAUGUCAUUGAGACGACUUUUACAUUUUACAUAUCGUCUAAAAAACCACAAAAACCAUCAAACGACACUUGUUUUAAAUGCUGCUUUAUAUGUCGUGCAUCUUGUGUCGUCUGAUAAUGUUAUUGGCAUAGUGAACCAUGCUCUAUCAACUUGGUGGGUACUGCUUUUGAUUUUGAUUCUUCAGGUUGGUGUGAAGUAUAGUCAGAGACACUCCGGCCUCCUAAAGCUAAACCACCACCCGGGAAUAAAACGCGAUCGGGACGACAACACCUUCGGCACCACCACCUGAAGAUCGAUUUCCUUUUGCUGCAAAUCAAUAUAUAUAUAUAUAUAUAUAUAUAUAUUGGGGUGAGAGAGUUCUUAAUUUGGGAUUGGAGAGAGAGAGUUCAUAAUCUGGGAUUGGGAUUUUUUUUUUGAACAGCGAUCUGGGAUUGGGAUUAAAGAGGAAGAAGAUAAAGAUUAAAGAAGAGAAAUAGAGAUAAAAAAAAGAGGCAAUGCUGAAGUGGACAAAUUCUUUACACGUGUCUUGUUGUGAUUUGUUGGUCGUCGCACAAGAGAGCUGAUGCGGCUAUUGCACGGAAGAUUUUCUCCAACAUAUUUCUACCAUAUUAGAAAGCGAGGUGUUUUUGGUGUCAAAAACUUCACCAAUUUUAUGAACUCUCUAUAUUACCCAUUAAUUAUGAAAAAACUGUUUAUAUAGAAAAUAUGUUGAAAAAUGUAUUACGGUAAAACAAAAAGUAAAUAAACCAAAAAUAGAAAUUAUGAGAUUACAAUGGAGAAAAAUAUGGGACUUGAUGAUAAGAUGGUAGCAGUUUCAUUUCACUUUUAGUGGAGCAUUUCAAGUGGAACUGCUCUUCAACCGCUCUCACAAUAAAAUAAAUAAAUUGAAAACGUGGAAGAUAAUUAUGGAAGAUAAAUGUGGAUAUAAUCAGAUAGUGGGAGUAUAAAAUUGAAAACUACAAUUUCAAGAAACAGAUAAAUAACAGUGAGUCACUACUCCUUAAUUUUAGGUAAUUUUAUGACAAUGUGCAAAUAUGCACAGGUAAAUGCUAGUGUAUUUAUAAAUUGAGCCGAUCGUGCUGCUCAAGCUCCUCCGAUGUUAAUUUGUAGAUAUGUACUAUUGUAUGUGUAGAUACUUUUCUGUUGAUGUUUUGUGCUUUUUUUUUUAAUCACGUAACAACUAAGAAUAUGAGAAUACACGAGUAAUACAUGUUUGAGUUGAACUCUAGAGCUCCACCAACAGAAAAAAAAAUCUAAUGUAAUUAGACUAGAUGAUAUCUAAUGUGCAUUUGUGUUGGACGUACAUUUUCAUUGAUAGUAAAAACUCUCAUAUUCAGAGCGGGAAAAAAAAACUGAAUUAAUUUGGAUAAACACGUUCAAAUUAGUUAGGGUUAGGGGAAGUAGCUGGCUGGCUGGUUAGCUACCUUAUGGUGGUUAAUUCUUCAUUCCUCACAUGCAUGCAGUAGAGUAUAGAAAUCAAAUGAAUGACUUCAAAAGCAAGCAAUGGGAAAUGGUAUAUCUUAAUAAUUCGUUCUUUAUAUAUGGAUCCCUUUACUUCAUCUUGGAUCUCUGUAAUGCUUAAAUUAUGAUAUUAUCAAACAAUAAUUGAAGCGAAUUAGGUUUAGCUAGUUUCACGCACCGACGCACGUACAUUUUUUAAGUUGUAAGAGGGACAAAGAAAAAGAAGAAUAAAAUGCAGUGAUUGAUCGAAUUGGCUAGCUAGCUACCAUAUAUAUAUAUAUGCAUGCACAUUUAGUAGCUAGGCAGCUGAGUAAGUAGUACGUGGUGCAGAUAGCUAGGAGCACACCGAAGAAAUGAUGAGUAGUGUUGAUUUCUCAACUACUGGUCUACCCAGCAUCCAACAAAUUAAGAUUGUACAAUCGAGACCAACUAGUCUCUUGCAUGUCCACAAAUUACUUGGUUUUUUUUUUUUUUUAUUUGAACAAAUUAAGUAAAUGGCCGGGAAAGAAAGGCAACGUCGAUCGAUCUGGAUUAUGAGGUACGUAGCAGGUUAUAUAUGUAGGAAAAUGCGUGGCUAAGCUUGUUCAAAUAUGAGCCUCUCGGUUUCGUUUGAGGGCAUGCAGAAGAUCACAAACAGAUCUCGAUGAUAGCAAUUGCAGGUAGGUUUGUCUUUCACAUUAAAGGACUAGCUAGAUUGCUGGUUCCAUCACAUCUAUACAUAUUUACCAGAAGUUCUGUUUCAUCAUUUUGACAAUAAUAUUUAUACCAACAAAAGUAUCUGUUUCAGAAACUAAUUAAAGGGCUGCAUACCCAGUAAACUUUUUUUUCUUUCUUUUUUUUGAAAAUGAAUUUCAUGAUUGAAUCAUUAAUUAGUGAUUUCAAUCACUUAGAAUAAGAAUGACCACAAACCAAUUAAUCAAUUAUAGCUGAUCGAGAUGAGUUCAAAGCAUGAUUGCAACUUAGUGCGCGUGUGUGAUGGCAACACUCUAUUAGCUUCACUUCUUGAGUAAGCCCAAGCUAGCUAGAUAAAUCAGCAACUUCUUGAGUAAGAGCACAAUCUGUUCUUUUCAAGUCUAACUGUCGCUUAGUAAANNNNNNNNNNNNNNNNNNNNCCCAAAAUAGUCCCACUUGGGAUUUAGUAAUUAGUAUACAAUGACGUAGUUACACACAGGUUCUGAUGGACUAUAACACAUUUCAAAUUUUACAAAACACAUUUAUUUCUAGCUAAAUUUUAAUUCAGAAAGCUAAAAAAUAAAAUCCAGCCCACCCUAAAUUUUUAAAUUUAGUUCAUAUGUUAUUAAACUUAGUUCGUUUUUAACAUAAAUUAGUAAGUGUUUGUUUAUUGAAGGAAAAAUUUGUAGCCCUCCCAUUAAAUAGUAUGGGCACCUUUUACGUCAAUAUUAACAUACUAAUCAUUGUCUUAAUUUUAUUCUUUACUGUAACUUAUGGGUUCUCAAAUAUGAAAAUAUGAACUAUCAGUCGUGAAAGUUGUUAGCGGACUGCAUCGUACUUGUCAGAGUGAGUUCUGAGAGUCAAAAGCCUAGGGUUUCGAGGAGGCGGCGCCGUUUCUCCCUUAGGGAGAGGGCUGAUGUUGCAGCAAGGCGGGUGUGUGGGUUUCGCUACCCGUGCUGAUCAUAAGGACGGCGAGAGGCUUUGGUCUAUUGAAGCGACGGCUCUUGAGCGGCAGUUUUGAAGCAAAAUGCGUCUCCGAUUGUAUUUGGUUUUGUUUUGUCUGGUCUUAAAGGCGGAUAAGACGGCGAAGAUCUGAAUUUGGUUAACUGUUUGGUCUGGAAAUCUCUUUGGAUCAUAUAAGUUGAUUGGUAGACAGGGUUUGGUUUCGAUCUGCUCCAAAUCGAUCUGAUUCAUAUUGGGUUGGUGGUGCUUAGACUCCGACUUUCUCGAGGUUGCGGUUCGGCAUCUUCAGGCCAUCGGCGGCUCUUGGUGAUGCCGAUUGCAGUGGGGUUGAUUGUUGGUCAAGACUGAUCUUGUUGCUGGUUGAGAGAGGUGAUGUUGAUGGUUGUUCGCUGGGGUCAAGGCCGCUCUCCUGAGGCGACCGCGGCGGCGGCAAAUGGUAGACUACUUGCGGCUAGGGUGCCCAUCUCGAGCGCCCUUAGCAUUUGGGUCUGAGCCUUUGGGCUUCAGCAUGCCUAGGUCUUUGUUUCAGGUUUCUUUGGGCCUGAGUUAUUAGAUCUGGGCUUGGGGCCCAAUUGCCUUUUAAUUUUGUUGUUUGUUUUUUUCUGCUUAGAAUAGAAGCCUAUAAUUUAUGUUUCCCAUAAAUUAUUAGGUUUGUUAUUUCCCUUUUCCUUAGAGUAGUUGUUCAUAGUCUUUUUAUGAUGUGAUGAUGAAUGAGCGAGAAAAGUGUAAUGAGGGUGCUAUCCUACGUGAGUCAUUUUAUCUUAUUUGCUUUCUGUACGCAAAGCAGUAGAUCGAUUCAUGAUGUAUAAUUUAUUUUCAACGAAUGAAAUAUCUUAACUCAAACAAAAAAAUGAAAAUAUGAAAGAAUGACCAAGAUUGGCACCAUCUUGGCCUUAAACCGAGGUAUGAUUUGAGGGGUUCUCAAGCAAGAGAAAUAAGAAUAAGACCAUGAUUGACCAGCUUAUAAAGUUAUAAUAAGGCAGAAGCAGCUUGGAAAACCAACUUGCUAAAUCCUCUGCCCUGGGGUUUUCUCUCUAGCACUUCAUCGUUCGCCCUUCAUGGGCGAUUUCCUUGGAGCUUGUCUCCGAUUUGUGUCCUCCCUAGCUUUGGCGUUUCUCUUCACCCACCCGAUAGUGUUGUUCGUCUCUUUGAUGGUCUGAUCCGUCCUUCCGACGACGUCGUUGUUUCCGAUUUUGGCUAUGGAGUUCAUCUUUUGCAUGUCUUUCCUUCAGUGCCUCUCUCUUUCAUCCGGAUCUGGCCUCAUGCUUUGUGUGUCUCACCGAACCUCACCUUGCAAGGCUCCUUGACAGCCUUCACCUUCAUCCUCAGAUCGCAUCUCGUUGGUAGCUCUAAAGUUCCAAAUAUGUGGUUUUGUCGUCUCUCCCCAACGUUUUGUUGUUCUAUGAUAGCUGUGCAUCUUGUUGUCUUGUUGUGUUUGUUUUGGUUGGGUUUUGUGUUUUACAGGUGGUAGCUAUUUCAGAUUUGGAUCGUUUGUUUUGGCUUUCAAUACAAGUUUUUUUCUGGCCGAGGAUGCGACACUUGCGGCGGAGACUUUGGGUGGCGACAAUCUUCCCCUUUGUUGUGUUGUGUUUUGUUAACUAGGGUUUGUCCUGGUUUUAGGCCUUUCUUUUGGGGUUUCUUUCCUUGCUUGUUGGGUCUAGUUUAGUUUUUUCUUUUUUAACUCUGAUAUUGUGUUCAAAGGUCACAGCCUGAGCUUGGUUGAUUGGGUUUUGUUGUUGGUAUAUAUACCGCAAGCAUAAGCAAUGACCUCGUAGACCGUUUUCCUGCCAUGUAGGACCCCGCCCCCGACAUACUUCCGGUAGACCAACAUCCAGGCUACCUCGUCAUGGUGAAAGAUCAUCGGUACCACAUCGGGAAGGUGCUCUCCCAAGCUCUACAAGAAGGCAUCAUAAGAAGAUAUAUGUGUAGUUAGUCCCACGUCGGAAACAUAAUAUAUGAGGGAACCUUCUUUAACUAUAAAAGGAUGGCUUCUUAUAUGUAGAAAGGGAUGGAUGCCAAUCACUCCAUCUUGGAGAGCUCUUGUAACACCAAAGGCAUAUUGGCCAUGAUAGUAGAAUCUUAAGUGGACGUAGCCAUGUCCUCCGAUGACAUGGUGAACCACUAGCCAUGUCCUUGUCUCCUAUUCAUUAGUCUAUAGUUUGUGUUCCACCGUACUUCUACAUAGUCUCCGGGAUUAUGCAGAAACAUGUUUAGUUUUUCUAUUUCUUCCUUGUUAGCUUCUGUAUGGGGUACAUCAAUGGGGAAGACCUCCUUUCAGUAUGGCUGUGAUCGACUUCCCCCAUUGUCUGUAUCGUAUACAUAUGGGUUUAGGAGGCAGUAGUUAGUUACUGAAUAUGAGCUUAUUUCUAGUUUGUGAUGGAUUCCUUGUAAUUGCUUGUUGUCUUGUACCUAAAUCUGCAAUUAAUAAAAUUGUUUACGUGUUUACUAAACAAAAAAAAAACAAAAAAAAAAAAACAAAAAAAAAGGCAGAAGCAACUUGACAUGCUCAUAGGAAUGACCAAUAGACUAAUUUGGAAUAUCCAAACAUUUACAUUUUAUUUGUAAAUAUCCAAACAUCACUUGCUUUAUUCAUGCGCAAACCAAAUAUCCAUAUAUUAAAAAAUCAGAUAUCAAAAACAGAUUUUAAAAUUCCCACUAGCAAUGAGACUAAUAGGAAUGACCAAUGAGACUAGUUUCUUUCUGAGCAAUCAAACGACCAAAUGAGGCCAAGAGUAAAACGGUGCCCAAGUUAGGUCAAAUGUGGGACAAAUUUUUAAAUGUUCUCUGAGGACGACGUGGCAGUUUGACGUGGUCCUCCCUGCCAAUUAAAUUUUGAUAGGUGUAUUUCUUACAACUAAAAUAUAAACUAAGGUUUUCCAUAUUUUGUGAAAUGACCGUCAUGGGUCUUUUGUGAGUUUGGACUAGGGUUUAGGGUAUAAGAUUUAGGGGAUAGGAUAUAGGGUAUAUGGUUAGGGUAUAGGUUUAGGGUUUAGGAUUUCAAAAAUCAACAAGAAACCCAAAAUGGUCAUUGACAAAAUAGCUAAAAUAGUUUUUCAUCAUCAAAAUCUACAUGUCAAAAUUUGUAUGGAAUGGACUUAAGACUGUCACGUGAUCCUUCAAGAACAUUGAAAAAUUUCUUCAAAAGCGGACGCAUGUAGGAGCCUAUGGGGCCACUGCCUCACUCAAGUUUGGACAUGUAUCGCUUAAGUAUCAGUUUUUUAAUUUCUUUUUUAUUUAUUUAUUUUUUUUACUUUCCCUUCCCCUCAAUCACGUAUGAUUACAGUUUGCUAUACGGAAGUCUAUGAUCCACCCACUUAUCUUUGAGGUAAAUCUGUUUACAUAAUGUUUUGUUUGCCUUGCAACCUCUCUGCACUUUAUAGUCUACAGUACAUAUUCCUUACACCAUGUCCUGCUUCCCUUUGAUGGUAAUGAACAAUUGUUCCGCUACCUUCUGUAAGUUGAUUAAUAAAUUCUGUCCUUUGCAAGCUAUAUACAAAUUAUGUAGUGUUACUUAAAUAUCAUUGUAUCUCGGACAAAUGUGUAGUAACUCUUUAUAAAGAGUACACAGUUUGUAAACUUUAAUUUGUAGUUUAUGUAGUUUAUAAUUGUAUCCAUAAGUAUAGUAUAUGAAGUUGAAACUUGCACUAUGUUUCCUUAUAUUCUUCUGCUUUUGUAUGCUAUUGUUUUUCUUUUGCCUAGCUUGAUUGUAUGUAUGAUAUUGUUGUUUUGGUGAAUAUGUUCAUAAAUGAGUUGCAUAAAACUAGCCCCAAUAUCUGCGUCCGCCACUGAGUUAGGUGACAUAUUUAUCAUUUUAAAAAUUCCUUUUUCUUAAGGUAUAUUUGAAAGUUUUCUCGAUGAGAAAGGUAUAAUUCAAAGGAUUCAUAAUUGGAAGGCUAAAUUAUGGGUCAUCAUUUGGCCCGCGGGCGGUCCGCCGGCCAAAAGGGCCAAAGCCCGGCCCAGCCCAUCAAAAAGCCCAUCUUGGCCCGGCCCAUAAGGCAUAAGGUCGGGCCAAUGGCGGAGGAUUCAAAGCCUCGACCCGUUACAUGCCUAUCAAAACUCGCCCCGCCCGGCCCUAAAUAGCCCGUCUAAAAGCCCUUUCAAUUGUUUUAUUAAUAUUUUUAUGAAGUUAUUAGUUAAAUAUGUGAACUAAUUAUUGGAUUAAGUCAUAUUUUUCUUUGAUUUUUUUAUUACAUUUAGUUCAAUCAUUAACACAUCCUAAACUCAGAGAACGAUAGUCUGGCUCUGCUAGGGUUUCGUUUAGCGCAUCCAACCUCAACCUCAAUGGAGAUUCUGGCAUGGAAUUGUAGGGGAGCCAACAACGAUCGGUGUGUCCAAGCGUUGCAAACCCUAAUCUGGCAGAAAAAACCCUCCUUCAUCUUCCUCUCGGAGACUAAGGUGAAUGAUGUUGAAUACAUGAAUCAACUGCGUCUCACAAUAGGGUUUCACAAUUGUGAAACGGUGUAUAGUGAGGGUUAGUCGGGGGGAUUGUGAUGUUUUGGAGGGACGGCCUUGAUGUUCGUCUUCUCUCCAAAUCGAGAUGGCAUGUUGAUGUGGAAGUAUUUGAUAUUGAUGGAUUUGGGAUUGCUUGGCGUCUAACCAGUUUGUCUGGUGAACCGUCAGCGGGAGACAGACAUCUCACUUGGACUCUUCUUCAAGAUCUGUUCAAGGCGUCGUCUCUUCCAUGGGUGGUGAUCGGAGAUUUGAAUGAGAUCUUGAACGAUGAUGAGAAGGAGGGUGGCCUUCCUCGUAACCCUAACCAGAUGCUAAGGUUUCAGGAGGCUCUGGACUCGGUGGAGUUACUGGACCUAGUGUUUCUAAGGGUCCCUUUACCUGGAAGGGCGGUGAUGUCAGAUGCAGACUUGAUCGUGCAGUUGUGUCGCCAUCAUGGUUGGAUAUCUUUCCAGCUUCAAGAGUGCUGCAUCUUCCUCCUAUUCAUGGUGACCAUGUUCCAUUGCUACUUGGAGUUUUCAGGUCUGGUCCGGUUCCGAACUCCAGGAGACCAUCUAGGUUCCGUUUUGAAUCUUUCUGGUCAACUCACGAAGGUUGUAAGGAUGUGGUGUCAUCUGGAUGGUCUCGGUUUACCCUUGGAAGGCCGAUGUAUCAAACUAUGUCUCGUAUUGCUAAUACGAGGAUAGCUCUCCAUCAACGGCAAAAAGUGACUUUUGGAUAUAGGAAGAUGGAGAUUGAAUUGAUCAGAAGUCGGUUACAGCAACUUAUGUAUCUGCCAAUGACUUCGGUUAACCUUGAGGAGCAUGCUACUUUAUCAAAGAAAUUGGAGGGUUUGUUGGAAGAAGAACGCCUUUAUUGGAUGCAGCGUUCAAAGAUUACUUGGCUCACGGUGGGUGACAAGAACACUAAAUUCUUCCAUAGACAGGCGUCGAACAGGAAAGCCAAGAAUCGACUCAUUGGUCUAUUUGAUGAAUUGGGGAUUUGGAAACCGGCUAUUAAUGGGAUGGAGCAGAUAAUUUUGAAGUACUUUUCGAAUGUGUUUCGCUUUGAACCAGUUGAUAUGGGGCGUAUGCAGUCUAUUGUGAACUUGGUACAACCGAGGGUAGCUGAAGCAAUGAAUGAGGAUUUGUGUGCUUCUUAUUCGGAUAGUGAGAUUCGUGCUGCUCUAUUUCAAAUGUAUCAUACUAAAUCUCCCGGUCCAGAUGGGAUGCCUCAUGAGUUUUUUUCAGAAAUAUUGGGAGACUAUUGGAACUGAUGUAUGUAUGGCAAUGAGAAGUUUCUUGCAAUCAGGUUACCUUUUGAAGGAUGUGAAUUUCACGCAUGUCUGUUUAAUACCUAAAGUGCCCAAUCCGACUUAGGUAGCUGGUUUGAGACCUAUUGCUUUGUGUAAUGUGCUCUAUAAGAUUUGUAGUAAGGUGAUUGCGAACCGACUUAAGAAGCAUUUGUCAGAUAUUAUUUCACCAUCUCAAGUGCUUUUAUUCCAGUAAGAUUGAUUACGGAUAAUUCUCUGUUUGCAAAUGAGGUUUCCCAUUUUAUUAAUUCGGAUUUGGCAAAGGGUACUAUGUCUUUGAAAUUGGAUAUGCGUAAGGCUUAUGAUAGGAUGGAGUGGUCUUUCUUGAAGGCAGUACUGCUCUAGUUGGGGUUCCAGGUCUCUUGGGUGAAUUUAAUUAUGCAGUGUGUGUCAACAAUUCGGUAGUCUUUUCUGAUCAAUGGAAAACCUUGUGGAUCCUUAUUGCCUAAGCGGGGGCUCCGACAAGGUGAUCCUUUAUCACCAUAUUUGUUUUUAUUAUGCACGGAAGUUUUCUCAACUUUAUUGGAGCAGAGAGUAUCUGAAAGGCGUCUUCAAGGUAUCAGAAUUUGUGAGGGGGCUCCAGUUAUUAGUCAUUUGUUGUUUGCUGACGAUAGUUUGUUGUUUGGGAAGGCCACAAUGGAUGAAUGUUUGACUAUCAAGUCUGUUUUGGAUGAUUAUGAGGCGGCUUCAGGACAACAUGUGAACUUCUCUAAAAGUAAUAUUGUUUUUAGUAAAGCUGUUUCUGAUGUUACCAAACAUUCUAUUGCUACGGUGUUAUCUGUCAGCACUGUUGCUAAACAUGAGAAGUAUCUUGGCCUUCCUAAUAAAACUGAAACAUUUCAGUAUAUCAAAGAACAGCUAAGUCACAAGCUUGAAGGGUGGCAGGGUAAGCUGCUAAGGGGUGCAGGGAGCGAUAUUCUUAUCAGAGUAGUAGCCCAAGCUCUUCCCUCUUAUUCAAUGAGCUGUUUUCUACUACCAAAAUCUUUCUGUAAUUCUCUUCACCAGAUGUGUGCUAAGUUUUGGUGGGGUAGUAAUGCUGAUAAUAGGAGGAUUCACUGGAUGUCAUGGGAGAGGCUGUGCCGACCCAAAGAAGAAGGUGGUAUGGGUUUUCGGGAUUUAUAUGCCCAUAAUUUGGCUCUGUUAGCCAAACAGGGUUGGAGGAUAGUCAAAAAUCCCUCUUCUCUUCUUGGUCGGUUGUACAAGGCUCGAUAUUUUCCUCGUUGUGAUUUAUGGUUAGCUCCUACUCCUUCUUCUCCUUCAACAUGUUGAAGAGGUAUUUUUGAAGCUAGGGAUUUGUUGGUUAAUGGUAGCAAAUGGCAGAUUGGUGAUGGGGUUUCGGUUGAUGCUUGGAACGAUCCUUGGCUACAGAGGCUGAGAGAUUUCCGUCCUCUCAGUAGGCUCAGUCGCAGCGCUUCAAAGGUUAGUGAGUUUAUUACUAAUGAUAGAACCUGGAAUGUUAGUCUACUGGAAGAGCAUUUUGAACAACCUGAGCAUUUGAUUCUCACUAUUCCUCUAAGUCACCGGAUUACUCACGAUAAAGUGAUUUGGCAUUAUGAUUCGAGAGGAAGGUUUUCGACUCGGUCAGCUUAUUAUUUAGCCAGGGAAUUGAUGCAUGACAUUCCUUCUGGUUCUCAUAACACUUCUUCUGCUCUGGUGCAAUUCUAGAAAGGUAUAUGGUUUUCAGCUAUUUCGAGCAAGAUCAAGGUACAUAUUUGGCGAGUUGUUUAAGCUAUAUUACCUACUGUUUCUUCUUUGAGAACAAAACAUGUUUUCCUCAAUCAAGGAUGCUUAUUUUGCAACACAGAGGAUGAAUCUAUUGAGCAUAUUUCUCGUGAUUGUUGUUAUACGAGAGACUUAAUUAAAUUGUUUCCCGAGUUGAGAAGGGUGCUUCAGGGAUGGAUUCUGCCUGUGGUUGAGUGGCUUUCUAUGUGCAUCGAGGUUCUAAUUAAGGAAGAGUUUGUUCUAUUGUUGGUCAUUCUUUGGUCAGUAUGGAGAGAGCGUAAUCUCAGGCUUUGGGAUGGUAAGUACAGGUUAUGUUCCCAGCUAUACUAUCAGGUAUGUACGCAAGUAGCAUUAAUGCGUUCUUGCUGGUCUAAAAAACGAGGUUUGCAACGUGAGUUCAAACCCUGGGUACCUCCUCCACAAGGCUGGGUGAAAGCUAACUUUGAUGGUGCUUUUGAUAGUUCUCUUGGUAGGGGGGAGUAGGGGUGAUUUUCAAAGACUCUCAUUCAAAAGUUAUUGGAGGUCAGUAUUGCAGAGUGGAGCAUGUGUCUUCGCCUGAGAUGGUUGAGGCUAUGGCGGGUAGGUUUGCAUGUGAAGCAGCUCAGGUGUUGCUGGUGUUCCCAGUUGUUUUUGAAUCUGAUUGUUUGAAGCUUGUAAAAGCUACAAAGUGUGAAGAUGUGGAUGAUUCGGCUUUUGGUGUCAUUGUUGAGGACAUUAAGCAGAUCUUUGUCAUCUUAAUUCAUCAUUUUUCUCUGAUGUUUAUAGGGAGUCCAAUUUAAUUGCUCACAAGUUGGCUAAAUUGGCUCUUAGUAGCGUAGUUCCUUGUAGUUGGGUAGGUCCUCCUCUAAGGGAGCUUCAGGGUUUACUAAACCUUCCUUCUUGUAACCAUUAGUCAUCUCUUUCAAUAUAUUCUAACGUUUCCGGUCAAAAAAAAAAAAACUUUUUCAUAAUUUUUGUUUAUUUUGAUAAAAAUUUAUUAGAUAUAUGUAUAUAAUAAGUCCGGCCUAGCUUGGCCCUAAAAAGCCCUUAAGGCCAGGGCCUACGGGCUUUGAUUUUUUUGAAUAGCCCGGUCCGGCCCGACCCUAUAAUUUAAAAAAUAUGAUUGAGACCAGGCUGGGCCGGGCUUUUUGACGACCCCUAGGCUAAAUUAAAUUGAAGUCCCUUUUUUUUUUUCUUGAAAGUAAACCGUACAAGGAGACCUUUGGAUGACUCAUAUCAGACAGUACGAGACAAACGUCUUAUGGGCUCAGGCUGGGCUGGGCUUUUUGACGACCUCUAGGCUAAAUUAAAUUGAAGUUCCUUUUUUUUUGUUUUGAAAGUAAACCGUACAACGAGACAUUUGGAUGACUCAUAUCAGACAGUAAGUGACAAACAUCUAAUUCAACCUUGUAUAUUCAACCUUGUAUGAAUCGUCUUUCUCAUCUCUUUUGCUGUUGUGCUUUUCGUUGGGCCCAAGUGAAAUACCUGGUUAAUGUACACUAGCCUUCCCACACGCGCAAAAGAGCUUUUCAAUUGUUCAUUCAUAUACGUGAGAGAAUAUGAUCUUUUAAAAUCAGAUCUCUCUCUCUCUCUCUCUUUAAUAUGCAUAGUGUACAACACCAUAAUAAAAAAAAAAAAACCCUAGAGGCUGAGAGCAAAAGUCGAAGAUGCAUCUCUGUCUGGCGGCGUGCUCUCUCGCCGUCGUCGGACAGGCCUUGUCGGCCCCGUGUGGGUUCAGAAUAAGCCAAUUUCCCCUAUUGAGAUCCUUGAUCGUGAUGGGGAACUUUUGGUGGCGGUUUGCAGGGUGAGGAAGGGUGAAGGCAGGGCUCUGCUUGGAUGUUGGUUCUCCCAUUGUUGGUCUGAUUGACGGAGGGGAUGGGGUGCACUGCAAUGGUGGUGGCUGGGAACUGGAGAGAUUGUGGCAGCGCGGCUAGGCUUCGAUCAGAUCACUCCGAAUGGGUUAAGAUCUUUUCGAUCUGGUCUGGAGGUGAGGUUGCAGAGCAAGGGUUGCGUUCUUCUGCGCGAGGGGGAGGACAGAGUGGGUUGGGCGCUCCGGCGAUGCCGACGCGGCCGAGUUGGUGGUGAACCAUCGGCGACGGCCGGCGAUGGGAUUGACCAGGUUGGGCGAGCACCGUGUUUUCUUCUUGAUUCUUCUGUGGAAGAUUGGGCCUUGUCUCUUUAUUUGGGCUUGGCUGUGGUAUUUUGUUUUUUAGUUGUAAUUUAUCUUAAGUUUACAAUAAGUCCUGAUCUCUAUCUGAUCUGGAUACGUGGGUUACAUCCCGGUUUGCGUGAUUUGCGUACCAUGUUUGCUCUUGGAAGGUGGCGAGUUUCUUGUUUCGUCAAAUGGUCACAACCUCCCAGUGGCAAGAUGAAACUCAGUGUCACUGGUAAUCUAUUCCAGUGGCAACAUAGUAGGAAAGCUGUUAGACAUAGUAACUUAUGGCUCUGCACGAGCAUUGUCUUUCCGGUAUGUCACCAAAAUUGUAAAGCAAAUGGAGUAGCCAUUGAUGCACUCUUUGCUAAAUGGUGCUUGUUAGAAUGCAUAAGAUUGAGAACUCUUGAUAUUAUUUCGGGAUGUUCAGGCAAUAUGGGUUUAGGUUUUAUGUCCCCCCCUUAUAUUCUGCGGUUUCGUUAAUGGUUAAGGCAUGAGGGCGGCCGAUUUAGCCCAUUUUCAAAAAUCAGAUCUCUUCAUCCUCUGCUGGUAAAAGCUAACAUUUUGAGAGAGAACUGAAAAAUUAAACCGGGAAUUAGAAUUGAACAGAUGAGAUCAUUAUCUCCCGCUUCCAUUUUUCUUGAUGACCUUGUAAAUCACAUAACAUUCUUGAAAGAAAGGAGGGAUACAAAAAUUCAAUUUAGACAAAAAAAAUAAUAGUUUAAGAGAACAUAAUACAAAGAUACAAAGAAGCUGCUUCAGUCUUUCUCAUCUGAGGUGUAGUACUCAUGCUAUAAUAUUCUCAAAUCUCAAAUACUCAAUGGAAAUGAAUUUUUGUAUUCCUCCUUUGUGGAUAGCAGACAGCUGAAAAGGUAGACAUGAAAUUCAAUUUGGCAAACAUAGAACUUAUUAGAGAAGAAGAGCAGCACCCAGAUAACAGCAGACAGUUGAACAAGUAGACAUGAAAUUCAAUUUAGAAAACAAUGUCGGAAAGGAAGAUGAAACUCUUAUACCCAAAAACCAUCUUGCUAAACACAUUACAGAUGUUUAUAUUUGUUAAAUAUAUAUAUUUAGAUCUUGAAACAGCAAACAAAAAAAAACUUAGCAUGUUAAUUGAUUUUAGUUGAUGAAUCCAAUAGGAAAAUGUGAGUUUGAUGUUGUCAAAAAUCAUCAGAUAAACAUGAAUAGAGGUUUGAAUCUCUAUAGGAGCUUGCUUCUCUCCGAAAUAAAUAUUAGUGAGUAAGGUUCAGCUAAUACUUAGAAUGACAGUACUUAUGUCAAUCACUGACCUUAGCAAAAACAUGGAGGAGGAUGAGAUAUAGGUGUCAAUUUGCCACCUACCUUACUGUUCUUUUUGCUAAACUGAUACUAAGAGAUAUGCAAAAACAUAUAAAAAAAAAGUCCGGAUAAAUGUUAAUUUUGUCAAUAUCAAUAUAUACAGUACGAUUAGAGACUUUAGUGAUAUGGCACUCAUAAGAAUAGCAAGCCACUUAUGGGAAUGGAAAUCAAUGCAGUUGUCCAAGACUAAUUUUGAUAAGGAACUGGUCAAUAAAUGUUUUACUGAUCCACCUGUACAGAAAAAUUUCAUUUUGCAAUUAAAUCCAGUAUAUAGCCGCUGUGCCACAUGUUAGCAAGAACCUGAGUCAAGCUCAUUCCUCCCUAAUACAGAUUAUUUCCUGCCUGAUAUAUCAUUUAUUUAAACAUUUAGUGCUCACCCCAGGCAAAACAUCCUGCGCGGCUUUCUGUAGAAGGAGUUCCAUUUCUUGAGCCUAUUGGGUCACGAAGCACCAAUUUCUUGUCAGACAAUUCAGAUUACAAAAGAAUUCUGAAAACCUUUUUUUAUGGGUUGAUCUCAUGCCGUGGGAUCCUCUGUUUGAUAACAUCAUAAUAUUUUAACCCCAACUGCUGUGAGUGUGUCAAUGAAUCUUCAUCCUUCAAAUCAUCUAAUGUGCGAUGUCCUUUCUCAAACAAUUUCAGUGCAGUAGGUGGACCUACGCCCCAUAUUUCCUCAAAUAAGCUGAUUGUUUUUACCUGCAAUUAACUAACAGAAGGUAGUACUGUCAGAAAUAAAGAACUGAGGUUAAGCCUCAUAAUCAGCUCAGAUACUGAGUUAUGUCGUUCAAACUAUGGUGAUUUAAAUAGGAUCUAAUAUCUACUUAUGAAAAAUAAAUACUAUACACAUUUAGAACAGUGUCAGGCUCAAAGCAAAUAGUGAACAUCAACAUAACAGAAAGAAGAACUCAAAGAUUAAAUUGGCAGUAGAAUGUUUAAAUCACAGUACAACUGAAAACCUUUCCAUUACCUUUUCAUCUGUUUCAAAGUGUUCCAGCUUGGAUAGCUUUCCCGUAGUAACUAUCUCCUGAAUCUGAAAUCAAGGAUGAAAAAACUACAGUUAUUUGGAGAAUUUGCCAGUCUGUGGAGAGGAGUUCAUGUACUCUCCCAGAAUAUGAACUAAAAUUUAACCUCUCAAAAUUGGCGGCAGGGAUUUUGUCCAAGGAGUGGAAGACGUCUUUGUGAACGCGGAAGAAGCGGAAGACGUGUUCGACGUCGGAGUGAUCGCCGGCGGCGGCAGAAAUGGUAGAGAGAGAAUAACCGUGCACUAUGCCAUAUACAUCAUCAGACGACAGUCCAAGUCUGUCGUCUAACAUUUUUUUUAUGUCGUCUGAGGAGCUGUCGAGUGAUGGUCUAUCAGACGACGGAGAAUAGCCGUCGUCUGAAACGCUAUCACACGACAUAUCUUAUGCCGUCUGAGAAUAGUGAAGAUUGAAAAAUUUCAGUAAACACACCACAGUUAAGUGUGGACUAAAUAAGCAUCCAAAAACUGUAAUAUCAUAUCACAAGACACAUCAAAUGUCGUCUGUUUUGUAUACCUACCACAUAUAAGUGUGGACUGAUUGGAGAAUAAUUUGAUUUAUUGGAUUUUUCUAUCAAAUCACACUUCAAUUAAGUGUUGAGUGUGUGAGCUUACAACGUCAAAAACUUGUAAUAUAUGUGGUUAUAUAGAAGAUCUAACCUCACUUAUCUGUUGUUUCACAUUGUAAACUAUUAGAAAUUUUUUUUGGUGCUUCUGUCAUACGAUAUUUAGUUGUAGUUGCAUUUGUAUUCAUACCACAUAUUUUUACUUUUCGACUUGGUAUUACCACAGUUAAUUGUCGACUGAAUGAAGCAUUAUCAUAGUUUGUUAUGAUUUUGUCGUGCCGAGGUCCUUUACUUGACAUAUAUAUGCCGUCUGAUUGAAGAAUUACAAAAAUUUAAUCUUGUGACUCCUUCUCAGUCCACAUAUAUAUGUUGAGGUAGCUUAUAUCCAUCAACAAUUUUUUUGUUUUAUGUUGUUACAUGACAUUUGGACCACAUAUAUAUGUAGGUUGAGGGAUAGCAAGUAAGUUUUUCCUACCCUAAGUCGACAUUUUAAUAGAGUUUGAUUCUGUAAAAUAUGUCGUCUAAUGCUCAAUUGCACUACAUUAUCAUGUUUUUUGGGAGUUUACAUAUGUUGUUUGAUUUAGUACGAGACGACACAUUUGUGUCUUUGGUUGCAUGAUGUUGCCUGUCUGUUUUGGCUCAAAAAGUACUAUUCAUAUGGUAAAACAACCUCAAUUUAGUACAAAAACCUGUGCAUUCUAAACCAUAUAUGCCAAUCAAACCUCACACAUUAUGAACCAUAAGGAAAUCAAGUUGCAUUAAACUUGUAGAUCAUAUUACUUAAAUUAAACAAAAGCCUUGUAGCCAUUUCUAAGUACACAACAUAUAUAAACAAAAAUAUAUGUUUGCGCGCAUAAGUAAAUUUGUUCAACAUAGAAUAACUUAGCUACCUAGUUGGCAUCAGACCCACAAAAUAGGCAUAUUAGUCAUAACUAUUUAUUAUGUUCCAAAGUUAUAAUGCAAUAAAGCAGCACACCUAUGUAUGAGCUAUACUACCAUAAACCAACAUCAAGUCUGAUUUUACUAGUCUGGAAACUGUAGCACAUGCUCUGCCCACUCUCCUUGAAUUUCAUCAAUUUCCUCGGCUGUGUAAGUCAGACCAGCCCUAGUUCCCCACUGAAAGCAAAUGUAGCAUACAUAAUGAGUUUCCAGUGUACGUAUCAUCAGAAAAUACGUAAAUUAACUAAAUAACAGUGUCAGCAUUAUAAAAAGUGCCAAUAAAAAAAAAGUGCCAAAUAGCUGAUGUAUUGUUGGAAUAUAAUCGCAUCCAUUCCACUGCCAGGUUUAUCCAUAUAAAUACAUAAAUGUGAAGACACAAGUAUAUAUAAAGUUUAUAUGUGGUUCCUAAAUCUCACCAUCCUAUGGAUUUACAUAAACAUACUAGUUCCAAGAGCUAGCUAAUUCAUAAAAACUUAAAUCACCAAUGUCCAUCACUUAUAAGCAGGUCAUGAUUAAUCUACAAAAUUGUAGUACCUUUUUAUCAAGGUCAAUGUUGUUGUCCUCCACAAUUUCCUUCAUGUAGCGCAUGACGUAAUAUCCACAACUCACAUCAUCUUUUUGUAUCGGAGCACCCUGAAAAUUAUGAAUCAGGCUUAUCAAACAGAAACAAAAAUCAAAUUAUACUGUAAAAUUAUACACUACUAAGUUUUAAAAUGCUUACAAGUAGAGGUUUCCAAGGAGAUGCUUUCUUCUUUCCAGGCUGCUUCUUCAGUAGGCCUUUGUACAUUUUUAUGGAGCUUCCAACAGAAAAAAUAAUAGUUAGCAUCUUCAUGGCUAAACUAAUCAAUGAGUAAUACUAAAAGGCUAGACCAUAUAGGAAAACUAGCACACACUUACUCAGUGACAAUAGCAGGCCAUUCACUUCCAUACAGGCGCCUUUUCAGUGGAUCCAUAUAGCGUGCGGUUUCCAAUUCCGUGUUCACAAUCGUCAAGGUCCAGUGUUGACUAUGCAAUAACAUACAAUGUCAUCCCAGAUGUUUGUCUUAAGCACUAAAUCAUUUGUACCCACAAAAUCUAGUUCAUUGUUACGUACCUUGUGUUAUAUGGAAUCAAAUAGAUCUGCCCAGGCUUCCCAUUCUUGUACAUAACGGACAAAUCACGAGACCUCGCUGUGGGAGUUCCACUUCCAAUUGCACUGACUUUAUCAGAGUCGACAAACCGUAUCAUAUCCUCCAUCUUGUUCUGCUUUAACACUUUAUUCAAGUAGCUACAAACACAUAUUGCAACAUAAAAUGAUGAUAACUACUUCAAAAUAAACAAAGAAACAUGCUUCAUAAUUCAGCCGCAUAAUCCAUUAUGAAAUAUAAGAACCAGUAAACAAGUAUAAUAAUUUACCUCAUGUAGAAGAAAAGAGCACUGUUCGAUACUUCUUUCUUGUGGGCUAUGGCGUAAACAUCAGCUCUGCAUAUAUAUGCUUUCUUUGGAUGUCCAAAAAGAUCUUCUUGAAACACAGUGUUCACUGUCUUCCCUUCCUCAAGAAAAGUGUUUGCCCAAUUGCAUAAGUCAAUCAAUGCCUUCGGCAGAUUCGGGGGCAAAUUAUCUAGAUCUUCAUUGUCCUGAAUGCGUUGAAUUGGUUUCUUCCUACCAUAACCACGUUUUGGUUUCUUGUUUUGCAAAAUUAAGAGAAAAUGCAUGUUAGCAACUUAAAUAAGGAAUUAAAACAUGAACUAUUGUCAAAAAAACUCAAAUAUAAUUGCACAUAAUAAAGUACAUCAAACAUAUAUAUUGCAGUACCUUUGUUUCAGUUGUUGCAGUAACAGCCUUUGCUCCAUGUGUAACAACCAGGUCCUUAGGCCAGGCAACACAGCUCCUAACCGUAUCGUCCACGGUUAAAAUCUCAUCCCUCACUGGAAUCGGUACCAGGGCAUCACCUUCAAUAGCCCAUAUAACUGAAACGCGCAUGUUGUUUUCGCCCAAUGGCACACCAUGUAGUAGCUGAUUGCUUGACUCACCACCGACAUCAAUGACUUUUGCAAUGGCAACUAUAUUUUCCAUCGUAUCUACUGCCAGUCGACACUCAUUUUCAUCACAAGUCAAAUCCUAACACAAACAAUGGAAAAAUAAAAAUUACUUAAAUUUUAUUCGUUUAAUUCAUAGCUGGCAGUAAAGCCUAAUGAUGGAAACAGAGAGGAGUUAAAGGAGAAAAGAGUUAAAUUACCAGAGCAAUAUAAUUUGCAGCCUUUGGAGCAAAGUCUGUAACCUCAUCCAAGUCCAUUGUUGUUUCUUCAUUCUGCUUAGGGUCAGGUACUUCAUGGGGGUCAAUCGCAUCCUCCAAGUACUUCUCAGCAUCUAAAUUCAAUCUCUUCUUGACCGAGCUGAGCUCAGCAUUUAUUUCCGUCGCCAUUUGAACCUUCUCGAAAUUGGGAUUGCAGCUCCCAUUCCCUGAAUUGAGUUCGUUCACUGGUGUAACAGGUGUAGGGAUUUGCACACCGGUAGACUGCAACCUUCCCAACAGUGACUCAAACUAAGCUUUCCAUUUUUCAUCAAGUUUCUGUAUCCUUUUUUCAGUUUCCUCCUCCCAUUUUGCUUUUUGUUCUGCCAUAAACUCCUCUUGCUCCUCCUCCAAUAUAAGCCUUAUACUUUUCCUGGUUGCCUGAGAACCACCACCUCUUUUUCGCUUUAUUGGCAAGUCAAAGACGACAUCAGGUCGAACAAAACCCCCAACUCCUCUUACCCUACCGGGAUGCUCUGGUUUCUUCAAUGCUAAGGUGAGGACAUCUGUUGACCCAACUGUGGUAAGUGAUCCCUCAGAUUCUGUUUUUUAAGGUUUACCUGAAACAAAAGCUUAACAUUAAACAUACAACAUAAACAACUAAUAUUAAAUUUUCAUACUCCUUUGAACAAUGGUAAAUUACUGAGUGAUUCUAACAGGACUUACAAUCCUUUUGGCCGUGUUCGCCACCUCAGGUGAUGAGAAGUUACCAUCCUUGUCAGAAUGUGCAUUCAGCCACAUUCUGGCACGGUCCAGCAUCUCAAUUGGGACUCCCACCUUCUGAGCCUGCAACAAUAUAACAAAGCAGAAUCAUGUUAGAAGUAGAACACAUUUUGAUUAAGGAAAAAAUAUUUGCUAUCAACCAAAACUUACCAAUUCCACUCUUGAUUGAGCAUAUCCUUUACGUGACAUCCUGUGAUUGUACUUGUUAAGCUUUCUCUUUGCACUUUGAACUCCCCGCAGUUCCUACGAAGCAUAGAAUUCAUGAACCACAAUGUUAACAUUUUAUUGGUUAUAAGCCAUCUUAAACAACAAGGUGGACAUAAAAACAUGUUAACAAACCUUAAAUUCUUCACUAAUCCUAUCUUCCACAAAAAGCGACCAAUGCAACUUGGGGAUGCAUCGAUAAUCAUCAAGAGGAUUUUCCAACUUCUCGGGACUGUCCUUGAAUGGCAUAACGUAGUGAGUGGUUAGUGUGCUCUUGAAUUCCCGCCAUUUGGUUGAAGCAAAUUUAAGGACAAAUCUUCUACAUUGCUGAGGGAUCACAUAAGCCUCCUACAUAAAACAAGAGAAAAAUAAUAGUCAAGACCUAUAUAACUCAUUAAGUCGAUGAAAAAAAAAUUACCUGAAUUGCUUCCCAUAUCUUCUCUUUAGGUUCAUCAUCCACAUUCCUCCAAUCAUCAAAGAUGAUGGAGAUCGUCGUACGUGCUAAGACCCCAAUGUACCAUUGCAUAUCUGUAGCAUUUUUACCUAUUGGUGUCCCCCUGUCAUCAGAUUCUAUGGGAAGCUUGAUCCCUCUGAUCAGUCGCUUUGUUACUCUUGCCAUAGUGACCAUCGGUCUGGAUAGUAAUCGCAGACCUCCAGUAAUAUUGGGGGUUUCCGCAUGAGGAAUUUAUUCUUUCUUCUUUCUGAUCGACUUUGCACUGGUUGAAACUGAACUAGACUUGGCCUUCCGGCUAUACUUCAUCUUCUUCGGGGCUGACACUGCUUCAUCACUUGGAGUUGCAUUUUUCUCAAGGGUGGCAUCCGCUUGAGGAGAAGUACGUAAAGUCUUCCCAGAAUCCAAGGUUGCUGUACCGAAAACUGCAGCCUUCUUCAGUUGUCGCACAACAUCGAUUCUUCUAGCAAUAUCAGCUGCAUUCUUUUAUGCAGAAGUAGACGCUGCUGGAAUACUAUCAUAAGCUAUAGCCGGCUUUUGUCGCGUCGCCUUGAUUCUGGAAGCAAUAACUUCUGCAGCUGCCCGUUUUUUUUGUCCCUUCUUUGAACCUAAAGAGUUAAGACCUUUCCUUGCUGGUGCCAUUACGUGAAACCCAUUUAAAAAAGAUUGGUCAGCUAGCAUACUGAGGUUAAAAAAGAAGAACAAUAAUGUCGAGAAAAAUAGGACAAUACAGAAAAACACACUCUUCAUAAUUAAGGCAACAAUGUUAUGUGUUAAAAAAAAUAUAUCAAUCACAUUUCAAACAAAACAUCCAACAAAACAUCAGACUGUUGUUCUAUUAACUUCAAUUAUAUAAAGAUUACAGUCCUAUUAGCUAGCAUUCCAUUCAUUGCCUUCAAAUUCACUAUUAACGUGACCAGGUAAGCUACUAUUAUCUAUCCAUAUUCCUUCAUUGCCAUCACGCAUAUGUCUGGUAGGGUGAUUCUCAUCUACAUCAUCAAAUGUGUCAACUGAUGGCAUUGCUGGAAUGAAUGAUUGUUCAUCUGUGUCUUCAACCUCAUCGUCAUCAUCAACCUCAUGGUAGUCUAUAUUCGGGCACCUCAUGACUACUGACCAUUCCGCAUCUAGGGGAUCCUCAAUAUAAAAUAUUUGUUUCACAUGUGUAGCUAACACAAAAGGAUCGUUUAAAUGUCCUAACCUAUUCAGUUUCACCAACGUAAACCCAAGUUCGUCUACUUUGACGGCUCUAGUACUCUCUACCCAAUCACAGUGGAACACAGGAACCCUAAACUUAUAGUAGUCCACCUCCCAUAUACUUCUAAUAACUCCAUAGAAGUCCAUAGCACCGUCGGAUGGAUUUUGAUCCCUCGCACUUGCAACUUGCAUUGCAUUGGCAAGCAAUGUUACACUGCUGUUUUGAAAUGAUCGAACGCAGUCUCUCUUUGGUGUUGUAGUCAACUCCAUUGACAUGGUAAGCGGCAUAGGUUGGCACUUGAUUUUUGGGACCAGCAGCCAUCCACCUUAAUGUUUGUGAAACUUUAUCGGAUUUCAGCCUCAAUUGAUUUGCAACCUGCCACGACGAUUGUUCAUUAAAAAAGGAGGAAGCCUAUGUGACAUACAUUUUCAAUUUUUGUAAAAUAACACUUGUACCAUCACAUAGUAUAUAAUUUCACUUACCCUUUCUUUUAACCAGUCUGGAAAUGUUGCAUUAUGUUUUUCCCUCAUCCACUUCUUGUUCUUCACGUUAUUUGGGUAAAUCAACUCCAAAUAUUCAUUGUGCUCCCUAGACCGAAGAACAAGGAAAACCAUUAAGCUCUGAAAAACUUUAAAGUUAAAGGGUAUUGAAAUAUAAAAAAUUAAAAAAGGCUAAUGUGUAUACUUACUUGAUGUAGGGCUGGACGUCUUCAGUAUUUUGUAAGACACAAAGGUGUGCAAGAUGCAUCUGCUUUCCGUACACAGGUAUGAUAGUUGGCCGUGAUAAGGGCCUGCUCUGUUUGUAGUUUCCAGCUUUGCUUGUCGAAGGAAUUCCCACAGUGAUACCACCUUCAGAAUGGAUACGCUCUUCUAAAUACUCUACAGCUUCUUCAACAAUAUACUUCUCAGCCAUGCAGCCCUCAGGAAAAUGUCGAUUUUUAACAUACCCUUUGAGUACUUUCAUGUACCUCUCGAAUGGGAACAUCCAUCGGAAAAACACAGGGCCACACCAUUCAACUUCUCUAACAAGAUGUACUGUUAGAUGAAUCAUAAUAUCGAAAAAUGAAGGUGGGAAUAAUUUUUCAAGCAAACAAACAGUAUCAACCAGAUCUGCUUGCAUUUGUUUAAGUCUAGAAACAUCUAUGACUUUACUACAAAUUGCCUUAAAAAACAGGAAGAACUGAAUAAUGGCAUACCUAACAAGCUUCUCUAGAACUGAUCUUAAUGCAAUGGGGAGUAGGUACUGCAUCACUGUGUGGCAGUCAUGUGACUUAAGACCGACCAGUUUUAAAUCUUCCAUGGAGACCAGAUUACUAAUAUUUGAGGAGAAGCAUGUAGGAACUGACAUUCCAAAAAAGGAUCGGCAAACUAUUUUUUUCUCAUGAUGCAGCAAAUUCCAACUAGCCAAAGGCUACUUGGCCUUUUUCUCCCCAGCUACCACUUUCAAGUCAGUUUUGAUGCCCAUAUCGACCAUGUCCAAACGGUAAGCAGCUCCAUCCUUUGUCUUACCAGGAAUAUUCAAGAGGGUCCCAAUUAUGGCAUCGCAACAAUUCUUCUCAAUGUGCAUCACAUCAAGAAUAUGGCGCACUGGAAUAUAUUUCCAGUAUUCAAGUUCAAAGAACACGCUUUUUUUUUUCCAGCAAGGUCUGGGUUGAUCACCUCGCUUGGCAGGCUUUUGAGUUUUUCCAAACUCAUGAGGCAGUCCUUCAACCCUUGCCAGAACCUCUUCUCCACUUAAUGGUUCAGGGGCGACUUCAUUCUCAAUCGUGUUGUCAAAUGCUGCAGCCUGCUUUCGGUAUGGAUGAUUUCUACGCAAGAAUCGGCGAUUCUUCAAAAACACCAUUUUCUUACAAUGUUUCAGCCUAAUGGGUUUGGUUUCAUCAACACAGAUAAGACAAACAUUAUAUCCUUUGGUGACACUACUCGAAAGGUUCCCAUACGCAGGAAAGUCAUUUAUAAUCCAAAAUAGGACUGCCUUCAAUGUGAAGGUCUCUUCUCUCACAGAGUCAUACACACAUUCAACCCCCUGCCACAGUAACUUCAAAUCGUCUAUCAACGGUUGUAGAUAGACAUCGAUAUCUUUCCCGGGCCGUUUCGGUCCAGAUAUCAACAAGGACAACAUCAUGAACUUCCUCUUCGUGCAUAACCAAGGAGGAAGGUUAUAUGUGACCAGAAUAACUGGCCAACAAGAGUAUUUGCUGCUUAAAGCAGCGUAAGGAUUAAAUCCAUCAGACGAAAGGGCUAAUCGAAGGUUCCUAGGUUCUUUCCCAAAUUCUGGCCACUGUGUGUCAACCAAUUUCCAAGUCGGUGAAUCAGCUGGAUGCCGCAUCAUGCCAUCUUUUUUCCUAUCGCCAUGCCAAGUCAAGGACUUAGCUGUCCUUGGAGAUUGGAACAUCCUUUUGAAUCUCGGUAUUAUAGGGAAGUACAACAAAACCUUUGCAGCAACCCCAUCCCUCACAACUCCGUUCUUUCCAAUCUUAUACCGCAAAGUAGUACAUGUUGGACCUACUUCAGCUUCAUGAUGGUCCCCUCUAUAUAGAAUGCAAUCAUUUGGACAUGCAUGAAUUUUUUCAUACCCCAUCCCCAAUAAACUGAGUGUUUUCUUUGCCUCACCUAUAUUGCAAGGUAUUUCAUUCCCAUCGGGAAGGAAGGACUCAAACAACAUUAGCCAAUCGGAAAUACAACCAUCAUAUUCUGUUCUUUGCUUUCAAAUUGAACAUUUCUACAAGAGCGUUCAAUUUUGUCAACUUUGUACACCCAGGGUAUAAAGCUUUAUCUCCAUCUUCUACCAGCCUAAGGAACUCAUCUGAGUCACAAGACAUCUCCUCAUCCUCAUCUUCUUCACCCUUAUUUUCUUCACCCUCUAUAUCCUCCGGCUUAUCUACUGAUUCAGAAUCUCCGCCACUAUCGCCCUCCACGGCAGCAGCUUCACCAUGACAGUCCCAAUUUUUGUAAUUGGUCAUGAUGCCAUUAAAAUAUACAUGGCCCUUGAUGACAACAACGGUAAAUCCACUGUGAUUACAGCACUUCAUACAAGGGUAGCAUAUGCUUGAUUUGUCGGCAGCAUUUGCUGACGCAAAUUUGAGGAAAUUUUCAAACCCAGUUUGAAACCUCGAAGAUCUUCUAUCAGCGAGCAUCCAAGUUUUUUCCAUCUUAUAUAAACACAUAAAAAUGGAAUAAUAACUAGUUUAAUAACCAAUCACAAUCAUUAAAAAUAAAUUGAGGAUCAAGAUAAACACUUGUACUAACAUCAUAAUAACCACAAUCACAACAUGCGCAUAAAAACAGAAAAAUAACUACAACACUUAGGUACUGGAGCAGAGGACUGAAACAGCUACCCAAGUCGAGGUCAUGCUUAAGGCUAGUGUUUUCAGUUCAAAUCAGUAACAAACACUUCAACUAUUAACAACUUGAACAAACAAGAUAAACAAUCACAAGCAUAACAAUAAUAAAUACAGGAAUUCUAAUUAAAAAGCUAAACAAACGAGCAAACUGGCUUACUUCAAUUUGGAUACCUCCACUUCAACUGAAAACCACUUCAACCGCUAGCCUACUUCACUCCAAACUGUCACUGAACAAGAACAAUUGAAUUUCCAAUCAAUCACUAUCAACUCAAAGAAAUCUGAUCUAUACAUAUCAGACCAAUACAUAUAAAUAUUUGACCAAGUAAACAUCUCAGGAUAGAAGAAUCUAACAACAUGCUGCAACUAAUAAGUUCUAAUAGCUCAACAUAAUUAGAAUCUAGAUUACAUAAUAGCAUCUAAAAGUUUGUUUGAUCAAUCAGACUGGGCCAUCAAAUAGAAGAAAAAAAAAAUGAAAACGCUUAUACAUCAUCAAGUUUCUUGUGAUUCAACUUUUCAAACAAACAUAUUGCAAUUAGUACUAGCAUCAAUGAAAGCAUUUUAUCAAUCUACUGUCUGUUUCGUUAAAGUAUUAUACUAGAUCAAUUGAGAAAGAGAAAGAAAGUCAGAUACCCAUUCUCAGCGUAUGUAAUUCCCAGAAUCCCAGACCCAGAAAAAUAAGAGACUAACACACAACAUAUAACAGAUCAAUUGAGCAAAAACCCAUCAUUCAUCACCUUUCGAAAGCAAAAUUUCAUAGAGAGAGAACAAUCCAAAUAAAUUAACCAAGAUGUAAUCAAUAAUCAUACCCACAGGAAAGUAUCCUGCUUAAUUCCUUUUGCUUCCAAACACAGGAAAGUAAAGACUUUCCUUUCCCAAGGUUUUGAUUCCAUGAACCAAACACAGCCUAUAAGAAAGAGACUAGGUUACCUGAUUGUGAGAGAAAACAUGUUGUUGUGUUCGAGAGAGACAGAGAGNNNNNNNNNNNNNNNNNNNNNNNNNNNNNNNNNNNNNNNNNNNNNNNNNNNNNNNNNNNNNNNNNNNNNNNNNNNNNNNNNNNNNNNNNNNNNNNNNNNNNNNNNNNNNNNNNNNNNNNNNNNNNNNNNNNNNNNNNNNNNNNNNNNNNNNNNNNNNNNNNNNNNNNNNNAAGUGCUUUGUAAACAUACAUCUUUAUAAGACAACUAUAUGCAAGAAACAAAAUUUACCUAAUCUAACCAUUAGAUAUGAUCGCAGUACUUAAAUAUGUAUGUGGAAGAAAAUUUAUCCAUUUUCGAUAACUUAUAAGUCUCGAUCAUUAGAGUCAACUUCAUAUAUACAUAAACUUUCUUAUAGCUUCCGCAAGAAGUACAUAAUCGUUUCAUCAAAGUGUCCAAACUAUUACAUAGAUCUAUUUUCCUACUCUUAACAAGAGUUUGAGUACCGGCUAAUCAAAAGUAUAAGUUUUGGUCGGAGGAGAUAAGAGCGUUUCCGUUUGGAAAAUAUGCACAAUUUAUGUUGACCACUUAUUUACAACAUUAGACGACAUAUAAUCGCCGUCUCACAUUGAAGAAAAGAGAGGGAAAAUUUCGGCGCCCAAAUUCAAAUAUUUCAGGUCCAGACGACUAUUUUUAUGUUGUGCGAUGAAUACAUUAAGGUUGGCGCCCUCUCCCAAACUCAAAUGAAUUUGAAUAUUUCAAGUUCAUACAGACGACAUAUUAACCUCGUCUGAUGAAUAGAUUAAUAGGUUGAGCCCUUUUUCAAACUUAUAUAUCAGGUUCCCACAGACGACAUUUAUAUGUCGUCUUAUUAAAUACAAUAAAAGGUAACCAAACUCAAUAUUUAAUUAUAAAUUGAGUAUUUUAGGGUCAGAGAGACCACUUUCAUAUGUCGUCUAAAGUUAUACAUUACAAAGUUCGUACACUCAAUUUUAUGGGUUUGUUAGACGUCAUUUGUUUGUCGUCUGAAUAAGUGAAUUUAAGGGUUCAAAAUGGAGGUAUAAAUCAAAGAUUUAUGGUUUUUUCAGAUGACAUUAAUAUGUUGUUGGAUGAAGUACAUAAAAAGGGGAUUAAAAGUAGAUUUCGCAUUCUUUCACAGACAACUUUUAUAUGUUGUCCGACGUAUUAUCAUAAAGUUGCUAAAUGUUGCUUUUUUACACUGUAUAUAUAUGCCGUCUGAAAUUUAGCAUAUCACAGACAAAUUGAGCAACAUCCAGAAGUAUGAAGGGAGCAUGGCACUCAUACGACUUAUACUUCACAAAUGUCGUCUGAAGGGUCGAAAAAUUAAUCAGACGACAUAAACUCAAAAUCGUCCAAAAUAUGUCGUCUGAAAAGUGUCGUCUGAUGAUGUAUAUGGCCUAAUGGUGGUGAGUGAGUGAUUGAAUAAGAUUGUUGUAUUGGGAUUUAAGCGGAGAUUCAACGACUUACCCAUAAAUUCAACUGCGAUUGUAAACCAAGCUUUGCGUAUUCACCCUCUCUCUCCGAUUCAAGCUUUCUUUCUUCUCCGAUUGCCUCUCUCUCUCUAUCUAUCUUCUCUGAUCGCCUAAACCGGUGUGGAAGGUAUUGUUUAUUUUUUCUUCUGGCGUGUCCUGUCUAUUGUUGAAGAGAGGGCAAAUCAGGCAAUACAGGUAAAAUGGCAUAAACGUAAAAAAUGAAGAAAAGCAAGGACAGAAGGGCGACGACACUGUUCAGUGAACAGUAAUAGACCCAUCCACUUAAUAUAUAGAGACUAGAAAGAUACCCGUGCGUUGCUACGGGAUUUCUUGUCAACAAAAUUUGUAUUCUACAUAAUGGAAUAGGCAGAAAUUUAAGAAUAUGGUUACUGAAAAUAGUCAAUUCUAAGGAAUUAAAAGAAGAGCCACUAUCGUAUCAUGUUCAGUUAAAAUGAUGAAUUAAUAUGCUGCUUCACUCUAUACAUGUAUAGAAAAUAAUUGGAGUUUCAGAGUGAUACUACCUAGUUGAGUUUAACUAACCUAUAUAAAUAUAUACAUGAUGCAAGCCUAAACCCAAAUCCAAUGACAUAUGCUCAUUCUUUAUUUCUCUAUGUCCAUCAUAAAGUAUGUAUCCACAAUGCUAGUCUACAUUUUUACCUGCACAUAUGCUGAUAGCCAGGUGAAUACAUUAUACUAGAAGUUUAGCAGCGUUGAUCACUAUACAAAGUGAAUGUAAAUCAUAUAUUACUGGAAACCAAUACAUGUUUUGAGGAGGGACCUAGCUUCUCUGUUUGGACAAGCAGAGCUUAGAUCUGCUUGGAUUUUAAGGAGAGCAUGACACGUCAGCUUAAUAAAAUCAAACGGCUGAAACUAAAUAUCUUGGACAUCCCAUCUUCUCAAAGUUAUAGCAGAUCUAUCUCCUCUUCUUCAUCGUCUCUUUCCAUUUCAUCAUCUCUCUGUCUUCUUCAUCUUAUUUUGAGCGAGUCCUUUUUCUUCAUCUUUAGUUUCGACAUUCAUAAUUCAACAAUAGCUAUUAGCUAUGCCAUAUUUAUGGUAAGCCCCAAUUUCUUAUCAUUUGAUUGUAGUGUUAAGACCUGGGUUUCUUAUCCACUCUUUACUUCAAUCAUACCUUUUGUUUCCAUGAUUCUGGUCACCUAUAUCGAAAUGGUCAUGCACAAUUAUCUGUGUAUUGAUGAUGUUAAGGGCCAGUACUAUAUCUUUCAUUUGUCAUCUGGGUACAUUGAUUUCAUGUAAAAAAUUGGUGCUUUUUGUGAUCUGGGUCCGAGCUUGAACUUGGGAGAGAGGAGUUAGAUAUGAGCAUGUUGGAAUCGGCGAACGAGCUGUAGAGAGAGCAUUGUCUUUGGUCUGCAUGAGCUUAGUCUUGCGGUUGCAGUAAUAAAACUCGAGAAGGCGGCGGAGAGGCGCGGUAGAGUGGCGGCGGCGAAGUUCAUACAGUCGCAGGAGAAGCAAAGUGUUAAGAAUUCCUAUGCAUUUUGUAUUCUCCUCCCUGUGCUCUUGAAUUAAAUGUGGACUGAGAUGAAGAAGAGAGAUGAACAUGGAAGAGAGAGAACAUCGGAGUAGGAGGGAGAAAAGAGGGGGAGAGAGAGAGGAGGAAGAAGAGAUCCUGAUCCAGUAUUGGUUUGUGAUAGCCAGGGCCUUGUAAGUCUUUAUUGUGAACCAUCAGAUUCCCUCAUGCUAACGUGGCACAAUCUCUUAACAAUCCAAGCAAAUCCGAGCAAUGGCUCUCCAAGCAAAGCCAAGUCUUUUGAGGAGACUAUGACAUAUCCUCAUUAAAGCUAGUGCAUCACCAUUAACUCAAAUGAAAAGUAUAUUGUAUUGAGUAAGCUAUUCAGACCCAACAAAAAAAAAAAAACAACAGAGCAAUAAUGACACGACCCACCCCGAAUUUCACCCUGAAACCCAGAGUAAGUCGUGCGGGGACCACCUCCAAGGAAAAUUUACUGAAAAGAUUAAGAAAAUCUCCCUUGCAGAUGGACAACCCUAACUCGAAAAUUUCAUAUUACACUCUUAAUUUAACGCUUCUGAAUAUCACAUAAUAUACAAAAUUCUAAAGUAUUCAGAGCUACUAAACACAAGCGGAAGCAAGAAAACACAAGUAGGUUGAACAUGUAACCUACUGAUGAAAACUGGCCGAAAAGCGGGUGACUAUGCCUCGUCUCCUACUAGAUCCAACCCGAACUCUGCAGACUGGGCAAUUUAAAACGAAGGGCCCAGGAGAAAACAUUUAAUAACGUUAGAGUGAGUAGGACAAAAAUAAUUAAUAAUUAAAUANNNNNNNNNNNNNNNNNNNNNNNNNNNNNNNNNNNNNNNNNNNNNNNNNNNNNNNNNNNNNNNNNNNNNNNNNNNNNNNNNNNNNNNNNNNNNNNNNNNNNNNNNNNNNNNNNNNNNNNNNNNNNNNNNNNNNNNNNNNNNNNNNNNNNNNNNNNNNNNNNNNNNNNNNNNNNNNNNNNNNNNNNNNNNNNNNNNNNNNNNNNNNNNNNNNNNNNNNNNNNNNNNNNNNNNNNNNNNNNNNNNNNNNNNNNNNNNNNNNNNNNNNNNNNNNNNNNNNNNNNNNNNNNNNNNNNNNNNNNNNNNNNNNNNNNNNNNNNNNNNNNNNNNNNNNNNNNNNNNNNNNNNNNNNNNNNNNNNNNNNNNNNNNNNNNNNNNNNNNNNNNNNNNNNNNNNNNNNNNNNNNNNNNNNNNNNNNNNNNNNNNNNNNNNNNNNNNNNNNNNNNNNNNNNNNNNNNNNNNNNNNNNNNNNNNNNNNNNNNNNNNNNNNNNNNNNNNNNNNNNNNNNNNNNNNNNNNNNNNNNNNNNNNNNNNNNNNNNNNNNNNNNNNNNNNNNNNNNNNNNNNNNNNNNNNNNNNNNNNNNNNNNNNNNNNNNNNNNNNNNNNNNNNNNNNNNNNNNNNNNNNNNNNNNNNNNNNNNNNNNNNNNNNNNNNNNNNNNNNNNNNNNNNNNNNNNNNNNNNNNNNNNNNNNNNNNNNNNNNNNNNNNNNNNNNNNNNNNNNNNNNNNNNNNNNNNNNNNNNNNNNNNNNNNNNNNNNNNNNNNNNNNNNNNNNNNNNNNNNNNNNNNNNNNNNNNNNNNNNNNNNNNNNNNNNNNNNNNNNNNNNNNNNNNNNNNNNNNNNNNNNNNNNNNNNNNNNNNNNNNNNNNNNNNNNNNNNNNNNNNNNNNNNNNNNNNNNNNNNNNNNNNNNNNNNNNNNNNNNNNNNNNNNNNNNNNNNNNNNNNNNNNNNNNNNNNNNNNNNNNNNNNNNNNNNNNNNNNNNNNNNNNNNNNNNNNNNNNNNNNNNNNNNNNNNNNNNNNNNNNNNNNNNNNNNNNNNNNNNNNNNNNNNNNNNNNNNNNNNNNNNNNNNNNNNNNNNNNNNNNNNNNNNNNNNNNNNNNNNNNNNNNNNNNNNNNNNNNNNNNNNNNNNNNNNNNNNNNNNNNNNNNNNNNNNNNNNNNNNNNNNNNNNNNNNNNNNNNNNNNNNNNNNNNNNNNNNNNNNNNNNNNNNNNNNNNNNNNNNNNNNNNNNNNNNNNNNNNNNNNNNNNNNNNNNNNNNNNNNNNNNNNNNNNNNNNNNNNNNNNNNNNNNNNNNNNNNNNNNNNNNNNNNNNNNNNNNNNNNNNNNNNNNNNNNNNNNNNNNNNNNNNNNNNNNNNNNNNNNNNNNNNNNNNNNNNNNNNNNNNNNNNNNNNNNNNNNNNNNNNNNNNNNNNNNNNNNNNNNNNNNNNNNNNNNNNNNNNNNNNNNNNNNNNNNNNNNNNNNNNNNNNNNNNNNNNNNNNNNNNNNNNNNNNNNNNNNNNNNNNNNNNNNNNNNNNNNNNNNNNNNNNNNNNNNNNNNNNNNNNNNNNNNNNNNNNNNNNNNNNNNNNNNNNNNNNNNNNNNNNNNNNNNNNNNNNNNNNNNNNNNNNNNNNNNNNNNNNNNNNNNNNNNNNNNNNNNNNNNNNNNNNNNNNNNGGAGACCGACCGAACGGGACCGGUCCGGCGGCGAACGGAGGUCGGACGGCGGCGGGAGGACGGCCGGAAUUCUGCUGGGUGUAGAGAGGGGAAAACCGGGUGAGAAGAGAAGAAAAAUCGGGAGGGAGGGAGAAGAGAAAGAAGAAGAAAUGGGUUGGGCUCGGCCCAGCCGACCCAACACCCCUUUUAACCCAUAAUUCCAAAAUUCAACACCCCGAAAAAAUAAUACCCGAAUAAAAAUUACCGUUUACUAGCUAAAAUUUACUAUUUUUACCGUCGCCGUAUAAUCCCCAUACGAAUUAUCCUCCGCACAUAAUCGUCCCCGAAACCCCUCUAGGGACCAAUUAAACUAUUUACUCAAUGAUCGAGACGGUAAAAUUCUUAUUAUAAUCACGCUAGUAAAUAAGGUAAAAAUAUAAGGGUCGGGAUGUGACAAAUAAUCUCAUUUUACUAUAUAUUCUUAAUGUCUGUCACAAACCACACUAAAGAGUAGACCAUAUAUGUAGUAAGAAACAUUACUACUCUAGGACACAUACCCUCUUGUUAUAUAUUUUAAUUUCUUGAUAUAUGUGGUAUCUAUUUUAGCAUUUUGACCAAAGCCAGCUAAGUUUACAUAAGGAAGCAAAAGAAUUAAAUGAGGUCUAUUAAGGAAUUUAUAUCCAUACGUCAAUUAUCUACUGUCUCGGUAUCUUUAAUUAUUUGUCAUCUCAAUACCCCAUCUCUAUAUUGUUGUAAAUGUAUUUCUCAUUCUAGUGUUACACCUUUAAGAUUUAAGAAUCUAUGAUAACUUGUAAUCCCCAUAGUCCCGGUCUAUCUAUGAAAUUAUGAACUUUAUCAGAAAGUCCUUCAAUUACAAGUUCUAGCAGAGCUCAAUCUUUUGCUUAUCGCAAAAUGCAAGAGACUUCAACUGAAAAUCAAUGAAAACCCUAUAGAUUUAUAUAUAAACCCUACAGAUCUAUAUAUAAAAGAAGGAAACAUAAGAAAAGACUAAUAAAAGUGCAUAUAUACUCCACAUAACAAACAAAGAAAGUCAAGCAACCACAAAAGCAACAAAAUUGAGACCAGUAGUUACUAAGACUCCACAUUUUGUUUCAUUUUGAAUAAUCAAACUCCACAUAAAUCUCCAAACUGAUAAUUUCCUACAGUAAACAUACAUAAAGACUUUACCUCUGUUUUAUUUGCAAUAUUUAGAUCUUUUCUGGCAAGAGUUCUUAUGACUAUCUUUGGAUCGUUGCAAUUUUUCUCAAGAAUUUGAUGAGUCAGUAUUAUAUUUAUUUUUCAGUUUUGUAUUUAUCUCUGCAAGAUAUCAAACAAAUAUAUAAACAUUUUCACUGGAGAUAAAAACUAUCAAAUGUCAUAUCCACAGCUUAUUGCUUCUAUUUUAACAAAAAAAAACACUAUUUCUAAUGGCUGGUCAAAAAACACUCAAGUCUGAGUUAUGCCUGAAUAUCGCCUAAAUUCAAAUUAUGGUGAGACCUUCUUAUCAACUUGAGGACUUUAGGUAACUGCAAACGAAAAUUUCAGGUGAGAUUUUCUUAUCAUUAUAAAAGUGUAAAUUAUAACAGUCUCAAUUGUGUAAACAUCUUCUACAAUUUAUAUAAAAAAAAACAUUAAAAAAAAACUCCAACACCUAGGCCAACACUGUUCACGUGAACAGUGAUUAUGAACAGUCUAUGAACAGUGUAUGAAAAAUAGUAUAUGUUAGAUGGAUUAUUAGAGCCAUGCAAUACGAGUCACUAGUAGAAAAAAAGGCUUAAGCGACGGGUAAAUUCACAUUUCGUCGCUUAAGAAAAUCCUAAGCGACGAAAAUAAAUAUCGUCGCUAGAAAUACAUUUUUCGUCGCUACAAUUUCCUAGGGCGACGAAAUGUUUUUGUCGCCUUAGUUUCGUCGCCACAUGUCCCACUAAGGCGACAAUAAGGUUUUUGUCGCAAACGGUUCAUGGAGCGACGAAAAUGUUAACACUUAAGCGACGAAACUAUUUGUCACGUGAUAUCCUUCACCUAACCGACAAAUUAACGUUUCGUCGUCUUAGGCGUACACUAAAGCGACGAAAUAUUUGACAUUAGAGCGACGAAACUGUGUGUUGCAUCAUAUUCUUCACUUAACCGACGAAUUUAUGUUUCGUCAUCUUAGGUUUACACUAAAGCGACGAAAUAUUUUACAUUAGAGCGGCGAAACUGUUUGUCGCAUCUUAUCCUUCACUUAACCGAUGAAUUGACUAUUUGUCGUCUUAGAUUAAGACUAAAGCGACCGAAUUUGACUUUAGAGCGAGAAAUUGUUUGUGGCAUGAUAUCCUUCACCUAAGCGAGGGAUCGUUUUGACUUAAGCGACGAAAUAUUUCGUCGCUUAAGUGAAAUCUUCUUUUGGUUAUGAGAAUCAACCGUUUAUUGUUGCCACAAUGACAAGGCUAGUUUUUUAUCUUGAUGAUCCAAAGGAGGGUGGGGGUCGAAAAGUUGUUAACGUGAUGUCACGUAGAGGUAUUAAUUACACUACACUAGCUUGAGAUGAGUAUUGCAAAUAGAUAUUGAGAAUGUGACUCUUGAACCAUAUCAAGAAGCCUCGACGUCUAAUAUCCCAGACAGGGAGACUAUUCGCAUCAACAACGACAUCCACUUCCAACCCCGCAAGUACAUUCCCAUUUUUAAUUUAGAGUUUGACUUCGGUUCACUUCCAUUCAUCCCAUGCCACCAACUAAGGACUUCAUUGACGACGAAGAGGAAGACUCAGACGAUCAUUCAUAUGAAGUGAGUGAGGAUGACGGGGACUACAAUGAUAGUGAUUGAAACUCAUGAUGUGUUAAAACAUCAAAUUUUCGAUUUAAUUAUGUCAUGAAUUUAUUAUAUAUGUAAUAAAUUUAAUCUAUUAGUUGUGAUAUGUAUUAAUUUUCGAUUGAUUUAGUUUUAUACUUUACUAACAUGUUGAUGCAGCGAAAAUAUAAACAUUAGAAUCUACCAACGGUGACUUGAAUCCACAAGUCUAGUUCUCUCGAAACCACGAGAGGAAUUCUGGAAUCCACCAGAGAAUUAAGAUAAAUACAAGGUUUUUUAUUAAUAUGAAAGCUGAUGACUACAACUGAUAAAGGCUCCUUAUAUAGGAGCAAAUAAACCCUAAGCCAACUAACAUCAAAGCCUAAACGCUCAUGGAUUAAAAGAAAACCAAAUCAAAAACGAACUAUUAAAAUUAAUGUCUGAAAAUAAGUAAAUCUGCAUUUUGAAGGCCUAAACGGACUCGGAUGGCCUAAAAAGCCCAUAGGUCGUAGCAAAGUGACGAGUUAAGUUCGUUGGGCCGUUCUGCUUCCAAAAAGGUAUCAUAAUAGUCAAUCGGACACCAAACGCCAAAUCUAGAGCAAACCGGAUUUAGACUUGUUCGAUUGAUCUGCUCUUCAAUCUCUAUCGUCAUCUGUUCUAUAUCACAUUUUAUGAGUAUUAAUUAGCAGAAAAAAGUGAAAUAUAAAUGAUUUUACAACUUAAGCGACGAAUUUUGUCAUUUUCGUAACGUAUAUUCUUUGGUGGUAAGUACAAAAUUUAAUCCACUUAAGCGACGAAAAACAAACAAUUUGUCGCUUUGGCCCAAAUAUUUGGCGGGCUGCUCAAAUUUUGGCCCAAAUUUAAACAAACCUAAGCGACAAAAACCAUAAAGAUUUUCGUCGCUUAAGUUGUUACUAUAUUUUGUUUCAGAAUCGAUCCCAAACACAUUAAUUUGCUUCCUCCUUACCGGUCUAAAACACCAAAUCCUCCCUCUUCCUCCUCUUGCCCAACCUACUGAUUGAAAUCCUCCCUCUUCCUCCUCUUGCCCAAUACCGAUCGAAAUCCGGCCUCCCUCUUCCUCCUCUUCCUCACAUCUUCCCUCUUCCUCCUCUUGCCCAAUACCGAUCGAAAUAUGGCCUCCCUCUUCCUCCUCUUCCUCACUUCGCAUAUCAAUUCAGCCACCUCCUCCUUAAUCCUUGAAUUCCUAAAUCCCUAAAUAUCACCUCCACCUCCUCCACUGCUCACAAAACCCAGCCACAUCCUCCUCUAACUACCUAGAUGCCGGUGCUCAGGAAAAGGAAAGCUCAGGAGGAGGUGGAGGAGCGUUUGCGACUGGAGUGUGCGCAACAAUAUGGCUCCUCUUCUGCCAGAUCCAACACAGCCACUCCGACGACGACGGUGCCAUCCCUUGCUGAAUCGGCUCCCUCUCUAACCGACGACGAUGACAAGUCAGCGACCCGAGUAUCAGAAACACUUUCUGAGGGUGCACCCAGGGUUGUCAGCGCUCGCCGGAAAUCGAAGAAAAGCGGAGGACCUCCCCAGAAAGGCAACCGGGGUGUGGUGAACUGCUCAAAGGUGUCUGAUAUUGUGAAAAGCAUGGGGAAGAAGAUCAACUUGGACUUUGAUUGGGAGGUUAUUGAUGGACCUCGUAAUUCUGAUGUAUGCAGCCUAUUUGUGAAUAUUGUUGGAAGCAUCAUACGAGAAAGAGUGGCAAUGAAGAAGGAAUCGUGGUAUGAUUUAGACAAGGAGGAGAGGAAGAAGCUUUUUGACGGUCUCACUGUAAGUUAAGUCAUAACUUUCAGUCCUUUUAAUUUUGUUGGUAUUUUGAUUCCCUACAUCAUUGCAACUUAAUUAUAACUUGUUUUCUAUGUCUUGCAGUGUUUUUUAUCAUUGAUUUUAAUGAUAUAAAAGCCAUUAAAUGGAUCAAAAAAAGGGCAGCAAGUGUAUUCCGUGAAUGGAAGCAUGACUUGUCCGAGAUUCACAAGCUUGGGGGAGAGAUGUGAUUCCGAAAGAGCUUUUGCACAGGCGGGAUGAGUGGGAGUGGCUUUGCACGCAUUUUGAUUCGGAUAAGUGCAAGGUAUAAAUUCAGUUUUGGUUAUGAGAUAGAAGGACAAAUACUUGCUAUUAGUUCAGUUUUGGUAUAAGACAUGUUAUGAUUAUGUGGUAUAUAUGUAUAUGUAUCUUACUUUGAAUUGCAUGAGUUUUGGUGACUGCAUACAGUUGGGAAUUUGGAUUAAAAUUGGAUAUGAUUGUUGAGUUUUGGCCUUGUGUUUGUGGCAAUGAAGUUGGUACUUUGAAUUGCAUGAGUGGUAUGAAUUGAAGAAAUAGUGUACAACCUGUUUUAAUUAUGUUCUUUAAGCAUGCAGCAAAAUGUUGUGAUUGGUGUUAUAUUGUUAAUUUGCCGUGUAUAGAUAUCAAUUCAUGACUUAGAAGCCACAUUUAGGUUUGUACCUGAAAAUGUAUACGAACUGUUUGGAAUAAAUUUUCAUUCUUUCUUUCUUUUUUAGCUGAAAUGUACACUGUGAUUAUAUGCUUGACCUUUUCUUUUCCUUCAUAGAUGAAUGAGCACCUCACGUGCACUAUCGUUUAGCUGAAAUCUGGAAAUUCUUUCUUUCCUUUUUAGUUGAAAUCUGGAAAUUCUUUGUAUUAGUUUACUUUUUAUUUAACUGAUAUGGUUUAAGAGUGUUCCUCAAAACAAUUCACUUUCAUGAUUCUCAAUGUGUUGCUUGAUUUCUAUGUUGAUUGUUAUUCACUUCCUGUUGAAGGUUGUUUGACAUUGCUCUUUAUUUCAGUAGCUUCACAUAUAUUGUUUGCUUGAGUGACAUUGCCUUCAUACGUUUUUGUUGUUCUAUGGACAUCAGCUUAUUAAAGCCAUGGAAUACCAAAUCUUAGUAGAAGACCUAAUUUAACAAAAGACUUGGUUUCUCAAGUUCGAUACUAUCUCCUGUGUAAAUUAGUUUUAAUUUUGUUGUUCUGUUAUAAGUAGUUUUGCUAUAUGUGCUUUCUCUUCUUAUAAUCAUGUUGGGGGGUUUUAUUAAUUCACAGUGUUCACAAAAAAAAAAGUUAGAGGUUGUUACCAUUGUCAACUAGCUUUUGUGAACUUGAAAAGAUGCAAUUGAGUUUAUUCUAAUCAUGUAUUACUUGACUACUCUUUGUAUAAUUAUUGUUACUGAGUUCUGGUUAUAUAUAUUGAAUUAAGAAGUAGCUAGAACAGAUGACCAACGUACAAAGGGAUAGAGAUAGUGUGUUUAGUAUUGAUUGUCUAAUAUGAGGCUGACCUGACUAUUUGUGUACUCACUAAAUUUAAAGGAUAUGGAUGGGUAGCAAUUUUCAAUCUAGGGGUGUCCAAAUCAGUUUCUGAAUUUUCAAUUUCUAUAGUUGGUAUGGUUCAAUACUCUUGUUCUUUAAUCAAGGGUGGCUUUAUGGUUUAGUUAUAUACAUAUAUUUAUUUGCAUACAGUAGUACAUGAUUGACUUAUUGUCACAAGACAUGGUUUCAUGGAGGAAGAAUGUCCUCAGUUAGGCAUUGUCCUAUAUUCUUUUGAUUGAAAUUUGGAAUUUAUAGGUUGAGUGUCAUAUAGUUGAGAUUUUUGACCGGUUACCUUCUUUCUAAAAAAUGUACAAAUUGGUUAGUUGUUUGAACUUGGUGUCUUCAUGAAAGUUAGAGUAGAGACCUUAAUGAUCGUUUCAGAACUAGAAUCUCUUGAAAAUAAGUUUUCUAGAAUUAGUUAUGAUUUUCCAAAGUUAUAGCUGAGUUGAAUAUUUUCCUGAAACAUCAAACUAUCCUUGUUUUGAUCGUGUACUUGGUAUUGUGUAGAGACGAUCGGUUGCCAACUCCAGCAACCGUGGUAAGAAGGAGUUGGAGCACCACUCAGGGAGGAAACCUAUCAUUUACCGGGUGGCCGAGCUAAGGGAUAAGGGUGCUUCAUUAGUGGUGGUUGACGUGUACCCUGUGACAUACGACAUCAACCAGCCUAAAGCUGCUGAGCAUUAUGUAAGUAUCAAUACCUAAUGCCUUAACAAAGUUUCUAUGCCACUUUGCCUGUUGCAUAUUUCAUGUGAUGUUCAUUUGGUAAUAAGUGUAGUUUGUCACACCCCAAUUUUCGAAAGAUAAUUUUUCAAAAUUUUUGGCAUUAUAUAUCCUAAAAUAUUAUAAUCCCAAAACCUGUUUCAAAAACAAACUUCAUAGGAAACUAAAAUUUAAUGCGGAAAUGUAAAUCACACAACUCAACACUGAGUUAAAUAUUACAUUUCCUUGUUUACAUAAACUUGAAGGUCAAGAAAAUGAAACACUCACAUGAGUUUAAUACUGUUUAACCCAAAUAUAAAAAUAUACAUAGUACAGCAAAACCCAACAAAAAACCCUGCCACUAAGCCUCCGCCUCAACCCUGCUGAUCCUCACCUGCAGGUUUAACCCCUACACCAAGAAUUGGUGCACCGGGUUGUAAACAACAAACCCGGUAAGCUAAAAAGCCCGUACGAGUAAUUCUCAAAAUAAACACAACACCUCCAACAACCCAUUAUAACACAAGAGCAAUUUAUAUCCAUAAUUAAAACCACAAUUUCAACACUAUCUCAAUUAACAUGUACCCAUGAGUCCCAAGUAUUAAUAAAUACCUCUCAUGACCUACAACAACAAAAUGUGUACCCAUGGGUCCCAGAUACCAUACGGUAUCUCCCAUGACCUACACUGACAGACGGACUAGAGCUCUAUUCCUAACUGCAACAAUCACCCGGCCAAGGCUUGGAACCCGGUUUGGCUAUUUAUUCAACAAUCACAAUAUCACGUCAUUAUCCUCAACAACACAAUAUUACAUCAUUAUUCUCAACAACACAAUAUCACAUCAUUAUUCUCAACAACACAAUAUCACAUCAUAAAUUAUAUCCUUCCACAUGGAUAUGUUUACAUGAACAAAAUAUAGAUAUUCCACAAGAAUAAUCUAUCAAUAAUCAAUAAAAUUAUGAUCACAUGAAUCUCAAAAUAGCAUAUAAAGAAAACUUGUUUUAUCUUACCUAUGAACCAUUGGCGAUCAAGCUCAUAUAUUUUUUUUAAAACAACUAAAAGCAUAUUAUUUAAAUCCAUCAUCAUCAUCAUUAUCAUCAUAUGACCAUAAUAACAAUACCUUGGUGAGAUUUACUCAUCUAAUUAUCUCGCUGCAAUUUCCACAACUGACAAUAGCAACCAAACACAACUUCACAAAUCACCUCAAAAUAACACAAUUAAAACCUUAGUAACUAAAAUACUAUAGGUUAUCACAAUACCCUUAACUAACCCUUAGUUCAAGGGAGGACAACUUUCCAAAAGUCGUCAAACUUAGAGACCCAAAAUGAUUGCCUCUAAUCCUCAAAUCCUAACUCAAACCUUCACCAAGCCUAAUAUCCCACUUAAAAUUCUAACAUGAAAACCUUGCUCACAACCUAGGGAUUCUACAUCUCAACAAUCUCACAACAACAAGAGCUAGCUAAAACACAACAACCUAAGCCACGAACAUUGCCGGACGCGCUGCCACGCGCCUCCACAAAGUUUCGAAUUUGAGAAAACUCUCAACAGCAAAGUUGAAGCUUGAAGCAAGGGGAACAACUUUCAUACCUGAGACUUCGACCAAUUUUGGCCGAAACCGGCUGGAAACUGCUCCGCACAGUAACCUGAAAAUCAAACUACAAAACCUGCAAAACCAGCCUCAAAACCUCAAAAACUUGCUUCAACCUAUACCUAGCCAUCACUAGAAGGAGGAGAGGAUCAAGACUCACCUAAGGAUGCCCCUCGUCGCCGCCGUAUACGGCGGUUCCGACCGGUGGCACAGCAGCCCCCUUUUGCCGGCUGAAAACGUUGUUUCCGGCGUCCCACACUGAGCAGCAGCUGCCCAGCCUUGAAGAGGACACCUGUGGGAGUCGAACGGGACCGGCGGCGGUCCAAUCGGUGGCCGGAUGGUGGUGCUAGCUCCGGCAGGAGUUGGGUUCUUGGGGAAACUCGGGAGAGAAAGAGGGAGAAGAGAGAGAAAAAAGUGGAUGACUUGUUUUUAGGGUUUCCAAAAAACAUCCCACACACAUUUUUCUACUUAUACUCUUUUCAAACCCGGAAACAAACUUCCUCUGAACGUAACUUCUUCAUACGACGUCCGUUUCAGACAUGCCACAUGUCUACGAACUCGUAUCGACAAACUCUACAACUUUCGUGAAGGAAGUUUUCGAAGAUAACUUACAAAAAAUAAAGUCAACUUUUGGCCUCUUAAAGUCAAAGCACUUAAAUAAACUCCCGAAACUUCAAUUUCGCAUAAACCAAAGAAUUUCCAUAAAUAAUCCUUCAUUAAUUAUGGGAAUAAUACAAGUAAAAUUGAUAUAAAAAUCUAGGGUAUUACAAUAGUUAAAUUAUAGUGAAUUGCUUAUAAGUGUUUUGUGCUGAAACUUUUGGUGUUAUGCGGUGUAGCUGUCUUAAGUUCAAAUUUCAUUAGGAUUGAGGACUCUGUUUGGCUUGAAACUUUGUACCCUUGUCCUUCCAUGUGAUUACCCUUGAUCUAGAAAGUUUUGUGUUGUUUGAUAAGGUAGAUGAUUCGUGGUGAAUUUUUGAAGUUGGGUACACUGCGCUGGAAAUUGUGUUUGUGUUCAGCAGUUCAGUUGCUUCGUAUUUGAUUGGGUUUUGGGUCUUCGUUUGGCUUGAAAUUUUUUGCUCUUGUUCUUCCUUAUGUUUACUCUUGGUCUGCAAAUUUUGGUGUUAUUUGAUAAGAUAGAUGAAUUAUGGUGAUUUUAUUGAAUUAAGUGCUUUGUGUUGAAAUUGUAUUCGAGUUAUGCUGUGGUUUGAAUUUGAUCAGGAUUUAAGACUCAUUUUGGUCUGAAACUUUGUACUCUUGUUCUUCUAUAUGAGAACUAUUGAUCUGGAAAGUUUCAGCUUAUUCCAAUGUAAAUUGACAAGGCGGUGAUUUUUCAAAGUUUACCCUGCAGUUGGUAAAGUCCCAGAAUUUUGAGUAUGCUUCCUUGUUUUCUGUUGAGCUAAGUGUGUGUGUGUAUAAACAUGUUGCUAGUGUAUAGAGAACUAUGUUACGUUCCAGAAUUACGAGGAUGAUUUACUAGCCUCAUUAGAAGCUUUCGUUGUGUGUGAUGAUACUAUGGGUGUCCAUAGUAGUUUGGUAUUUGAUUGUUAUAUUGUAAAGCUGAUGCCUGUUUUAUAUUUCAUGUGAUGUGUAUUUGGUAAAGUUGAUUACUGCUUCAGUUAUCAUGUUUUGAUGAUGUUAUAAUAGUUGCAUAUAUGACUUGUACAUAUUAUUCUUGAAUUGUAGGAAAAGUUGAAGGAACAUGGUGCUAUUGCCAAGACUUUGCAGAGCACUUAACACCCGGACAUCCCACCGGAUCAGCUGCCUCCUUUGGACUGGCCAACUCAACUAAGUGUUGUGCAAAACGCUAUGGGAGAAACAAAAGGGUCUUACCUUCGUGGUAUUGGACGAGCAAGCGUCCUAGAGAAGAGAAGAAGGUCAACAUCUUCUUCUUCAUGCUCUCGACUGAAUAAUGAGGCGAUGGCAGAGAUAGUGGCUGUUAGAAAGGAGGCGGCUGAGGCACAAGAGAAGGCUGACAAAGCAUAAGAGAGGGCUGAAAAAGCCCAAAAGAUCGCUGAGCAGUCUGUUGCAGAUUAUCAAGAGUUGAAGUUGCAAAUGGAUCAAAUCAUGGCUCGAAUAAGGCUACAGCCUAUGUAUUCACCCUCGGUCCCAAGCCAACAACCUCGAGAUGACAAUGAUGAUAAGGGCCUUGACACUUCUCAAAUUAGUUUAGGAAAUCAGUAGACUUUUCUAGUUUAAAUAAUUGUACAAACAAUAUUAGCUAGUAUUUAUUUUGUUGAUACGAUAACUUUAUUAUUAUUAUUAAUAAUAUAAAUAUUUCGGUUAAUUUAUUUUGGUUUUACAGGAAUUAAUAUAAAAAUAUAUUUUUGAGUUAUUAUAAUAUCUCUCUCUGAAUAAUAAAAAUAUAUAUUUUUUUUCAAAAAAACUAAAACCUAAGCGACGAAAGAUGCUUAUUUUGUCUCUUAAGAGUAAAAAUUAGGCGCCAAAAGUUGACAGGCCAAAAAAGUCUUUUGUCGCAUAAGGCUAUAGCGACGGAAAAGUUCGUCGCAUUAAAUGGAGCGACGAAAAAGUUCGUCGCAUUAAAUGGAGCGACGAAAACAACCUCAUCGCUAAACUAAACAGGUUCGUCGCAUUAAAUGGAGUGACGGAAAAGUUCGUCGCAUUAAAUGGAGCGACGAAAACAACCUCAUCGCUAAACCAAACAGGUUCGUCGCUUAACCGUAAAACGACAAGAGAACAUACGUCGCUGAACAACUUAAGCGACAAACACUUUUCGUCGCCUCAGCUAAUUAUUCGUCGCAUUAAAUCUAGCGACAAAAAAACGAUCGUCGCUAAACUAAAACUUUUCGUCGCUUAGCUGUAAAACGACAAAAAACAUACGUCGCUGGAAAACUUAAGCGACGAAUUGUUUUCAUCGCUUAAGUUAAUUAUUCGUCGCUUAGAUCUGUGGCGACAUAAACAAUCCCCGUCGCUUGGUUCGUUUUCUUAAGCGACGGAUUAUAUGUUUUUGUCGCUUAAGUACCUAUGAAACGCGUCAUAUGCGACGAAUCUUAAACGACGCCUGUUUCGUCGUUUAAGUUAAAAAGUGAUAAAAAUGAGCACUUAGGCGACGAUUUGUUCCCGUCAUUAUUUCUACCAGUGAGUAUAUCAUUGUCCGAAGUUGAGUUGGACGUAUUAUAUUAUAAUAUAAUAUAGUUUUAUUUCACUUUGGUUGUGGCUCUCCUGGGUUUAACCAACCGAGGGAGGUUCAUGCGGUUUCUGCUUAUAUGGGGUAAUCAGGUUAGUUCACCACUCCAAAUCUUUUCUUUUGAAUGCACCUAUCAAUUUGAUUCUCCCCCAUUAAGCAUUCUCCCUUCUUUUUAUCAUUUUGGGUCCUCAUUCCUUUGACUUUGAAAGAAAUUUCACUUUCUAGACAGUUCUAUUAUUGUUCCCAUCUUUCUGCUUUUGUUUUCGUUUGAAACUGUUGUUUGACGUUUACAUAAAGUUGGAUUCCUUGCAAUUGUGUUUAUAUCUUCCUGUUCUUGAAUUGGUGAUGAUCAGAAUUAAGGAUUCUAUAGCGUUUUGAUUGUUUUGAAUAUUGAACUUGUCCAUGAGGAAGGCCUUAGUCUACUCAUGGCUAUACAUUGUCUCCUAAAUUGUUGCAAGAAUAUGGGCAACAUGCCCCUCUUUGUGUUCUUCAAAGACACAAGGUAACUUCUUCUUUUUUGGGGGGUUCGGACCCCAAAUGUUUGUACUUUUGUUUUCUUUGCUGUUGGUUCUGUGUUAGAAUUUUAAUGUAAAUUUAUUAUAUAUAGUUUCUUAUCGCAAAUUUUAAUAUUAUUUGCAGGAAUGUUUUCAGAGCUGAUGAGCUAGGCCUGGAAAUAGUACAUAUUGCUCUUCCUACGCUACUAGCGUUAGUAGCAGACCCUGCUGCUUCUCUAAUCGACACAGCAUUUGUUGGCCAUAUAGGUAUCUCGUGGCGAUGUUUAAGUUUUGUGGUGGAAUUAUAUGUUCAGAUGUUUCACAAAUGCACUUCCAAUCUUCCUGUGCAAAUCACCAUUUUAUUGUAUCCAAUCCUUUUCCUGGGAUGUAAAUUGAAAUUUUUCGCUCAGCAAGCAAGAUCUUCAGUAUGAUGGCUUCCUGCUCCUUUUGAAAUAUUUUUCCUUACAAAUUGAAAAGCCUUAAUAAUGCUCAUAAGAUUGUACAAAGAGUCACCUUGGUAGGGAAGUUUCCUCAGUUUUUACAAACAACUGAAUAGAGAAAGCUUUUUUAUCCAGCUUUAUUAUAGGACUGCUAUAAAGUUAUUAUAUUGAAGUUGUAGGAUAUGAACUAGUUUAAGAACUUGAAUAAAAGUUUAUCUACUGGGUUAGUUAUAAAACUGCAGGCUAUUGAAACUUACCUUUGCCAUGAACCAUAUGGACCAGUUCAAUUUUUUGUGUGCAUUAUUUCUGCUGUAGUAUAUGUAGAUGUUCCAUACAAGAAGUGCCAAUACACUUUCCUAUAUCUGAUUAACCAUAAUCAUAGUUAUCAAUAAUUUAGCUCUUAAUUAACUCUGGAGCAUUGUAUGCUAUGGACCUAGAUUUGAUUGACCAUAAUAAUCGAUGACUUUUAUAGGUCCUGUGGAGCUUGCAGCUGUGGGAGUUUCUAUUGCUGUUUUCAAUCAAGUAUCAAAAAUAGCAAUAUUUCCACUAGUCAGUAUUACAACCUCUUUUGUUGCUGAAGAAGAUACUACAGAACCAUUAAGUACUCAAGAUGAACGACUGGAAAAUGCUACUUUCGUCAACAAGGAAAUGGAAGUACUCAAACCACUUGUUGGUACGUUGCCUCCUUUCCCCCUUCAUAAUGUUGAAUUAAACUAACAAUGUGGAUCACUUUAUUUUUUUAUAGAAGCUCCCUCCAUGAGAAUAUAUUGUGACUUUCUUAUAUUUUUGCCUCAAUUUCUAAACAGACUCUACAUCAUCAUCCAUUACCAUUGAUAAUACAGAAAUGGUCAAACCUGAGCAUGUCAGAAGGCGUAUUCCAUCAGCGUCAUCAGCGUUGGUCAUUGGCAGCAUCCUGGGGGUUAUUCAAACUCUAUUCCUAAUUUUUGCUGCAAACCCCAUCCUAAAUUACAUGGGGGUAGAUUCUGUAAGUUCAUUUUGUACGUUGGAGAUUUUAGAUAUUCUGUUUCGUGUUUCUUGAAGGUUGCAUUUUUUGUUAGUUUUGUUAUGGAAUUACCAGUUCCAGUCAACUUGAUUAUCUAUGUAGUUGGUAACUUCAACUGCUCUAAAUUAUGCCUCCUUUCACUUUUUCUACAUUUUCUGCAUCCUAAAUUUACAAGGUCUAAACUACACAAUGUUAUUCAGAACCUUGUAAAUACAUUUUGUUUUCUGUGUAGCCGAAAUGCGCAGAAAGAUGGCAUUAGCAAUCAAUGAAAAUGUCUUUCCAAUCAGAAAAUGCAUCCUAAUAUGGAAACUGGGGGUAUAAGUUAGGUAGAAAAGGAACAAACUUUCAUAGCAAUGUAAUGGGCAUUUGUUUCUGUAGAUAUCAUAAACUACAGCCUUUCUUAGAUUGUGCUAGAUUGGAACAGAACCAAACCGUAGUCUAAGGUUACAGAUACAAUCAGCGUGCUUGGUGCUAGCUUAUUUCAUGUGAUCUAGUUUUCUGGUUUCUACUGUGGCUUUUGUCUGUUGUUGUCCACUUUUGUUGCAUUGUGCCUUUAUUAUCGAUAAAUUCGGUUUCUUUUCAAAAUGGAAUAAUAAAAUAAAAGAACAGAGUAACAAAGCAAAGUUUUAGAAUCAAUAUUCUGGUUUCUGUCUCAUGUAUUCAAAAAACAAUGAUACACACAUCCUAAAUGAAACUGAGUAUCAGUUUUCAUCUCACAUAUGCAACACAUAUUUAUCACCUCAAGAGGCUCAGCAAGUUAUGGUCGUAGUUUUUGGGACAAACUAUCUUAUCUAGAGCUGUAAGUUCAAACAUAUUUUUGGAAAAGUUGCAAUUAUUUCUGCAUUUGUAGUCAAUGAACAAGAAUUCCAAGCUAUACUAGUCACUUGAUGGAAUGUUAUUUUAUUUUGUCAGGGACAGCAGUAUAGAAAAUUGUAUUUUAUUUUGGCACCAUUAAAAUUUUCUAUACCAUUAAAAUUCUAGUCACAUAAUCAAGUAGGAUCCCAAAUAAAGUUGGUUUCUUUUCAUACUUGAUUAUGUAGGUUACUUUGCUUCUCUAUGCAUGUGAGGUAUGAUGCUGGAUAUAAUGAUGCCGGAUAUAGAGCUAUUUGAUCUCACCUUUCAUUUUGAAUAAGCAAAAGCAGUGUCUCCUUGCAUAAGAUGGAUGUUAAAUAUUCAACAAUUAUUUUGGUAGUUAAAUCUAAUUAGGAGCUUUGAGUCGUACUGAAAAUGGAAGAUGACUAUAUUCUCGAUUCUGUUCAUUACUUCAUUUAUCAAGUUUUCGAUUCUUACAUUGAUAGAUCCCUUGUCAGCAUUAUUAGUCAUGUUUAUUGGAAAUCUGAAAUGACCGGCAUUCUGAGCCCCCACCGCUGCAAUUUUUUUUACCAUGAGCAUAAUUUAUUCGCUGGAGUUAAAUAACUUAUAGGAAUUUUACACCUCAAAGUGCUUGCAUGAAUCUACUGUUCUCAUUGAAAUCAUAAAUUUUGUUUUAUGAAGUUGUUCCACUUCUGAUAUUGAAAAUUACUUAAGUCCACGUUGUCCUAGAAAUUACAUUGUAAAUGAAGAAAUUUCUAUUCAUUCCAUUGCAGGGUUCUCCUAUGUUAAGACCAGCAAGACAAUACCUGACACUACGAUCACUUGGUGCUCCUGCAGUUCUUCUCUCUUUGGCAAUGCAAGGGGUUUUCCGUGGUUUUUAAGGAUACAAAAACUCCUUUAUAUGCUACAAGUAAUCUCUCUCUCUCUCUCUCUCUCUCUCUAUAUAUAUAUAUAAUUCUCUCUCGCUCUCUUCUGAUCCAUACACACACACCCUUUAAAAAUUCAACUGCAAUAUGUGGCCAGUGCACAGAUAAGCAUGACACAAUAAAACAGUCUGUUGAUUAGCUCUUGCAACGAGUGUGAUCGUUCCAAGAAUUUUUCUUGAAUAAUAGAAUUUUCUUCUCUUAAGAAAUCAUCUUGAGGCCUCUCAGAUUACAAUGCCACAGAAUUGGAUGAGAGUAAUUCAUGACCAUAGAAUUGGAAACUACAAAUCUUCAUCUAGGACAGCAUUUGUGCCUCAAAUUUUCUUGUCUUCAGCCUCUCAUCAUAGCAGUCUGGUCCUAGUCUCACAUUGAUGCAAAAAAAUUACCCGAGACAUUCUCCAUGUUUGUCUUGUCUUCACUUCCCCUGUUAAAUGAAGUCUGGACUCUGGUGUAAGUUUUCAACCUCCCUUCAAAUCAUCAUAUUGCUAUCAGUUUCAUAUUUGAAAUCCUAGAUUCAUCUUGUUUUCCCAUUUAAAUGCUGCUGGAUAAUUUGUAAACUAGUUCGAGAGUAAAUAGAGCACCUGGUGCUCAAAGGAUAAGAAAAUAGAGCACAUGUUGCUCAAAUGCAGAAAUGAGCACUUAUUUACUGCAUGGUUACUGGGUAAGUUAUACCUAUUGAAGCCAUUCUGCAUGUUUCUUCUUUAACUGCAGUUGUGGGAGAUGCAGUAAACAUCAUUUUGGACCCAAUAUUAAUGUUUGCACUCCAUAUGGGCAUUAGUGGUGCAGCGAUAGCCCAUGUUUUCUCUCAGUAAGCUUUACCUGUGGCUAAUAAUGAUUCAAUAUUAGAAGUCCGUACCCUUUUGCAAAAGACUUCUUUAUCAUGUAGAUGCAAAUAUUUCCCUCUGCUGUCUUAUUGCUGUUUACUUGUUAUGUGAUUAUUGUAGGUAUUUAAUCUGUCUGAUACUGUUAUGGAGAUUAAACAGACAAGUCGACCUCCUAACCCCAGGCGUCAAAGAUCUACGGAUUGGCCAGUUUCUGAAAAAUGGUAAAGGUUAUUUUUCUUUGCAAGUAAUGAAUCCGCAAUCAAGCUUGAUUGAUCCGCUUUCCAGAUUAUUUACUUCUCUCAUCUUCUAGCCCGUCUUCUAAAAUCACCUUCAACAAGAAAUGCUGAAAAAUUAUUUCCUAACUGUUCCAUAUCGUUUUCUUUUCAUCUUGGAUCAGGGGGUAUGUUAUUGGUGAGAGUUAUAGCUGCAACAUUCUGUGUCACCCUUGCAGCAUCAUUAACUGCACGGCAGGGAUCGACAUCAAUGGCAGCAUUUCAAGUUUGCUUGCAGAUUUGGCUUGCGGCCUCUUUGCUUGCAGAUGGGUUAGCUGUGGCUGGACAAGUAAGUAAAUUUUGGAAACAAAUACAUUAUGUGAUGGUGACGUACAUUAUUGGCAUCCCUAAUUUUUAUAUACUUAUAUAAUCCAGUCAAACAUAAAUAAUUUCCUUUAGUACGGUGGUAAACCUAAUUUGAUAAGAAGGUUGAAGUUACUAUAGUAAAAUUAAAAAUCUCUGAGCUGUGUUUGGCCAUGGCUAUGUGCUGAUUCAAUAAAAAUGGUAGCUUCAGAGAUCAGACAAACAUUUUUGAAUAUCAGGGUUACUUACAGUUGAUAUAAACCAAGGAUACAUCGAGUUAAAGUGUUCAGCACAACACCCUUAGGUGCAAGGCUGGCUCAAUUAUCAUGAAGGUCUACUACCCUAUUAAAGUUAUUGAUCCUAAGAAAAUAAAUAUCAAAGUUUGUUUUCUUGCGUUUAUAUUGUAUUCGGCAAGUCUUAGUUCCAAUACCAUUGUCGCAUUGACUGCCAACACCCUUAGUGACUCUCCAAGAGAAUGUUUCAGACUUUAAUUAAUAAAUAUAUUGAUAUUUCUCAGUUUCUGCAUCAAAAUUGCAGUUUUUUUUUUUUUUUUUGUUUUUUUUGUUUUUUGGUUUUUUCAUUGUGGUUUCUUUAGAUUCUUAUGUGAAGGUGGAAUUUUUUUUCUCUGCUAAGAUGUGUCGAGUUUUCCUCUGCACUAAAACCAGAUUUCUUGUUGUGCCUCAGCUGUUCUUGAUUUUUCGUUUUAUCUCCCAGCUGUUUUACUGUGGACAGAACUUCCAUUUUAAUUGGCAAGUUCUCUUCUAAGACUUUCAGAAGUCUAUCAGGAUCAAAGAAACACUCGAUUGCUUCAGUAUUGCAUACUUCUGAUGCUAGUACUCAAAUUGUUUUUUGUGACUAUUUUAGCCUUCUUACACUACCAUAAAUGAUCUACAUACAACAGUGUCUUCAUUUUCUGUUAUUUUUUUUCUUAAUAAUCAUCUGUUGCACUAGUUCACUCGAAUUAUAUUAUAUGUUUCUGUUUUGAUUCUUUCGGCGGUGUUGAUGUAAUCCAAACUUUCAGGCAAUCCUUGCAAGCGCAUUUGCGAGGAAGGAUCACAGCAAGGUUGUUGCCACAGCUUCACGUAUAUUGCAGGUGACUUAAAUUUUGGUUUAAUUUUUAACAUAUGAAGUCACUCCCUCUUCUUGUUCUGUAUUGCACUUCUAAUUAUUUGAUUGUGCAGAUGGCUUUGGUUCUAGGGAUAAUACUCGGAGUCAUGCUUACAGUUGUAUUGAAGUUUGCGUCAAGAUUAUUCACCAAAGAUAUCAAUGUUUUGCAGCUUAUAAGUUUAGGCAUUCCGGUAUUCCUCUCGUCCAUCCAAGCAUGAAGCAAAUAUAUAUAUAUAUAUAUAUAUAUAUAUAUACNNNNNNNNNNNNNNNNNNNNNNNNNNNNNNNNNNNNNNNNNNNNNNNNNNNNNNNNNNNNNNNNNNNNNNNNNNNNNNNNNNNNNNNNNNNNNNNNNNNNNNNNNNNNNNNNNNNNNNNNNNNNNNNNNGUAUGGUGGCGAACGGAGGGAUGUCCGCACUUUAAGCCGAGUGCGGACGUCCGCACCAGAACGGGCCUAUAUAUAUAUACAUACACACGUUAUCAGGUGCGGACGUCCGCACCGUGCGGAUGUCCCUCCUUUCGCCACCGUACGGCACCGGCCAGCACUGGCGAGGGUGCGCCUCCACCCUAGCGGACUCCAACAGCUUCCUCGACCUCUUUCCAUCUCCGCCGAGUCCGCCGAAUUCCAGUUUCCGGCCAGAUCACCCAAAACUUCAAACAAAGUCAAUCUGGCCGGAAAACUGGAAUUCGGCGGACUCGUCGGGGAUGGAAAGAGGUCGGGGAAGCUGCUGGAGUCCGCUGGAGUGGAGGCACGCCCUUGCCGGCGCCGUACGGUGGCGAACGGAGGGAAAUCUGCACUGUAAGGCGGUGCGGACGUCCGUAUCUGAAACGGACUGUGUAUAUAUAUAUAUAUUAUAUAUACGGAAAUGAUGUGGAGCGCACAUAUCCGGCCUCUAUAUAUAUAUAUAUUGUUCUAUUACCCUCCGUUUGUGAGCUGAUGAUUAUUCCUUGCUGGCUAGUUUAUUGCAGUGACUCAGCCCGUUAAUGCUUUGGCUUUUGUCUUUGACGGAUUAAAUUAUGGAGCAUCAGAUUUUGCAUAUUCUGCCUACUCAAUGGCAAGUCUAGAUUUCUUUCCAUUUUGCUGUCUAUUUUGCACUUGUUUACUAGUAGUUGAACUCUCUCAACCCCAGUUUGUCGCUUUAGUGAGCAUAUAGUGCAUGUUUGAUUUAUUCUAUGUUGUGACUCCAGGUUGUGGUGGCUUUAGUGAGCAUAUUGUGCCUGUUUCUAUUAUCAUCAAGCCAUGGCUUUGUUGGUAUUUGGGUUGCUUUAACAAUCUUUAUGAGUUUGCGGACAGUGGUUGGAUUUUGGAGGUAAGUUCUGUAAUUGAAAAAUAUGUACAAAAGGAAAGAGACCAUGUAACAACUAACUUGUUUCUCAAGGAUUGUCUAAACAUAAUAUCAUGAAUCUAAAUCAAAAGUUGCUUCCACAUUGAUCUUGAACCUGCAUUCCAGGAUAGGGACUGGAACAGGACCGUGGGGCUUUCUGAGGGAGUAGUUGGAGCCUAAAUGCAUUUGUCAAUUUAGCAGAUGGUACAUCCUACUGUACAUAGGUAACGACAAAGGGCAGCCACCUAUCAUUUCUUAUUCAAGUUGCUGAAAUGUAGCCUAUGUUUAUACUUCAUAAGGUUAGAAUGAAAGUAGGAACUCAGUUUUAUAGCCUAUAGUAACUACACAUAGAAAGCAGUGCCGAAUUUAGAUUAUUGAUCUUUAUGGUGGUUAUGUCCUUUUUUGAGUUCUUUGCUGCAAGUAGAACAACUUUUCCAAAGUUUUUUUUUGUUGCUUUACUCCUCCCUUAAUCCUCUAUUACUGUGGAAAAAAUGAUUCAUAUAUAGCUUUCCAAAGUUCUUUGAGUUUUUAUAGUCCAAGGAUUCUUACUGAGGCCGUAUCUUUGCAAAGCUAUAUAUGAACCAUUUUUUUCGAUUAAAAUACUGCAAAAUUCACAAUCAACCUUGGUUUCAUAGAGAGUAUAUGGAUUGACAGGCUUAUCCGUCUUGAUCAUUACAAAGUGCGAUGCUACCACGUUGAAUUUGUUGCUCGAGAAAGUCAAUAUAUUGCUUACAUAGCUCGCCCUUUAGAGUAGCUUCUUUAAAGAAGGUCCGGUCACUGACAUGUUUGAGUGAGGCAGGAAAACCAUAAUCACAUAUCAACGUUCUAGCUCUAUCUCCAUCUUACCUUUCUUUGUGGCCUGUCAUAUAUCUAUCUCCUUCAUCUUACCUUCAUACACAGCAAGCGCAACCUCUUAACUUGGACUCCAUCAUCGAAUUUCCACCAACAGUGAUGCAGGUGUACAGAAUGAUGCAUCAGCGAUAGUCCAGCUCAAUCCGAAUAAUAUCCAUUGGAAAAUCUAAUUGCUGGUCUCCUGAACAAGUGAAGCGUAUGGAGAGUUAUCAAGUCAGUUUCUGGUCAUAGUGAGAGUCCUGUUGAUGUUACCAAAAACCAACUUUGGAGAACAUGCCCUUUAGAAUAUCAUCGAGCCUAAAGGUAAACCUCAAAAUAACACAACAAAUUGAUGCCCAUUUCACUGUAGAUAUUACUAAUUGUCAUCAAAUUAGAUAGUACAACGGCAGAAAUGAAGAGACCUAAAGCAAUAGCAAUGUCGUUACCUAAAGGCGUCAGAAGCUCAUACCAGGAAAAUACCCAAGCACUACUGCUAGAAGCUCCAUUUUUUUUUUUUAAGUUUUAGAUUUUAAAUAUUUUAUUAAUAACUCACACACUCUACAUAUAUCGGUGAGGUUUGAAUCAGUCACCUCAAAGUUUUCAGUUAAACACCUUAACCAACCAAGUUACAUGUCACCGACAACUGCUAGAAGCUCCAUUGAAUCUAACCCAAACAUCCAGACCAAAGUUGUACAAUAUGCCAAGCAAGGGAUGAAGUGAACAAGUUCAUCUUCAGCAACAAUAAACAAAAUCAAUGUUCAUCAACACAAUUUUUCAUUAAACGACUAGUCGACUACUGCACCGUGCCGAAACUACGCUACAAGAAACUGAAUUUUAAUAUAAUUACGCCUAGACAAAUAAGAGAUUUAUGGAUAAGAGGUUUUACGAGAAACAAGCAAAGCAACGUUGCAUCUCAAAAGCAUUCAUGAAGCAAAGCCUGCAUUCCUCUUUAUAUAUUAUGAGCGAAAAUACUUGGACAUUCUUCCUCUUUCUGCAUUCCACAAUUUCUUUAACAUCUUCCAUAUUUUGUUUACAUUAAGUCAUUAACCAUGCUGCCUUGCAAGCCUAGCCGAAAUCCUAGCACUCCUUACUCCUAAGAAAACUAUGAAACAUCCAAACAUCCUCAAUCGAAUUCAUAAACAAGACUGUAUCCUUCUCACCUGGAUAGUGGAUACCAUGAUGAAUUACGCUACUAAGGGUAUCCCACAUAUUCAGAUGCCCUGCUGGACCGACCGGCUACUCCAGUUGAUUGCAAAACUACCUCGUUCUACAAUUCUAUUUCUCAGAGCAACAUGUUUGUGCUAAUGUAUUUCCAAUUGAAAACAAAAUCGACAAAAACUAAAAGGUUGAAUAUGCCAUAUAUUGACAAUUAACCCGUUAUAGAAAUAAAUUAUAGAAAUGGAGUAAAAAACACAAGCAGUCAGUAACCCACAAUAUAAUCCCUUCACUUUAUGUCAUUUGCAACGUACUUUAAAAGUUUCAAAUUAAUAAUCUCUCCUCGACCAUCAUGUCUCAAUUUUCGGUAAGCUUUUCAAAUGCCUAAGAAGGCUUUAGCUACCACAUGAACACAACCUGUUCUUUAGAGUGUCUAAUCUUGAUCUUCUAGUUCUACACUUGAUCUUGAGAGUACAAAAGCUCUUCUAUAUUUUGAUUUGCUUCUUUUAUACCAAAACCAUAUUUUCUUAACAAAAAUUACAUUUACAAAGAAGUCACAAGAAUCACAAGACAAUCAAUAAGAACAUUAAGAUACACCAUAUUUUCUUUUCUUUUUUUCAAAGUAAUAAAUCAUUCAUAUAAACGAAAAACCCUCCCACAAAUGCCUCUUUGUUCCAAGACCUAAACUCAUCUCUGACUAGCCUACCCAUCACAGCAGAGCAAGCGGACCCCCCAAGUUCCCAUCUGUAUCCACAAGAGACCAACUACCCAAACCUCCCAAAUGCUGCAUCGGCUCCCUUCUUUAAGAGGCCCAUUCCCUGUGAGACAGAUGAGCACAUGACUCAGAAAAAAGCUAAGACAAACCCAAAGCCCAGAACUUACAAAAGAGUCUCAAGGAAGAGCCCUAUCAAUGGGAGUGAGUCAAGCAUAGGUGGCUCAGUUAGCGAUGUUUCGAUUGGAGGCGAUUACCUCCAAGGUAGUGGUGGCUGGCCAACAACCACAAGGCCUCAAUGAUACACCUCUCGUGGAAUUGUCAUGGGUUAGGGCGCGCCAUGACUAGCCAAGCUCUUACGGAGCUAAUUUUCAAAUUCCGCCCUAUUUUUGUUUUUCUCUCGGAAACUAGGAUGAAGGAAAAAAGUAUCCAAAAAAAGAGAAAGGAGUGUAAGUUUGCUCAUGGAAUUUCUGUUGAUCCUGUGAGAACUGGAGGAGGCUUAGCGUUGUGGUGGGAUGAUUGUGUGUCAGUCCAGAUUCUGUCAAAAUCUAUUAACCUCAUCGACACAAUUGUUACUUUUAAAGCUGAUGGCUCAAACAUUAGAAUGACCUGGUUUUAUGGCCCUCCAAAAAAUGAAAAUAAGGUAGCAUUCUGGAAUAAUAUUAUGAACUUGGAAGGUGCUAUUGAUCUCCCAUGGAUAUACUUCGGAGACUUCAAUGAAUUUAUAUGGCCACAUGAGAAGGAAGGAGGCAACCCUUGGAACCCAAGCAAAAGGCGAUUUCUGAGAGACUUCAUGCAUGCCAACAACUUAAUUGACAUCUAGUUCAAAGGUCAACAAUUCACCUGGAGCAACAAUUGGCCAGAUGGGGAUUUGAUCAAAAUUCGACUAGAUAGAAGUAUUGUUAAUAGUAAUUGGCUCGAGAGAUGGCGUGCUUCAAGUGUCUUUCACUUUCCCAUCAUUGGUUCAGACCACUGCCCACUAGUAAUCAAUACUGAUCCAUCAGUUGAGAAAGGCUCAAAGACUUUCAAAUUUGAACCUAGUUGGAUUGAAGACCCAAAAUGCAAUGAGUUAAUCAAUGAAGCGUGGUUAGACAACCUUGGGGGUAAUUUUGCAAAUCAAUGGGCAACCAAUCUUGAUCAUUGCAGCAAGGCUCUUGGGAGGUGGAGCAAAAAGUUCUCCAACCAUAGAAGAAAAAUCAAUAGAAACAUAGAAGAGUUGCAAAAGGCGCAAGCUAAUUCCGACCCCGAAGCUCAUGAUCAUGCAAGUAGCCUAACAAAAGAAAUUGCCAGCCUUUGGGACAAGGAGGAGAAGUAUUGGGCGCAGAGAUCCCGCAUAAAGUGGCUGAAAGCCGGUGAUUCUAAUUCAAGAUUUUUUCACCUUACUACUAUUCAUAGAAGGCAGAGGAACAAAAUGCUUAAAUUGAAGAACAAGAAUGACAUUUGGCUAGAGUAAGAAAACAAUAUCAGAGAGGAGGUUGAGGAUUACUUCAAAGAGCUAUUUACGGGGGUUGGACCCAGGGAUUGGGAGGAAGCUUUAAGUGCAAUCAUGCCCACCAUUUCAGAUGACACAAAUAACAGACUUGCACAACUUAUAUCUAUUGAAGAAGUUAAGGAAGCGGCCUUUCAAAUGGGAGCCUAGAAAGCCCCGGACCCAAAUGGCUUCCAUGGCAUUUUUUACCAUACUUACUGGAAGACUGUGAAUGGAAUUGUUAAUGGAGUUGCAGCUGAGUUUUUCAGAACCGGGGAAGUUCUAGAAGAGUUGAAUCGCACAAAUAUUGUGUUGAUCCCUAAAGUCUCUAAUCUGGAAAAUGUGAGUCAAUUCCGUCCUAUCUCUCUAUGCAAUUAUUCCUACAAGAUCCUAUCGAAGAUUCUCGCCAAUCGGCUCAAACUUGUUCUCCUAGAGAUCAUAUGACCUGUACAAGGUGCCUUUGUCCCUAGGCGGCAAAUCCAAAACAAUAUCUUUGUUGCCCAUGAAGCUUUUCAUUAUCUGAAGAUGAGAAAAACAUGUGAUCUCCAUAAGUUGGCCCUCAAGCUAGAUAUGAGAAAAGCCUACGAUAAAGUUGAGUGGGAUUUUCUUGAAGCGAUCUUGUUAAAGCUGGGAUUUGGUAGAAGGUGGGUAUCCCUAAUCAUGGGGUGUGCUAGAUCAGUUACAUUUGCUGUCACUAUCAAUGGAAAAACAGGAGAGUAUUUCAAUCCUUUAAGGGGGUUAAGGCAAGGUGAUCCCAUAUCACCAUACCUCUUUCUCUUUACCUCAGAGGUACUUUCAUCCCUUAUGCAGAGAGCUUGUACCCAAAGAAAAAUUCAGAGCAUCUAUGUAAGUAACUUUACCCCUCCCCUCACUCAUCUCUUCUUUGCGGAUGAUUCCCUAUUCUUUCUAAGGGCUACCAAAGAUGAUUGUGCAGAAUUAAUGAGGGUGAUUAACCUCUACUGCAAUUCUUCAGGGCAGCAGGUUAACCUGGAGAAAUCAAGUCUCUUUUGCACACCAAAUACUCCUAAUCUCCUCAUUGAUAGCAUGAGAGAGAUUUUGAAUGUGCCACUAAAUACAAACCCUGGGAAAUAUUUGGGGCUGCCAACUGUUUGUGGUCGAUCAAAAAAGGCCUCUCUUUCGUUCAUUAAGGAUAGACUUAUGGAUAAACUCUAAGGCUGGAAAAUGGGCACUCUUUCUACUGCAAGACGGGAAGUUCUAAUUAAAUCGGUGGUAUUGGUUGUUCCUACAUACCCAAUGCACUGUUUUAAGUUCCCAUCCACCUUAUGCAAGGAGAUUGACAUAAUCAUAGCCAAAUUCUGGUGGGGACAGAAAAAAGAGGAAAACAAGAUCCAUUGGAAGAGUUGGGAAUACUUAGGGCUGUCAAAGAAGGAAGGAGGCUUGGGGUUCAGAAAUCUUUGUGACUUCAACACUGCUUUGCUAGCCAAACAAGUGUGGAGGCUUCACACUGAACCCAAUUCUUUUUGGGGAAAGAUGAUUAAAGGGAUCUACUAUCCACGCACAGAUCUUCUUCAGGCAGGAAAAUGGUCUAAGGCAUCAUGGGCAUGGAGCAAUUUACUGGAAGGUAAAGCUCUAAUUGAAGAAGGUGCAAGAUGGUUAGUAGGCAAUGGGAACUCCAUUGACAUAUGGAGGGAUAAAUGGAUUUUAAAAUCUGAAAUGCGCUUCAUUCGCCCUACUGUGCCUAUCCCUCAGUCUGCUCCGAUAAAAGUGUCUGAUUUAAUUGACUGGGACUCUUAUACGUGGGAUUUAUAGCCCAUUGCUGGACUAGUUCCUGAGCGUGAUAUGGAAGCUAUAUGAAAGCAGCUGUUCAGCCACAUUGAGAUUGAGGAUAGAUUAAUCUGGCCUCAAACAAGAGGUGGCUCUUACACGGUCAAAUCCGGGUAUAACCUAUUCCAUUCCCUGAAUCUAAAACCCACAGGACCUUUGAGCCACUCCUCUCAUAAAGUACACCCAAGUGUUUGGUCUGCUAUCUGGUUUAUCCAAACACUUCCCAAAAUAAAACACUUUUUGUGGCAAGUUGUGAAUAAUGCCAUACCCACCUAUCAGAAUCUCUUUCACAAGAAAAUUAUUGUUUCACCUAUCUGCCAAAGUUGUGGGCUAGCCCCUGAAACAAUUGAACACAUUCUACUUCUAUGCUCUAUUGCUAUAUGCACAUGGUUCUCUUUUUCUCUCAACUACAAGAUUAAUGUUCAAGAAAUCACAUCAAUGGAUCGUUGGAUUGAAAAGGUCAUAAAGCUGGCAGGCCCUAACAAAGAUUUACAAGCUAAUUGCCUUACCAGGAUAGCCUUUAUCUGUUGGGAGCUGUGGAAGAGUAGAUGCCGAUUCCUUUUCCAGCUCACCAUGCCUCAUCCGUUGGCAAUAGCCUCUCGAGCAAAGAAUGCAGCUUCAGAUUUUCUGCAAAUAAAACAUCAUAAGAGUCAAGGAGAGUCAGGUAUCGUUUCUACUUGUACCCCCACUUCUCUCAAUCCCGCUACUACCUCCCAUUCCUCCCUUCAUCACCACCAUAGAAACCACUUUCCUAUUCCUACUAACCCUCCCAUUGUAAUCCAUCCUGGAACUUCCAUUAACUCGGCCCACCCAUUAUCUCACAACCAAACACAUACCCACCAUAACCCCAUCACCAUUCAACCAACAAUCAUUAACCCAAUUCAAGAAACUUCAAACGUUAAUUGGGAAAGGCCACCCACAGGCUCUAUCAAAAUUAACUUUGAUUCUGCUUGGAUCAGUGAAACUAACCUUGUUGGGCUUGGAGUUGUUGUGAGAAAUCAUCAUGGCUCUCUAAUUGAUGGAGCCUCUCAAAGUUGCAGUGCGAACUCAUCGAUUGAAGCAGAAGCCCGAGCUGCUAUCUUAGCGCUCUCUCUCGCCAUGAAUUACUCUCACUUUCCUACCCGAAUUGAAUCAGAUUGCCAAGAGUUAGUUAAUAACAUCAACGACAUCAAUUCAGGGAAAAAUUAGAGAAUCUUACCUGUGACUGCUCGGAUACAUAGAGCUCCUCCUCCGUGCAGACCGAUCUCUUGGUCUUGGAUACCCAAAAAAGCGAACUGCGUAGCUCAUCAUGUUGCGUCGCUUAGUGUGAGGAAGACGUGCCCGAAUGUCUGGAUUGACAGACCGCCGUCAAUACUCUGAAUUAAAAAUGUUGAUUUAGGUAACUUGAUCACCAUACUCUGAAUUAUUUUCCUUGUUCGUUCAAAUUAUAAUAAAUUUACGUUAGGCAUGAGAUUUUUUUGGUCAAGAGAUCGAUAAACUUCAUUGCAUAGGUAUGAAAUAUAGUGAUUGAAUAUGUAUGUUAAGUGUGAAGUGUAUUUUAUUUUAGGAAUAGAAGUCAUCAACCACAUUAACAUAAACUAACAUAUUGUUCUACACGAAUAAAUACGUACUAGCUAGGUAUCCGGUAAUGAUUUCAAUAACAUUGAAAAAGAAGCUAGCCAUCAUUGAUAUAACGAUUUGAAGUCAAGAACAUAUCUUAUAGUAACAAACAAGUACUAAGUAGUCAAUAAUGAACUAAUAAUGUUCCCUUGGAACUUUUCCCUAGUAAAAUAUUCACAUUGAAAUAAAAAUCAUUGUUCACAUUAAAAUUCAAAGUCAUAACAUGUCACAUAGUAACAAAUAAGUUAUAAGUACCGAUAAUAACCUAGUAAUGUUCACUUGAAACAUUUCCCAAAUAGCAUGUUCACAUUGAACUUCACACUGAAAUAGAAGACAAUAUUUACAUUAAAAUUUGAAGUCGCCGUUCACAUUGAAAUUUAAAGUCUUAAACAUGUCUUAUAGUAACAAAUAAGUUAUAAGUAGAGGAUAAUAAACUAGUAAUUUUCACUUGGAACAUUUCCCUAAUGACAUAUUCAUGUUGAAAUAUAAGCCAUUAUACAAAUUGAAGUUCACAUUCAAAUAGAAGUCAUUAUUCACAUUGAGAUUUAAAGUGAUAAGCAUAAGUUAUAAGCAACCAAUGAUGAGCUAGUAUGUAAUGAUCACUAAACAAAUAAGUACUAAGUAGCUGACAGUGAGCCUGUGAAGUUCACUAUAAACCUUUCUUUAGUGAAAUAUUCACACUAAAGAAAAGAAAUAAGUACUAAGUAGCUUAACUAGCUAUGUGCUACCUGCAAGUUCACUGAGGACGUUUCCUAGCUUAAUGCCGUAUUCACACUAAAAUGGAAUAAAUAAGUUUGUGGUUUAGGGAUAAGAGUUUAGGGUUUAGGGUUUAGGGAUAAGAGUUUAGGGUUUAAAGGGUUUAGGGUUUAAUUACCAUUUUUAUGUAGUUGAUUUAGUUACCUUACAUGAACUAAACUAAAUACAUUUCUUUAUGGAGUCAAUUAUUAUAAUAAUUCAUUAGAUUUAGGGUCACAAUUACAAUUUUUUUUUUACUUUAUAUAUAUAUAUAUUUGUCCAAAAAAAACUUUAUAUAUAGUUCAUCCAAUAUAUAUAUAUAUAUAUAUUCAAAUGAGUUCAUAUUUUCGAACUGAGUAUAAUUAUAUGUGUGUGUAUAUAUAUAUAUAUUUCACAUUUUAAAUUUAAGCAUGAGUAAUGAAAAAAAUGGCUUAAAAACAUAUUUUUAUAGAAUAAAAACAAAAUAAUCUAGNNNNNNNNNNNNNNNNNNNNAAUUUACCAAAACUAAAAACAAAUACUGGAAAUAUAAAUGUCGAUAAACUCAUCAACCGAGUUAAACAUUUAAUCUCCUUAAUUACAUCAACUUCCAAAAAGUUUAGUAAAAACUACUUCGCUUACAUGAGCUUAAAAACAACUACCAUAAAAUACAAAUAAUUGUAUAUCGUCAAAACCCAGCUCGUAGGCCACUGCCUCCUACCUUCUGAUCAUCACCUGCAGGUCUAACCCCUACAUCACGAAUUGGUGCACCGGGUUGUAAACAACAAACCCGGUAAGCUAAAAAGCUCGUAUGAGUAACUCCCAAAAUAAUAACCCAACAAUCCCAACAUCACAUAUAAUUAAAACUGAUAAUUCCUGCAUUAGCAACUUAGUUCAGGAAUCGCCUAAAAGCAAGAGAAUUCAAAAGAAACAAUUAAGAAAACAUAAUAAUUUAAAAUCACUCAAAAUCAUAAAUGAAUCCUAUAAAUAAACAUAGUUCAAGAAUUCUAUUAAAAACACACAAUUAAGAUUUAAGAAUCUCCUGCGGAUAAGCAUAGUUCAGGAGACACUCAAAGCAAGAAAUUUAUACAACGCAUAAGAACAUUACACAACAUUUCUCUACUCUUACUUAUGAGUUCGCCAACACUUAGUCAUCCCCCAAAAGUAACCAAACAUAUGUGUACUCAUGGGUUCGUCAACACUUAGUCAUCCCCCAUGAAGUACCGACUGACAGACUAGAGCUCUAUACUGACCGUAACCAAUCACCCGACCAAAGCUUGGUUCCCGGUCCACCACGAAGGUUCCUAAUCUAAUAAUCACCACUAAGGCACACACAUACACAACUAAUGCACACAUUCCAAUACUCUCCCAACAUAACACUUAUCAAAUCACAAAAUAAUAAUAUAAUCAUAACCGUAACCUAUCACCCGAUUAAAGGCUAGGAACCCGGUUUGACUAUUUAAACAACAGUUCAAAUAUAAAAAUAUCAUCAACAACAUCCCAAGAGCACUUCAUAAAUUAUAUCUUUCCACCUAGAUAUAUUUAUAUAAACAAAGACAUAGAUAUUCCCACUAGAAUAAUCUAUCAACAACCAUAUUUCAACAUCACCAUAUCACAUGAUCGAAAGUCCUUUUGAAAGUAUUUUAUUUUUAACAGAAAACUUGUUUUCACUUACCAUGAGCCGUUGACAAUCAAGCUCAUUUAUUUUUUAAAACAAAGUCAUUUUCCUUCAAGGAAAAUUUCACAAUUAAUAAAACAAAAUUAUAAAGUAAAUUCGGUUCCUUAAGAACCCAUGUGAGAUUUACUCACAAUAUAAAAAUAGCAUCAUAAUCAUCAAUCAAAACCAUUACCAUCGUCAUCAUAAUAAUUAUCAUCAUCAUCAUCCUCAACAACAACAUCACAAUCAUCAUCAUAAUCAUCUCCAAAAUCAACAUCACAAUUAUCAUCAUAAUAAUUAUAAAUAUUUGGUCCCAAAGUGGACCUUGGUGAGAUGUUACUCACCUCAAAUCCAGCUGCGUCUUCUCACGCACAACACAAGCACAACACCAACUUGUCAAUCACCUAUGUAGCACAAAAUAACUUAGUGACCAACAAAACAAGCGAUCAACUUAAUGACCAACUUUGUCACUAACAACCAAGUGAUUACCCUUUACGCCAACUAGCUAAAACCUAACACAAAGAUUUACCAUAACGAGGCAAUCCUCGUAUGAGACCUCCCAAGGUCACCGAAACCCAUGAACAACCUAUGAUAACCAAAAAUGAUUACCUCUAUGUUCAGAUUCCAUAAACAAACACCGAAAGAAACGACUUCCGGCAAGGCCCCAACAUACUCAAGCAACAUUGAAACCUACAAUCUACAUGCUCACGUACUCGUAUCGACAAGCACAACCUAACAAUUACUCCUAACCACCCAACCUUUGCCGAAGGCGCCGCCACGCGCCGCCACAUGCCGACGGCGAGUGGGCCCCAUGCGCCACCCUACCAACCUACGAAUUAGCCCAAGCUCACAAUACAAAACUUGUAGAUUAAAGAGAGAGGAGCAUCUUUUAUACCUGAGGUUUCACCUAAAACGGCUGGAGCACGAAGGAAAACUCGUUGGAAGGUGGAAAUCCACCACCGUAACUCUACACCGUGAGUCGUGCUAGGAGACUACUAGAAAAAGAACCAGGGCACCAAGGAGAGCCUAUCUCGACCGGUUCCAAACUGCGUCGCCGCCGCCGGAGGGAGAAUUCUGGUCGGGUUGCAAACCGGGUCGCUGCCCUCCCUGUUGGUGAUCGAUUAGCACCGAUCCGGCCGAGUCGCCCUCACUCACUAACACAGGGAAGAUUGCGCCGAGGAGAGGAAGAUUUUCCAACCAGUGCCGUCGUCUGGGUCGGCCGGAGUCGGCCGGAAAACUCGGGUUGGGUCGUCUGGGUCCGGGUCGGGUCAGCUGAAAAACUUUGACAGUGAGGGUGAGGCGCGAGAGAGAAGAGAAGAGAAAAAGAGGGUUUUCCGGAAAAUUAAAUGAAAACCCUAACUUUUUCUUAUUUAACACAAAACCAAGGAAAAACACAAACUUCUGUUGACCAUAACUUCUUCAUACGAAGUCCGUUUUACGCGUGUCACGUGUCUAUGAACUCGUAUCGCCAUGCUCUACAACUUUCGUGAAGGAAGUUUCCCGAGAAACUCAACCGAUUAAAAAGUCAACUCUUAACCCUUCAAAAUAGAGCAUUUUCACAGAACUAAAAACUCGACUACUUCCAGUCCACUCUCUAAACCCAAAAUCCAUAUAACUCUUACUUAAAUAAUUUCUAAAAUAAUAUUAGAAACUAAUAUUAAAAUUCCGGGGUAUUACAUUAGUAACGUUCAAAGUCAAAUUAAUAUAAUUUUUUGUAAUUAAAUACAUGCAUUUUAAAGUUUUUUUUUCUUAAGAAAUAUACAACCCUUUUAUUGAUCAGCAAAAAUGUUAAGACCCACCCCAAAUUUCACCCUGAAACACGAGAUAAAUCCUGCGGGGUCCACCUUCAAGGAAAAUUUACUGAAAAUUCGGCAUAACCUUCUUUGAAAAUGGAAACCUCUUACCUGAAAAAUCCUACUUAACACUUCUAUAACCAAACAUCUAGCCUCAACACCUGGAGCCUUCUUGCUCCCCAAGUUCAUCACAUCUCCCAAUUAACAAUUACUCAACUAAACUAAUCUCACAACCAACAAUAACCAACAUUAAUUCACUAACUGGUUAUCAGAGCAUAUCUAAAGUUAAACGAAAAACAAUGACUAAAGAAUAAGCGGAAGCAACCUCUGACUAUGCCUCGACUCCAUGUACACUCGACCUCAAAUAACUUAGCCUACAAACUGGGCAUUUAAAACCAAAGGGCUCAGGGGAAAGUAAUUUAAAAACGUUAGAGUGAGUGGACAAAAUAAUUUAAAUAAUUUAACAAAUACUCAAUUUAAAUACUUUCCCACUUUUCAGCUUUAAAAACUUAAUAGUAUGCAACUUGAACGUCCUUAAAACUUUAAAUCCAAAAUCAUUUAAUAAAGGACAAACCAGCCCCGCUGGUUAAUUAAAACAGAAAUCUCAUAAAAAGAGAUAAAUCAGCCUCGCUGGUUAAUCAAAUAUAUUACUGAGAAGAAUACAAUAAGGGGAAGAGUUAUCACCAUGAAAAAGGAGCCUCCCAGGCUCGGGUCGGUGCCUCCCAGGCUAUAACAGCGUCCCACGCUAAGCGCUCUACUCACCUAUAAUGAGUAGCCGCUAAUAAUGGCUAGCUAACAAAUAAAUAUAAAUAUCGAUUGGUUGCCUCCCAGGUUAUAAUAGCGUCCCACGCUGAGCGCUCUACUCACAUAUGAAGAGGACCGCUAAUAAGGCUAUAAUAGCGACUCACAUAUGAUGAGGACCGCUAAUAAGGUUAGCUAGCAAUAAUCAAUAUAAAAGCGACCCUAUAUUACGGUGACUAAAAUCAUACGAAGUCACUUAAAUCUAUUAAACUUACCCAAUAUCAAAUGAAUGGUACGGUUCCCAACCAUAUUUGAAAAUCAUCAUAAAAAAUUAUACUAAAAUUCAAUGACAUGUCUCACAAUCAAAACAUUCUCAAAACCAUAAUAUAAGCGAGAUUUAAUUAACAAGUAAAAAUCAUAAUUAAUAUCUCAAUCUAAAAUACUCGCUAAAACAUUCUCAAGAUCAAGAUCGAUAUUCCACCAAUAAUUUCCAAAAUUAUAAAUAGCAAACUAUCAAAAAUCCCAUUUUCGGAUAUCUUUUAUAAAUCUCAAAGUCCACCCAUAAAACCAUUUUAAUGAAAUCUGGAAUUUAUAAAAAUAUCCAAACUCAAAUAUCAAAUUAGUAAUCCGAGCUCAAAUCUAUAAAUCAUGACCCAUAAAUAAUCAAUGUUUCAAUCUCAAAUACUUUCCAAGAUCAUUUCAUAAGCCGAAAUUAUAAUAUAAGCUCGGAAACUAAAAUAAUAAAUUAUAAAAUCUUGCAUGCAUAAUUAUUUAAAACUAAAAGGUCCACUCACAAGUUUAGGCAUAAGCCCGACGAUAACCGCAUCGCUACUCAAGCGAGGUUCCCUUCGUAUCUUGGCACAAUAAAUAUGCUUAGAACCACUCUUCGAUUUAGGAAAUUAAAUGCUUUAACUUAAUCAUCGAAAUCCUCCCAAAUAACCCACUAAUAAGCUAAUUAGAUUUUUACCAAACUUCAUCUACAACUUCAUUUCGUCGAUUCUAGCACUUUAGGACCAUAACCAAGAAAAUCCAAUGGUCGGAUUUUUAUUCUAACAACCGCCAAAAUUCUCAACCUUUGAAAAAUCCCAAACCUAACCAAAACUCCUCAAAAAAUUCCAAACUUCACAUCAUUAAUCUCCUCUUAAUAUAACACAUUUAAAACCCUGAAAAGCCCCCUUACAGCGGCGGCCGGCGGCCGACUCCGAUGACCCCCAAUGGCUACCAAAUUUUAACAGCAUCUUCCUCUCAACAUCCCAAACAACUUUCAUAACUAUCACUAAGUCCAAUUUCAAGCCUAAAUAGGGUAAUCGAAGCCAAACGUAUCAAGAAAACCCUAGGAAAUUCAAACACCCGAUUCUCCUUACCUAGCUCGAGUUAGGAUGCAUCCUUUUAUGGGUUUGCUGCUGGAAGGAAGAGCUUCAAGACAAGACCGAGAACUUCCAUUUUGAUGGCCGAAAAAAGGAGUUCCGGCGAGAACACCUCCGCGGCACAGCCGCACCUUCCCGGCGAUCGUGCUCCCUCACGGCGGCACGACACCGGCUGCCACCUACCUAGACUUGUAGAAGAUGCUCCAAGCUUCAAAUUGACUCCAAUCACGCCUCCUAUCUCGGUCGAACGGCGACAGACGGUGGCCGGAAAGUUUCCGGGUCGGGAGAGCUGCGGGGAGAGGAGAGAGAGAGAGCCAGUAACUUUCUGAUUUCUACCUUACCUCAUUUGGUAAGUUUCCCUUUUUAUACUCCCGACCAAAAAUAGUAACUUUCGUUUUUAGACCAUAACUUCUUCAUACGAACUCUGAUUUAAGCGUGGCACGUGUCCAUGAACUCCGUUUAACAUCCUCUAUGACUUUCAUGAAGAAAGUUUUCCCAAAUUUUAGAUGAAAGAAAAAGUCAACUCUUGGAGCCUUAAAUAGUAAACGGUUACUUAAAACGGUAAAAAGUCAAAGUAACCAAAAGUCAAUAACCGUAAAUUAACUUAAGAAUCGGGAUGUGACAAAAAACCUUACAUAACAGCUACGCAUGUGGGGUUGACAAAAAACUAUUACCUAAACAACAUGACCUUUUCUAGCAAUGAAGCACAUCCAACGUAGUUCAAUCCACACGUAUCAAAAGCAAAACAGUGAAUCAAACAUCACUAGAUUUCUUCAACGGCAAGAGCAGAGGCAUUUCCAAACAUCAAAACUCUCCCCACUAAAGCAAAAUAAAAAUUAAAAGUAAAAAUUACAGAAAGUAAAAACCCAGCCAACCAAAGCAGGAGCAAGCCCAAGAAGAAAACCCUAGCCCAGGCCCAACCCGCACCAAAAGUGCUAAGGGCACCCAAAAUGGGAACCCCGAGUAGCAGCUAGGCGUUGCCUCCUGCCCUCCUCCGUCGGCCACUAUGUUGCCCCUGCCACGGCCAAGACUGAUUAACACAGGCUAGAAAAGGUUAGUGUAACUCUAACAGUUUGGUUAUGAUUGCACAUGUUCAAUAUUUUAACAAAUGGUUUAAUUUAAAAACCGAGAGACAUAACUGUUUUUAGGUGCAAAGUAUAAAGUGUCACAAUUAUUUAUAGCUAUAAUUUAAUAUCAGGUCGUGCUUUGUUACGGAGUUGUAGAAUUCGUUGGCAUUCUGUGGAUUUGCAUACCUCGUUUCGAGUUGACAAGGAGACAAGGCUCAAGGAAGAUGGGCUACCUCGAUCAUCUACUUUUCUAUGUCAAAGUUCGUAACUUGUUCAUAACUUCAUAUGUUGACCAGUUGGAGACUUGUGGGGUUUGCCUCAGAUUUGGGACAAUUAAUCGGGUCUGGUGAUAUUAUGAGAGAGGUAAAUUUUAUUGAACAAUCUGUUAUGGUUGUUUUUGCCAUGGAAACGUUUAAAGUGCAUCCUAUGAUUGGUAAUUGAGUUAAAAACCUUUAAAUUGAUUAAGCUUUAUUAAUGGGUUACUGUAUGUAUGAAAAGGUGUGACUGUGUGGCCAACGAGGUUUGGCUCAGUUGGCAAGGACAGGUUUGUGGUGGAGACCCCAUUCAAGUUCGAUCCCGCUACCAACAUGCCUCGUUGGUUCGCGAUCUGUAAAUUCUCUUGUGAAAAUCCAUACCUGGAGGCUGGUGUGACAUGUACGUGUCCAGUGUCAGUCCUUCAGGGUUGAGGUUGCAGGUUUGCCUUGCCUUAAAGUCACGAUUUUCCUUCCAGAUAGUCCUUCUGUCAAUUUUCUCUGUUAAAAUGCUGACGUGGCCGUUAAAAACAUUAAAAAUUUUAACGGCAACGUCAGCAAUCUAACUGAGAAAAUUAACGAAAAGUCUGGAAAGAAAAUCGUGACUUUAAAGACCAUUCAGAUUAAAAUGAAACUACAAAGACUGAACAGAUGUCGACUUCAAACCACAUAGACUAUACAGUAUUUAACCAAAUCCAUUAUUAAACUAAGUGGGUUGGAAUUGUACAGCAGCUAGAAUGAGUUGUAUUUGAGACUCUAGAGUAGGACUUGAUUAUGAAAAAAUGUCGUUAGUAAUCACUUUGAGCUCCUACUGUAUUGGUGUAAUGAUAUUAGUAUUUCUUUGGUUGAGCCUUAAAUUGAAAAAUGAAGUCCAUGAAUAGAGAAGUGAUAAAAUAAGGCAUACAGAAACUUGAAUGCAUAGAUUAGUAUGUAUUUGUUAAUAUGCGUUCAUGCCUAUGCCUCACAAGUACGUAGAAUGGUGCCUAAUCCAGUGAGGCAAUAAUGUAAUGGUGCUACUGUGAUAGCUAGUUUAAGGAAGGCUGUUUUGUUAAAAUGAGCGUGUAAUUGUAGAAUAUUUGUAAAUAAUUACUUUUCUUGUAUGUGUAGGUUAAAUAUUUUGUAUAGAUAUAUGAGAUAUUUUUCCUAUUAGCACUACAAUUGUAUCUCUAUAUAAACCUCCAAUAUGGAGAAGAAUAUAUAUUGAAGCAUUCUAAAUCAUAUUGAAUCCUUAUUUUCUACUUGACAUCAGAGCUUGCCAAGUUCGAUCCUUUGAAUUUACACCCAAAACACCACAAAUCGCUACGUACCAAAAUUCUCAAAUCACACCACAAACAAAUCGUUGCAUACAUCAAAAUCAUAAUUCCCGAAUCCUUGAAUCUCAAAAACCAAACCUCCAAAAAUGGCACACCAAAUCAACUACCAUACCAUCGCACCAUGCCGGUCUCCAUGCAAACCAAAUUCAUAUGCGAACUCAAAAUGUACGCUAUGUGGAGUAUUAGGUCAUAGCAAGCAACGUUGCUUUGAAACAAUUGGGUACCCGGAUGGUGGAGGCAAAACCUGCAUCAAAUAAACCUUUUUUAUCGUCAGUAGCAUAAGGUAAAUAAGGGUAUUGUAUAGGGCCGGAGAUUGAGGGUACCUUGCAAAACAAAGCGUUAGUAAAACAUAACUAAUAUUAACAAGUAAUAAAAUCUUUAAACAAUUUACAAAAGUAGCUACUGUUUCUAAUGAACAGCAGUCAAAAACCUAAUUAAAA